Molecule: long non-coding RNA, 218066 nt
Filed under: Amborella trichopoda
Lineage: Eukaryota; Viridiplantae; Streptophyta; Magnoliopsida; Amborellales; Amborellaceae
Description: long non-coding RNA (ATRI_LNC001155)
Source: RNAcentral
CAAACUCUACAUGUGAAGGUCUAGUAUUAUAUGAAUCCCUCUUUCUCUCUUUCUCUCUCUCUCUUCUUCAACUCCAUUUGUGCAUUUGUGUGGCUCAUUGACUUUCUUUUGUACUAAUUCGGACCUCAAGGAUAGCAGUAAGGGAUGAUAAUAUUCAGGUGUUGAAUCUCGUUUCCAUUUUGUGGAAUCCGAGUUAAUGAAUGUGAAAGCCUUGGACAUGUAAGCUUUAAUGAAUGUGAAAGUCUCGGACAUGAAAACUUUGCAGCAAUAAUUUGAUUGGGAGUGAUAUCAUGUCAGUUUGUUAUAGUAAUAUCAUAGAACCAUAUUACUAGAAAAACAUAUCUGUGGCAUUUGUAUGGCCUUAAAUUUUGUACAUAAAUUGUCUUCAUCCUAUUAACACUCCUAAAAUAUAAAAUUCAAUUUGUAAAUAUGGUCAUAAUGAGUUCUUUCUAAUAAUAAAUUUAGAUCAUCCAUUUAGUGAAUAUGAAGAUUUUGGCCUUUAUGAAUUUGAAAUCAAUUUUUUUUUUUAAUAUUAUUAAUCUAAUGAUAUUAAAAUUAUCUAUAAGUUGUGGAAAGAAAAAAUAUCCUUUUAAGGUUCUAUUUUCACAUGUUGUUUUUUUGUUUUUUGUUUUUUGGUUUUUUCGUGUUUUUUUUUUGAUUAUUCAUUAAAAUAGAAAAGUAUAUAUUUCAAUAUUGGGGUAAAAUAGAUGGCCCUAACAUAGUUUUUGAAGAUUGUCAUUAUAAUACUGUAGAACCAUUGCAUGAAAUGUCUCCCCUUAUUUAAGUUUCAAUUAUUUCAAAGGAGGAGAUGAAAUACCGUUUACUUUUUAACUUCAUAAAAGAUGAUUUCUAUUAUUCUCUAGAAUAUUUUUAACAUUAUGCCUCUCUUAAUAGUGUCCAUGCUGUGGUACUUGUCCAUCGUAUUUUAUUUUAUUUUGUUUUCUCAGUUAUAAGUUUGUCUUGUGAAAUUAUUGGAAUGUGAUGAAAAUAUUUACGAAAUGUCAAAUCUACCCCGGGGAAUUGGAGCCAACAAUAUUAGAAGGUUCAUAUUGAUUCAGUCUGAGCCAUCUAUCUUGCAUUAUCGGUGGGAAUGUAGUAAAUCCUUGGCGGUAAUCCACGAUACUUAUGAGUAUUAAAUCAGAUUCCCAAGCUAUAUCGAACUUGUGCACAUCUCAUUUUAUUUGUUUUGAUUUUAUUCCGUGUAUUGUGAAUCAAUGGUGAUGUAUUUAGCAAGGUUCAUUGUUGUAAUUCGUAAUUGGAGUUCAUUAAUGGAAGUUGCCUGUAAUAUGUAUUUUUCUUAUCUUAAAGUCAUUGUGGGGAUUUUCCAAGGUAUUAUAAGACAUUUUGACAGGGUUUUUGAAAUUUUGCUUUUUUUUUUACACCUUACGUGGAAUCCUUAAUACUACUUCAAUUUGUGUUAAAGUUGAGGUCUUUUUCAGAGUUAUAGAGUUGUACACUAGAGUUUCAUAUGGCCGCUAAAGGGAUUUUGACGGGUUUGUUGAAAGAUGAAAAGUUUAAUGGGGAAAAUUAUUUUCAAUGGAGAAGGAAAGUAGGGUAUGUGCUACAUGAAGAGGACCUUGUUCCCAUUAUCACCGAGGCUCCUCCUAGUGAGACUAGAUGUAAUGUGUCUCGUGCGUUUAGAGACACCUAUGCCACUAGGGUCUCUAAGAAUUGCACGACCAUGAAUAUCCUGUUGGCCAUAAUGACUCGAUCAUAAGCAAAGAAAUAUGAGGUGUGUAAAAGAGAUAAUGGGUAGGCUCAAGAAUGCAUUGACAAGCCUUCCCAGAAUGACAAGGUACUUUUUAUGGGAUGAUUACUGGAUUUCCGUAUAUGCAGGAGUGGUGCAAGGUUGGUGAACAUAUGUGAAAUUUCAAGCUCAUGGCCCGAGAAUCGGAGGCAGCUAAAAUCUCAUUUGAUGCAUCGACCCAAACCACCUUGUUCCUCUUCACGCUGUUAGCCUCAUGGGACGUGUUCACGGUAAAUUUGGUGGCUCGUGACAUUCGUAUGGUGUUUGAUGAGAUCGUGUACUUUAUAGAGGCCAAAGAAGAGAGAAGGACGACAUGGAUGGAUGGACCAAAGAUGAUGGUCCAUAUAGUAAAUAUUAACCCUCCUCCUAUUCUUUUUUAAUUUGCAUGAUAAAUAUUUGAAAGGGAAUCCAAAUAGAAACUCCAAGGGAAAGAAGCAAUAUGAUAGGCGUCCUCCCCUACCAUCUAAGGGUCAAAACAAUGGGAGAAAAGAUAAGAAUUACAAAAUGAAAAUCAAAAUAACUCCUCACCCAGUAGAAAAGAUUCGCAUACUAUCCAAUGUUUCAAAUGCAAGAAGUUUGGGUACUAUAAAAUUUUAUAGGAAUCCUCCAUUUAUUCCUCCAUUACCACAAAACUCUGGACAUGCUCCUAAUAAAGAGAGAUUUUGUAUGGUAGUUGAAUUUAUGAUAGCAAGUGAUGGGAUGCAUGCAUGAUGCCUAGACUCUAGGGUAGCUGUGUACAUCACCAACCUAAGAGUUAUGUUUUAGAACAUUCAAAGAAUUAAAGUCCACACAAACCAAGAUUUGUACUGGAAAGAAAAUCAAGAACAAGUAGUUCUAAGAAUCAAAGAUUAUGUUCUUAACCUGCAGAAUGGUGAAACUCAAGUUCUUAGGGAUACUCUCUGCAUACAAGGUAUGCGUAAGAGCCUUACUUCUAUCUCUAAAAUCUCUGUGCUAUCUAUCUCUGUUUAUGGGAAAUUUUGCCUAUGUCUAUAACAAGGACCUAACCAGUCCAAUUAUCUUUGGUAGCCACCUGGCCAAUGGUCUGUUUACAGUUGAAAUCAAAUCGCCUGCUGAUUAUGACUUGGAGCCAUAAAACAAUUUUAUGCUAUGGCAUCUCAAAUUAGGUCACAUAGGCAAGGCAAGGAUGGAAAGACUUCAAAGAUACAAAUUUCGUAAAACCAUGGAAAUGAUUUCCAAACUAUGCGUGAGGCAUAUUUACAAGAAAAAAUGAUGAAUACGACUCAUAGAAUGGUCCAAAGAGAAACUCAAAUUUUAGAGUUAGUUUACGUUGAUAUAUGUGGACCAAAGAAUAUUGCAACCACAUGAACCUCCACCUAUCAGUCAUUUUAUUUGGGAUUAUUCUGUUCAACCCAUGUCCUAGCUCCAUCCCAGAAAAGAACCAACCUAAACCCUAAGACUAAUAAGUGCAUUUUCAUAUGUUACCCAAAUCAUUGAAAGGGCUAUAGAUUCUAUAACUUGUCUGGUGCGACAUCAUUGAGAGUCUAGACACACAUUUUCUUAUAGAUGAGUCCUUAGAAGGAUAGGUGAUCCAUUAGAAGGAUGAUUUCUAUCAGGAAUCAAGAACCUCUAGCCUAGUCAGUAACUCAACUUAGAUGAAGUACCAUAGAUAGAACAUCACUUGAGUUCUUCACCUAAUUAGGAGGUUGUUAUGAGAGAAUAAGUGAAGAGGAAAAUGAUGAAUCAUCAACCUAUGUGGAAGCUAUGAAUUGCCUAGAACACAAGCAAUGAGUUAAAGCCAUUGCAGAUGCAAUGAAAUCAAUCAAUAAAAAGAAAGUGUGGAAGGUCGUACGAGUGUGGAAGGUCGUACGUCUUCCUCCAAAUCACAAGGCGAUCAUAUCAAAAUAGGUGCUCCAGAAGAAAUUAAUUGAUGAGGGACAACUUGAAAAAUAUAAGGCUAGACUAGUAGCCCGAGGGUUCACCCAGAAAGAAGGCAUAGACCACGAAGACACCUUCUCGCAAGCUAGUGUCCACUAUGAUAAUCCUCUCUAUCACAACCCACUUGUAUCUCGAGCUCCAUCAGAUAAAUGUGAAAACAACAUUCGUCAAUGGAGAUUUAGAAGAGGAGAUUAACUUGAAACGACUAGAUGGAUUUGAAAGCAAAGGGAAAUAGAACAUGGUGAAUAGACUCCUUAAAUCUAUAUAUGGCUUUAAACAAGCAUCGAGAAGUUGGUUUUUGAAGUUCCAUGAAGUACUACUGACUAAGCACAAUUUUAAACCCAAUGAGGAUGAUUAAUGUGCGUAUGCAAAGGUCCGUGGGAGUGAUAUAGCAUUCUUAACACUAUAUGUGGAUGAUAUUCUAAUUGCCAGUAACUCGCUAGGACUAAUCAAAGAGACAAAGAAUGUGUCGUCAAAACAUUUCGACAUAAAGGAAGUGGGAGAGGACUCAUGCAUACCAGUAAUCAAAAUUAUCAUAAAUAGAUCAACCACACUGCUGAAUUUGUUACAAGCAAUUUACUGCAAGAAAGUGCUAGAUUUCAGAUGAUUGAUUGGAAACCUAUUAGUACACUUGUUGAUGCGUAUCAAAUUAAGCUUGAAGAUGUGUCUCACAGACGAUGAAAAAAGGGCCUACAUGGAAAGAGUGCCCCGUAGGAGUGCUUUGAGGCCUUUCAUGUACCUUACCCAAAUAACCAACUCAUAUUUAGCUUUUGCCCAAAGUGUGAUUGAUAGAUUUCGACUAACCCAGGGAUAAGCAUUGGAAAGUUGUCAAAAGAAUAUUAAGAUAUCUUAAGAGUACUGUGAAUUAUGAGGUCAUGGAUGGAGUUUCCACAUACCAAAUCGUGCUUGGGUAUAUUGAUAUUGAUUACUAAGGUGAUAUGGAUGAAUUGAAAUCUACCUCGGGAAAUCUGUCUUGCAUGGGGGACGAGCAAUGUUGUGAAUGUCUUAUAAACAAAAUAUAAUUUCUCUAUCCCCAAUGGAAUCAGAAUAUGUGGCAGCCUAUCUAGCCACUAAAGAUGCUAUGUGGAUCAACCAAUAUUAGAUAUGGGCCAUUAACAUGUGGAACUAUUAGAAUUAUGUGUGAUAAUCCGGCAUCGAUUGCAGUGGCACAAAUUAAAACACAUCAAAGCUGAAUUCUACCUGGUUGGAUGCCUCGAUCUCGCUUACCCAGAUCUAGGGGAUCAUGUGACACGUGUCUCGAGUUCGGAAGACCCAGGGCUGAGGUCGCUCUCUCAGAAACCUUGUUCACAGAACAAGGGUAGGUGCCCAAUUAGUGAGAGAGGAAUUUGAUAUGUGAAGUGGGGACCAACCUCACCUUGGUCCGUGACUUACUCGGGCUGGCUCGCUUGGGCGCUCUCUUAAAUCAUGACAGAAAGCCCCCCAGCUGCUUUAGCUGGAUCGAAAUCGCCUCCCUUGACCUGCAAUCUCCUUGUUUUCUGCACAAUGCUAUCAUGGUUAACUUGCAAGACAAGUGGGCCGAAGGACCCACCCCUGUCUUAGGGAAAUGCACAUUCAUAUGGCAAAGAAGGUGAGAAAUUAGGGCGAUGAAGAAGAAGGUUCAAAUAAAGAAAGAAAAGAGAAGAGAACUUGACAAGGGGACAAGACUAGCAUGAUAGCUGGACCAGUAAGUGACUGACUCGGAGUGGUAGCAAGACUGGCAUGGUACUCAAGAUCAGCACAACAACAAUACUACUCGAAACCAAUAUCGAUAUGACUGUUCUAAUCUAGUGUGGCAGCAAGAUGGGCAUGGUACUCAAGACCAGCAUGACGGCAAUAUUGCUUGACAGCCAGACCGCUAUGACAAUACUAGAUUGCGUCUAUCCUUUAGUCAAGUGAGAAUGAGGAGAGAAAAGUAAGAAAAGAGAACGAAGAGAAGGCAUGAGACGGUGAAGAGUGAGGAUCCCGACUACAUUGAGCAUCGCCACCCAUAGCCUUGGAGUAACAGUGUCGCGGCCCCUAGACGGCACUAGACAUUGCUGCUCACGGUGAAAGGGGCAUGCAGUGAACUUGAGACAGCGUUAGGCAUAGCCAUUGGCAGUAUGAGAAGGCAGUGCGUCCCUUGCGGGUGGCGAUGCCUUUGGGAACACGAGAAGGCAGCACAUCCCUUGUGGGCGGCGAUAGCUUCUGUUGAGGUGCACAGUGAUAACUUCUCAUGAAGCGCACGAUGAUAGGCGUGGGACGUAUGAGAAGCCAGCGGACGCCGAUAGGUACUAAGCACGCAAAAGAAGCCUACAUGCGGCGAUAGGCACGAAGCGCACGAAAAACGCCUACGCACGACGAUAGGCAUCGAGAGCGUGAAAGAAACCUGCACACGACAAUAGGCAUCGAGCGGGCGAAAGAAGCCGACGGAUGGCGAUAGGCAUUGCCGGGACCCUUCGCGGGCAGCGAUAGGUAUCGCCGUUUGCGAUAGGCGCGCAACAGGGUGAGACCCCUGUGGGCGGCAACAGGCAUUGCCGUUUGCGCUUACGCGAGACACUGAGGAUACGCCUUCGGAUGGCGAUGAGCAGCAUCGUCUGCGAACUUAUUUGAGAGAUAGAGAUAAACGAAGAAAGGGAGAAAGAAGCUCGACCUGCAAAAUCAUAGGAAGGGAAAGAAGGAAAGAGGCAUGCAUGGUGCUGCCACUGUCAUGCAUAGCCUCGGAGGAAAAAAAAUCAGACGAAAGAGAAAGAGAAGAAAAGAAAGAAGAGAAGAGAGAGAAAGAGGUUUACCUUAAGCCCAGGGGUGCCGACCCAAAAUUUUCUCUCUCCUUCCUCUCUCUUAAGAUGUUACCCAACAAUGAGAAAAGAUUGAAAUUUUACUAAGCAAAGUUCAGUCCUUGUACAAUGAGAGUAUGUGAUAUACAUAGAGUUUUGCCUAAACAUGGGAGGAUUGAUCCAAAUUAAACCUAAUUGCUGAAAAUUAAGACUUAAUCGAAUUAAAUAAAAUAAGAAAAUAGGGUACAAAAUGACUGAUUUGCCCCUUCCUAACAAUUGGGAAAGUUCCAAAACAGUCUCUACUGCUGCCCUAGAACAUGCGUAAUCUUUUAUGGAAGAUCCGGGGUUGCUCUGAUGUCCGUUUGUCCGAAAAAUGAUUGUUUUCUUAUAGGGCUCGGCAUGGCGAUCGAUUAGAUACCAACUUCGAGCCAUGGAUCGUGUUUUUAUGCCACGAUCAUUUGACUCGAAAUUUAGAUGAAUCUUACAAAUUUCGGAUGAAUCGUGUGCUCGUUCCUUGAUUUUUUUUUGUGAUUUCUUUCCUGGAACACACUGAGCAUGCCAUUACGGUUGUGUGGCAACAAAUGUAGCUCGAUUUCGUGCCCAGACAAAGAUUUCACAACUUUUGAGUUUUGGCCGGAAUCUGAAAUUCUGACGCUAGAAUUUGCAGCCACUUCAUCAGCUUCAUGUGUGAAAUAUGACUGUUUAUCAUGCAUGGGGUUCAGACCAAUGAUAGCCAUGGACCUUACGCAUGCGAUGCAAAUGGUUUUACGUCGAUCGGGCUUGCGAGCUCCAUGAUUUGGCCGCUUGAGCAAGGCAUGUCGCUGCUGAUUUUCCUACAACUUUCUUCACAGAUCAACAACUUUUCUUUAGCUUUUCUUCUUGCUCGGGCGUCAUCACGGGGCGUGCUACAUAUCGAAACACUUGUCUUAACGAGACGAACAUGUUCACAAAAUUUGAGCGUGAUCCGAAUUCCAACGAGUGAGAUAUGAGCAUUGCAAGUCAUUCUUCGUGACUGCCCCUUUAAUGGUGUUUAGUUGAUGUGGCCGCACGGGAAUAACUCCUCCUGUUCCGGUCUUUUACACAUAACGUUUUCUUCGAGUGUCCAUUUAAGCUGAAAUUUGACACCUAAGGUUUUUCAACCAUGUAGGAUCUAAUGGAGGUGGUUCUAUAGCUUUUCAAUGCACCAAAAAUAUAGUUCUAGUUACGGGGUCCGUUUUAGGGUGAUAGAGAUUGAUUGUACCGAAAUUGUUUCUUAGUCUGCACUGCCUUAAACAUGUCGGAAUGCGACGAAACUUGACAGGAGAUGUUUUGGAGUCCUUAUAAAGAUCUUGACCAGUUCUAGGGCCAUUCUGAGACUGCCAAAAUUUUCAUUGUUUGUCAGGCUUUUUUGACUGACUUCUCUUUUUAUUCCGUAUCAGAGACCCAUGGUGUGGAAAAAUGUCUUCAAAUAGCAUGCCCACUGAAUGUUAUGCUUUGAUAGAAGUGAGAAGGACAAAAUUUGAAAAAUUUCCUCUUGCUUUAUUUCCUUUUCCUUCCAAGCCUUAGGACCACGUUAACGCUUAGGAGAUCCACACUGCUGUAAUUGGGAUGCUCAUACGUUUGGAUGCAAUGUACAAAUCCAUCCAUGGAUACUUUGGGGGGAGAAGAGACUUUGAGGGAUCUUUUCGAAGUCGUCAUCCUCAAGGGACUAUUUGGGAUUUUAACUGCUGAGGCUUUUAUGUGGACGUCGUUGGCCAGAAUCGAGCCUAUCUAGCGGCCAAGUGCUUUAAGAUUUCGUCAGAAUUAUUAGCUACUACGCCAGGUUUGCUUUUGACAAUCAGGGUACCUCUGUGGGCCCCAUUUUUGGGGUUUUCACCUUGCUCUGGUUUUUAUUUUCACGGAACUCUUUUACUCAUGGUUUCGUGACCAUGUCUGUCCAUUAUUUUUACUCAUGGCAUUCCCUUAUCAAGGUAUACGCCAUGCCCAUCAUUUUCUUGUCUUAUUUUUGUGAAGGUGUGUUUAAGGUCAUGCCUUCAGAACCUGUGCGAAGCCUUUUAUUGUCAUGUGGCCAGGACGUGCACCAUAGUUUAGGGUCAUAUAGCUGGACCAUAGUGGGGAUGAAUGGCAGUCUGUGGAGGCCAUGGAGUGGGUAUGGUGGUGGUUUUGACUCACAUCGGGGAGAUGGAACGAGCCUACCUGUGAAAAGUUGGAGAUGCAUGAAUGGAAGAUGAAAAGUGGCGACCCGCUAGUUUAUGACGAGUAUGGAUGGUGGGAUGGUUUGCCAUUUUGUGAGCUUGGGUGAGACUCACUUGCGAAUGAUGGAUGAUGGUAGUGAAGUGCAUGGGCUCACUAGGGAAGCAAUGAGGUGGUGUGUGCACACGAAUGGGUUGGUUAGGGAAAACGUGCGUGAAAAUGCACGUAAAGGGCGUAUGCGUGUUGUGGGGGCGGGUUUAAGGUCAUGCCUCUGGGACCUGGGCAGAGCAGUUUAACGUCAUGAGGCCAGGACGUGCACUAUGGUUUAAAGUCAUAAAUCUUGGACUGUGGUUAUGCAGUUUAAAGUCAUGCAACUAGGACCAUGCAGUUUAAGGUCAUGCAACUAGACCUCCACUACAAUUUAAAGUCAUAUUGUUUGGACCAUGGUGCUAAGCCUCUUAACGUUAUGCGACCAGGACGUGCACUACAGUUUAAGGUCAUAUAGCUGGACCAUGGUUAUGCAGUUUAGAGUCAUGCAUCGAGGAUUGUGCAGUUUAAGGUCAUGCAACUAUACCUUUGCUAUAGUUUAAGGUCAUAUAGUUUGGACCAUGCAGUUUAGGGUCGUGCACCUAGACCGCUUUAGGUGGGUUUCCAUGUAGGUGAAGCUCCAUGGGGAAUAGGUCUGUGGAUAACAAUUCAACUCCCUUGGGAUAAUGGUUGUUAAAACCAACAGGAGGUUUAGAUGGAGAAGCAGACUUUAGUGAGGAUUAGGGGAUAAGUAUGACUCCCUAAGUUGAAAGAUGGAACUCCAUGGCUUGUGGGAAAGUAGCCCAACCCUUGGGGAUAUGAUAGCUUGGUGUGCGACUGACCUAAGGGAAUUGAAGGGGUAAGCAUGUUACUACAGGGAUAAUGAGCAAUAGUAUGCAUGUAACUCCACUGAGAAUGACAGGUCGGAGCAUAGGUGCAAUCCAACUGGGGAUUGAAGAGAUAAGAAUGACCCUAACUCCACGGCGGAUGACGGGCCACUGUACGGAUGUGACUCCUACUGGGGAUGAGGGAGGUGCGUCCAUUUCACAGAUUAAAGUCUUGUGCAUGGACUAUUUGUCGCGCCAUUUAAACGUCUUACUACAGGGACGUGCACUACAGUUUUAAGGUUUUGUCGCUUGGACCAUGGUUAUGCAAUUUAAAGUCCUGCACUAGGACCAUGCAGUUUAAGAUCGUGCAACUAGACCUCCGCUACAAUUUAAGUUCAAAUAGUUUGGACCAUGGUGCUAAUCCUUUUAACGUCAUGCCAGGACGUGCGCUAUAGUUUAAGGUCAUACAGUUGGACCAUGGUUAUGCAGUUUAGAGUCAUGCAAUGAGGACUGUGCAGUUUAAGGUCGUGCGAUUAGACCUCCGCUAUAGUUGAAGGUCAUAUAGUUUGGACCAUGUAGUUUAGGGUCAUGCACCUAGACCGUUGUGGUGGAAAGGGAAUAUGACUCCACAGGACCGUAACUGGAGACUUGACUCCUUGGGGAUGCAAAGUGGUGGCUUGCUUAGGUGGAUGAUAGGCCACGAUCUGGGGGAAAGUGGGAAAAAUCCACAGUCAACAGUGCUAUAGCAUGCAUACGGCGUUAGCAUAAGAAAUGUAAUUGGUGCGAUGAACAACAUUUAAGCCUUUGGUGAAGCGCGCGGCGAUAACACUUUGUGAAGUGAGCGACGUUACCUUCUUGGCGAAGCGCACGAUGAUAGCUUCUGAAGCGCGUGACCAUAGCCCAUUGUGAAGCGCACGGCGAUAAAGCAUAGCGAUAACAGCAGGUUCAUGAGGCACAUGUAGUAAUGACUUGCAUUUGGGCUUGACCCACCCUAGACUAGACCUAUCGCCGUCUGAAGAUGAGGACUGGAGCAUCAUUUCGAACUUGUGAGGGGCACUUCACGGCACUGCUGAGUAUAAAAGGGGGAAAAACCCCAUUUUACUAUUUUAUCGAAAGGUAAAACAUUGAAGAAAGUUUUUUAGAGAGAGAAGGAGCUUCCAUCAAGAGACCUUCUAUAAGAGUUUCUCGACCAAAACUCUCAAUAUAUAGUCUUCAGGAGCUUUCAGUAAACUUGAGCAGGUCACAAACCUUUGCAACGUGCUUGUGACAUUUUCUGAGAGUGUUGAGACCUCCUGAGCAGGGAACAGGGAGCUUCACAGGGCUUCAUCGAGACUUGGGCGAAACUGCAAGAGUCAUAGUGGGACUCUACUAGAAUUCCAGUGAUUUUUUUGGUAGUUCUGUGAUUGCAGGAAAGUUACGGAAUGGUUAGGGGACUCUAACAGUCUUCUAGUUAUCGAAAGAGAAGAAGGAGCAGCAAUAGUGAGCUCACCGAAAACAUAGUGAAAUUUCGACGAGUUGAGUGUGAAGAAGGAAGAAGGGAAACCUGCAAGGUCACAGGGGAGCUUCUGCAGGAAUUUUGGUGGUUUUUCAUUAGCUUCAAUCACCGGUGGAAGAGAAGGAAGAGACAGGGAAGGGUUUCCCGAUGAGUAGAAAUGAGUUCCCAGCGAGGAGAGGAAACGUCGGUGAAAACUCGAGGUGUUGUGAGGCUAUAACAGUCGGGGAGGUGAAGGGCCAUGGGAUGGAGAACGGUCACCCUCCACAGACGCGCCGUGAGUGUCAAGCGGCAUGCCCAGAUUUCGAUGGACAUGGCGUGCCGCAUGUGUGACAUGUGCAAACAGCUGGAGUGCAGAUAUUAAACGCAACGAUAAUAGCCCCUUGGUCGUGAGACGACGAUAGCCCAACCUACCGCACACUGCAGUAGCCUCCUUGUAAGAGUAGCUAGCUUUACAUAUUUUAGUGACCAGCCGGCGAUACUCCCUUGUGAGUGCAACCGACACUACACCUUAGCAUUUUUGUGGAAGCCUUACGCAGCCAGCGAUAGCCCUGCCUUCUGCGCACGAUGAUAUUGCUGCCUUGCACGUGACAGUGAAGCCUUUGCUUUAGUCUUCAUGGCCCAAUCUCCAGGCGCCAUCCCAUAUGUGAAGAACGUCCCACAAGUAAGGGAGCUUAGCGCAAAUGAAUUCACCGGUGAAAGCUUGGUGAGGGGUGAUCCAAUCUAGCUCAUCGAGGCUUUAUGUGAACCGUGGUGACCUUUAAGCGUCACCUUUGUUAGUGACCCCGUUCGCUUUGAGGUUAGAGAAGACGAUAAUGGGAAUGUAAGAACAGAAGAAGGGGUAGGCCUCCUCCAUUGCUUGCAUAAAAAUACAGCCUCAGGCGGGGAUUUGCAAACCCUUGGCAAAAGAAUGGUGAACACCCCAGGCCUGAAGUGGUUCUCUGCUGGCCUCUGAGUGCAAGGGGAGCACCAGUACUUGAAAGGGUACUCUUCUUGGACUGUGAGGGUGUUAAGUCGAUACAGGGACACUCUGAAAGCAUGCUUCCCUGCUGGCCACCAUUUAGUGCUCUAUGGGAUAUUAUGACUGUUGUUCGAACAUGGUCAAGGUGUUGUUGGAAACCUAGAGCCAUGCCAGCAAUACAUAGUUGCUUAGUCAUGGGGAAGCUAGACCUGUACUUCAUCGGUGGGCUCCUGCUUAUCGGUGCUAUGUAUGACGAGUUCGUGCCCCCGAACUCGAUCAUUUUUGGAGGUGAACGGGUCGAAAAAGAAGACCCACCAGCUGAAUUGCAAGAGUUGUUCAGGAUUUACCAGCUGCUCUACUCUGAGACCAAGAAGGGACGUGUCUCCUUCACUUAAUGGGUGGCAUUUUUUUAGGGAGAUUGUGUUGAUGAGGCUGGUCCAAGCCCGAGAAGGAAGGGGAAGGCACCUACGGAGGGAUCCCCUCUAAUAUUUGAGCUGCAUAGAAGGAAUGACCACAUCUUUCUGGUGGUGUACCUGGUGCUCUUCUUGUGCAAGUUCGCUCUUCCCGAUGGAGCUGACAUUAUUCAUCUAGGCACUUUCUAUGUAGCCUGUGACAUGGUGCGGGGGCAGGAGUAUGUGUUUGCAUAGUCGGUCUUGUGUAGCAUCUACUACAGCUUGGGGGCCAUAUCCUGGGGAAAGAUCUACCAGGGUGAUGAAGGUGAGAACGACAUAGUGGACGGUGAAGCCUUCCCAAGGGAUUUCAAGACGCCUUUCCCCAUCGACUAUGUGUAUGGCUGGCUUGAGGCUUAUUUCUACAGCACCUACCUCAGAAAUAGGGUGUUGGAUGAAACAAUGUGCCCAUUUCUCUUGAGGAUCGCUGGGCAGAAAGCAAUCUUCCAUCCACCUGGUCAUGCACAUAGCUUGUCCUACAAUGACCAUCUUCAUAUGAGUAGACCGGCCUUCCCGGUUGGGAACCUCAUAGAACAUGCUUUUGCCGAUGAGUUGGGCAAGAGCCUGGAUGGUGCUCUUACCACUCAUAAGGAGAUGAUGUAUAUUUUGAGUGUGAGAAGCCGGGUGGUACCUUAUCGUACCAUUCACAGUGCCAAACUUGAGGGGUAUUUCCCUCAUUGAUUUGCCGACAGCACGGGCUGGACCAAGGGUGUUUAUUUUCGGUGUUCUUUAAGAAGCGGCAUAGCAAAGUUGGCCGCAGGAAGAGGGGCCAGUUGGGGACCCAUCGUGAGACCUGGCUCCUGAGGCACAUUCACACAGCUUGGGCCACAUGCUUGGAGUUUACAGAGGUCAUAAGUACGUGCUGCCAUAUUUUGGUAGAAGAGUGCGAGCAACCAAGGCCAACGAACUUUGGUGGCAAAUCACCAGUAAGGGGUAUUGGGAAGCUGACAACCCAUGGAAAGGUGAUAAAACCCAUUGGAGCCAGGGCACGAGGCAGAGGAAAGUGAUGAUGACUCCCCCAUUGGGGGAAAUAUUCACGCUAGGCUUCCCUUGAAACUAGCACGUCGUUGGGCGGCCUCAUCAGAUUGCCGUGGACAAGUAUCUGCCACGGUUUCUCAAUAUGGAGAAGAAUACAAAGAGUACUUUCUGCUAUCUUCAAAUGAAAGGAGGGCCGCAAGGUUCCAGGGUAUGAAGGGCACCCGAUCCAGGAUCUGAACGAGUUGAUAGGGAGCAGCCGUCACAACAAGCUUGCUACUGGUUCUUCUCAGGGGGUUACUUUUGAGACUGUUGUACCCUCUCAAGUGAAGGGGAAGUAGGCUGCCGUGACCGUUCCUCGUGCAUGUGCUCGUGAGGUGCCGAAGCGUAAGGGGCUCAAGCGUCGAGUGGUUCGGGAGCUGAAAGAUCACUCUUCGCCGGCUGCUUCUUCGGAGUCAUACGUGUUUCCUGCUAUUCCUGUAUCACCUUCCUCUCUUGAAGAUUCAUCUUCCUCCUCUAGCUCUUUAGAGGCUCAGGCUGGUGCCUCAAAUCCUAUUGCACCGAUUGGAAUUGCCUUGGAUCAGGAAGUCACGUCCGUAGCUGAAUGGGAGGGCCCCGUCCCGAUGGAGAUGAACGGGGCUGAUGAAGUCGACCUUAAUGAUGCAGUUGAGGUGAAGAGGGUCGUGAAGCUCAGGAGGUUUCUAUGCCUACCAAGGAAAGGGAAGCCCUAGUAGAGCUUGUGAUCAUAGAAGAGGCUGAUGCCCCAGGGACUGAAAAGGGGCCACCUGAGCAGCAGAAAGUUGUUGCUCCAGGUGAUGUAGCUGUAGGGGAUGCAAAGGUAGGACAUCCUCAGAGGUCAGACUUUGAGGGCCCAGAGGUGGUUCCCCUGGCUAUAGAGGAGGCGGGUGUUGAAAGACAUUUUCAUCAUAAAAAAAGCCUAACAAACAGUGAAAAUUCUGAAAGUCUCAGAACAGCUCCAGAACUUGCCAAGAUCUUCAUAAGGACUUUCAAAAGUCUCUUGCAUUCUGACAUGUCUAAGGCAGUAUAGACUGAGAAACAGUCUUGGUAGAAUCAGCCUCUAGCACCUUGAAAUAGACCCUACAACUAGAGCUAUAUUUUUAGUAUCCCAAUUUUUUAUAGUACUAUCGCCAUUGGAUCAGGCACGGUUGAAAAUCCCUAGGGGUCAAAUUUAAGCUUAAAUGGACAUUUUGGGAAGAAGUUAUAUGAAAAAGAGCAAAACAUGAGGAGCUGCACGCUAUUCCCAUGCGGCCACCCUGCAACUCAACUCCAUUAAAGAGGCAGUCACGAUUAGUGACUUUCGAUGCUUAUAUCUCCCUUUUUCAAGAUUGGAUCGCGCUCAAACUUGAUGGAUCCUAUUCGUCUCGUCAAGACAAGCGUUUCAAUAUGUUGUACACCCCGCGACGACACCCGAUCGCGAAGAAAGCUAAAGAGAAGUUGCUGAUCCGUUAAGAAAGUGCAAGAAAAUCAGCAGCUUCAAGCCUCGCUCGAGCGGCUAAAUCACACCGCUCGUGAACCCGACCGAUGCGAAACCGGUUCCAUCGCAUGCGUAAAGUCUAGGUCUAUUUCUAGUCUGAACCCCGUACAUGAUGGAUGGUUGGAUUCCGCACACGAAGCCGACGAAGUGACUGUAAAUUCCGUUGCCGAAAUUUUGGAUUCUGGCCAAAAUUCUAAAGGUGCAAAAUCUUCGUCCAGGCAAGGAAUCGAGCUGCUUUUGUUGCCCCGCUAUUGUGACAGCAUGCUCAGUGUGAACCAGUGAAGAAAUCACAGAAAAAAAUCAAGGAACGAUCACACAUUAGAUCCAAAGUUUCAAAAUUCAUUCAAAUUUCAAGUCACAUGAUCGUACUCUAAAAACACGAUCCAUGGCUCGAAGUUGAUAUCAAAUCGAUUGCCAUGCCGAGCCCUACAAGAAAACAAUCAUCUUUCGAGUAAACGGGCAUCAGAACAACCCCAGAUCAUUCAUGAAAAUUCAUGCACAUUCUAGGGCAACACAGGGACUGUAUUGGAAUUCCUCAACUUGUUAAGAAGGGGCAAAUAUGUUAUUUUGCCCCUUAUUUUCUAAUUUCUUUUAAUUCAGAUAAAUCUUAAUUUCAAAAAAUUAGCUUUCAUUUUGAUCAAUCCACCCAUGUUUGGGAACAAUUCUAUAUACACCAUGUACCAUCAUUGUACGCAAGAGGCUUGGACCCUUCACGAAAUGGAAUUUUUACUCAAUAGAAUUCCCUUUCCUUCUCAAUGUUGGAUUAUGUUUGGAGAGAGAAAUUAAGGAGAGAGAAACUUUUGGAUCGGUACCCCUGAGCUCAAGGUAAACCUUCUCUCUCUUCUUUUCUUUCUCUCCUUCUUCGUCUGAGCCUCCUUUAAAGGCCAUGCACGGCAGUGGUAGUGUCGUGCAUGCCUCUGCCUUUAUUUUUCCUCCCUUUGGCUUCAUAGGUCACGCAUGGCGAUGGUAGCGCCAUGUGCGAGCUCCUUUCUCUGUUCUGUUAGUGCAUCUCUAUCUCUCAGCGAGGCUUGUAGACGGCGCUCCUCAUUGCUGUCCGUAGAUGUAUCCUCGAUGCCUCAGUGAAGAACACAGACGGUGAAACUUAUUUCCAUGUGCAGGGGUCUCCACCUGUAGUGCAUCUAUCACAGAAAGUGACGCCUAUCGUCGCUCGCAAGAGGUCGCGGAAACACUUAUCGUCAUCCGCGAACUUCCUUCGUGCGCUCGGUGCCUAUUUCCAUCCACGAGCUCCCUUUGUGCGCUCGGUGUCUGUUGCCAUCUGCGAGCCUCCAUCGCAUGCUUCCGUGAACUCCCUUUGUGCGCUCUGUGCCUAUCGCUGUCCGCUAGCCUCCUUCGCGCGCUCAGUGCCUAUUGCCGUCCAUGAGCUUCCUUUGCGUGUUCGGUGCCUAUCGCCAUCCGUGAGUUCCUUUUGCACGCUCGAUGCCUAUCACUGUUCGCGAGCUUUGCACGUUCAGUUCUUAUCGUAGUUCGGAAGCCUUUUUCUUGCGCUUGGUGCUUAUCACCAUGCGCAGGCUCUACUUGCGUCCCACGCUUUUCACACAAGGACUGUCGCCUCGCACCUCGCAAAUGGCUAUCGUCAUGUGCGUCAUAAGAGGCUAUCGCCGCCCGCGUAGGGGUGCACUGCCUUCUUGUGUGGCCCCAAUGGUGAUGCUUAGUGCAGCCCGUACUUCACUGCUCGCCCUCUAGAUGUGAGCAGUAGUGUCUUACGCCGUCCAAGGGCUGUGACACUGCUACUCCAUGGCUGUGGGUGGUGAUGCUUAGCUCCAUCGGGACCCCAUCUCUUCACUGUCUCGUGCAUUUUCUUCAUUCUCUUCUCACUUGAUAGAGGGUAAACUCAGUCUAGUGUUGUCAUAGAGGUCUGGCUAUUGAGCAGUUUUGUCGUCAUGUUGGUCCUGAGUACCAUGCCCGUCUUGUUGCCACACUAGAUUAGGACAGUUAUGUCAACCUUGGUUUCGAGUAGUAUUGCUGUCGUGUCGGUCCAAAGUACCCUGCCCGUCUUGCUACCAGUUUGAGUCAGUCAUUACAUUGGUCCAACUAUCAUGCUAUUUUCAUCCCCUUGUCGAGUACCCUCUUUUUUCUCCUUUCAUUCAAACCUUUCACUUCAUCACCCUAACUUCUCACAUUCUUAGCCAUACGAAUGUGCAUUGUGAUAAGACAAGGGUGGGCCUUUUAGGCCACUUGUCUUGCAAAUUAAUCAUAGUAGUUUUGUGCAAAAAACAAGGAGAUUGCAAGUCAAGGGAGGGGAUUCCAAACUAGCUGAAGCAGCUUGGGGGCUUUCCAUAGUGAUCUAAGACAGCGCUCAUGCGAGUCAGCCUGAGUAAGCCACGGACCUCGGUGAGGUUGCUCCCACCUCACAUUCAAAAUUCCUCUCUCACUAGUUGUAUACCUGCCCUUGUUCUUGAACAAGGUUCUCGAGAGAGCGAUCUCAGGUUUCGGAUCUUCCGAACCCCUAGAUACUCGCCCCCCGAUCACAUAGAUCUGGAGUGCGAGAUCGAGGCACCUAAAUGGCUUGACAACUCCACUGGGGACUUAUUACCUCUUCGUCGGUUCGCUCUUGUUUGAUCAGUUUCUUCUUUUACUUUCUGCACUACUUUCUAUGGCAUUUGGGUUAUUCAACCCACUCAUCCGAGUUGGGGACUUUCUCAUCCCCGCACUUGUGACUGUCUCAGGGAAGCGAAUUGCUCAUGCUUCCUUCCAUACACUCUUUCUAAGUCAGGACUCACAGUCCGGCUUCCAGGUUCUUUCCUGGGUUGGUACUAAAAUGGACUUAAAGGUCCCUGACUCCCCGCUUCCUCGCCCUGGUGGACCCUUCACCAAGGCCCCUUGCAUUGGGUAGCACAUCUUCUACCAUGCACAGCAUGCACCCUGUUACUAGCAAGUUCCUUGCCGGUCAUAUUGUUGAGGUAUGCUGGACAACUACCCUGACCGCUUUCGCGGGAGGCGAGUAGGCUGCCAUCGCUUCUGAGUGUCGUUGUAAGGCUACCCCACGAAGUCCUUCACUACCCCGAACUUCUACAUCUGGAGGCUUGGCACAUAGAGGCAGAGAUCCUGAGGUCUCCAACCCACACACACACUUAAAGGCUCGCGGUCCAUCCACUCGAGCCGCACCUCAGGGCAACAUUCAUGCUGCCUUGAACUCGUGUUCAAGGCUAGGCCUUCUCGGGCCACACCCUAUGCGCGUCAUGCAUCCCACAACUCGGGGCAGCGCCAGUUCUGCAUCAGCUCGAGCACAUGAGGGUCUUCCCUCUCACCACACACAGCUUCAUCCUGUGAGAGAUAGGCUCCCAACCAGUCCCUCACAGACAUAGCUCGUGGGCAUCUUGACCUCCUCAGUUCGAAUCAGUUGAGCAAACCCGGGCAGACCACCAUGUCACCCGGACAGCUAACCCUAAAGGUGCACAUGCCCUUGCUUUGCAGGUUCCUCCUCGUUCCUAACUCAGGUCGAGUCAUGAACUUGCUCCUUCUUCUGUCGCUCUUCCUUCACCAGGCAAGCACCUCGAGACCUAGUACUCAAAGGUCUUCCUUAAGAGUACCAUCUAGAGCCAGCCUUAGGUCAGCCGUACACCCGGGCCCAACAAACGAAUCCGGGGUAAUGGCCUGAUGCCAGAUAGGAGCUUGCAGCCUCCAAGGCAACGACCCAGGUUGCCCCUUGUCCUCAGACCCCAUUCUUUGUUGCCCCUUGUCCUCAAACCCCAUUCUUUGCUCUAGCUAAUCGACACGACCCUUGCCUGCUCAAGAAAUACGGGGCAGUCCAAAUCUCAAGCUCGGUUCUGGAGUGAAGUCCACAACUGCCUUAAGAGUAAGCAGUAGAGGGGCCUGAAGAUUCUGAUCAGGGAAACCUCCAUGGUAGUUGAGGUCGCCACCCUUGGUGACCUCUUGGCUCAUAACCCCUUUUUCCUUCUUCAAACUUCAGAACUUAAGCAGGUCUAAGAAUACUGCUGGGUGACCACUGCCUAGAAACCACGGUCCCAAGAUCGUCAAGAACCAGUCCUCACAAGGUCGGCGUACAAGGCUCGAGUCCAGUAGGGGCAUGCUGAGCCCCUACAGACUGACUUGCCACGCAUGACUCGCCAACCCCGGCCGUCCACUACUCCACCUUGCUCCGACCUUUCAAAAGAAACGGUCAGUGUCAUGGUGAUCAACGAGCCGGACGACGCUCAAGAAGAGCGUAUGAACUGGUUAGAGGUAAUGAUGCAGUCCAUCCUCGAAAAGUUGGAAUGCCUAGAAGCCUUCAGGUCCCCUUCUUCUCACUAUGAGACUGAUUCUCCAUUUGGUGUAGACACAAUUCUUAGACAUACUCCCCCAUCGGUCUCCCAAGACAGCUCUCCUUCUCGUGGGGUUUCCCAAACCGACAUAGAUGCCAUGGUGGCCCAUAGCGACAAGAACAAGGUCUCAGGCAUGCAAGAGACGCCGCUUUACCAAAAGCCAUACCCCUCGUACAUGGACUAGGUGUCGUUUCUCCCAAACUACCAAAAAGGGAAGAUUCCCUUGUUCAAUGGUACGACGUCCCACCACUUGCAUACUGCCCACUUCCUAGGGGCUUGUCGAGAGACGGUGACUGACGGACGACUCCUCCGUCUGUUCGUAGAGACUCUUGAAGGGCCAGCCCUACAAUGGUAGGCUCGGCUACCUCCAAACUCGGUGCACAGCUCGCAGGAAAUGGAGCAGUUGUUUUACCAACGCUUCUAUGAAUUCCAAAGGAACGUGGAAACCAUUGAGCUCCUCACUCUGACUCAAGACCUAGAUGUUCCAGUUGACAAGUUUAUCGCCCAAUGGAGAGAGCCACUCCCAUGAUGGAGAAAGAAGAUGUCCAAACCUGCAUACGAAACAUGCGUUCUGAGAUCCCCCUACAUGUCGAGGCCUCAAAUCCACCCUCCAUGUCAGAGCUCAUCUCUAAAGCAGUUCGUAUCGAGGGUCUGUCCAAACGCCAUGGCAGAUCUUGUCAGCAACCCUCUGGCCCGAACUCUUGCUCCAACAAUUGAGGCAACCAGCAGAAAGCAAUGAUCAAUGCAGCCGUCACCAUGACUGACAUUAAAAAAGCUGCUCCUCAAACCCUGGACCUCUACAAGGCCCAAACAUCUCAGGCUGGGGGCAAGCAGCUGUCUUACAACAAGGUCCCAUGUCCCAAAAAUAUUAAUCGAAGCGACUUCUGGAUCUAGCACCUGAAUAAGAUGUACCCCUUCGACAAGGAGUGGGUCCCUGUAUUGCUUCGGCUACUACUGAAGCAAAACAUGAUCCAGUUGCUGGAGGUCAGCACUCCAAAAUAAGCUAGACAUGAGACACACGAGAGGUGCUGCGCCUAUCACAGGAAAGUACGCAACCCCACUCAGGACUGCUAUAAGCUCACUGACACUAUCGAAGCCCUUAUUAACAAGGGUUAGAUAAACCUCGAAGAGUUAAAGAAAGCGUUCGGGGCAUCUGAGGCUUCUCACAUAGUGACAAUACAAGAAGAUGAUGGGACACCCACCAUCCUCCGUGCACUAUUUUCCAUAAUGCUCGAUGAGGGACACAUCACGCCAAAGCCGACAAGGCAGUCCAAGUUCCUACCUCCAGGAACUGAGAACCUCUGGUGCUUGUAUCACCUGAUACGAGGCCAUGACAUGAGCGAAUGCACUGGCUUCCACGAACUCUUGGCAAAGAAGAUGCAGCAAUGUCAGGAAGCUCAUGAUAACCCAGAAGGAUGCCCUCAAGUGCCUCUUCCACCUGUGCAAGAAGACCUCUUAACACAGGCCUAGGGAAGUGCUGAGCUAGAUCCUCUACAGGCCCUCUUCGAGGCAAUUAUCCAAUAGGGUAUUGUCACUCCCAAGCCCGCUAGGCAGCCUAAGCGUCAUGCCCAGGGUACAGAAAACCUUUGGUGCCCAUAUAACGAAGUAUGAGGCCACAAGCUGAAAGAAUGCUUUGGGUUCAAAGCCGUAGUGACUCAAAAGGUACAACAAGGCCACAUCAUUUGUGCUAUUCUCCCAGAGCACUUUCAAGUCGUCACUCCUGUCCAAGAGGAAUUCCCACUGCAGGUCCCUCAUGAGGAUACCUCGGACCUUUCAGAACCAUCGACUUCUGAGCCCGGAGAAGGCUACCAUGGACAAAGUAGGUUCAAAUCCUUGAAGCAUGAGGCAAUCCACUAAGCCAGGGUUACUCAUCAACCCAAGGGAAUGCACCAAACCCUCCCAAGGGACCCCAAAAGAAAUGAGCACCCAGGACAGCUUGCCGAAGGAAUUGUCUUCCUCAGUCAUCAGCUGAAGAAGAAUUUCUCAGGCCUCUUCCUCCAUUGCCAACCUUACAGGAUUUCAUCUCGAGCACAGCUCGCCUUAUCUUGUCGUCUAAUAUGAGUGAAGACAACAAAAGCACUCUACAAAGGUCAAAGCCGUGGCAAGACCUAAAAUACUCUCGGCACAUGUCCAAUUCUGGAGACAACGUAAAAAGCUGCCCUGAACAUUCUAACUCCUCAUCUACUCCCUUCUCUUUUAUUUCUUCCACCGGUGCAUCUCGACAGUGCAUAGACUUCAACACUCUGAAUAGAGAGCUCGGAGGCACCAGCCUCAACAGGUCACAGCAGAAGCACCUAAGAGAGAUGCGAGCCCAAGCGGUUGGAUUCAUGACAGUUACCGAUGUCCUGUCAACCCAAGCUAAGAUCGAGCCAUCUUCAAGCUCCACUUUCAAAGAGGCUUCCCAGAUGGUGUAGAUCUUGGAAGUACCAUCCAGCAUGGGGCAAAUGAACCUAAGAUUGGGGAAGAAGCUACAGUCCACACCUUAAAAGCUCAAGGCCCUCAAGUUUCCUAAUCCUUCACUUUUUCCUGAGCCUCAACCUCAAACCUUUACAUCCCUAAUACAAAUCCCUAUUUCUUCCCCAUCAACCUAAACCGCAUCGGCUGAACAACAAAGUCAGCAAGUGUCAUAUGACGUACCACCUACACCUGUGAUUGGAUCAGGAACACAUAAGACUAAUGAGAAUAAAGUGAAAUAUGACGUAGUUGGACACUUGAGAAUGCUUCCAGGCCUCCUAGGUAUCUAUGAUGCCCUCCUGUUGUCUAGAGACUAUCGUAUGGCUCUGGUGAAAGCUAUUUCUAAACCAGAGGUAUAAGAGAUUGAAGUGGAGCCCAUUGAGGUUAACCCAACCAUCCUGAGUGGGUGCAUGGCAAUCUCAUUUUUUGAAGAUGACUUUCAGUUGGGAGGCAAAUUUCACAAUCGUCCCCUCUUUGUGAAUGCUGAAUUAAAUGACUACCCUAUCAAUAGGAUCAUACUGGAUGGAUGGGUCAGCAGUCAACCUAAUCCCAAGAAGGAUCCUCACUUGAUUGGGAUUAGGACCUGAUGACCUCACUCUUACUCACAUCACCGUGCAAGGGUUCAACCAGUCAGGAGAGAAGCCAGCUGGCAUGGUGUGCCUUGGUCUCAAUAUUUGUGACCUCAACGAUUACUCCCAAUUCCACGUAUUCGAUACCGAUACCUCUUACAACGUCCUGCUUGGUUGCCCUUGGCUUCACGAUCAGGUGGUGGUUCUUUCCUUGCUCCAUCAAUGCUUCAAAUACAGCCUAGAUGGGAGGCAACAUACGGUCUAUGCUGAUAAGAGGCCGUUCCCUGUAGUUAAAACUCACUAUGCCGAUGCCAAGUACUAUUUCACAAAUCUUCCAGCACCAGAAAAGUCAAAGGAUGAUGAUUAGAAGCCUAUGAGGGAGAUUUGACCCUCGUCUCAUGAUGACGUUGAAGAUCUAGGACAAAUGAUUACGGACAUGCUCAAGGAGGAGGAAAGACAGGGCAAAAUCCUCCCUUUGACUCUUAUUUAGCCAAGCAUACCUUGCCACCUCGCUGAGGUCAUGGUGUCAUUUCCCGAAGAUGAAGCUUCCCCUUCUACUUCUAAUUUGCUAGAACAAAAUGGCGAGCUAGAAGCAACUCCUGAGACUGAGAAAGAGUAGACCUUCUAGCACCGAAGGUCACCUAUACGUCAGACUAGCAAAAGGUCCUGCAUGUCCCCAUUGCUCUUUUAAAAUCAGAAUUGACACACCAACCACCAAGGAAGGUACUCCAAAUUCCAUCCUCUUUGAACAAAGGGAACACCAGCAGCCAAGAGAAGGUCUUACACCUCUCAAAGGCUCCCGAAGAGGUAUAGGUUGACAAGAGUCAUCCCUCUGACUCUCAGGAACAAGACCCCUUAGCAGAACUGAGAAGUGAGGCUUGUGGCCUUCAGAAUCAGCAGAAGAUUAUGCGCGUUGCUUCAAAGCAGUUGAAGGAGUUUGUCCCUGAGUCUAAGACUUACGACGAGCUCAAAAGCAAUGUACCUCAAAUUGAAGCUAAGGUUCCCCCACAUUGGAGUAUUUACAGUGAACAAGCUCACCAAAUCAUGAGAACCAUGAAUUAUGAGCCCCUGUCCAAUCAAACACUAAGGGCUGAGGAAGCAGCUGCACCCCCAUUCAAGGUCAUUGAAGCCACGACAAGCUGUCGAAAGACAAAGUAAGGAGUGGUGUAUCCUUCUUCGUCUCACACUGUGAAAGGACAGAAGCAAUAAAACAAAAAGAAAAGGAGGAAUAAAAAAGCCACACACCACACUGAAGCAAAAGAGGGAAUUUUAUUCAUAAAGUAAGAGAAUAUCACAAGUAACGGCAUACAAAGAAAGUAAAAGGGAAAGAGGGAAAUUUUAUUUCUAUUGCCAAACGUUUUUGUAUAACGAAUGAAGAAGAUCGCUCAAAUCUCAAGACUAAGCCGAUAGUAGUUCUGUUGUGUCCAUUUGAUUCCAUCCUUCAUAGUCGCCACAUGGAGAAAGGCAAACUUUCAAACCAAAGGAGGAUAUUCCCCAUGUACAACCUGAGGUGAAAGCCAGUCUUUUUCUACCUCACGGGCUGUAGUAAGCAAGCAUUCCAAAUCAUUGAUGUUACAUUCAAGAAUCGCCAUGAUAUCCUCAGUUUAAAAACUUGCGAUUUCUUUAAAUAUCGAAGGAAUCUAUGAGGGAAAAAUCUCAAAAUUUGGGUGAACGAACUGACGCAUGAGAAGGUUGGUUUUAAAGUUACCCAAGUGUGCUGUCGCAGAAUAUAUGAUAGUCAAAGGCCCAGGGAAGAACUUAAGUAAGGGCUUGACAAAGGGAUAUUUUUCAAUAGAUGCUGAUUCUUCUAAAUCCAGAACUUCCUUAGCCUGUUGAGCUAUUUCAGUCACUUUCAUUUUGAACAAGUCUACGCAGGGAACAUUGAAGUCUUGGAGGUUGUCCAUCAGCCUCUUCGCCAAAAAGGGGAACAUAAUCAACUCGAAGAAAGAAUCCCAACUGAAAAGCUGAUAAGCGGCUCUAAGAAGGUCUCGUCCAUUGUCCACAGAAACAUUACGACGAUUGAGCCUGGUAACUUGUGCAGGGAAAGGCAUCACGACCUGUGAUACAACAAAGCCUCCACGAAUGCGCCAAACGAGAGGGUGAAUAACUUGUCCCAAGAAGGAGGUGACUACAAAAGCUGAAUCGAUGAUAGGUUCCCUUCGAGCAGAAAUUGCAAGGCCCUCCCUCAAAGUUGCAAGAGAAAAUGCCUGACUGCCCAUUACUAUCUAGUCGCAAGGACCAUAAUCGCCCUGAAAAGGUAGUGGUGCGCCAUCACUCUUAGGAACAAGUGGUUGAGAUGACAGAUGCACUUCGUUAGAAUCAAUUACCAUCAACUCUCCCCUAUUUUCGUCUUCAGAAACCUUUUUUGAAGGGACCGGCAUUUUGGAAGCUUUUGAGGCCCUGACUAGCUGCCGAGAAGACAUCCAACCACCGUCUGCGCACAAUCGUUUGACACCGGCGACGUUGGUUAAGGUUAUCAUCGUCUGGCAACCAAUGGCAGGGCUAUGGCCGCCUACCGAAGUAAAGCACUUGAUGCCGCCUACGCUCCAGCAGUUUGCACGUGUCGCACGUGCGGCGUACCACGUCCCUUCAAAUCUGGGCAUGCCGCCUGACAAUCAUGACGUGGCCUGUCGCCCCGCUUGCGGAAGGAAACUGUUCACCGUCUCACAACCCUUCACCUCCCGACCAUUGCAGGCCUAUGACGCCUCGGGUUCUCAUCGACGCUUCCUCUUCUAGCUCGGAACUCACUCUUGUUCAUCGGAAAGCCCUUCCUCACCUUCUACUAGUGACCAGAGUUGGCAAAAAACUACUGAAAUCCUCAGAAAGUUCCCUGUGACCCUGCGGAUUUCCCUUCUCCCUGUUUUUGCACUUCAUUAGUCAGCUACAAACUCACCCAAAUUCCAUUGAGUUUCCAAUGAACCUACUACUGCUCCUCCUUCUUCUUCCGAUAACCAAAGGACCAUCAGCUCCCCUGAAUUCCCUACAACCUCCCCUUCAACCUCGGGGCUAUCAAAAGAGUACACAACUCUGGCAGAGCCCCACUCCAAAUCUCAUUAAGGUUUUGAGAAGCCCCGUUCCUUGCUCAAAAAGGCUUUGCACUCUUAAAAAAUGUUCUCAAUCACGUCGCGAGGACUCAUGACUUUCUGAAGCUCACCAGAAAGCUCUUGAAGGCAUGUCUACUGCAAACUUUGGCCGGGACAGUCUCGCUAAAAGUCUCAUGCCAGAAGCUGUGGCUCCCUCUCUCUCUUUAGGAACUCUCUUCAACUAUUUUACUCUUCGGUAAAAUAGUAGAAUGGGAUUUUCCCCCUUUUAUACUCAGUAGUGCCACAAACUUCCCCUCACAAGUUUGAAAAGACGCUGUAGUCCCUAGUUUCUGACAGUAAUAAGAUCAGAUCGGAGCGGGUCAAGCCCGAGACUCGAAAGGAGCUAUAGUCGCAUGCUUUGUCAAGGAUUUAUCAUCGUGUGCUUCGUCAAGGCCUAUCGCCAAGUGCUUGGUCAAGGGUUAUCAUCGCAUGCUUCAUCAAGGAAUUAUUGCCGUGCGCUUCAUCAAGGAGCUAUCGCCGUGAGCUUUACCCAGAGGAUAUCGUCGGGGGCUUCGUCAAGGGCUAUCGCCAUGCGCUUCGUCCAGGACUUUCGUCGAGCGCUUUGUCAAGGGUUAUCGCCACGAGAUCAUGCACCUCACUAAGUGGCUAACGUCGCGAGCCCUUCAUCAAGGGCCUAACGCCGCGAGCUCCUUCCCAACUAGACCUUUAUCUUGCAUGCCCAGGAAGUUUAUUCCCUGCAUCCCAGUCUCACUCUUCAUGAGUCAAGUUUCUUGUUAUGGCUCGUUCCCAAGAAAGUCACUUUCCCCUACCACAACCAUGGGCCUAUCUCCAUGACCCUAAAUUGCACAACCACAGUCUGGUUGCAUGACCUUAAACUGUAUGGUCCAAACUAUAUGGCCUUAAACUGUAGCGGAGGUCCAGUUGCACGACCUUAAACUGUGUGGUCAUAGUCGCAUGACCCUAAACUGUACAGCCAUGGUCUUGUUGUACGACCUUAAACUUCAUGGUCCAAACUAUACGACCUUAAACUGUAGCGAAGGUCUAGUUGCACGACCUUAAACUAUAUGGUCCUAGCUGCAUAACUUUAAACUGCAUAGCACUGCACGUCCCUGUAGUAAAACGGUAAACAUCACGACAAAUAGUCCACACACAUGACUUUAAAUUGUGAAAUGGAUGCACCCCUUCGCCAGGUGUAUGUCAUCAACAUCCCUAUUGGAUUUAGACAUAUUCCAUCAACAUCCCCAGUGGAUUUAGGUGUAUGCAAAAGAAGAAAAAGGUCGCUUUAUCCCUCCAAUCCUCAAUGGGUCUUUUCACACCAACAUCCUUAGUAGGGGUCACAUCCUAUUGCGACUCAUUAUCCCUAGGGAGUUAAGGUCAUUCUUACCUUUUCAACCCUCAGUGGGGUGGCUUGUCAUUCUCAGCAGAGUUAAAUCAAACCAUUACUCAUCAACCCCAAGGGAGUCACACUUACCCUCUUAAGCCCCAGUGAAUUCCCCUUCGCUAGCCACUCCUCGUGGGGCAACUAUCUUCAGCUAAAUCUCUCUGUUUGUGUUCUUGAUUCGAGUACAGACAUAGAGACCUGUCAAGUGGAGCCUUCGGAACUGGACAGGACCAAAGCUUUUUGGUCUAGAAAAAAAGAGCAUUGCAAAUACCAUUCGAGUCAAAGGCAUCAUUCAUUAUAUGACACCAAUCAAGGAAAUGAAAAGAAAAAUCAAUGGGAAAGGUAGAGAGAAGGUCUCGAAAAGUACACAUUCGAUUCUUCAUCCCAUUCCUCACCGAAGGGGCGACCGAGAGAUGGGAUAUAGCCUUAAUUAUCUUGAUCCUUAGGGAGUCAGAUUGUUAUCCAUAUUCCUAUCCCCCAUGCAGCUUCACCUACGUGGCGACCCACACAUGGUUUGUGCUGCAUGACCCUAAACUGCACAACCACAGUCGAGUUGCACGACCUUAAACUGCAUGGUCCAAACUAUAUGACCUUAAACUGUAGUGGAGGUCUAGUUGCACGACCUUAAACUACCUAAUCCUAGCUACAUGACUUUAAAAUGCAUAGCCAUGGUUCCAACCAUAUGAUCAUAAACCAUAGUCUACAUCCUAGCUGCAUGACUUUAAAAGGCUUAGCAUGAUGGUCAAAACUAUAUGACCUUAAACUAUAGUGGAGGUCUAAUUGCACAACCUUAAACUGCCUGGCUUUAAACUUCAUAACUACAGUCCAAACUAUAUGACCUUAAACCAUAGUGUGCGUCCUGGCCGCAUGACGUUAAAGUGCUUUGCCCAAGUCCCGGAGGUAUGACCUUAAACAUGCCCUCACAUUGAGCACACCCCCUUUACGUGCAUCUUCACGCACACCUUCCCUAACCAACCGCGCGUGUGCGUGCACCAUGUUCAUUGCUUCCCUAGUGAACCUAUUCACUUCACUACUACUAUUCAUCAUUCCCCAGUGAGUCUUACCCAUGCUAACAAAACGGAGAGCCAUCUCGCCACCCAUACUCACUGUCAGUUAGUGGGUCACCACUUUUCACCCACCUUUCAUACAUCUUCCAUCUUUCAUAGGCAGCCUCGUACCACCUCCUCAAAGUGAGUCAAAACCACCAAUAUACUUACUCCAUGGCCUCCACAGAUUGCCACUCAUCACCACUACGGUCCAGCUGUAUGACCCGAAACUGUAGUGCACGUUUUAGCUGCAUGACGUUAAAAGGCUUCACACAGGUCUUGAAGGUAUGACCUUAAACAUGCCUUCACAAAAAAUGGGCAUGGUGUACACUUGGACAAGGGAACGUCAUGAGUAAAAAUGACAGACGGGCAUGGUCAUGAAACCAUGAGAAAAAGAGUUUCGUGAAAACGAAAACCCAGGCACGGUGAAAACCCCAAAAGAGCAUCGUGAGAAAAAACGGAUGAAAAUGGCGGACAUGGCCGCAAGGUCAUAGGUAAAAGAGCCCCCCCCCCCCAAAAAGAAGUUGGUGAAAACCAUCUUUACGACGCCACUUCUCCUAUUCAAGUUAAACCCACAAAGGGCGCUUGGACCAACAAAACAGGUUGACUCAGCACCAUAGCCUCAGCCGACACACAAUUUCCAAACAGUCAUAAUUCUAGCUGGCGAGGUCUAUGCAAAGUGGCUCGCUCGGGAGUGAGAGCCGCAUAAGAUCUCCCAUGAUUCACCUCCAAAAACAACAAGAGUCCUUGAGGGUGAGGACAACGACCGAAAGAUCCCUCCAAAAUGCUAAAGAUCCGCACAAAGGCAAGAAACUAAUUAAGUCAGAGCCUAACUUGCUAGAGACUUCAAGGUAAUGUAUCGUCAUGAGUUCGCCUCGCCUAAAACCUUCCUUAGCCGAUAGGUCCAGAUUUUCGAGAGAGGCUGUUAGAAAUCCCCCGACUGGACCCUACAGGAUGGGGUCGAUGAGGCCGCCUCGCCAAAGUUCCCCGUAGCCGACAGUCCCAGAUUUUCGGGAUAAGUCAGAAGCCUCCGACUGGACCACGCUGGAUGGAACCUACAGAGAUACCUUGAUAAUCAAAAGCAAACCUGGUGUAGCAGCAAUCAAUGCCGAUUAAUGGAUCAUAGCAUUUGGCCUCCAAAUAGGCCUAAUUCUGACUAAUGAUGUCCUUACAAAAUCCUCGAGUUGCUAGAAUUGCAAAUAGUCCCUCAAGGGUCAGGACUUCAACAUGAUCCCUGAAAUGUCUCUUCACCCCCUAAAGUCUCCAUGGAUGGACCCGUACAUUGCGUUCAAACGUCUGAACAUCUUAGUUACACAUUGCUGGUUAGGUGCCUCAAUCUUGGCCUCCAGAUCUUAGAGAUUCAGUUGGCGCACGUCUUGGGUUUCGACAGAGACCCGGGAUGUUUGUGAGAUCGCUCUCUCGAGAACCUCGUUCGAAAAUAGGGGCAGGUGUUACCAACCGGUGAGAGAGGAAUUUAAAGGUGGGUUGGGGACUUACUCGGGCCGACUCGUGUGGGCGCCCUCUUAGAUCACGAAGAAAGCCCCUCAGUAAUGAAACUAGUUCAGAAUCGCCUCCCUUAGUUCAUAUUCUUCUUAUUUUUGGCUUUCCUGCAAUUACACACAUAUAUGACAAAGGUUAUGGGAUAGGUGGGUCAAACCUCACCCUUUUCCUCUAUGAUGAUCAUACACAAGCAUGCAUAUUCAAAAAGAAGAAAGAAAGAUGGGGGGUGAGAAUAAUUCGACCAAGCGAGAAGAUCAGAGCAGUGAUUAGGCUGGUGGAUAAUUAGCGUAACAAGGCAGUGAAACGGGCUCGGUAUCUGAGACUAGCUCACGGGAUUGCUACUAAACGCUAUUGCCAAUAUCGACUAGCUAAGCAUGAUGAUCGGUCGGUCGUGGCAGUAAAGCGGGCCAAGCGAACCUAUUACAACAACAUUACGGCUAGAUGACAGGACUGCCAUGAGAUGCUAACCUCAAUCCCUCUUGGUCAAAUGAAAGAGUAGCAGAGGAAUGGUUAAAGAGAAGAAGGGAAUGGACAGAAGGAGAGAGAAGAAGGAAGAGAGGAGGGAGAAGAAGGAAGAGGAGAUGUAGUCGGCGCUAGACAUUACCGACUGUUUCAGGAGAUCGGAGAGAGAUGAAGUAUUUGACGCUAAGCUUCACCGACUGUGUUAGAUGAGAAAAGAGGAAGAGAACCAACUAGCGCUAAGUCUUACCAACUGAUAGAAGAAGAGAGGGAAGACCAACCGGUGCCAAGUCUCGUUGACAGAUAGAAGAAGAAAGAGAAGACCAAUAAGCACUAGUCCUCACCGACUGAUAUAAGUAGAGAGAGAAGACCAACCAGCACUAGGUCUCACCCAUUGGUAGAAGGAGAGAGAGAAGACCAACAGACGCUAGGCCUCAUCGACUGAUAGAAGAAGAGAGAGAAGACAAAUCGACGUUAGGUCUCAUCGACUGGUAGAAGAAGAGAGAGAAGAUCAAUCGGUGCUAGGUCUCAUCGACUGGUAGAAGAAGAGAGAGAAGACCAGUCGGGCAAGUCUCACCGACUGAUAAAAGAAGAGAGAGAAGACCAAUCGACGCUAGGCAUCACUAGUUGAUAGAAGCAGAGAGAGAAGACCAACCGGCAAUAGGUCUCAUCGAUUGGUAGAAGAAGAGAGAAAAGUCCAACCAGUGCUAGGUCUCAUCGAUUGAUAGAAGCAGAGAGAGAAGACCAACCGGUGCUAGGCCUUAUCGACUGAUAAAAGCAGAGAGAGAAGACCAGCUGAUGCAAGGCCUCAUCGACUGAUAAAAGAAGAGAGAGAAGAUCAACUAACGCUAAGUCUCAUCGACUGGUAGAAGAAGAUAGAGAAGACCAGCUGGUGCUAGGUCUCAUCAGUUGAUAGAAGCGAGAGAGAAGAGAGAUAAAGAGAGAAGAGCGAGAGAGAGAAGAGGAAGAGAGAGAAAGAGAGAGAAGAGAGAGAAGAAGAGAGAGAGAGAGAGAGAGAGAGAGAGAGAGAGAGAGAGAGAGAGAGAGAGAGAGAGAGAGAGAGAGAGAGAGAGANNNNNNNNNNNNNNNNNNNNGAGAGAGAGAGAGAGAGAGAGAGAGAGAGAGAGAGAGAGAGAGAGAGAGAGAGAGAGAGAAGAGAGAGAAGAGAGAGUGAGGAGAGAGAAAGUUAUCUGCUUGAAGGGUACCGACCCUUUUCUUCUCUCUCCUCCCCCUCUCUCCAAGACGUACUCACAGGCUAAAGCAAGAAAUCAAAAUUUUAUGGAAUCUUCAAAAGAAUGAAUCGAGCAUCUAUCGUCCUUUUAACAUGUCUUUACAAUGAGGCAGUGCCUGUUUAUAUAGAAUUAUGCCCAAACAUGGGUGGAUUGAAAAAAAUUAGACCUAAUUAUUAAAAAGUAAGACUUAAUUGAAUUAAAAGAAAUUCUAAAAAUGUAUGUAAAAGGACUGUUUUGCCCAUGUCUAACAAUUCAUGGAAUUUUAGAACAGUCCCUACUACUGCUCAAGAUCCUGCAUGAUCCUCCAUGGCGGACUCGAGCGUGUUUUGAUGCCCGUUUUAUCAAAAUAUUAUUGUUUUCUUGUAGGGCUCUGCAUGGUGAUCGUUUUGAUAUCAACUUCGAGUCAUGACUCAUGUUUUUGAGCCAUGAUCACGAGACCUAGAAAUUGAUCGAAAGUGCGAUCGUUCCUUAAUGUUUUUAUGUGAUUUCUUCAUCGUAAUGCACUGAGAAUGUCGUCACGAUCGCGUGGCAACAAACGGAACAUGAUUUGGAGCCCGAACAAAGAUGUCACUACUUUUGAGUUUUGGCCGGAAUCUGGAAUCUAGUGGACAAAAUUUCAGUCACUUCAUCAGAUUCGUGCAUGAAAUCUGACCGUUCAUCAUGUACGGGGUUCGGUCCAAUGAUAGCUCCGGACCUUAUGCACACAAUAUAAUUUGUUUCACGUCGAUCCGUUACGUGAGCAUCGUGAUUAGGUCUAUCGAGUGAGAUGUGUCGUUGCUGAAGUUUUUGCAACUUAUUCACAUAUUAGCAACUUCUCUCUAGCUUUUCCCUCUGCUCGGACAUCAUCUUGGAGCGUGCCACAUAACGAAUUGUUCUUCUUGAUGAGACGAAUACGCUCACCAAAUUUGGGAGCGAUCUGACUUGGAAAGAGUGAGUUACGGGUCCUGACUGUGACUGCCCAUGACUGUAAAAGUAGCCACCUUUGAUGGUGUUUCAAUGCAAUGAGGCCACAUUGGAAUACUGUGCGGCCCCUCUUGUUUCAAUGUUUUACUUAUAUCUUUGUUCUGGAGUGUUCCAUUAAGCCAAAACUUGACCCAUAGGGAUUUUUGAUCGUGUCAGAUCUAAUGGAUGUGAUUCGAUAGUGAUUUGAAAUACCUAAAAUAUAGUUCCAGUUGUAGGGUCAGUUUCAGGGUGCCAGAGGCCAGAUUUUCAAAAACUGUUCCUUUGUGUUCACUACCUUAGAGAAGUCGAAAUGCGACAAAACUUGGCAGGUGGUCUUUUAAAGUGCUAAUGACGAUCUUGACAAAUUAUGGUGCCAUUCUGAGACUGUCAAGAAUUUUCACUGUCUUGUAGGCUUUAUUGACCUGCUUCCUACCGGGGACCAACGUGCUGAAAAAUACGUUCAAACAAUUGCGUGGAUCUCCUCGACAUUCACGUAGUCUUGUGGCUAGCCAGGGGAAUUUUUUCGAAUGAUUGUACUUCUCAUUUCUCUCUAAGUACAACAUUCGGUAGGGGCAUGCUGCUAGAAGACAUUUUUCAUCAUGGGUCUCCGGUCAACAAAGCCUACCAAACAGUGGAACUUUUGACAAUCUUAUAAUAAUACCAAAACUGGCCAAGAUCUUCAUAAGGACUCUCAAAAGUCUCCUAUCAAGUUUCUUCAUAUUCCGAUUUGUCUAGUGUAGUGCAGACUGAGAAAUAGUUUCGGUAGAAUCAACCUCUAGCACUCUUAAAUGGACCCUAUGACUAGAGAUAUAUUUUUGGUCUCCCAAUUUACUAUAGAACUACUGCCAUUGGAUUUGGCACGGUUGAAAAUCACUAGGGAAAUUUUAGCUUAAAUGGACAUUCCAGGAAGAAGGAGGCAAAAGAGAGAAACAAGAGGAGUCGCACGCUAUUCCCAUGCAGCCACCUUGCAACUCAACUCCAUUAAAGGGGUGGUGACGACCAGUGACUUUCGAUGCUUAUAUCUCCCUUGUCAAAGAACAGAUCAUGCUCAAACUUGAUGGAGCAUGUUUGUCUCGUCAAGACUAGUGUUUCAAUUAAUGUGGCACGCCCCGCGGCGACGCCCAAGUGCGAAGAAAAGCUAGAGAGAAGUUUCUGAUCUGAGAAGAAAGUACAGGAAAAUCAGCAGCACUGUGCAUUGCUCGAGCGACCAAAUCACGCCUCUCGCGAACCCGAUUGAUGCGAAACCAGUUCCAUCGUGUGUGUAAGGUCUAGGGCUAUCGUUAGUCCGAACCCUGUACAUGAUGGAUGGUUGAAUUCUGCACACAAAGAAGAAUAAGUGAUUGAAAAUUCUAUCGCCGAAAUUCCAGAUUCCAGCCAAACUCCAACGUUGCAAAAUCUUCGUCCGGACAUGGAAUCGAGCUGCGUUUGUUGCCUCAUGAUCGUGACGGAAUGCUCAGUAUGAUCUAGCAAAGAAAUAACAAAAAAACAUCAAGGAACAAAUACACAAUCGAUCCAAAAUUUCAAGAUUCAUUCAAAUUUCAAGUCACAUGAUCUUUCUCUAAAAACACAAUCCAUGACUUGAAGUUGGUAUCAAAUCGAUUGCCAUGCUGAGCCCUACAAGAAAACGAUCAUCUUUGAAUAAAACGGGCAUCAUAACAACCCCGGAGGAUCCAUGAAAAAUCAUUCACGUUUUAGGACAACACAAGGACUAUCUUGGAAUUCCACAACUUGUUAGGAAGGGGCAAAUCUGUCAUUUUGCACCUUAUUUUCUAAUUUAUUUUAAUUCAAUUAAAUCUUAAUUUCUAGCAAUUAGGUUUAAUUUUGAUCAAUCCACCCAUGUUUGGGCACAAUUCUAUAUAUACCACGUACCAUCAUUGUACACAAGGGGCAUGGACCCUUCGCUAAAGAAAAUUUUUACUCAAUAGAAUUCCCUUUCCUUCUCAUUGUUAGAAUACAUUUGGAGAGAGAGUACGGAGAGAGAAACUUUUGGAUCAGUAUCCCUGGGCUCAAGGUAAACCUUCUCUCUCUUCUUGUGUUUCUUCUCCUUCUUCUUCAUUUCAGCCUCCCUCAGAGGCCAUGCACGGCAGUGGUAGUGUCGUGCAUGCCUCUGUCUUUGUUUUCCCUCCCUGUGGUUUUGGAUGUCGCGCCAUCGUGAGCUCCUUUCUCCCUUCUUUUAGUGCUUCUUUAUUUCUCAAUGAGGUUUGCAGACAGCACUGCUCAUCGCCAUCUGCAGAUGUAUCCUUGAUGCCUCAGAGAAGAACACAGAUGGCGAAACUUAUUGCCACAUACAGGGGUCUCCCCUUGUUGUGCGCUUAUCGUAGACGGUGAUGCCUAUCAUCGCCCGCAAGAGGUCACGACAACACUUAUCGCCAUCCACAAACUUCCUUCGUGCGCUCGAUGUCUAUCGCCUUCUGUGAGCUCCCGUUACGCGCUUGAUGCCUAUCGCCAUCUGUGAGCCUCCUUAGCGCGCUCGAUGUCGAUCACCGUCUGCGAGCUUCCUUUGCACAUUCAGUGCCUAUCGCCUUUCGCAAGCUCCCUUUGCAUUCUUGGUGCCUAUCACCGUCUGCAAGCCUCCUUCGCACACUCGGUGCCUAUAGCCGUCCGUGAGCUUCCUUUACACGUUCGGUGCCUAUCGCCGUCCACGGGCUCUCUUUGCACGCUCGGUGCUUAUCGUCGUUCGUGAGCUUCCUUCGAGAGUUUAGUGCCUAUCACCGUCAGUAAGCCUUCUUCUUCCUCUCGGUGCCUAUCGCAGUGCGUAGGCUGUUCUUGCGUCCCACACCUAUCUCCAUGUGCCUUUGCAAUGAUUGUUGCCACAUGCCUAGUAAAUGGCUAUCGUCGCGUGCUUCACAAGAGGCUAUUGCCGCCCGGGCAGGGGUGCACUGCCUUCUUGUGUGGCCCCAACGACGAUGCCUAGCGCCACCUGUAGUUCGCUGCUCACCCUCUGGACGUGAGAAGUAGUGGCUAGCGCCGUCUGAGGGCCGUGACAUUGCUACUUCACAGUUGUGGGUGGUGACACUUAGCACCAUCGGGACCCCAUCUCUUUAUCGUCUCGUGCAUUUUCUUCAUUCUCUUCUCACUUGACCGUGGGUGGACUUAGUCUAGUGUUUCCAUAGCGGUCUGGCUAUCGAGUAGUAUUGCCGUCGUGCUGGUCUUGAGUACCAUGCCUGUCUUGCUGCCACACCAGAUUAGGAUAGUCAUGUCGACCUUGGUUUUGAGUAGCAUUAUCGUUGCGCAGGUCCAAAGUACCAUGCCAAUCUUGCUAUCACUCCGUGUCUGUCAUUAUAUUGGUCCAGCUAUCAUGCUAGUCUCGUCCCCUGGUCAUGUACCCUCUUAUUUUCUCCUUUCAUUCAAACCUUCCACUUCAUCACCCUAACUUCUCACAUUCUUAGCCAUACAAAUGUGCGUUGCCCUAAGACAUGGGUGGGCCUUUCGGCCCACUUGUCUUGCAAAUUAACUAUAGUAGUGUUGUACAUAAACAAGAAGAUUGUAGAUCAAGGGAGGUGAUUCUGAACAUGCUGAAGCAGCAAGGGGCUUUCCGUCGUGAUUUAAGAGGGCACCCAUGUGAGUCAGCCUGAGUAAGCCACAGACCUAGGUAAGGUUGGUCCCCACCUCACAUCCAAAAUUCCUCUCUCACUAGUUAGACACCUACCCUUGUUCUUGAGGAAGGUCCCGAGAGAGCAGUCUCAGGCCGUGGGUCUUCCGAACUCUUGAUACACGCCGCCAGAUCAUCUAGAUUCGAAGGGCAAGAUCGAGGCACCUAACCAGUGGGCCUUAUGAGAGAGCCUGUAGCUGAAAUGGCUUCCCCAAAGGACAAGGGCGAAGAAGUAGAGGGGGAAGGUGUUGAACCUACAGAGGCAGAGAUGGCGGUUCACGAUGAGAGGGAGAAGGGAGAAGGAGUUGUCCCUGAAGGGGCUGAGGUCACUUUUGAGCAUAUUGCAACUGCUUUAGAAGACAAGCAGCAAGGAGAAGAGGUUGGCCUUGGAGGGACCACGCCUGCUAAUGGUGAGGCUGACAGGCCAGGUGAGGAGGCUAUGAGGGCCAAGCAGAUUGAAAGUAGGAUCCCCUCUACACCUACAAAUGAUGAGAGCUUGGGCUUCACAGUCCCCCGGGAUGAGCCAACAACUCACAUGGCUAUCAUCCCUUCGAGUUAUACUGUGGAGACUUAUGCUCCUUCCAUUGCAGCGGCCCUAGCAUCAUAUCUUAGGCUCAGCUUGAGCAGGAUGUCCGGCAUAAUUAUGGACGUGCUUCGUUUGGGCUUGCAGAGACUGAAGGGUCUGCCUCUUGCUGAACUUAAUGGUGCAAUCCAACAGUUGAGGCAAGUCAUCCUUGCAGCGAGAGUUCUAGAGGUCAUCCCUUACUUCGAUGGCAUCGUAAAUGAGCUAGAAGGGUGGAGAAUAAAGGCCUUGUGUGAAGAAGCAACUACACAGUGACUCUACAGCUUGCAGUUACCCCCUUUGGAGUCCUCACUUAUGUGUCAUCACGAUUAGGUAGAAUCCCAAUUGCAGCAAAAGGAUGCCGUAGUCUUUCAAAGAUCCAACCUUGCAGAGGAGGCCAUCACCCACCACUACAAGGUGAUGGCCCUAAGGGCGGAGAUACUGUAGCUGAUGCAAGAGCUUGAUAAGCUGAAGGAUGAGACUACGGCAUGGGAAGAAAAGUACCAGAUGUUUGCUGAUAAUAUUCUGGCCCUUGAGUACUCCUUGGAAGAAAGGACGCCUUGAUGGAGCAUGAGACACAGCUAAUGGCUAGGGCAUCAGCUACAACAUAUAGGGGGAAGAUCAAUAACAUGAUUGAUCGAUUUUAAAGUGUCAUCUUAUUUUCUUUUAUUUUUCCCAUAUUUUUGACACUUGUAAUAUCCCCUUGCUUUAUGAAUUAAAUUCUUUCCUGUUGCUUCAAUGUGAUGCGUGGCUCUUUUAUUCUUCCUCUUGCUUUUAAGAAUAUCCCACUCCUUGCUUUGUCUUUUGAUGGCUUGCCAUGGCUCCCAGGACCUUGAAUGGGGGAGCAUUUACGUCCUCGCCCCUUAGUGUUUGAUUUGACAGGGGUUCAUAAUCCAUGGUUUUCAUGAUUUGGUGAGCCUAUUCGCUAUAAAUACUCCAAUCUUGGGGAGCCUUGGCUUUGAUUCGACUCGAGCACAAGAGGGUCGACCACUUCAUCUUCCCUCUCAGCACACACAGCCUCACCUUGUCAGUGAUAGGCUCCUACUUGGUCCCUCAUAGACACAAGCUCAUGGGUCUCGACCUCCUAAGGUCAAACCAGCUGACCGAGCUCGGGUGGAACCCUAAGCACCUGGACAGCUAACCUUAAAGCUGCAAAUGCACCAGCUUUGUAGGCUCCUCCCUGAUCCUGACUCAGGCAAAGUCAUGAACCAGUUCCUUCUUGUAUCACUCUUCUUUCACCAGGUAAGCACCUCGAGACCUGGUACUCAAAGGUUUUCCUAAAGAGUCCCAUCUUGAGUCAGCCGCCUCAGGUCAGGCAUGCACCCGGACCCCACAAGGGAAUUCAGGGCAAUGGUCUGAUGUCAAACAGAAGCCUGCAACCUCCAAGGCAGCUGCUCAGACUGUGCUCCAUCCUUGGACCUCAUUCUCUGCUCUAAGUAAUGGACACAACCAUGACAUGCUCAACAAAUACGGGGCAAUCCAAAUCUUAGGCUCAGUUCUGGAGUGAAGUCCAUAGCAGCCUCAGGACUAAGCAAAAGAGAGGCUUGUAGAUCCUGACUACAGAAGCCCCUAAGGCAGUUGAGGUUACCACCUUUGAUAACCUCCUAACUCAUAAUCCCUUUUUCCCUCUUCAGAUCUCACAACCUGAGCAAGUCUAGAAAUAUUGCCCGGUGAUUACUACCAAGAAGCCAUGGUCCCAAGACGGUUAAGAACCGGUCCUCACGCGAUCGGCAUACAAGGCUCGAGUCUAAUCGGGGCAUGUCAAGCCCUUGCAGACUAACUUGCCUCAUACGACUCGCCAACCCCCGGCAGUCGACUAUUCCACCUAGUGCUGACCUCAUAAAAGAAAUGGUCAGCGUCAUGGUGAUCAAUGAGCUGGACGAUGCCCAAUAAGAGUAGAUGAAUAGGUUCAAGGUGAUUCCAUCCUUGAAAAGAUGGAACACCUAGAAGCCUCCAGAUCACCUUCUUCUCAUCAUGAGACUGAUUCCUCGUUGGCGAAGACAUAGUUCCUAGGCAAACUCCCCGACAGGUUUCCCAAGAUAGUUCUGCAUCUCGCAUGGUUUUGCAAGCUAAUAUAAAUGCUAUGGUGACCCACAAUCUCAAGAACAAGGUCUCGAGCAUGUAAGAGGUGUUGCUUUACCAAAAUCUGUACCCCGCAUACAUCGACCAGGUGCUGUUUCCCCCAAACUACCAAAAAGGGAAGCUUUCCCUAUUCAACGACACUACAUCCCCUCAUCAGUGUACUGCUCAUUUCCAAGCAGCUUGUCGAGAGACGAUGACUGACGGGUGACUCCUCCUCUGUCAUUUCGUCGAGACUCUCGAAGGGCUAGCCUUUCUGUGGUAUGCUCGGCUGCCUCCAAACUCAGUACACACGUGGCAAGAAAUGGAGCAGUUGUUUUACCAACACUUCUACGAAGUCCAAAGAAACAUGGAAAUAAUAGAGCUCCUCACUUUGACUCAAGACCCUGGUGAGCCAAUUGACAAGUUCAUCGCCCGAUGGAGAGAGUUGGCAACCUUCCAUGCCACUCUCAUGACUGAAAAAGAAGCAGUUUAGACCUGCAUACGAAAUAUACUGCCCGAGAUUGCCCUACAUGUCAAGGCUUUCAAUCCACCAUCCAUGUCAGAGCGCACCUCUAAAGCAGUUCAUAUAGAAGGUCUGUUCAAGCACCAUGGUGGAUCUCGUCAGUACCCCUUUGGCUCGAAUUCUCGCUCCAACAGUUGGGGCAACCAGAAAAAGCGGUGACUAGUGCGGCUGUCACUGUGACCGACACUAACAAAGCUGCCCCUCAAACCUUGAACCUCUACAAGACACAGACGUCUCAGGUUGGGGGCGAACAGAAGUCCUACAACAGGGUCCCACCCCCAAAAAAUAUAAAUUGAAGUGACUAUUGGACCUAGCACCAGAAUAAGGUGUACCCCUUUGAGAAGGAGUGGGUUCCCGCACUGCUUCAAUUAUUGCUUGAGCAUAACAUGAUCCAGCUACCAUAGGUCAAAACCCCAGAGCUAGUCGGGCAGGAGAUACACGAGAGGUACUACACCUAUCAUCGAGGAGUAGGCCACCCCACUCAAGAUUGCUAUACGCUCAGAGACAUUAUCAAAGCCCUCAUUAAAAAGGGUCAGAUAAAGCUCAAAGAGUUAAAAAAGCAUUUGGGGCCCACAUAGUGACAAUCCAAUAGAAUGAUGAAGUACCCACUAUCCUCUGUGCACUAUUAUCCAUAAUGCUUGAAGAAGGACUCGUCACGUCAAAGCCGACAAGGCAGCCCAAGUUUAUGUCCCCUAGAACUGAGAAUCCUUGGUGCUCUUAUCACCUGAUACGAGGUCACACCCUGAGCAAAUUCACUGGCUUCCAUGAGCUCUUGGCAAUGAAGAUGCGGCAAGGCCAGGAAGUUCAUGGUAACUCAGAAGGACACCCCCAAGUCCCUCUUCCACCAGUGCAAGAAGAACUCUCGACACAAGCCCAGGGAAGCGCUGAGCCAGAUCCUCUACGAGCCCUCUUCGAGGCAAUGCUCCAACAGGGUCUCCUCACUCCCAAGCCCGCCCAGUAGCAUAAGCAUCUUGCCUAGGGUACGAAAAACCUCUGGUGCCCAUAUCACCAAGUAUGGGGCCAUGAGCUGAAAGAAUGCUCUGGGUUGGAAGCAAUAGUCACAGAGAGAGUCCAGAAAGGCCACAUUGUUUGUGUUAUCCUCCCAAAAUGCUUCAAAGUCAUUGUUCUUAUUCAAGAGGAAACCCCACUAGGGCCCCCUAUGAGCACACAUUAGACCCUUCAGAGCCCUCAACUUCUCUGCCUUGGGAAGUUUAUCAUGGGCGAAGUAGGCUCAAGUCCCUGAAGCGUGAGGCCGUACACCAAGCUAGGAUUACUCACCAACCUGAUAGAGCAAACCAAACAUCUCCUCAAGGAUCUAGAAGGAGAUGAGUACCCAAGUAAGCCCGCUGAAGGAACCACAUUCCUCAGCCACCAGUCGAGGAAGAAUUUCUCAAGCCUCUUCCCCCAUUGCCGACCUUGCGGGACUUCAUCGCAGGCGCAGCUCGCCACAACCCAUCGUUCGAUAACGUGGACAUCCCUGAGUUCUCAUUUGCUUGGGAUUCGUCUAAUACUGGUAACGAAGCUAAAAGCACAUCCCAAUAGUCAAAGCCAGGGCAAGACCUAAAAUACCCCCUACACACGUCCAAUUAUGGCGAUGACGUAAAAAACUGCCAAGAACAUACUAACUGUUCUUCUCCUCCCGCCUCUUCUAUUUCUUCCACAGGUGCGAUUCGACAAUCCCAGACUUCGACUCUCUAAACAGAGAGCUCGAAGGCACCAGCCUCAACAGGUCGCAGUGAAAGCACCUAAGAAAGAUGCUGGCCCAGGCAGCUGGAUUCUUAACAGUCGCCGAUGCCCUAGCCCAAGCUAAGACCGAGCUAUCUUCAAGCUCCUAUUCCAAACAGGCCUCCCAUAUGGUGCAGAUCUUGGAGUUACGAUCCGUAAUGGGGAAAAUGAGCCUAAGAUGGGGGAAGAAGCUACAACCCACAUCUCAAAAGCUCAAGAUCCUCAAGUUUCUGGAUCCUUUAAUUUUCCCGAAACCUAAACCUCAGAUCUCCACAUCCCUAAUACAAAGUCCUAUUACUUCCCCAUCAACCUAGACCGCACCGGCUAACCAAUAAAGUCAGUCAGUGCUACAAAAACUACCCACUGUAUUUGGACCAUCGCCAUUGGUUCUGACAUGAUUGAAAACCCUCAAGGGUCAAAUUUCAGCUUGAAUGGACACUCCAAGAAGAAGUUAUGGGUAGAAGAUGAAAACAGGAGGAGCCGCACACUAUUCCCCUACGGCCACACUGCAAUUAAAGUCCAUUAAAGGGACAGUCAUGAAUAGUGACUUGCGACAGCCAUAUCUCAUUCGUCUUGAGUCAGAUGACUCUCAAAUUUUGUGAGCAUGUUCAUCUCGUCAAGACGAGCUAUUUGAUAUGUGGCACGCCUCGUGACGAAACCCAAGUGUGAAGAAGAGCUAGAGAAAAGUUACCAAUCCGUAAAGGAAGAUACAACAAAAUCAGCAGCGACACGUCUCGCUCGAGCGGCUAAAUCACGAUGCUCACGAGCUUGAUUGAUGUGAACCAGUAGCAUCGCGUGCCUAAGGUACAUGGCUAUCAUUGGUUCGAACCCCGUGCAUGAUAAACGGUUAGAUUUCUCACACAAAGCCGAUGAAGUGACUACAGAUUCCAACCAAAACUCAAAAGUUGCAAAAUCUUCGUCCGGGCACGAAAUCGAGCUGUGUUUGUUGCCACAUGACAGUAACGACAUGCUCAAUGUGAUCCAAUGAAGAAAUUAUGAAAAAACAUCAAGAAACAAGCACACUAUCGAUUCGAAGUUUGCAAGAUUCAUCUAAAUUUUAAGGUACAUGAUCGUGGCUUUAAAACAGGAUCCAUGACUCAAAGUUGGUAUCAAAUCGAUCAUCAUGCGGAGUCCUACAAGAAAACAAUCAUCUUUCAAACAAACGGGCACUAGAGCAACCCCAGAUCAUCCAUGAAAGAUCACGUACGUUCUAGGGUAGCAGCAGGGAUUGUUUCAAAAUUUCCACAAUUAUUAGGAAGGGGCAAAUCAGUCAUUUUACACCCUAUUUUCCUAUUUUAUUUAAUUCAAUUAAAUCUUAGUUUUCAUCAAUUAGAUUUAAUUUUGAUCAAUCCAUCCAUGUUUGGGCAAACUCUAGAUAUAUAUCAAGUACUCUCAUUAUGUGCAGACCCGUUCGCCAAAGAGAACUUUGCAUAAUAAAAUUUCUCUUUCUUCUUAUUGUUGGGUCACAUUUUGAGAGAGAAAGGUAGGAGAGAGAAACUUUUGGAUCAGUACCCCUAGGCUCAAGGUAAAUCUUUCUCUCUCUUUUCUUUCUUUCUUUCUUCUUCUCGUUCUUCUUCUCUGUCUGAGCUUUUCUUAGAGGCCAUGCACGACAGUGGCAGUGCUGUGCAUGCCCUUCUUUCUUUCUUUUUUCUCCUGUGGUUUCACAGGCCAUGCAUGGCGGUGGCAGCACCAUGCGCGAGAUUCUUUCUCCUUUUUUUUGUCCAUUUCUAUCUCUCGACAAGGCUCGUAGACAGCGCUGCUUAUCGUUGUCCGUAGAUGUGUCUCAACGUCUCAGCGAGGAGCAUAGACGGCGAAGCCUAUUGCCACUGCAAGGGUCUCCCCUUAUUGCGCGCCUAUCGCAGACGGUGAUGCCUAUCACUGCCCAUGAAGGGUCGCAGCAACACCUAUCACUGUCUGCAAGCUCCUUUCAUGCUCUCGGAGCUUAUCGCCAUUCACAAGCUUCCUUCGUGUGCUCGGUGCCUAUCGCUGUUUGCAAGCUUCUUUCGUGUGCUUGAUGCCCAUCGUCGUCUGCAGGUUUUUCUUGUGUUCCAUGCCCAUCACCGUGAGCCUUAGAAGGGACUAUCGUCGUGUGCAUCACAAGUGGCUAUCGUCGUGCACCUUACAAGAAGUUAUCAUCGCCCGUGGUGUCCUGCCUUCUCGUGUUGCUGAUGGCGAUGCCUAGUGCCACUUGUAGUUCACUGCUCACCCUCCAGCCAUGUGCAGUAGUGUCGAGCGCCGUCCAAGGGUCGUGACACUGCUACUCCAUGGCUGUGAAUGGGAUGCCUAAUCAUCGUCGGGACCCCGUCUCAUUGUCGUCGAGUGCUUCAUCCUCAUUCUCUUCUCUUCUCAUUUGAUUGAGGGUAGACUCAGCCUAGCAUUGCCCUAGCUGCCUGACUGUCGAGCAGUAUCACUGUCGUGUUAGUCUUGAGUACCAUGCCCAUCUUGCUGCCACACCAGAUUAGGACAGUCAUAUCAGCCUCGAUUUUGAGUAGUAUUGUCGUUGUGCUGGUCCUAGUACCAUGCCCGUUUUGCUACUAUUCUAAGCCGGUCAUUAUACUGGUCCAGCUAGCAUCUCGUCCCCUUACUAAGUUUUAUUCUCUUUUCUACCUUUCUUUGAACUGCCCACUUCAUCACCCUCACUUAGGAAUGUGCAUUGCCCUAAGACAAGGGUGGGUUCUUCGGCCCACUUGUCUUACACGUUAACCAUAAUAAUGUUGUGCAAAAAACAAGAAGAUUGCAGAUCAAGGGAAGCGAUUCCGAACCAAUUGAAGCAGCUGGGUGGCUUUCCGUCGUGAUCUAAGAGGGCGCUAGCGCGAGUCAUCCCAAGUAGGUCAUGGACCCAGGUGAGGUUGGUCCCCACCUCACAUUAAAAUUCCUCUCUCACUAGUUAGACACGUUCCCUUGUUCUGUAAAUGAGGUUCCUUAGAGAGCGAUCUCAAGUCUUGAGUUUUUCGAAACCCGAGACAUGUGUCAUCUGAUCACCUAGAUAUGGGGAGGUGAGAUUGAGACACCCUAGCACUCAUCUCUUUCUAGAUCUCUUAGGUGGUGUUUGGACCAUCCUAUUGGGCCGAUGAGUAGCCCUAACUUGGUGGACUGCUUCAUGCUUCAGGUACUUGCGCCUACUUCAUCCAUGGUAGACUUCUUAGGGCUGAGAAGUCGAGGGCUCUGAAGGAUCCAGUGUAGACUCAUAAGGGACCUGUAGUGGGAUUUCCUCUUAGAUGGGAGUGAUGACUUGGAAGGCACAGAUAAUGUGUCCUUUCUUUACCUUCUCGACAACUAUAGCUUUGAAACCAGAGCAUUCCUUCAGCUCAUGGCCCCAUACCUGGUGAUAUGGGCACUAGAGAGUUUUUAUACCCUGGGCAAGAUGCUUAGGUUGUCUAGCGGUCUUAGAAGUGACGAGACCCUGUGGGAGCAUUGCCUCAAAGAGGGCCUACGGAGGGUCUAGUGCACUUUGCUGUGCUUGUGUUGGGAGGUCUUCUUGUACAGGUGGAGCAGGGGCUUAAGGGUGUCCUUUUAGGUUACCAUGAACUUCUUGGUGCUGUUGCAUCUUCUUUGCCAAGAGCUCAUGGAAGCCAGUGCAUUCGCUCAGGUCAUGGCCUCGUAUCAGAUGAUACGGACAUCAUAGAUUCUCAGUUCCGAGGGUAGGAAUUUGGGUUGCCUUGUCUGCUUUGGCAUGAUGAGACCUUCUUCAAACAUUACUGUGAAUAGUGCACGAAGGACAGUGGGUGCCUCAUCAUCCUCUUGGAUUGUCACUAUGUGGGAAGCCUCAGUUGCCCCGAAAUCUUUCUUUAGCUCUUCGAGUAUCUUGCCCUUGUUAAUAAGGGAUUCGAUAAUGUAUUUUGAGCAUAUAACACUCUUGAGUGGGGUGGCCUACUUUCUUGUGAUAGGCGCAGUACCUUUCCUGUGUUUCCUGUCCAGCUGGUUCUAGGGUGUUGACCUCCAGCAGCUGGAUCAUGUUUUGUUCUAGUAGUAGUCGCAGCAGCGUAGGAACCCAUUCCUUCUCGAAGGGCUACACCUUGUUCUGGUGCAGGAUCCAGUAGUCACUUCGAUUUAUAUUUUUAAGGAGCAGAACCCUGUUAGAAGACUGUUGCUGCUUGCCUCCAGCUUGAGGUGUUUGUGCCUUGGAGAGGACAAAAGUUUGAGGGGCGGCUUUCUUAGUGUCAGUCACGAUGACGGCCGCACUAAUCACUGCUUUUUGUUGGUUUCCCCGAUUGUUAGAGCGAGAAUUACCAUUGCCUCGGUUGUUUCUCGAGCUAGAGGGCUGCUGGAGAGAUCCACCAUGGUGCUUGGAUAGACCUUCUAUACGAACUGCUUUAGAGAUGAGCUCUGACAUGGAGGGUGGGUUGGAGGCCUCAACAUGCAGAGCGAUCUCGGCCAACUCUCUCCAUCGAGCGAUGAACUUAUCGACUAGCUCACCAGGGUCUUGAGUUAGACUGAAGAUUUAGAUGGUUUCCACAUUUCUCUGGACUUCAUAGAAGCAUUAGUAAAACAACUGCUCCAUUUCUUGUCAUGUGUGUACCGAGCUUGGCGGUGGCCGAGCAUACCAUUGGAAGGCUGACCCUUCGAGAGUUUCAAUGAACUGACAAAGGAGGAGUUGCCAGUCAGUUUCCGUCUCUCGACAAUCAGCUUGGAAGUGAGCAGUAUGUUGGUACGGGGACUUAGUACCAUUGAACAAGGGGAGCUUCCUUUUUUGAUAGUUUGGGGGAAAUGACACCUGGUCGAUGUACGAGGGAUAUGGCUUUUGAUAAAGCGGCGCCUCUUGCAUGCUUGCGACCUUAUUCUUGAGACUGUGGUUCACCACGGCAUCUAUGUCGGUUUUCGAAACCAUGCGGGGAGCAUAGCUAUCAUGGGAGACAGGUGGGGGAUUUUGCCUGGGAGUUGAGUCCUCUCUAGGCUGGGAGUUGGCCUCAUGGUGUGGAGAAGAAGCAGGGGGCCUGGAGGCCUCUAGACGAUCCAUCUUUUCGACGAUGGCCUGCAUCAUCACCUCGAACCUGUUCAUCCGCUCUUCUUGGGCGUCAUCUGGCUCAUUGAUCACCAUGACGCUGAUCGUUUCUUUUAGAGGGUUAGAGUCAAGUGGAGUAGUGGACUGCCGGGGUUAGCGAGUCCUACACGACAAGUCUGUUUGUAGGGGUUCAGCAUGCCCCAACUGGACUCGAGCCUUGUACGCCAACCUUGUGAGGACCAGUUCUUGACAGUCUUGGGACUGUGAUUUCUUGAUAGCUCGGUCUUUUUCUGUGAUGGUGACCACCAAGCAAUCUUGGACUUCUCGUUCAGAUUCUGGAAUCCAAAGAGGGAAUAAGCGACUAUGAGGCAAGAGGUUAUCAAGAGUGGUAACCUCAACUGCCUUAAGGCCCUAUGUAGUCCGGAGCUAGAGGUCUCUCUUCUUCUUGAUCCUGAGACUGCAAUAGAUUUCAGUCAAGAAUCGCACCUGCGACUUGGACUGCCCUAUUUUUCUUAAGCAUGUGAGGGCUGUGUUUAUCAGCUGGAGCAGAGAAUGAGGUCCCUGGAUAGAGGGCAAUCCGGGUUGCUGCCUUAGAGACUGGAGGCUUCUAUCUACCGUCAAGCCUUUGCCCCGAAUUCCCUUGUGAGGUCUGUGUGCAUGGUUGACCUGAGGUGGCUGGCUCAAGAUGGUACUCUUAGGAAAAACCUUUGAGUACCAGGUCUCGAGGUGCUUGCCUGAUGAAGGAAGGGUGGUAAGAGAAGGAUCUAGCUUGUGACUCCACUUGAACUGGGAAAAGGGAGGAACCUGCAAAGUCGGUGUGUCUGCACUUUUAGAGUUAGUCGUUCGGGUGACUUGAGGUUCAACCCUGGCUCGGUCAGCCGGCUCGACCUUGGGAGGCCGAGACCCACGAGUUCAUGUCCGUGAGGGACUAAGUGGGAGUUCAUCUCUCACACGGUGGAGUUGUCUAUGCUGAGAGGGAGGACGAAGUGGUUGACCCUCGUGUGCUCGAGCUGGUGCAGCACUGACGUUGCCCCGAGCUGUGGGAUGCAGAUUCAUGGGGCGUGCAGAGUUCGGCUUGAGAAGGCCUAACCUUGGACGUGAUCUCAAGGCAGCAUGAAAGUUUCCCCGAGGUGUUGCUUGAGUGAUUGGACCACGAGCCAUCGGGUGUGUGUGAGAGAUCGAGGCCCCAGGAACUCUACCUCUGUGUGUCGAGCCUCUAGGCAUAGAGGUUCGGGGUGGUGGAUGAGUAUGGGGGUGGCCUUGCAGCGACCCUCAAGAGUGAUGGCAACCUGCUUGCCUUUUGUGAAAGCAAAUAGGGCAGCCUUUGUGUGUACCUCAACAAUAUGAUCGGCAAGGGGCUUGCAAAUAGCAGGGUGCAUGAUGUGUGCAGUGAUAUGUGUGUCACCUAUGCGAAGGGCCUUGGUGGAGGGUCCACCAGGGCUAGGAAGUGGGGAGCUAGGGACCAUCAAGUCCCUUCGCGCAACAACCCAGUAGAGAACCUGAGAACCAAACUAUGAGUCCUGACUCAAGAGGAGUGUAAGAAACGAGGCUUGAGAAGCUCGCUUCCCAAGGAUAAUCACGAGUGCAGGGAUCAGAAAAUCCCUAACUCGAAUGAAUGGGUUGAAUAACCCAGAUGCCAUGAAAUAUAGUGAAGAAAGUGAAAGGUGAUGUGAUUAAGCAGGAGAGAACCGAUGAAGGAGUAAUGAGUCCCUAGUGGAGUCGCUAAACUGGUCGGAUGCCUCAAUCUCACCUACCUGGAUCUAGGUGAUCGCGUGACACGUAUCUCGAGUUCGAAAGACCCGAGAUUGAGAUUGCUCUCUCGAGAACCUUGUUCACAGAAUAAGGGCAGGUGCUCAAUUAGUGAGAUAUGAAUUUGAUAUGUGAGGUGGGGACACCUGGGUGUGUGACUUUCUCGGGCUGACUCUCAAGGGCACCCUCUUAGAUCAUGAUGGAAAGCCCCAUAGCUACUUUAGCUGGUUCGGAAUCGUAGGGCAUACAUUCAUAUGGAAAAGAAGGUGAGAAAUUAGAGUGAUAAUGAAGAAGGUUCGAAUAAAGAAAGAAAAUAUAAGAGAACUUGACAAGGGGACGAGACUAGCAUGAUAGCUGGACCAGUAAGUACCAACUCUGUGUGGCAGCAAGACGGGCAUGGUACUCAAGACCAGCACAAUAGCAAUACUACUAGAAACCAAGGUCAAUAUGACUGUUCUAAUCUAGUGUGGUUGCAAGAUAGGCAUGAUACUCAGGACCAACACGAUGUCAAUACUACUCGACAUCCAGACCACCAUGACAAUACUAGAUUGAGUCUAUCCUUUGGUCAAGUGGGAAUGAGGAGAAAAAAGGAAGAAAGAGAACGAAGAGAAGGCACGAGAGGACGAAGAGUGAGGAUCUCGACGAUGUUGAGCAUUGUCACCUAUAGCUAUGGAGUAACAGUAUCGUGGCCCCUGAACAGUGCUGGACACUGUUGCUCACAGUGAAAGGGGUAGGCAGUGAACUUCAGACGGUGUUAGGCAUCGCCAUUGUCAACAUGAGAAGGCAGCACAUCCUUUGCAAGAGGUGAUAGGCAUCGCCGUUGGCAACACGAGAAGGCAACACAUCCCUUGCGGUUGGUAAUAGCUUCUGGUGAGGCACAUGACGAUAGCUUCUCGUGAAGCACACGGUGAUAGGAAUGGGAUGAAAGAGAAGCCCAUGGACAGCGAUAGGCACCGAGCACGCGAAAGAAGCCUGCGCGUGGCGAUAGACACCGAGUGCACGAAAGAAGCAUGCGCGCGACGAUAGGCAUCGAGCACGCGAAAGAAGCCUGUGCACGGCGAUAGGCAUCGAGCGGGAAUAAAGCCUGCGAACGGCGAUUGGCAUUGUUGUGACCCUUCGCGGGAGGCGAUAGGCAUCACCAUCUACGAUAGUCGUGCAACAUGGUGUGACCCUUGCGGGCUGCAAUAGGCAUUGCCGUCUACGCUUAUGCGGGACGUCGAGGAUAUGCAUGCAGACGGCGAUGAGCAGUGCCGUCUGCAAACUUCUUUGAGAGAUAGAGAUGAAUGAAGAAAGGGAGAAAGAAGCUUGCGCAUGGCGCUGCCAUCACCAUGCAGGACCUGCGAAACCACGAGAAGGAAAAGAAAGAAAGAGGCAUGCACGACGCUGUCACUACCGUGCAUAGUGUCGGAGAAAAAAAACUCAGAUGAAAGAGAAAGAGAAGAAGAGAGAGAAGAGAGGAAAGAAGAGAAGAGAGAGAAAGAAGUUUACCUUAAGCUCAGGGGUGCUAACCCAAAAGUUUAUCUCUCCUUCCUUUCUCUCUCAUGACUUGACCCAACAAUGAGAAAAGAAUGAAAUUUUAGUAAGCAAAGUUUGAUCCUUGUACAAUGAGAGUACGUGAUAUAUAUAGAGUUUUGUCCAAACAUGAGUGGAUUGAUCAAUAUUAAACCUAAUUGCUAAAAAUUAAGAUUUAAUGGAAUUAAAUAAAAUAGGAAAUAGGGCGAAAAAUGACUGAUUUGUACCUUCUUAAUAAUUGGGGAAUUCCAAAACAGUCCCUGAUGCUGCCCUAGAAUGUGUGUAAUCUUUCAUGGAUGAUCUAAGGUUGCUCUGUUGUCCGUUUUUUUGAAAGAUGAUUGUUUUCUUUUAGGACUCGACGUGGCGAUCGAUUUGAAAUUUAGAUGAAUCUUGCAAACUUUGGAUUAAUCGUGUGCUCGUUUCUUGAUUUUUUUUUCUAUGAUUUCUUUGCUAGAUCACACUGAGCAUGCUGUCACAGUCACGUGGAAACAAACGUAGCUUGAUUUCGUGCCCGGACGAUGAUUUCACAACUUUUGAGUUUUGGUCGGAAUUUGGAAUUUUGGUGUCGAAAUUUGUAGCAACUUCAUCAGCUUCAUGUAAGAAAUCUGACUGUUUAUCAUGUACGGAGUUAAGAUCAGUGAUAACCAUGGACCUUACACACGCUAUGCAACUAGUUUUACGUUGAUCUGGCUCGCGAGCACCGUUAUUUGGCCGCUCGAGUGAGGCGUGUCGCUGCUGAUUUUCCUGCAAUUUUCUUUACGGAUCAGCAACUUCUCUCUAGAUUUUCUUCUUGUUUGGGCAUUGUCAUGGGGCGUGCCACAUAUCGAAACGCUCGUCUUGACGAGAAGAACACGCUCAAAAUAUUUAAGCAUUAUCCGACUUCAAACGAGUGAGAUAUAAGUAUCGUAAGUCACUGUUCAUGAUAGCCCCUUUAAUGGUGUUUAGUUGUAGGGUGGCCGUAGGGGAAUAGUGUGCAGCUCCUUUUGUUUUGGUCUGUUACCCAUAACAUUUUCCUGGAGUGUCUAUUUAAGCUGAAAUUUUACCCCUGGGGGUUUUCAACCGUGUUGGAUCCAAUGGCAGUGGUCCUAUAUCUUUUUGAUGUAUCGAAAAUAUAGUUCUAGUUACGGAAUCCAUUUCAGGGUGUUGAAGACUGAUUCUGUUGAAACUGUUUCUCAGUCUACACUGCCUUAAACAUGUCGGAAUAUGACGAAACUUGGCAAGAAACUUUUUGGAGUCUUUAUGAAGAUCUUGACCAGUUUUGGGUCCAUUAUGAGAUUGUGAAAAUUUUUAUUGUGUGUCAAGCUUCUCUUUUUUAUUCUAUAUCGGAGAUCCAUGGUGCUGAAAAUUUUCUUAAAACACUACCAUAUCCAAAAUGACAUUGAAAAUGGUGAGAUUGAUUUGGCUUAUAAUCCUGCAGACCCCAUGACAAAAGGAGGUGUUUUCCAUAGGCAUGAAACAAAAGGACACAUGGCAUGGCAUUCAGAGCGUAUGAUAAUUGAGAAAGAGUUAAUGAUGUGUGGGGCAUUUGCAUGAACAUCUGUCUAUUUAUAUGGUUAUCCAUGUGAGUGUAAAAGCAAAAGUAUUUCCCCAGAGCAAAGUGUUGCUCAUAUGUGUGCAUAGAGAGCAAAGUUUUGCUCAUAUAUAAACAUAAAGAGCAAAGUGUUGUUGGCAUAGAGAGAAAAGUGUUGCUUGAGAGCAAAGUCUUGCUUAUAUAUAUGUGUAUAAAGAGCAAAGUGUUGCUGGAAUGUGUGCAUUUCAAGGUUUGAGGGUUUUCUCUAGUCAGGGUUGGUAAGAAAGCACCUCAUGUGGGAUGAGCUUGGGCUUAUGAUAAGGGAUUAAUGGAUCUUGAGUUGUUUGUGACAUUUUUAUGUGUGCAAAGACCUAUGUGAGUAAACUCGGCUCUACGAGAACAUAAGCCCAAAUCCCUAAUAUAUUUGGUUUACUCAAAGCAUGUACAUAAGACAAUCACAAUUGAGAAAUGAGGAAAGUUCUACUGAACCAGAAUUGUGCACACGUGUAGAGAGAGGACUCUCACAUAUGUAAGAGCGCAUGUCCUGGAUUACAUCUGAAAUCCACUAAAAACUCAGGGAAUAGAUUAUCUAUUGGGUUAAAUUCGAUGAGUCCAAUCAUGUAUCUCGGUUCGAGACUCUAGAGCAUGGGACCAUUGGGUUAAUUUGAUUAAGUCGUUUGGGUUUCUAGAACUAGCCUAGUAGAGUACCAUGUAGCCCAACCUCUUAAAUGAUACUAAUUUCUCUAAUUCAAUUUCUUUGAAUUAUUAAACAGUGCCAUUGUGAUUGAAAAUGAUUAAAAAUAAUCUAUUAUGAUUUUCAAGAAUUUUUAAAAUUUUUAUUUUGAAAAAAAAUAAUUUAUUUAAAUUGUUGUGUGGAAAUUCUAAACAAGAACAAUCACAUGUGCGGCGUGUGGCAUGCUAGUGGCCAAUUUGUGCUACAGAUGCAACCCAUUGGAUUGUCAUGUCAUGUCAUGGACCUACAUGCAUGAUGUGGAUAGGCCUAGGCUAUUGGAUGCGAAUGACUAGUUUCGUUGGUGCACAUAUUUGUGUUGUGUAGUGUCACAUGUGUGGACCACAUGUGUAAGGGCAUGCGUGUGUGCGUGCAUGUGGUGUGCAUGUGGUGUGCAUGUGGUGUGCAUGAUAUUGAUAUUCAAAAUUAUAUAAAUGACAUGAACUUGACAAAUUAUGUGAUUUGAUGAUCAAAAAGAAUUUCGUGUGUGUUGUAUUGUGAUUGGUGGAGGAUACUUAGAGAGGGACACCUUAUGACAUGAAAUGGGUGCAUACCUCCUGUGUUAGUGACAUUUCAUAAACGUUGGAACGUGAAUCAAGUCUCAAUAUAAGAGAAAGGAGAAGAGUGUGUUGAUUUUUAAAUAGAGGGGUGAGAUCAAAUGUUUUUCAAAAUGAACGGUGAUAAGAUCGUUCAAAAUGAAAUUAGGGCUUCAACGGCAAUUGUAAUAGUAUGGGAAAAUUUGGAGGCGAUGUUAGGGCAUAUAGUGAUAAGGUGAUCAGAUCCAAACCUGGCAAUGAUAACAAAGUAUGGUGAUGGAAGGCUAGGUCUCUAGCCUCUCUCAACCCUUAGAUUGUUUAUUGGUUGGCCUAAAUUUAGUCUAACUUAAUGACUACACUUGAACUGCCUAUAAAAAGAGUACAAACCCUACCUCAUUAUUAUGAUCUCAUUUCAUUCAUGAGAAAGAGGAAGAGCUAGAGCACCCCACACUUCGAGAGGCCAUUUUGUGUAUUAACACUGAUUGAGGGUGUAUGUGUAAGAAAUGGCCCCCUAUCAUGGAACUCUAGCUUGGAGCAACAUCACAUUGUCCUCCUAUGCUUGUGUUUCUUUGGCUAUGGGUGUUUUUUGUUGAGGAUUGAUUUCUUGUUUUUUGAGGAAAUAUAUUUGCCGAUGUGGAGUUAAAAAGAUGACUUUGGAGGGUGUUAAAAGCUUGAAUGAGUCGUCUUGAUGGAUUGAGCUCCUAUGGGGGUUCGGGGGCGGUAGCCCCCGAGGAAAAAUUUGGAUCUAUUCUUACAUGGGAUUCGAUAUAUCCAAAACUUGAUAUAUAUAUAUAUUUGUACAAGGGUAUUUUCGAUAAUUUAUACCAUCUAUCUGAGACUCGAUAUAUAUCGUUGCACUAGGGGGUUUAUCCAAAGUUAAGGGUUAAGGGAAAAACACAGAUAUUAUUGUAAUUAGAUAAAAACAGAGAGGCGUGAGGAAGAGAGAGUAUUGUAACCCUAUUCUCUAUUGCUAGUAAAGAAGCUCUAAUCUCCCGUGGACGUAGGCACGUUGCCGAGCCACGUAUAUCUUUGCGUUGUGGUUGAUUGUCUAUUUCUUUUGUGUUUGUUUCUUUUUUCUUGUUUUUCGUUUAUAUAUAUAUAUAUAUAUAUAUAUAUUAUGAUGCUUCUGCCAAUUGUUAUGAUCUUAUCCUUGCUGUAAAACUGAGUCCCUCAAUCCAUAACAGUGAGUUUUGGAUGUCCUUUUUGAGGCCAAAGUUGCACUCUCUCCAUGUCCAUUUGUUGUUGCUCUCAUUGUUAUUCUUUUGGCCCAAGUUCUUAUGUAUUUGAUAAUGUGUUGGCAUGCAUAAGUAUGUCACAUUGUUUGGAUGCAUGCAUCUUUUGAUUAAAUAUAAGCCAUCCAUCUUGCGCUCUUGGUGGGAACAAUAACAAGGGAUGUAGUAAAUCCAUGGCCGUAAUCAUGGUUGUGUUGAGCAUCAAAUUGGCUUUCCAAGCUAUAUAAAAGUCAUGCACAUCUCAUUUUAUUUGUUUUGAUUUGAUUCAAUGUAUUUUGAAUAAAGGGUGAUGUAUUUGAGGAAGGUUCAUUAUCGUAAUUUCUAAUUGAAGUUCAUUAGUGGAAGUGGCUUGUAAUUUAGAAAGAAGUCCCAGAGAUCAACAGGGGCAAGGACAUGACUCCAUUAGUAGGGGCACCCCAUGAUCAAGGUAUUCCACCUAAUGGGACAUGAGUAAUGGAAGGCAAAAUAAUAGGGGUCGUUGAAGAGGUUGAGGCCUCGUCCGUCGAGCCCCAACACCACAAUGUGUAUAAGUACUACCGCAGUUGCUCUCCUUAUCUAAGGGUCUCAGCAACACUCGUGCACCAAAGAAGAUCAUGGAAUUAAUUCCUAAAUAAUGGCAGCCAAAGAUCUAAACAGAAAAAGACCAUUGGAAAAACGAGGAGUGAUCAACUGCUUAUUUCAAGAACCAAUUUAAGCAUUCAUGUCCGCUUAGGCUCAUACUCCAGGGGAUUGAAAGCCCUAAACAAUACCGUGAUGCACAAAAUUCACAAGGUUUUUAAAACUUAGUUUUUUCAAAAGCCAUACGAGCACUCUAGGAUUGAAGACCAUAUCUUAGUCCCAUAUCUCUGAAUCACGGUUAAAGCAAUAGCGGGAAGUAAGAGGUCGAUAGCUAUUACUGGGCUAGUGCAAGGCACCUUCUAAAGCACCUUGCCCACCCCAGUCCUUUAUAGUGCCACUGCACUAUGGAAAUUAAUUAAAAAAUUUGUUAAAAACUCCAAUCGAUCUAAAAUACAUUUAAAAUACACUACAGUUACGAAACAACAAAAAUCUUGUUAGAAAGGAAAUCCAAAUGAGCUUAGCCAUCCGAACAAGGCAUAGAAGGAUUAGGGUUGUAAGAGUGACUUCAAGUCUGAAAGAUACGAAGUUUGAGAGGAACAACUUAAAUAGGAUUAGUUGGAAAUUUAACAAUUACAGUGGAGGAAAUGUUGGAUAUAAAUCUAGGACAAAAGUAAUACGAGGAUAACCAAGAUUACGACCCCUCUACUACUUGGAGAACUGGAAAGAACACUGCAUUCUUGAGGAGAUACGGGACAUCCUCACCUAUUCUAUGUGACAUGUUACAACAAGCACCAUCGACCUUCAAGGAAGGGCAAGAAAACCCUAUCCACAAGUGACAUCCCUUGAAAUUGAUCAAGGGACCACCUGAAUUUCAAGAAAACUCAUCUUAGACCACCCAUAAGCCGAUCAACUGGGUGAACAUUCAGAAAAAAAACAAAGAAGAAAAAAAGAACAACGCUGGGCUAAAUACCCAAGUGGGACCCAUGCAGAAAGAAAAAAGCUGGGUUAAUCACCCUAGACGAAGCACGUACGAUGGAAAAAAAAAAGAUAAAAAAAAAAGAAGGUAGAACACCCGAGAGGCUUUUGUGCAAAAAAAAGCAAAGAAAAGAAAAAAAAUUUAAAAGAAUAAAAAAAAAAAAAAAAAAAAAAAAAAAAAGAAAGAAAGAAAAAGCACUGAAAUGAGUCAUUUGGAUCAUAAGGUAUCAUAAAUCAUGUUUCAUAUGCCCUUGGGUAUUUUGCACAAAAAUAUUUUUGACAACUUUUUAGACCCAUAAUCAUGUUUCUGUGAUAAAAAAAGAGGCGGCGUAAACAUGGGAACUCAAAGUCAAAUAAAAAGUUGGCUUAUCCAAAAUGUGACUUUGUCUAAGCAUGAGAGGAAGAAUACAAUAUAAUACAUAUGAUGAUAACACAAUAUUAUUAUUAAUGUUAAAAUAACUUAUAAUAGUGUAAGAAUAACAAAUACAAUUAAUUAUGCCAAAACACCCCUACAAAUUAGAGGAGAAACUAUCUCAAAUUUUAAGUUUUAGAUAGAGAAAUAUCUUAAAAUUUUAGUGAGAGAAAUUAUAUAAAGUUUGGUGAGACAAACUAUAUGAAAUUUUUAAGAGAGAGAGAAACUACUUCAAAUUUUUUGUAGAGAGAGGCUAUGUCAAACUUCAAGUUUUAGAGAGAGAAACUAUGUCAAAUUUUAGAGAGGAAUUGCUUGUAAUUUUUUAGAGAGAAAUAAUUUUAAAAUUUUUAGAGAGAAACUAUAUUAAGUUUUAAGUUUUAGAGACAAAAAUUAUCUUAAACUUUUAGAGAGCGAAACUAUAUCAAAUUUUAGAAAGAGAAACUAUCUCAAAUUUUAAAUUUUAGAGAGAAAAUGUAUUUUAAAAUUUUAGAAAGAGAAAGUAUCUUAAAAAUUUUAGAGAGAGAGAUCAAGAUUUCAGAAGAGAGAGAUUUCUCCUCUCUCUACAAAGAAGGGCAGGGGUUAAAGAAGCUUCCCGAGGAGGAAGAAUGCCCUUAACCCUCCACCUACCGCUGCUUUUAUAAGCAGCUCCGGAUAGCAAGCCCAUCGCAGAAACAUCUCAUAUCUCGAGAGGGCGAGGAGUCUAUCCACUAGCCCAUCCAAGGAUCUUCCACCUUUAAUGCGCUAUUUCAACAAUCUGCGAGACAAUCUCUCGUCCCUUCACCUCCCAAGCAUCACUUCUUCUGACCCCAGAUCAGUAUCCUAUCAUUUUUGACUUCCUGGCAAUGCCUUCCCUGUCUGCGGGCCCUCCAAUAAGAUGUUCCGCCUUCCUCCACCUCCCUGGGGACACUUCGCCUCCUCACAGAUCCAUUCCUCCUCCUAAACACAUGGGCCCAUCACCAAAACGACCCGCCUCUCUGGCGACACUUCGCCUCCUCACAGAAUUGUUCCGCCCUCCAAGUAUUGUUUUGACAAUCAACUGCUUAUAAAGAAAAGGGCCUCACUACGUUCCACGCAUACGCGCACGACGCUGCUCUGAUGUGCCUCCCUGCGCAAACAUGCAGCUAUGUCAUGCCUCCAUCUUCUUACAGCUCACUCACGGUAUCCAUGACCCCGGUGAGCCCUAUCCAAUGAUAACUCCUCUGUCUUGUGGGAGGGAGUCUCCCCAAGAAGGAGGAGGAAGCCGGGCAUGAUGAACAUCCAUUGAGAAUCAUCAUGAGUAAUAAAUAAUCUUCAAGUAGACAUAGCCACGAAGCUAUGGUUAAAAUUGCCAAAAACGAAAAAAUGGAUAUGGUGAAAACACGCAAGGGCGCCAUGAGUAAAAAUGAUGGGCGAGCAUGGCCAUGAAGCCAUGAGUAAAAGUGUCCCAAAAAAAAAGAAAACUGGGCUUGAUGAAAACCUGAAAGGGAGCCAUGAGUAAAAUUGGAAAUCAAAAGGCGAAUGUGACUGCAAAGUCACGGGUAAAAGAGCCUCCAUAAAAAGAAGAAGCUGAUAAAAACUAUUCUUAUGGCGCCAUUUCUAUCCAGGUUCGAACGGGCGCUUGGAUUAAGUAAACAGGUUGAUGCAGCCCUUGACAAAAAAUACGACUUCAACCAUUUACAACGAAGGAACACCACCAGCUAGAAAUGGGCAAAGCCCACCAAGGGAACCCACUAUUAAGGCCUCAGAGCCGAAGAACACCACUAGUUAGAUUGGGUCAAAGCCCACUAAGGGAACCCACUAGCAGGGCCGUAGAUCCAAAGAAUACCACCUGCUAGAUUGGGGCAAAGCCCACCAAGGGAACUCACUAACAAGGCCCCAGAGCCGAAGAACGCCACCAGCUACAUUGGGGCAAAGCCCACUAGCAAGGCCCUAGAGCCGAAGAACACCACCAGCUACAUUGGGGCAAAGCCCACUAGCCAGUCUCUAGAGCAGAAGAAUUCCACCAGCUAGAUUGAGUCAAAGCCAUUAAAGGGAAUCCACUAGCAAGAGCCAAGACAAAAUUUCCACAACCCUAGGGGUCAAAUACACCAAAGGCGCUCAGUGGAUACAAAUAAAGCCACUGAUGUGGGCUAAUGCCCUUAAUCAAGGCACCAACUCAAAGCCAAUAUUUCUCUCCAGCUAGACUGGUAAGCCCUUCAUGAGACCCUAUCAGCACGUUUCCCCAAAAAAUGAAUUCCAGUAGCAUUAGGAAGGAUGCCCUUAAGCAAGGCCCCCGAUCGCUAGAGUCCACUUUGGUCACCCCUUCAAAAGGAAUCUUAGCAUAAUCUCCCACUCAAAUAUUAUGCCAACGCUGGUGGUCGAGAAGAAAUUUUUUUUCUAAAAAAGAUAAAAAACAUGUAUUGGUAAGGAUUCAAAAGUUGAACUUCAACGAAAAAAUUGUAUUUCAAAUGUUGCACUUUACGUUUCUCUGGAAGCCCAGCAUUCCUCAAGGCAAGUUGUUAUAUGUUAUUUUUGACGUACUUAUAUCCCUAGUAUAAAUAAUAAGAAAGCCAGUAACCACCUGAUCCUGCCAUUACCCAAGACACCACCUGACCAUCGAAAACUUUUAGAGAGAUAGGUUACCAUUAGCCUAGGCACCCUUGCCUACCUCGUGGUUAACAUGCAUCAACUGUGCCUGGAGCAGACCUGCGGUCCAGUCCUUCUCUCUACACUCUUUCUCUCUUUCAUCGUGUGAUAGGUUUCGGAGCUCUGGCAACCGCAACCCCGUCUCUCGUUCCUCAUCUCUCUGUCUUUCGCCUCGCGAAGUAACUUGGACCUGCAGCAGACCUAUGGUCCCAUCUCCCUCUCCACACCUUUCUCUCUUUCGUCGUGUAAUAGAUUUUGGUGCCACAGCACUCGCAAUCCCGUCUCUCUUUCCGCGUCUCUCUCUCUUCCACCUCUUGUAGUAACUCGGAACCACAACAGAACCGUGGUCCCGUCUCCCUCUCUAGACCUUUCUCUCUUUCGUCGUGUGAUAGAUUUCGGAACCGUGGCACUUGUGACCCCGUCUCUCUAUUCGCAUCUCUCUCUCUUCCAUCUUGUGUAGUAACUUGGAACCGCAGCAGACCUGCGGUCCCGUCUCCCUCUUUAUGCCUUUCUCUCUUUCGUCCUAUGAUGGAUUUCGAUGUCACAUCACCAGUGACCCCGUCUCUCUUUCUGCGUCUCUCUCUCUUCUACCUCGCUUGGUAACUCCGAAUGGAAACAGACUUGCAGUCCCGUCUCCCUCUCUACGCCUUUUUCUCUUUGUCAUGUGAUAGAAUUCGAAGCCACGGCACCCGUGACCCCGUUUCUCUUUUCACGUCUCUCUCUCUUUGCCUCGCUUAGUAAUACGAAACCGCAGCAGACCCCGUGGUCUCGUCUUUCUCUUUAUACGUCUUUCUUUCUCUUUGCGUGAUAAGCUUUGGAACCUUAAAACCUGCAACCCCAUUUAGCUCUCAGUACCUUUCUCCUUGCAUCACGAUAUCUUCCAGAGUAGCCUCAAGAGUCUUAACGCUUGGAUCACCACUCUAACUUCUUCUCCGAAUAGUGGAGUUGAGUCACGAGAGAUACACAUGUUCUUGCGCUCCCUCACUUAGGUGGAUUUCUAACUCUUAGUUGCUCUGAUCGUCGAAGCUCAUAGCAUUUGCGCGAAUAGGGAGGUUCUUGUCUUUACUUCUCCCCACAUUCUUUCCUUUUCCAUCCAAUCCUUGUUCGAGUGAACUAGUAUAGAGGCAUAUUUUCGAGUUCAUAUUGCAAGUCGUGGAGAAAAGAGAAGAGGCGAUGCAUUAAAGUUUGAGGAGAGUUCGUAUCUAAACCGUGCUGGCAGACAACCAGAGACCUUCGUAAUUUUUCUAAGAGGGCGUCUGCCCGGGUGUAUACAUGAAUCCGCAAACGACGAAGUAAGCGCCUAAAACAAGUCCUCGUCGAAAUAUCUCUCUUGCUGUUGAUUCUUAUCGCAACAAAGAAGAGUGCACACUUACGUCUAAAACACAUCCUGUGCAUGCACCCCUCGCAGUUGUUUGAGCAAGGGUUUCCACUUACUGAAAAAACCAGGCCUCGACCAACUAUAUACUAUAAUAGUACAUAGCAAUAUAUUAUAUGAUAAUUUAUUAUAAUAUUUUAAUACAAGUUUAUAUUAUUAUGUAAGAUUAUAGUACUGUAGUAUUUUUGUUAUAAUAUUUCAAUAUAAAAUAAUUAAUCUACCAUAAUAUAUGAUUUGUACAUAAUAAUUACAUAUAAUAACUGUANNNNNNNNNNNNNNNNNNNNNNNNNNNNNNNNNNNNNNNNNNNNNNNNNNNNNNNNNNNNNNNNNNNNNNNNNNNNNNNNNNNNNNNNNNNNNNNNNNNNNNNNNNNNNNNNNNNNNNNNNNNNNNNNNNNNNNNNNNNNNNNNNNNNNNNNNNNNNNNNNNNNNNNNNNNNNNNNNNNNNNNNNNNNNNNNNNNNNNNNNNNNNNNNNNNNNNNNNNNNNNNNNNNNNNNNNNNNNNNNNNNNNNNNNNNNNNNNNNNNNNNNNNNNNNNNNNNNNNNNNNNNNNNNNNNNNNNNNNNNNNNNNNNNNNNNNNNNNNNNNNNNNNNNNNNNNNNNNNNNNNNNNNNNNNNNNNNNNNNNNNNNNNNNNNNNNNNNNNNNNNNNNNNNNNNNNNNNNNNNNNNNNNNNNNNNNNNNNNNNNNNNNNNNNNNNNNNNNNNNNNNNNNNNNNNNNNNNNNNNNNNNNNNNNNNNNNNNNNNNNNNNNNNNNNNNNNNNNNNNNNNNNNNNNNNNNNNNNNNNNNNNNNNNNNNNNNNNNNNNNNNNNNNNNNNNNNNNNNNNNNNNNNNNNNNNNNNNNNNNNNNNNNNNNNNNNNNNNNNNNNNNNNNNNNNNNNNNNNNNNNNNNNNNNNNNNNNNNNNNNNNNNNNNNNNNNNNNNNNNNNNNNNNNNNNNNNNNNNNNNNNNNNNNNNNNNNNNNNNNNNNNNNNNNNNNNNNNNNNNNNNNNNNNNNNNNNNNNNNNNNNNNNNNNNNNNNNNNNNNNNNNNNNNNNNNNNNNNNNNNNNNNNAAUUAUUUUAUUUUUUAUGAAGACCAAAACAAACUAUUCUAAAAACACAAUUUAAAAGUUAACUCAUAAACUUUCUUUCUGGAAAUUAAAAAAGAGGGGAAUAAUAACUCAGAAGACAGGAAAAUUUCCGGGUAGAGGCGAAUUUUCGUAGAAAAGCAUGACACUUGCUUAGCCACGCAUGACCAUAGUUAGCAAGUCGUGGAAUAAUAAAAUAUCGGCAGACCAAAACAUAAGUAAUAAGUUUUAUUUCGAAAAGAAAAAUUGGUCAAAAAUAUGGAUCGCCAAAAAAUAAAGUUAUAGGAUCGUGAAUAUGUUUUAUAUUUGGUCCAACAAAACAUAGUGAAAAAAUUGGAUGUGUGAAGAUGAUACAAUAUAUGGAUAUGAUUUGCCACUAUUGUAUAGAUAUAUUAAAACUGUUAAACAAUAAUUUUAUAACCUUACUAGUGUCAUUAGAGAAAUAUUGGACAAUUUUUAGUUGAUACUUUCAAUAAAUCCAGCAAAAAUGUUUAUUUUAUUGUCACUACAUAAAACAUGUCAUAGAUUUAUUAGGAACAUAGAUUGUAGCAAUAACAACAAUGUUAAACACAAGAACUAAUUGGCAAAUACCAAGAAUUGUGAACUAAUGUAUAGGAUUAUUUUUCAAAGACAAAAAACAAAAAAGCCCUUAAUAAAGCGUUGGAGUUAACUAAAAGAAAACUCAAAGACCCAAAUAUGUAAAAUGUGGUCCAUUCAAAAUACUAUGUUAUCAACACCAAUGAUAUAAAAAAUAAAAUAUGAAAUUAAUCAAACUUCUCUAUGCAUAAAAAAAGCAACAAAAUUCUUAAACAAAUUUAAAUCUCGCACUGAACUCCUAGCUACUUAAAUCUUUGGUAUCAGUGAAUCUCUCUCUUGCUCUUUAUAAAGACGCUAUAGGUUUAAAGAAAAAAAGAAUAAACCUUUUUCAUUGCGUUGCUCUACCUAUUAUUUUGAGAUAUACGAUCAUUUUGAUCACUUGUUUUGAGGAAUAUUGCUUGUAUUUUUUUUGUACACUUUUUUAAGAAAACUAAUUGGUGAAAUUUUUGAUGGAAGUUAUUGUUAAAUCACGAUUUUUAAUUUGCUUCAACUGUUAACGUACUUAUCUUUAAAUCAAAGUUCAAUAGUAUUAGGUUAAUAAAGAAACAAAGGUAUAGCGAAAAAACAUGAUUUUUUGAAGAUCUUUUGAAAAAUUCGAAGUUUAAAAAACCAAAUAUUUUUUGAAAAAAUCGAGUCUUAAAUGAAACGUUUAUGCGCAUGACUGAGCCAGCCUCACGCUACCCAAGGCUUCUUAGAAUAAUCCCAGGCAUAAAGUGGCAAGCGAGUGUGUCUAACUCUCACAACCCUUGAUGACCGCACGUGCGUGCAAUGCAGUGAGCAAUUCGAUGUCGUCGUCGAGUGUAUCUCUACAUUCCCAGUAACGUUAUCUGUUUCUUUUUUUUCUUUUUUUUUUUUCCCGACAAGAUUACAAACUUUUAGUAAUCUAACUAGAUUAAAUCUAAUAUAGGAAACUCCAAGGAAUAGACCCCACCUUAGCCAAACUAUCAACUAUCCCAUUUUGCCUCCCUAUAAACAUAAUUGAAACGGAUUUUUUUAUUUUGAAAAAUGUCCAUGAUCUCCAUCCAAAUACUUUUCCUGUUUAUGGAGCCCUACUCACACUAUCGUACCAAUUUAUAACAUUGAGAGAGUCUCUCUCCACCAAACAAUAAAUUUCAUGACAUCUCUCUAAAACAAGUUCCACAAAACCACCAAUUAUUCUACCUUAUUAGCUGAAGCUAAACCACAUGAACCACAAUGGCAAAAGUACCCUUUGUUCUCGAAGGUUUAAAUAAGUUUUGGGUAAUGUAUUUGAUAAUCUGCUGGAAUUUUAAGGAAAUUUUAGGUACCUAUGUUUGCAUACAUUGUAUUCAUAAUAUAGAUAAAAUAAAUAUAUUAUAUAAACAUAUGAUAUAACGUAAAUAUAUUACAAUAUAAAUAUAUAAUAUAUACUACAUAAUAGAAAAUAUAUAAUAUAUAAUAUAAAAUAUAAAAUAUAAAAUAUAAAAUAUAUAAUAUAGAGUAUAUAAUAUAAUAUAAUAGUUAAUGAAUAUAUUUAUAAAUGUAUUAUAAUAUAAAUAAAUAUUAUAAUGUAAAUAUUCUAUAUUAUAAUAUUUAAUGUAUAAUAUAUAAAACAAUAUAAUAUAUAGUAUAAUGUAUUCUAUAUUUAUUUUACUAAUGUAUAUUUGUAUUAUAUAAUAUAUGCUGUAAUAUUUAUNNNNNNNNNNNNNNNNNNNNAUCUCUCUCUCUCUCUCUGUGUGUGUGUGUGUGUGUGUGUGAAAAAUGAUCUUAUGAGCCAAUGGGCUCACAAGAAAAAAUGGACCCAACGAUCCAGAUUGAAUCUUGGCUGAUCUGAUGAUCACGGAUAUCUGGUAGUGUUUGAAUUUUAAUUUUUUUUCUACAAAUCUAUAUCACUUGAAAUUUUAGGACGUCGAGAGACGCCCGAGGGCACUAAACCACCGCCAUUGUACUCAGGAUGUCGAGAAACCCUUGAGGACCAAAUUUGAGCUCAAUCGGACCUCCCUAGAGGGGCCUACACUCAAGUGGCCUUGCAACUCAUGAGUUUUACCAUAGCACGGUGUGACUUCACUAAACUAGUCCCGUAAACGGGGACUGCAACAAUGUUUUCUGGCAGCGACUUCGCCAACCUACAACACCUUUCUCUGAAACUAGAUGGAGCUCAAACAUUGUCAUGUUUUGGAUCACGCCAGCCCCAUCAUUUUGACUUAUGGGACACACUGGGGCGUGACCGAGAACCCUCAUACCUCUAAAGAGGAAAGUGACCGGAGAAACCAAGAAAAAACGGGGUCAACAAACUCUGGAUUCGGUGAAGCAUAACUCAAUGUCCAAGCCUUGGAUUAACGCGGGGAGGAGUUCAAUAGAAUCACCUCACAAAGAGCUACAUUCUGAUACAACUCUUGCAUUCAAUCUGUCGUUCGAUGAAAGCAAGUCCCCAAGUCGCCAAAGAAGCAAAUCCAGCCAGUUGUCGGAAUCCCUUUCUUCGGCAACCUUCCAAAUUAGUAAAAUACGAAAAUCGACACCAAAUCAGCCCAAAGUUGGCACAAAACAAUUGCAACAGCCUCCUCUCUGACUUGCAGGCAGAGCCAAGAGCUAAAACGACACAGCUCGAAGAUGCAUUGGUAAACAAAGUUCACAAAACUGGUAGGACUUUCAUCCAAGGGGAAAAGGCCACUACGACACGAUUAAAGGGCAUCAAAAUGCUCACAAUCGAGAUAAGAAAGAAGAUAUGUUACUGAAAUAGCUGAACAGUUGCAACAAAUUGCAAGAACAACUUCCUAGGUCAUCUCAUGGUGGAGCAACCUGCAUGCAGUGAUGGUCAUGUCAUUGGAGCAAAAGAUCAUAGGGGCAUUUUUGUCAUUUGUGCCUAAUUUUUGGGUUUAUUUUGAACUUCUUUAAUUGUAUUUAAGCUUGACUUUUGAGCAUCCACCAUCGUUUGGUGAAUCCUCUAUAAAAGCAAGCUUAACUCCGUUGUAAAAUACCCCCUUUUUGGAAGCUCCAAUACCCCUAAAGGCCGGGAAAAAUCGAGGCUAGAUUUUGCUUGUUAGCUUGUCUUUCUUUGUGAGCCCUUAGUCUCUGAGGGAGAGGAGAGGGAGAGAGAAAAAUUUCAGAGAAAAGGGAUACUCCUGAGUGCGCAGUCCCGAGGGCAACCAGGUCACCCUACAUCUCCUAAGAUGAGUCGUUCCUUAUCUCUCUUUCUCUCUUUCUCUCUCACCUCCUCGCACGCGACCCUACCCGCAAGGCAGCCCAUGUCCAUCCACAAACCCAUGAAUGUGAGGAAACCUACAGGCCUCAUCCCUCGAGUUUGUCUACGCCCCCCCUUUAGCAGUCAGCAGAUCCCUUCCAAAAGGGUGACUAAAGUGGAGGGACAUUCGGAUCCCACCCCGUUGUAAGCUUGAGUUGGGCUCCCAUCCAAACCAUGCUGACAAACAUCCGUAGCACUUUGUAAUUGCUCUAAGAGGGCCAUUUGCCCAGGCGUGUCCCCUAACCCCAAAAGUGGUGUAAGAGCAUGCGCGCUCCAGUCGUAAAUAUCUCUCUCACCGUCGGCUUCCUAUCCACUAGCAAGAGGGCUCGUGCAUGAGUCACGUGCCAGAUCUCUGCGGUUGUUCAAGAGAGGGUUUCCGCCUUCCCACCAGGAGGGAAACCAGGACCCCACUGACAUCAACUGACGACUCCACUAGGGACAUGUCACCUUAUCAUUGGCUCUAGCCGUCUCCAAGUAUCAACCUCUCUUUCUCCUCUUUUCACUUUUGCUAUGGGAUCUGCUUAUCACUCCUUUCUCCGGGUCGGGGGGUUCUACAUCCCCAUACCUAUGGCUAGUCAUGGGGAUGCUCGACAAUUUGGUCCUCCCUCCCUUGCGUGCCCUCUAUGCGGCCAUGCUGGCCCAGCCAUCCCCGCCUCGAUUAGGAAAGUUCGGGACACGUACCCUCAGGCCCCUCACCCCUCCUCUUUCGGCAUCGGGGGGGGGGGGUACCCCUUUAUGCCCACUGCGCGGGUGAAUAUAUUGUUGCCCCCUCACUAAAGCACCCUGUUGCUGAUGGACACCCCGUCAGCGGCACCCAAAAUGGCCCAUAUGCCACCACUCCUGCUCACUUGAUUGGUCCUAAUGGGACUAUCGUCAAUGUAGACAGUCGAAAGGCGACCCCUUUUGCAUCACAUAGGGGCGUCGUCAACACUGGUACCCCUACGCACAUACCACUAGUUAGGCGCCUCGAUCUUGCCCCCAGUGGUGGCACGUGCCACGGGUUUCAAGAGACCUCGGGACUUGAGACCGCUCUCUCAAGAAACUUGUUACAAAACAAGGGCAGGUACACCAACGAUGAGAGAGGAAUUUAGUGUGAGGUGGGACACACCUCACUUGGGUCCGUGACUCCCUCGAGCUAACUGCCUCGGGCGCCCUCUUAGAUCAUGUCCGAAAGCCCCCAGUCCUACAACUGGUUUGAACUCACCUCCCUUGACUUGUAGUCUCCUAUUUCUAUAAUCACACACACACGGUUAAUUUACAAGACAAACGGGCCGAGGGACCCCACCUUGUCUUUGGGCGAAGGCACACAAGCGUGUGCAUUCAAGGAAGAAAGGGAAGGAAUGAGAUGAAGAUUGGGGUGAUAAAAGGAGAAUGGAAAAAUAGAGUAAAGGGAAGAGAAUAAAAGAAAGAGAAAUCUAAGCAGGUGGUUAGACUGACAUAGUAGCUAGAACAGUAUAGUGAUUGACCUGGCGUGGUAGCAAGAUGGACACGGUAACUCAGACUGGAACGAUGAAAAUACUACUCAACAAUAAGACCAAUGUCGACCAGUCUGGAACAAUGGCUAACCUGUCAUGGCAGCAAGAAGGGCAUGGUAACUUAGACCGGCACGACGACAGUACUGCUCGAUGAAAGGACUACCAUGACAGUGCUAGUCUCAGCGUCCCUUAGUGAAACGCAAGAGGAAGAAAUGAAGAAGAUAGGAGGAGGAAAAGAGAAAAGAGAAGAGAGAAGAGACAAAAAAGAGAAGAGAGAAGAGACAGAAAAGAGUAGAGAGGAAGAGAGAAGGAGGAGAAAGAAAAGAGAGAUGAGAAAAAAAUAAGAUUGGUGGAAGAGAGAGAAAGAAAAGAGAGAUGAGAAAGAAGCGAGAUUGGAGGAAGAGAGAAAGAAGAGAGAGAAGAAAAGGAGAGAGAAAGAAGAAAGAGAGAGAAGNNNNNNNNNNNNNNNNNNNNNNNNNNNNNNNNNNNNNNNNNNNNNNNNNNNNNNNNNNNNNNNNNNNNNNNNNNNNNNNNNNNNNNNNNNNNNNNNNNNNNNNNNNNNNNNNNNNNNNNNNNNNNNNNNNNNNNNNNNNNNNNNNNNNNNNNNNNNNNNNNNNNNNNNNNNNNNNNNNNNNNNNNNNNNNNNNNNNNNNNNNNNNNNNNNNNNNNNNNNNNNNNNNNNNNNNNNNNNNNNNNNNNNNNNNNNNNNNNNNNNNNNNNNNNNNNNNNNNNNNNNNNNNNNNNNNNNNNNNNNNNNNNNNNNNNNNNNNNNNNNNNNNNNNNNNNNNNNNNNNNNNNNNNNNNNNNNNNNNNNNNNNNNNNNNNNNNNNNNNNNNNNNNNNNNNNNNNNNNNNNNNNNNNNNNNNNNNNNNNNNNNNNNNNNNNNNNNNNNNNNNNNNNNNNNNNNNNNNNNNNNNNNNNNNNNNNNNNNNNNNNNNNNNNNNNNNNNNNNNNNNNNNNNNNNNNNNNNNNNNNNNNNNNNNNNNNNNNNNNNNNNNNNNNNNNNNNNNNNNNNNNNNNNNNNNNNNNNNNNNNNNNNNNNNNNNNNNNNNNNNNNNNNNNNNNNNNNNNNNAGAGAGAAGAGAGAGAGAAGAAGAGAGAGANAAGAAAGAGAGAGGAGGAAAGAAGAAAGAGAAGGAAGAAGAAAGAAGGGUAAGAAGCAUGGAUGGCGAUGGGGUUUUGCCAUCCAUGACAGAGGAGAGAGAAGAAAAGCAGAAGCAUGGAUGGCGAUGGGUCCUGCCGUCCAUGGCAGAGGAGAGAGAGGAUAAGAAAAAACAUGGAGGGCGAUAGGUUCCGCCAUCCAUGACAAGAAAGAGAGAGAGAGAAUGUGGAUAGCGAUAGGUCCCGCCGUCCAUGACGAGAGAGAAAGAGUAAACAUGGACGGCGAUAGGCCCCACCAUCCAUGACAGGAGAGAGAGAAAGAGAGAACAUGGACAGUGAUAGGUUCUACCGUCCAUGACGAGAGAGACAAAGACAAAACAUGGACGGCGAUAGGUCCCGCCAUCCAUGAUAGGAGAGAGAAAGAGAGAACAUGAACGACGAUAGGUUCCACCGUCCAUGACGAGAGGAAGAAGGAAAGAGAAAAAAUAGACGGCGUUUGGUUUUACUGUCCAUGACGAGAGAGAAAGAGUCAGGAGAGAGAAAAGAAAAGACACGCAUGGCGAUAGGCAUUGCCUGUGUGUCGAUAAGGACCCUGACAUGACCCAGCCUGCCACUAGGGAAAGGGCCCAAUUCAAUGUCAUUGUUAGGGAAUAGGGGAAGAAAUGUCGCGCACGACAAUCGACAUCGCCGUGUAAGACAGAAGAGAGAAGGAACUCAAAUAAAGGCCCGGCUCACUAUGCAUGUUCCAGAGAUAAGAAAAGAUGGUGGACGUCAUGCUCGAUGAUGGGCAUCAUCGUGCAUGACAAAAGGGAGAAGGAACUCAAACAGAGGCCCAGCCUGCCACUCAGGUUAAGGCUCGACUCCCUGUGUAUGUUCUAAAGAUAAAAAAAGAAUGUGAAUGUCAUGCUCAAUGAUGGGCAUCACCGUACAUGACUGGAGAGGAGAGAGAACAGAAAGAAUAAAGAGAAAGAAGGAAUGAUAGAGAAGAGAGAGAAAGAGAGAUAGAGAAGAGGACAUGGAAAGAAGAAGAUUGAGAAAGAGAGAGGAUGGGAGAAGAAAGAGAAGAGAGAGAAAAGAAGAAAGUAGGGAAAGAGAGACAUGCACGAUAAUGCUUACUGCCAUGUAUGAUGAGAGUGAAGAGAGAGGCAGAAAGAAGAAGAGAGAGAAAGACAUAAGAAGAGAGAGAAAGGACGCACAGAGAUGGUUACUGUCGUGUGUGUUUGAGGCAAGGAGCAGAGAGAAGAAAAAGAAGAGAGAGAAACAAAGAAGAGUAAAGAGAAGAGAUGAAUAAGAGAGAGAAAAGAAGAGGAGAGAGAAAGUUACCUUCACUGUGGGGAACUAGCCUUUUCUUCUCUCUCCUCUCUCUCUCUCUUGGACGUGCCCACAAUUUCAAUGGAAAACUCUCAAAUCUUAUUCAUGAGAUUGAAGCCUUUUACAAAUAGGUUUAGCAUGUAUUUAUAGACUUGGGCCCAAAACAUGGGUGGAUGCCCAAAACCUGACAUAAUUGAUGAUAAUUAAAAUUUAUUUGAAUUACUAUAAAAUCUAAAAAUAGGGGAAAAAUGACAGUUUUGCCCCUUUUCAACAAUUCACAAAAUUCCAAAAUAGUCCCUGUUGCUGCCCUAGAAUGUGUGUGAUUUUCUAUGGAUGAUUCUAGGUUGCUCCGAAACCCAUUUACUUUCUCAUUGGGCUCGGUGUAUUUGGUACCAACUUCGAGCCACGAUCGUGUGACUUGAAGUUUGUAUGAAUCUUGAAAACUUCUGUUCGAUAGUGCGCUCGUUUCAUGAUGUAUUUCUUUUAUUUUUUUGCUGAAUUGCACUGAGCAUGCUGUCAUGAUUGCGUUGCAACAAACGCAGCUCGAUUUUGUGCCCGGGUGAAGAUUUUGCCAUCUUGGGUUUUUGGUCGGAUCUUGAAUUUCGGCGGCAGGAAUUUACAGUAACUUUAUCAGCUUUGCACGUGAAACCCAAUCAUUCAUCAUGUGCGAGGUUUGGCCUUGAUGUAGCCUCAGACAUUAAGCAUGCAAUGGAACUGGUCUCGCGUUGAUCCGUUGUACGAGCGCCGUGACACGACUGCUUGAGCGAGACGCAUCGCUGCUAAAUUUCUUGCAACUUUUGCCACGAAUUGUCAUCUUUUCUCUAGAUUUUUUCCCUGCUCGGGUAUCGUCAUGGGCCGUGCCAUAUAUCAAGACGCUCGUCUUGACAAGACGAACGUACUUGCAAACUUUGAGCACCAUCCGACUCAAAUCUAGUAAGAUAUGAAUCUCCAAAGUUGUUGCUCACGACUGUGCAAUCCUGUCUCCUUCAAUGGAGAUUGGUGUAGGGAGGCUGCACGGGAAUAGCAAGUGGCCGACCUCUUUUUAAUGUUUUACCCAUAACUUUGUCUUGAAAUGUCUAUUUAGGCCGAAAAUUGAUCCCUAUGGGUUUUUGACCUUGUCAGAUCCAAUGGCGAUAGUCCCACAACCAUUUGAUGCACUAAAAAUAGUAUUCUAGUUAUGGGGUCCAUUUCAGGGUGCUAAAGGUAGAUUUUUUUGAAAUUUUUUCUUUGUCUGCACUGCCUUAGAUAUGUCGGAUUGCGAUGAAACUUGACAGGUGGCCUUUUGAAGUCUUUAGGAACAUCUUCACCCAUUCUGGAGCAAUUCUGAGACCGUCAGGAAUUCAACUGUAAGUAGGGCUUUAUUGAUCGACUUCUCUUUUAUUCUGCAUCGAGGACUCAAGGUGCUGAAGAAUGUGUUCAAACAGCUUACCUGGCCGGUUGUUGUGCUUCGAUAGAAACGAGAAGGACAACAUUCAAAAAAUUUCCUCGGCUUUAUUAUUUUUUCUUCCUAACCACAGGACCACGUGAACACCGAGGAGAUAUCCACGCAUUGUUGUAACUAGGAUGCUCAGACGUUUGGAUGCAUUUGUCGCAGGUCUUUGCAUGGAGACUUUGGGGGAGAAGAGACUUGAGCUACUGGUUGGGGACAUCUCAUUGAAUGCCCAUCAUCCACGUCAGGAGCCCUUGUUUUUGUUGCUGGUGGGGGACAUCUCAUGGAAUGCCCAUCAUCCAUGCCAGGAGCUCUUCUUGGGUUCCGAUAGCUGGGGCUUUCAAAAGCUUGUAGACCCAGUUGGUCAGAAUCUAAGCAUGUUUGGCAGUUGGGUGCCUUGCUUAAGGGAUUUUGUAAGGACCACAAAUUGUUUUUCCCCUAGUCCAGUGACGCGCACAACAAGGGAGAGUGAGACAGAGGCCUAGCGCAGUUUUGAGCAACACCCGCUUUGUAAGAGAAGAGGUAGCGCCGACUGUGUAAGGGAAACGUAGUGCUGGCUGUGUAAGGAAAACCCAGCAUUGGCUAUGUUAGAGAAGAGGUAACACCGGCUGUGUAAACGAAACCCAGCGCCGGCUGUGUAAGAUAAGAGGUAGUACCGGCUGUGUAAAGGAAACCCAGUGCAGACUGUGUAAGAAAAGAGAUAGCACCGGCUGUGUAAGGGAGACGCAGCACUGGCUGUGUAAAAGACCCAUCACCGUCUAUGGAUUCAGGACCUAGCACCGACUGAGAAAGAGAGAGAGAGAAGAGCUUUACCAUGCAUGCGAGAGGCAACGCCGCGCAUGGAGGGUCAGCACCGGCUGUGUAAGUAAGCAUCACUGGCUAUGGCAAGGGGCAUCAUCGCAAGUGAAACUUGAGCAUUGCCUUGUGUGUUUGGUCAAAUCGUAUAGCUGUCACCUGUCAGCGCCGCUCCAUACGUGUCAGAGCCACGUGCGAUUGCGUCAACUACAGUGUUUUCCAACCACCCUCUCUUUUUUAAGCCUUUUGCUCCCUUGGGCAGCACCGUCUCACCAACUUUCUCAACUUUUCUUGAAGUUCACUGCUGCUCCUUGAAGACAGCCCACUGGUGGCGUUAAGAAAAGCCCGUGAAGGUAGUGAGUGGGGAUUUGAGAUACCGUGGGAGUUUAAGGUAAGUGGGUUUAGUUUCUAUGCAUCCAUGGUUUUUGGAAAGAACAAAUAUUUAGAAUGGGUAAGAUGAUAGAAUGAAAAUGCAAAGUGAAAAUGAGAAGUAUGAACGGGUUAAGAUGAGGUUGAAAUUUCAGAUUUGUACUUCUAAAUGCUAUGACUGUUCUUACCACAUCUAUGAUUUGUUAAUCGUGUAAACUCAUGAAAUUGAUCACUGUGAGACUCCUUAUCAUGAACAAGGCUCCAAGCCCAAAGUGUAGCUGGGCCAGGAAAUAUUAAGUGUUCCUUAAAAGCAUGUUAACUUGAGAAUAAUAAUUUUUAGAACUUUGAUUGUUUUUGUAUCAAAAUGGUCGAUGGCCAAAUGGCAUCCAAAUGGGACCAAAUAGGUUUCAAUUGAAAGACAUAUAUGUCUACUCCAAGUUUCCUUUUAUAUCAUGAGAAAUUAUGUAUGGACCAAAAGAUGUGGUAUUAGAUGUCGAGCUCGCAGUCGCUGCUAAUUCCAGCAGCCAUGGCCCCCUUUUGGCCGUGGUUUUGACCUAGGAAAUGGUGUCAAAAAACCUUUAAAUUGCCACCAUUGGAAAGGUCUAUGAAUGUACUCAAAUUUACAUGUUUUGAGGUUUUUGAAAUUCCCCAUGGAUUUUGAAUUAUGCCUGAGAUGCACGAACAUAGCACCGCACACUGUUGCGGAGUAAAUUUCCAGCAACUAAUGCUCACCUUGCACUGAGCUAUAGAUCCAUCGAAUGACACCCAAAUUCUUUCAAAUUACAGUCUUUGUAAUGAUUUGGGGCGAAGCUCAAAGUCUUAUGUUUGAGAGAUUCUGAAACUCCCUCUAGAUUGGGAGCUACGCCCUCGCAAGAGGGGCAUGUCACUGCACCAGUUUUAUAUCCAUGCGACACUAAGCUUUCUUGAUAUGUGAUAAAUGUGAAUACCAUAUGAUGAAUUUCAUGUGAAUGCCAUAAAGGUAUGUGAAUGACGUCUUAUGACUGCACUAUAUGAGAAAAAGGGGCCACGGGCACAAUAGUGACGAAAUGAAUUCAUAAUGACUGCCAAAUUCUGCUGCGAAGGCUUAAGUGUAAAUGCCCCUUGAAAGCAUAUGGGAUAAACAUAUUUUGCUAACUUCUAUGAUGUUAUGAUGAAAUAAGAUUCAUCUGUAUGAGACAUUCACUGAUGUGAAUAAAUUGAAUGCUUGAACACAAUGAAUGGCCACUGUUUAUAUUGAUAUUGACCACUACGUGGUGGGACACUCAUCGGUAGUAGAUACUGUUAUGACAUUAUGAUGAAUGACCACUGUUUAUAUUAAUAUUGACCACUACGCAGUGGGACACUCACCGAUAGUGGAUACUGUUAUGACAUUGUGAUAAAUGACCACUGUUUAUAUUAAUAUUGACCAUUACGUGGUGGGACACUCACCAGUAGUGGAUAUUGUAAUGAUAUCGUCUGCUACGCAAUGGGACACUCAUCGGUAGUAAGGAAAGUGACGCCGGCAUAUCCCCUAACCUGCAUAAUAAUAGGAACGGGUUAAGGGAGAGGAUAGAGGGUUGCACCCUAGAUUCAUGAAAUGAAAUUGAAAUGAUUGAUGCCUUGCAAGGUAAGGGCCUAUCGAACCCCCAAUACGCGCUAGCGACUGUGUGAGUGUGUUAAGCGUAUUACGAAGUGGAUUACCCCACUUCUCAUUACCCUCCCUCCUGUAGGAUGGUAGAGGUCUUAAGCAAUGGGAUUGGCUUAGCCUAAUGGAUAGGGCCUCUACUGCGAGAGUAGGUGAUUUAGGGAGUGAGUGGGUAAUGAUUGAAUUUUUUAUUAAGGAAUGUUUGGGAGUGCACUGAUUGAAUGUAAAUGAUUUCGCUGAUUGAAUGCUCAUGAUCUCACUGAUUUAGUGAUAACUGUUAUUUAAAUGAAAUGUUCAUACUUGUUGUCUCGAUCUAAUAUUCAUAUGUGCUAAACUAUGAUUUUAUAUUGAUGGAUCGAACUGUUAUCACACACAGAUAAAAUCACUAUAGAUGCAUAACACUAGAUCUACUUAUUGGGCUGUACAACUCAUUCCAUUAUUUCUCCUUUCCUUGUAGAUUGAUAGCGACAUGUUAAGGGCUUGGAACUCGUGUUUUGUGGAGGGAAGUUGAAGGAAUCGAUGCCAACCCAGUCUACCCCUACACCAGAGCAGAAUGACAGUAGCCUCAUGGAGAGGUUUAGGAGAAUGGUACCCCCAACCUUUUUGGAGCUUGGAGGGGUGGAGAAGGCUAAGAGGUGGAAGAAACAAAUGGAGAAUAUUUUAGAGGUGUUACACUGGUCAGGCUAGGGGCCUUUAUGCUGGAAGGGGAAGCAAAGUACUGGUGGGACUCGGUGAAGCAAACUUGGAGGGAGAUAGGGACCGAGUUCACUUGGUAAAACUUCUUGGCAUCAUUUGAUAAGAAGUACUUCCCCGACUCAGUCAAGGAAGGAAGUGGAAUUUAUUGAACUCCAACAAGGGGGUAUGACAGAUGAACAAUACGCCGCCCGGUUUGUAGAGCUCUCUUGGUAUGCGCCCCACAUCAUAAAUACCGAGGCACGAAAGGCGGCUAAAUUUGAAAGGGACUUACGACCGGAUAUCAGGAGUAGACUAAUGUUGGCCAAUAUAAAGUCGUACGUCCUGAUGGUAGACCAUGCCCUGAAGAUGGAAAAAGACUGCGAGGAUCGCAUGUUAAGGAAGGAAGGAAAAAUGAAAGCAGUUCUGUUGGGGAAGUUUGAGAAGAAAUCCCGGCAGUUUUUGAGGAGAAAAGCUAGAGGGAAGUCCUACCGACCUAACCCGAGGAUCCCUAAGAGUCUUCAAGGCAAUAUGGAUAUUGACCGACGCCUGAUUCGCACUUAUUGUGGGAGAAACAACCACACUGUCGUGGAAUGCUACUGAAAGAAAAAUGUAUGUUUGAAAUGUGGCAAGCCUGGCCACUGGAAGAAGGACAGCCCUAUGAUGAAGGCCGAGGAUUGCCCAAAGACCCAAGGACAAGUGUUCACACUCACUAAACAAGAGGCCAAGGCAUCCACCUCGGUGAUCAGAGGUAUGCUCUCAACUUGUGAUGUUAAUGCUAAAGUUUUAAUUGACCCUGGUUCCUCUCAGUCAUUUGUUGCACCCCAUUUUCCCUGUUACAUGAAUGUUGCACCUGCAUAUCUCAACUAUACUUUAGUAGCAUGCACGCUUCUGGGAGGCUCUAUAGAAGCUGAUAGAGUAUAUAGGCAGUGUAGGCUUACGAUCGAUGGGUGCGACCUACUUGUGGAACUAAUCCACUUAGAUAUUCAAGACUUUGAUGUGAUUCUAGGCAUUGAUUGGUUGUUUACACACCAUGCCACCGUCAACUACCAUGAAAAGACGGUAACCUUUAAAUAUCUCGAUCAAGCAGAAAUAUACUUUAGGGGCAUUAGGGACAAUUCCCCACUACACCUCAUCUCUGCCCUCCGAGCCUCUUGCCUUCUGGCUAAGAAGUGUGAAGGGUACCUAGCUUAUGUGGUUGAGAAUCGGGGUGUUCAGACCCUCUUAGAAGGAAUACUAGUAGUAGAAGAAUACUCGAACGUGUUUCCAGAGGAGUUGUCAUCCCUACCUCCAGAAAGAGAAAUUGAAUUUGAGAUAUACGUAGUAUUUGAAACUGCUCCCAUCUCCAAAGCUGAAUUAAAUGAAAUUAGAAAAUAGGGUACAAAAUGACAGAUUUGCCCCUUUUAACAAUUUGUAGAAUUUCAAAACAGUCCAUGUACUGCCCUAGAACAUGCGUGAUUUUUCAUAAAUGAUCCGGGUUAUUCUGAUACCCGUUUGAUCGAAAGAUGAGUGUUUUCUUGUAGGGCUCGGCAUGGUGAUCGAUUCGAUACGAACUUCGAGCCAUGGAUCAUGUUUUUAGGGCACGAUCAUGCGUCUUGAAAUUUGGAUGAAUCUUGAAACUUUAGAUUGAUAGUGUGCUCGUUCUUUGAUGUUUUUCUCUGAUUUCUUUACUGGAUCAAACUGAGCAUGCCGUCACGAUUGCGUGGUAACAAACGUGGCUCGAUUCAGUGUCCGGAUGAAGAUUUUGCAACUUUAGAGUUUUGGCUUAAAUCUAUAAUUCCAGUGCCAGAAUUUACGGUCACUUCAUCUGUUUCGUGUACAGAAUCUAACCGUUCAUCAUGUAUGGAGUUCAGACUAGAGAUAUCCCUAGACCUUACGCACACGAUGGAACUGGUUUCGUGUCGAUCGCGUUCGUAAGCGGUGUGAUUUGGCCGCUCGAAUGAGGUGCAAUGCUGCUGAUUCUUCUGCAACUUUCUUCAGGGAUCAACAACUUCUCUCUAGGUUUUCUUCAUGCUCGGGCGUCGUCACGUGGCGUACCACAUAUAUUGAGACGCUCGUCUCGAUGAGACGAACAUGCUCUAUCAUGUUUGAGAGUGAAAGGUAAGAAGUGAGCAGCUUACAAUUUCUCUGAUGUACAACUGGGCCAACUUAUCUAGAGUAUAAGUCUUGCGAACUGGUAAGAAGUGAGCAGCUUUGGUUAAUCAGUCCACCAUGACCCAGAUACUAUCAUGUCCUGCACUUGAUUUUGGUAUUCCAGAAAAAAAUCCAUCGUGCUGUGCUCCCAUUUCCACUCUGGUAUGGGUAGGGGCCGUAGUAGUCCAACAAGUUUCUGAUGUUCUGCCUUCACCUGGUGAUACGUCAAACACUUAGCAGCAAAAUGUGCUACAUCUCGCUUCAUGUUGUGCCACCAAAAGGUCUUUUUUAAAUCUUGGUACAUCUUCGUACUCCUUGGGUGUCCUAUGUGGCGAGAGCGGUGUGCUUUCUUUAGGACUACCCUUUUCAUUUUAUUGUCAGUAGAAACACACACUUGGUCCUUAAACCUUAACAAGUCAUCACUGCUCACAAAGAAAUUUUCUUUUCCUUCCAUUUUUAGUUCUUCAAGGAUUUUCAUUAGCUGGGGAUCUCGUUUUUGAGCUGCUCGGAUCCGUUGAAGGAGUUAGAGUUCCAUCCUUAAACACAACAGUAUUCCUUCCUUCUCACUACUGGGAUGGGUGCCACACCACCACUUCCUCUAAUAGCUUCAUUUCUCGAACCACCAAAUGUGCCACACAGACCCCAGCUUUUGACUUAAAGCGUCGGCUACUACAUUAGUCUUACCUGGUUGAUAAUCAAUAGUACAUUCAUAAUCAUUCAAUAAGUCCAUCCAUCUUCUUUGCCUCAUAUUCAAAUCUUUCUGGGAAAAUAGGUACUUCAGGCUCUUGUGGUCCAUGAACACGUUAAACUAGGCCCCAUAGAGGUAGUGCUUUCAGAUAUUUAACGCGAACACUACUGUCGCGAGCUCCAAGUCGUGAGUUGGAUAGUUUUGCUCAUAUGGUUUUAGUUGUCUGGAGUCAUAAGCACUGACUUUAUCCCUCUGCAUGAGUUCACAUCUGAGCCCUUUAUGGGAUGCAUCGUUGUAAACCACAAAGUCUCCAUUCCCCUCGAGCAAGGCCAGUAUCAAGGUUAUGACUAGUCUCGUCUUAAAUUUCAGAAAACUCUUCUCACACUCCUCUGACCACAUAAAUUUUGCAAUCUUCUGAGUCAAUCGAGUCAAGGGAAGCGCAAUCUUUGAGAUCCCUUUACAAAGCGCCUAUAGUACCCUGUCAAUCCCAACAAGCUACGAACCUCUGUCACAGUGGUUGGCCUUUCCCACUUAGGUACGGCUUUGAUCUUAGAGGGGUCGACAGUAAUUCCAUCCUUACAAAUAAUGUGUCCAAGGAAGGCCGCACUGGGGAGCUAAGAUUCGUUCUUGCUCAACUUAGCAUACAAUCUUCCUGACUUCAAAGUUUGCAAAACAAUUCUUAGAUGUUGGUCGUUUAAUUCCCGACUCUUAGAAUAUACCAAGAUAUCAUCGAUAAAAACCACUACAAAGUCAUCUAGGAAGGGUCUAAACACCCUAUUCAUCAAAUCCUUGAACACAGCGGCGGCACUGGUUAACCCGAACGGCAUCACAAGAAACUCAUAGUGACCGUAUCGAGUUCUGAAAGCAGUCUUUUGAAUGUCUCCCUCCUUGACCCUCAAUUGAUGGUAACCCGAUUGGAGGUCAAUCUUCGGAAACACUUGGGCACCUUGGAGCUAGUCAAAGAGGUCGUCAAUCCUUGGUAAAGGGUACUUAUAUUUCACCGUCACUUGGUUCAACUUUCUAUAGUGAAUGCAUAAUCUCAAGGGCCCAUCCUUUUUCUUCACAAACAAGAUCGCUGCACCCAAGGGCGACACACCACGUCAAAUGAAUCCCUUAUCAAAUAAUUCCUGCAACUGCUCUUUUAACUCUUUAAAUUCCAUUAGAGAUCUUAAUUUUUGACAAUUAGGUUUAAUUUUGAUCAAUCCACCCAUAUUUGGGCACAAUUCUAUAUAUACCACGUACUACCAUUGUAUGCUGACCCUUCAUUCAUUCACCAAGGAGAACUUUUCUUAAUAAAAUUAUUCUCUUCUCAAUAUUGGGUCACUUUUGGAAAGAGAGAGAGAGAGAGGAGAGAGAAACUUUUGGAUCGAUAUCCUUACGCUCAAGGUAAAUCAUCUCUCUCUUUCAUUUUUUUUCUUCUUCGUCUGAGCAUCUCUCAGAGGCCAUGCAAGAUAGUGGUGGUGCCGUGCAUGCCUCUUUCCUUCUUCCCUCCUUGUGGUUUCACAGGUUGCGCAUGGCGAUGGUAGCGCCAUGCGUAAGCUCCUUUCUUCUUCCUUUUCGUUCAUCUCUAUCUCUCAGCGUCGUUUGCAGACGGCACUGAUCAUCACCGUCCGCAAAUGUAUUCCUGACACCUUAGUGAGGAACACAGACGACAAAGCCCAUUGCCACACGCAGGGAUCUCAUCCUGUUGCACGCUUAUCGCAGACGGCGAUGCCUAUCGCAGACAGCAAUGCUUAUCGCCGCUCGUGAAGGGUUGUGACAAUACCUAUCGCAGUGUGCGAGCUCCUCACUUGCGCCCUUUGUUUAUCGCAGACAAUGAUGCCUAUCGCCAUCCGCGAGCUCCCUACGUGCCCUCGGUGACUAUCACCGUCCGCAUGCUUUCUUCGUGCGCACAGUGCCUAUUGCAGUCUGUGAGCUUUCUUUGUGCAGUUGGUGCCUAUCACCGUCUGCGAGCUUCCUCCGUGUGCUUGGUGCCAAUCGUCGUGCACAGGGUCCUAUCUGCAUCCCACACCUAUCAUCGCGUUCUUCAAAAAGAACUAUCUCUGCGCGCAUGACAAAUGGCUAUAGUAUGCUUCACAAGAGGCUAUCGUCGCUCGCGUAGGGUUGUGCUGCCUUCUCAUGUUGCCAACGGUGAUGCCCAGCGCCGCUGAUAGUUCACCAUUCACCCUCUAACGGUGAGUAGUAGUGUCGAGUGCCAUCCAAAGGCCGCGACACUGCUACUCUAUGGUUGUCGGUGGCAACACGGCGCUACCCAUCUCUCCACUGCCUCGCACCUUCUCUUCAUUCUCUCUUCUUCUCACUUGAUUGAGGGUUGACUUAGUCUAGCAUCGCCUUAGCGGUUUGAUUGUCGAGCAGUAUUGCUGCCAUAUUGGUCCCGAGUGUCAUGCCUGUCUUGCUGUCAUACCAGAUUAGGACAGUCCUAUCGGUCUUGGUUUCGAGUAGUAUUGCCGUCGCGCUAGUCCUGAGGACCAUGCUUGUCUUACUACCACUUCGAGUCAGUCACUGUUCAGCUAUCAUGCUAGUCUCGUCCCUUCAUCAAGUUCCUUUCAGUCUCGUCCCUUCAUCAAGUUCCUUUCUCUUUUCUAUCCUUAUUUGAACCUUCCACUUCAUCACCCUCUCAUAUGAACGUACAUUGCCCUAAGACAAGGGUGGGUCCCUUUGGCCCACUUGUCUUGAAAAUUAACCAUGUUAGUGUUGUGCAGAAACCAAGGUGAUCGCAGGUCAAGGGAGGUGAUUCUGAACCCGCUAAAGCAGUUGGGGGGAUUUCUUCGUGAUCUAAGAGGGCACCCACACGAGCCAGCCUGAGUAAAUCCCAAACCCACCAUAAAUUCCUCUCUCAUUAGUUGGUCCACCUACCCUUGUUUUUGAAUAAGGUUCCUGAGACAACAAUCUCAAAUCCUAGAUUCUCCUGAAACUCGAGAUACGUGCUGCCAAAUCAUCUAGAUUCGGAGGGCAAGAUCGAGGCACGUAACUCGCGUUCCCUUAUUCAGGUACACACCAUGCCUGUUAUUCCUCUUUUUUUGUAUCUUUUUUUUGUAAAGGCUUGUUUAGGGUCAUGCCUUCGGAACUUGUGCGAAGCUUUUUAACAUCAUGCGGUCAGGACGUACACUAUAGUUUACGGUCAUACAGCUGGACCAUGGUAGCGAUGAAUGGCAAUAUGUGGAGGCCAUGGAGUGAGUUUGGUAGUGGUUUGACUCACUUUGAGGGGAAGGCACGAGGCUGCCUGUGAAAGACGGAUGGUGUUGGUAUGCAAGGUGGAUUUGCAAGGUGGAUUGUGGUAACCCACUUGCUCAUGACGAGUAUGGAUAGUGGGAUGGCUCACCAUUUGUGAGCACAGGUGAGAUUCACUAGGGAAUGAUGGAGGGUAAUGAAGUGAAUGGGUUCACUAGGGAGUUGAUGAAGGUGGUGUGCGUACACGAAUGGGUGGGUCAGUUAGGGAAGGCAUGCAUGAAGACGCAUGAAAAGGGCAUGUGCGCGUGUGUGGGGGCGUAUUUAAGGUCAUGCCUCCUGAACCUUAGUGUUUGAAAAUAUUUUUCAGCACCUUGGUCCCUAAUAUAGAAUAAAGAGGAAGCUGGUCAAUAAAGCUUGAAUUACAGUAGAAUUCUCAAUAGUCUCCGAAUUGCCCCAUAACAGGUGAAAAUAUUCAUAAGGACUUCAAAAGGCCACUUGCCAGGUUUCGUCGCAAUCUGACAUGUCUAAAGUAGUACAGACAAAGAAACAAUUUUUAGAAAAUCAGGCUCUAGCACCCUGAAACGAAUCCCGUAACUAGAACUCUAUUCUCGUUGUGUCAAAUUGUUGUAGAAUCACUGCUAUUGGAUCCGACACGGUCGAAAAUCCCUAUGGGUCAACUUUUGGCUUAAUCGGGAGCUCCAAGACAAAGUUAUGGGUAAAAGGCCGAAAAUGGGUAGGCUGCACACUAUUCCCAUGCACCCUCCUUGCACCAAAUCACCAUUAAUGGUGACUGUGUUUACAGUAUCGAGCAUUAACUUUCGGGAGCUAUAUCUCACCCGUUCCUAGUCGGAUCGGGCUCAAAUUUUGUGAGCUUAUUCGUCUCGUCAAGACGAGCAUUUCAAUAUGUGGCAUGCCCCGUGAUGAUACCUGAAUAAGGAGAAAAGCUAGAGUGAAGUUGCCGAUUUGAGAAAAAAGUUGAGGGAAAAUCAGCAACGACACACCUCGCUUGAGCGGCCAAAUCAUGGCGCUUGCAUAACGGAUUGACACGAGACAAGUUCCAUCGCAUGCGUAAGGUUUGAAGCUAUCCUUGGUCUGAACUUUGUAUGUGAUGAACGGUCGGAUUUCACACACAAAGUUGUCAAAGCUACUGUAAAUUCUGGCCAUCAAAAUUCAGAUUCCGGCCAAAACCUCAAUGAUGUGAAGUCUUCAUCUGAGCAUGAAAUCGAGCUGCGUUUGUUGCCAUGCGAUCGUGACGGCAUGCUUAGUAUAAUAUAACUAAGCAUUCCUGGAAAAACAUCAAGAAAUGAGUGCACUAUAUAUCGAAAGUUUCCAAGAUUCAUGCAAAUUUCAAGUCGCAUGAUUGUGGUUUUAAAACAAGAUUCGUGGCUAAAAAACGAGAUUCGUGGCUCGAAGUUGUUAUCAAAUCGAUCACAAUUAGGUUAGUUUUUGGGAAUCCACCCAUGUUUGGGCAAAAGUCUAUAUAUAUCGCGUGAUAUCAUUGUACAAGGAACCCCACUUUGCUUAAUAAAAUUUCAAAUUUUCUUCAUUGUUGAGUCACAUCUUGGGGGAGUGAGGAAAGAGAGAGAAAGUUUUCGGUUGGUACCGCCGAACUUAGCAUAAAUCUCUUUCUCUCUCUUCUUUUUCUCUCUCUUUCUCACUCCUCUCUCUUUAUCUCUCUUUCUGUCUCAUCUUUCACAAGUGGUGUAAGCCUAUCGUUGUUUGUGUUUCACUCUUUCUUCCUCUCUUCUUUUCUCUUUCCCUCUCUGUGGUCCCUCAUGACCACCCUUCCCUUCUAUCUCCUAGUGGUCCCUCAGGUCCACCUAUCUUCUUAUUCUUUUUGCUGUGCUACCUACACGUCCACCUACUCCCUGUGUACCGUCAAGUCCACCUCCCCUUUCUUUCUCUGGUAGUCCCUCACGUUCGCCUUCCUUUCUCUUCUUUUUUUUUGUACCUUCACAUCACUCCCUUUUUGUGUACCCUUGCGUUCUAUUCUUCCCUCUCACGAGCUGUGGUCCCAUGCGACCACCAUUCCAAAACCUUUCUUUCCAAUUGCCGUUUGCAACCAUCGUUCUUAUUGCCGCCUGUACUAACAAACCUUAACGUCGCUUGUGCUAACAAACCUUAACGCCCUGUGCUAACAUACCUUAUCGCUGUCUGUGUUACCCAUCUUCCUAUCGUCGCUGUGUAACCCAUCUUCCUAUCGCCGUCUGUACAACCUUUCUCCCUAUGGCCGUCUGUGCAACCCAUCUUCCUAUCGCUGUCUGUGCAACCCAUCUUCUUAUCGUAGCCUGUGAACGUAACCCCAUCGCCGUGUGCGAACACAAACCUUUCUCCCUAGCGCCGUCUGUGCAACCCAUCUUCCUAUCGCCGUCUGUGCAACUCAUCUUCUUAUCAUAGCCUGUGAACGUAACCCCAUCGCCGUGUGCGAACACAACCUCAUCGCCGUGCGCCUCUUCUUCCUUUUCCUCAACCUACUGCUGAGCAUGCGCACCACCAUUACCGUGCAUUACCAUUUUCUCCUCCACCCUGCCUCCGUUGUUCCUCUCUUCACCCUUCCUUUACCUCUGUUGCAAACAUCUAUAUUGCAAUUUCCACCUUCUUCCUACACCCAAAACUCAUCCUCCAUCUUCUUCUCUACUCCAACGAGGAGCCAACCACACCAGCCACCCUGUUGCGCAACCAUCUCACGACCUCACAACCAGCAGCCAACCACACCAGCCACCCAAUUGCGACCAAUUCCGCUACCUCGUUACCAAGCCGCUCCCUUUCUCUGCAACCAUUGCCGCCAUUCUCUCACUAUCUCUCUCGCUCAUCCGUCCCCUCUCGUUCACCUCUUUAUUUCGCACAAAUCUCCUCUCUGCGCCUCCCAUCAGCCUCUCCACGAACUUUCCUCUGCAACCUCUCGCUUUCUCUCUCUAGAACGCACAAAAGAAACACCUACUUUCCUUUCUUUUCGUUGUUUCGGUAAACUUCGUUCCACUCCCCUCUCGUUGAAACCCAGUAACCAACAAAAGCUCUCUCUCUCUCUCUCUUUCUUUCUUUAACCGUUAAAACCCAGUAACCAACAAAAGCUCGCUCUCUUUCUAUUUAAACGUUAACAACCGACUAACCCAACGCCCUAGUUUUCUCUCUCUCUUAACCAAUCCAUUUUUCUUUUUAUUAUUAUGCUAGUUCAUUUUACUUCUUCUACCCCUUCCCUUUCAUUUUAUUCCAUUUUCAUCUUUUUAUCUUCAUUCUUUAUUUUCUUGUUCCAUCUUGUUAAAUUUAUUUCACUUAUUUUCACAACCCUAUUUUUUCUUAUUUACUUCAUUGAUUUUAUUCUAUCUUUUUUUUCUAUUUUAUUUCAAUCACUUAUUUUAUUUUAUUUAUCUCCUUUUUUUAAGUAUCUCAUCUUAUUUUAUUUUCUUCAAUCCCUUUUAUUUUAUUCACUUCACUUUUUUCCAUUUUAAUUCUAAUUCCAUUUUCUAAUUUUAUUUUAAUUCACCUAUUUCAUUUUCAUUUUCAUUUCAUCUCAUUCUCUAUCACUCUCAUUUCACCGUCACUUUUAUUUUCACUUUCAUCUCUUUUUAAAGACGUAGCAAGAGUCUAGCUAGUCUUCAUCUCUUCUCUCUCUUCAUCGCUUGUUUGACCAGAAGGUAGGCUGAGCGUCAUGUUGUCCUGCCAGUCUUGUCGCUUAGCAGUAAUGCCGUUGUACCAGUCUGAGUUAUCGUGCCCAUCUUACUACCACGACAGGCUGGCCAUCGUGUCUGGCUGGUCUGUGUCGGUUCCAUCGUCUAGUAGUAAUGCCAUUGUGUCGGUCUGAGUUAUCGUGCCCGUCUUGCUACCACGUUAGGUCAAUCACCUACUGGUCUAGCCACUAUGCCAGCCGAGCCGCCUGGUCAAACUUCUUCUCUCACUUUCACUUCGCCCUGCAACAAGGUGGGGGACCUAUGCCCCACUUAUCUGUACUUCUAAUGUGUGUUUGUGUGUGUUUGCAGGAAAGGAGAAACACGUCAAGGGACACAAUUCCAAACCAGCCAUAGGCCAGGAGGGCUUUCCAACGUCAUCUAAUAGGGUGCCCACGUGAGCCAGCCCGAACGUGUCACGGACCCACAUGAGGUAAGUCCCACCUCACGAUCCUAAUUCCUCUCUCACUGGUUGGUACUCUUGCCCACGUCUUCUUUACGUGGUUCCUAAGAGCGCGAUCUUAGGUCCUGCCAUCUCGAACUCGGAACCACGCCACCAAGUCAACCCGACCCGGAGAAUGAGAUUGAGGCACCUAACCAGCUUGGCGACUCCACUAGGGAUACACUACCGCAUCGUUGGAUCAUUCUUGUUUGACCUUCCUUUAUUUUUAUUGUUGUUCACUAUACACACACCUACCUUUGGGGUUUCUUAACCCCUUCAUCCGAGCCGGGGAUUUCAUAAUCUUCGCAAUCGUGAUUCUUCAUCGGGAACAGGUUCCGUGAACCUCAUUCCCAACCUUUCUCCUGAGCAUCGACCUUGUGUCGCGCUCCCAGGUCUUCACUUGGAAAGAGGUGAGGAUGGACCUAAAAGUCCCUCACUCCCUAUAUCCUUGCAAUGGUGGACUCUCUGCCAACGCACCUUGCAUUGGAGGCACACAUGCCACCACACAUAGCAUGCACCCUGCUACCGAUGAGUCACUUGCCGGUCCUAUCGCUCGGGGCAGCCCGGAGGUCACCCCUCCCUCUCCUGCGACUGACAGCUCAUAUGUCAAUUCUCCUGUGGGUCGCCGGGAGGCUACCACCCAUUCUUUAUCAGUUCGAGCCCCUGUAAUAGGACGCUUGACACCAGGAGGAGGUGGCUCUGAAGCCACCACCUCACACACACCCACCAAAGCUAGUGGACGAUCCAUUCUAGCGACACCUUGGGGCAACCCUCACGUUACCUCGGGACACGUUCAGGAUUCAGGUUUUUUGGUCGUGGCCUUGCACCUCUUUUGCAUGCACACUGCAUCACUUGGAGCAACCCUCAGGUUACCUCGGGACACUGUCAGGGUUCGAGUCUUCUUGGACUUGGCCCUGCACAUCCUCGAGGCAACCCUCAAGUUACCUCGGAACACUGUCAGGGUUCGGGUCUUCUUGGACUUGGCCCUGCACAUCCUUGGGGCAACCUUUAGGUUACCUCGGGACACAGCCAGGGUUCGGCUCUUCUUUGAUCUGGCCCUGCACACCCCUUGCAUAUGCAGUGCAUUGCUUGGGGCAGCCUUGUUGCUGCCUGUUUGUGCACACGGAGGGGAACCUCCUAGUCUCCCUUCCCAGCACAUGCUUGUUCACUCUGUGAGGGAUGGUCACACAGCCAUUCCGUCGCACACAGUUGCUCAUGACACAGGGCCUCUUAGAGCCAGACUCGUUGCUCGAGCCUGGGUUGACCACCAGGUUACCCGAAGUCCUUCUACAGAGGGCGCACAUGCACCAAUCCGCCUGCCCACCCAGGGCACGCUUGAGCAACGUGCACACAUGAACAUAUCCAAAACUUCCCCUAGUUCUGAGGGCGAAGAAGAGGACACCAUGGAAGACUUCUCUACCUAAGAUGAGAUCGCUUUCCUUCCCCUAACUCCCCUUGAUGCGGAUAAUGCUGGAAACCUAUCGAAUGUGCAGAACACCAAAACAGUUACUCAGGGCAUGAUGAAGCCCGCUAUCUAGGAAGGUCCAAGUCCCACUCGGGGCAAGGACAAAUCUACGAACGGGGAAAAAAGCCAGUCUGACCCCAGUGACCCCAUCAAUCCUGAGCUAAUGGUGUCAUCACUCAAUCAGACUCUCGAGUCCCUUUCUAGUCAGGGUACUGAGAGCAAUGACUUCUUCAAAUAGACUCAGCUUGGGGCAGCUUGUGGGUUUGAAUCGAUUUCCCUUAGACUUCUGUUAAGCCUGAAGGCACCGCUCCGAGGCAGCCCCGGUCCCUCAAGUGAAAUGGAAGCUGAACCCACUGAGGGCACUGGCCAUGAUCUCCUUGUGGUGGAGAGUUUGAUCCAUGAAGAAAUGGGUUCCCUUCCCAUAAUGCAAGAGAAUUCUCCCCUCAAAGUUUGCCUUGACAUCCUGGCUCUUCAAGAUGAAGGUGACGAGAAAACUGAUACUGUUGUGCCACUGCAAGGGCUUGAGAAACCUGUUGUCAAGAUCGAUAUUUGAAUACGAAGGGGACCCUGUCAUUGGCCACUUUCCUUCCAUCUUUCCAAGGAUUCAUCACUGAAUCUUGAACAUAUGAUGAACAACCAUCUACUCUCGUUAGUCCUAAUAACGCUACUUCCCUUGCAUGCUUCUCCCCAGACAUUCUUAGCGCUGAUGAGAAAUCGUCACUCUCAUCUAAGGAAAGCUGCUCCCCAGUAUAGGAUGAAACGAGCUCCACUUCCCCUGAUGCUAGCUCCGUUCAAGUGGCCCAUCCAUGCCCUGAGAAUGCCACGAUUCCCUACAAAGCCAAUCGUCUGCUUUCCUCAUGUCAUGAAUGGCUCAUGUAUCCUCUCGAGGAUGAUGAUGGAGGCUUGCCGUCCUAUGAGAGGUUCAGGUUCUCUCUUAAUUGUAAAGAACCCUCAAGUAUGUCUAGUGUUGAAAUCGACAUGAUCAAUGAAGAAUCAGAAGUUUAUGAAGAUGAGAUUGCUCAGCUUAAGGCAGUUACAGGCCAAGAUAAGGUCGAAAGAUGAAAUGAUAGAAACCUUAUGUCAAGUGGUACUGAAGUCUAAUAGGCUUGUGCGUACCCCCUCGGGGUAUCAAGCCCUAUUUACUGUCUCUCAAGCAACGCUCCUAGACAUCGAAACAAGGCCGUUAGAUGAUGAACUAUUCCCACCCUCACCUCCCUCACUUCCAGCCCCUUCUCCAUCUUUUCUUCGGACUGGGAACAAAGCACUAGUAGAAGGCAUGGUGGCCAAAGCAUUGAAAAGAUGUGAUGCCUCAGUGACAGGAAAGCCGAAUCGCUACUAGAAAUCUCCCCCAGUUUAUGAUGAUCAGACUCUAUUGCCACAAGGAGUUCAAAGACUCGAUGUCCCCAAGAAGAAAAUCAAGCAUUUCCCAGCAAAAAGCCCACACAAGAGUUAUUCCUUUGAAAAAUCCAUGAUCCCCAAGUUGUUUGAAAUUCUCUUAUCAAAAGGGAUGAUCGAACUGCCUGAGUCGAAAAGACUGAAUGAAGAUGAGAGGGAUGACGAGCCCAAUUAUUGCCAAUAUCAUAGGAGACUUUGUCAUAGCACUGAGAAGUGCCGUGCCAUCAGAGACAUCAUCCAAAAAUUCAUAGACAUGGGAAAAUUGAACUUGGAGCCUGAUUUCACGUGUGAUCCAGUGCCACACAACGGCCUAGAUGCACGACCCUAAACUACAUGGUCCAAACUAUACGACCUUAAAUUGUAGCGGAGGUCUAGUUGCACAACCUUAAACUGCAUGGUCCUACGUGUAUGUGGUCGGAUGCCUCGAUCUCGCCUCCCCGAAUCUAGGUGAUCAGGUAACACGUGUAUCCUGUUCAGAAGACCCGGGACCUGAGACCGUUCUCUCAGAAACCUUGUUCACAGAACAAGGGCAGGUUCUCAACUGGUGAGAGAGGAACUUAAAACGUGAGGUGUGGACCAACCUCACCUGGGUUCAUGACUUACUCGGGCUGACUCGCUAGGGCGCCCUCUUAGAUAGCGACGGAAGGCCCCCCAACUGCUUCAACUGGUUCAGACUCGCCUCACUUGACCUGCAAUAUCCUUGUCUUUUGCACAACACUAACAUGGUUAAUUUGCAAGACAAGUGGGUCGAAUGACCCACCCUUGUAUUAGGACGAUGCACAUUCAUAUGGCAGAGAAGAUGAAAAGUUAUGGUGAUGAAUAAGAGGUGAAAAGAGAAGAGGACUCGAUAAAGGGAUGAGACUAGCAUGAUAGCUAGAUAAGUACAGUAACCAACUCGGAGUGGUAGCAAGACGGGCACCAUAAUGCACACCACGAUACUAUUCGAAACCAAGGCCGAUGUGACCUUCCUAAUCUGGUGUUGCAGCAAGACGGGCAUGGUACUUUGGACCAACAUGACGGUAAUAAUGCUUGACAGCCAGUCUGCUAUAACAGUACUAGACUGAGUCUACCCUUUAGUCAAGCUAGAAGGGAAGAGAGCGAAGAGCAGAUGUGAGAUGGCAAAGGAGGAAGGUCCCGGCGGCGUUAGGCAACACCUUCCACAACCGUGGAGUAACAUUGUCGUGGCCCCUGGAAGACACUAGACACUGCUGCUCGAGAAGAAAGGGUGACUAGUGAACUGCAGACAGCGUUAGCCAUCACCGUCGGCAACACGAGAAGGUCGCAUGUGGCGAUAGGUAUAGAGCACACAAAAGAAUCCUGUGGACGGCGUUACUCAUCGCCCCAACUCUUCACGGGUGACAAUAAGCAUCGCCGUCUGCGAAAGGCGUAGGGUGCAAGAGAAGCCUACUGACGGCGUUACGCAUUGCUGCGACCCUUCACUGGUGGCCAUAGGCAUCGUCGUCUGCGAUAGGUGUAGGGCACAAGAGAAGCCUACGGAUGGUGUUACGCAUCGUUGAGACCCUUCACAUGCGACGAUAGGUAUCACCAUCUAUGAUUGGUGAAAGGUGCAAGAGAAGCCUGCAGACGGCAUUACGCAUCACCGCGACCCUAUGCCGGCGACGAUAGACAUUGCCAUCUGCGAUAGGCGUAGGGCAUAAGAGAAUCCUGUGGACGGCGUUAUGCAUCGCUUGACCCUUCGCAGGUGGCGAUAGGCAUCGCUGUCUGUGAUGGGCAUGAAGGGUGAGACCCCAACGGGCGGCGAUAGGCAUUGCUGUCUUCUCUACGCUUGAAGAAAAGAAACGAAUGAAGAGUGAGAGAGACAAGUUCGAGCAUGGCACUUCCAUCGCCAUGCGCGACCUGCGAUGUCACAGGAGGAGGAAAACAGAAAGAGGCAUGCACGACACUGCCACUGCCGUGCAUGGCCUCUGAGAAAGACUCAGCAGAGGAGACGAAGAAGAAAGAGAAGAAGAGAGAAUAAGAGAGAAAGAAAACCAGAGAGAGAAGGAAGAGAGAAAAUCCCAUGAAGGUAGGAGGGGUACCACUCUAAACUUUCUCUCUCCCUUCUCUCUCCAAGAUGCACUGAUGAAUUUAAGGAAGAAUAUCAAAUUUUAUUACUCAAUGUAGAGAAUGAAAGGGGGGUCCUUUACAAUCUUUUUCUAGCCUCUUCUCAAUGAGAGGUAACGUUUAUCACCCAAAACUAACACUAAUUGAUGAUAAUUAAGGUUUAUUUGACUUAAAAAAAUAAGAAAAUAGGGUGCAAAAUGACAGAUUUGCCCUUGCCUAACAAUUCAUGAAAUUCCAAAACAGUCCCUGUUGCGGCCCUAAAUCGUGCGUGAUCCUAUGUGGAUGAUCCGGAGUUGCUCUGGUGCCCGUUUUCCCAAAAGGUGAUUGUUUCUUGUAGGGCUCGGCAUGGCGAUUGAUCUUAUGCCAACUUUGAGCCAUGGAUCAUGUUUUUAAGCCACGAUCAUGCAAAUUUAAAUUUGGAUAAAUCUUGAAAACUUCAGAUCGAUAGUGUACUCGUUUCUUAAUAUUUUCUCAUGAUUUUUUUGCUGGAUCACACUGAGCAUGCUGUCAUGAUCGCGUGGCAACAAACGCAGCUCAAUUUAAUGCUCGGACGAAGAUUUCUCAACUUUGGAAUUCGGCCAGAAUCUGGAGCCAUUCUGAUAUUGUCAAAAUUUCCACUGUUUGUCAGGCUUUAUUGACCGGCUUCUCCCUUUUUUUUUGCAUCGGGGACCCAUGGUGCUGAAAAAUGUCUUCAAAUAGCAUGCCCCAUUAAAUGUUGUGCUUCGAGAGAAGCGAGAACGACAACAUUCGAAAAAUUUCCUCUGAGUUUAUUUCUUUUUUCUUCCUAGCCACAUGACCACAUGAACGUCGAGGAGAUUCAUGGAAUGCUGUAACUAGGAUGCUCAGACAUUUGGAUACAAUGUACAAGUCGAUCCACAGAGACAUUAGGGGGAGAAGAGACUUUGAUGGAUCUUGUCAUGGUCUUUCCCUCACAGGACCGUAGGGGUUAGUUUUUUAAUGUCUUCACCUUGUCAAACGAGUUUGCGACAUGGAGAGAUUGGUAUUUACAGUCCUCACCCUAUCAUAAAGUAGCCUUGAGGGCCACUUUGUGUUUUUGAGGGAUCUUUCGGUCAUCGUCCUCACCCUCAAGGACUCUUCUUAUUUUUAGAGGGAUGUUUUAGUCAUUGUCCUCACCCUCAAGGACUCUCUUUGUUUUUGGAGAGACCUUUCGGUCAUCAUCCUCACCCGCAAGGACUCUCUUUAUUUUUGGAGGGAUCUUUUGGUCAACGUCCUCGCCCUCAAGGACGCUCUUUGUUUUUGGAGGGAUCUUUCGAUCAACGUCCUCACCCUCAAGGACUUUCGUUUGUUUUUGGUGGGAUCUUUAGGUCAGCGUCCUCACCCUCAAGGACUCUUUUUGUUUUUGGUGGGAUCUUUCGAUCAACAUCCCCACCCUCAAGGACUCUCUUUUGUUUUUGGUGUUUGGGAGGUCAUGUGAGGCACUCACUCUUGGGUGAGCCAUCUUUUGUUUUUGAUUGGAUCUUGAUAGCUGAGGAUUUUAUGUGGACCUCAUUAGCCAGAAUUACACCUGUUGGACAAUUGGGUGCUGGUUGAGGCUAUGAUGUUGCGUCGACUUGCUUUAUUUUUCCAAGCGUCCUUUGCAGGUUUUCACCUGGACUGGGGAAGUGGCACUGUAAAGAUGGUUUUCACCAACCUCCUUUAUUUUUGGGCUAUUUUACCUAUGACUUUGUGGCCAUGUCCACCCCUUUUCAUUAUUUUUUUCUCACAGUACCUUUUGGGGUUUUCAUCGUGCCCAGGCUUUUAUUUUCAUGAAAGUCUUUUACUCAUGAUUUCGUGACCAUGCCCGUCCAUCAUUUUUACUCUUGUCAUUCCCUCGUCUCGGUAUACACCUGUUGGAAGACAUUUUUCAUCAUCAUCGGUUCUCAGUCAAUAAAACCUAACAAAUAGUGGAAAUUUCGAAACUCCCAUAAUAGCCUCAGAACUGGCCAUAAUCUUCAUAAAGACUCUCAAAAGCCUCCGGCCAAGUUUCAUCGUAUUACAAAAUGUCAAAGGUAGCGUAGACUGAGAAAUAGUUUCAGCAGAAUCAACCUUUACCAGCUUAAAAUGGACCUUAUAACUAGAGCUAUAUUUUUGGUGUCUCAAUUUGCUGUGGGAUCACUACCAUUGGAUUCGACAUGGUUGAAAACCCCCAGGGAUCAAAUUUUAGCCAAGAACAGACAACCCAGGAAGAAGUUAUAGGUGAAAGAGGAAAACAGGAGGAGUCACACGCUAUUCCCGUGUUGCCACCCUGCAACUGAACUCCAUUAAAGGGGCAGUCACAACUAGUGAAUUUCGAUGCUUAUAUCUCCCUUGUCUGAGAUUGGAUCAUGCUCAAACUUGAUGGAGCAUGUUCGUCUCGUUGAGACAAGAGUUUUGAUAUGUGGCACACCUCGCGACGAAGCCCGAGCGCGAAGAAAAGCUAGAGAGAAGUUCCUUAUCCGUCAAGAAAGUGCAAGAAAAUCAACAACGUUGUGCCUCGCUUGAGCAGCCAAAUCACGCCAAUCACAAGCCCGAUCAAUGUAAAACCAAUUCCAUCACGUGCGUAAGGCCUAGGGCUAUCCCUAGUCCGAAGCCCAUACAUGAUGAAUGCUCGGAUUCCGCACACGAUGCCGACGAAGUGACUAUAAAUUUCGACUCCAGAAAUCCAAAUUCCGGCCAAAACUUCAAAAGUUGCAAAAUCUUUGUCCAGGCAUGGAAUAGAGCUGCAUUUGUUACCCCACAUUCGUGACAGAAUGCUCAGUGUGUUCCAGCGAAGAAAUCAUGAAACAAGCAUACAAUGGAUCCAAAGUUUCAAGAUUCAUUCAAAUUUCAAGUCACAUGAUCGUGCCCAAAAACCACGAUCCAUAGCUCGAAGUUGGUAUCAAAUCGAUUGCCAUGCCGAGCCCUAUAAGAAAACAAUUAUCUUUCGAUCAAACGGGCAUCAGAACAACCUCGGAUCAUCCAUGAAAAAUCAUGCACAUUCUAGGGCAACACAGGGACUGUCUUUGAAUUCCACAACUUGUUAGGAAGGGGCAAAUCUAUCAUUUUUCACCUUAGUUUCUAAUUUCUUUUAAUUCAGUUAAAUCUUAAUUUUCAGCAAUUAGGUUUAAUUUUGAUCAAUCCACCCGUGUUUGGGCACAAUUCUAUAUAUACCACAUACCAUUACUGUAUGAAAAAAGGCUUGGAAACCCUUCACAAAAGAGAAUUUUUACUGAAUAGAAUUCCCUUUCCUUCUCAUUGUUCGAUCACGUUUGGAGAGAGAGUAAGGAGAGAGAAACGUUUAGACAGGUACCUAUAAGCUCAAGAAAACAAGGAGAUUACAGGUCAAGGGAGGCAAUUCCGAACCAGUUGAAGCAGUUGGGGGCUUUCUGUCGUGAUCUAAGAGGGCGCCUGCUCGAGUUAGCUCGUGCAAGUCAGGGACCUAGGUGAGGUUUGUCCCCACCUCAUAGCCAAAAUUCUCGAGAGAGCGAUCUCAGGUCCUGGGUCUUUCAAACCCGAGACAUGUAUCACCCGAUCACCUAGAUCCAUGGAGGCAAGAUAGAGGCACCUAACCAGCUUGACGACUCCAUUGGGGACGUAUUACCCCUUCAUACAUUCGCUCUUGUUUGAUCAGUAUAUUCUUUUAUUUUCUACACUACUUUUUAUGGCACCUGGGUUAUUCAACCCGUUCAUCCAAGUCAGGGACUUUCUUAUCCCCGCACUCGUGACUGUCUCAGGGAAACGAACUUCACAAGCUUCCUUCCCUAUAGUCCUUCUGAGUCAGGACUCACUGUCCGGCUCGCCGGUUCCUUCCUGGGUUGAUGCGAGAAGGGACUUAAAGGUCCCUGACUCCCCGCUUCCAUGCCUUGGUGGAUCCUCCACCAAGGCUCCUUGCAUUGGUAGGACAUUUGCUAUCACACACAGCAUGCACCCUGCUAUUGGCAAGUCCCUUACUAGUCAUGUGGCAGAGGUAUACCGGAAGGAUGCCCUUCCCACUCUCGUGAAAAGCAAGCACAUUGUCAUCGCUUCCGAGGGUCGCCGUAAGGCUACCCCUCGAAUUCCUUCACAACCUCAAACCUCUACACUUAAAGGCUCAGCACACGGAGGCUGAAAUCCUGGGGUCUCCACCCCAUACACACACUUAAGAGCUCAAGGUCCAACCACUCGAGCCACACCUCGGGGCAAAUUUAAUACUGCCCCGAACUCGUAUUCAAGGCUUGGCCUUCUUGAGCCAAAACUUGCCCACGUCAUGCAUCCUACAUCUCGGGGCAGCGCUAGUUUGGUGUCAGCUCGAGCAUAUGAGGGUCGUCCACUUUUUCCUGCCUCUCACUACAAACAGCUUCACCCUAUGAGAGAUGGGCUUCUACCUGGUCCCUAACGGACACAAGCUCGUGGGUCUCAACCCCCUAAGGUCGAACCAGUUGAGCAAACCCAUGCUGACCCCCAAGUCACCCAAAUGGCUCAACCCUAAAGGAGCACACGCACUGACUUUGCAGGUUCCUCCGCUAUCCCGGGUCAGGUGGAGUCAUGAACUAGCUCCUUCUUCUGUCACUCCUCUCUCACCAGGCAAGCACCUCGAGACCUGAUACUCAAAGGUCUUCCCUAAGAGUACCAUAUUGAGCCAGCCUCAAGUCAACCGUGCAGUCGGGCCCCACAAAGAAAUUCAGAGCAAAGGCUUAAUGUCAGAUAGAGGCCUCCAGCCUCCAAGGAAGAAACCCUGGUUGCUUUCUGUCUUUGGACCCCACUCUCUCCUCCAGCUCAUAGACACGACCCUCGCAUGCUUAGGAAAAGUGGGGCAGUCCAAGCCACAGGCUCGGUUCUGAAGUGAGGUCCAUAGCCCCCUCAAGAUCAAGUGGAAGAAAGGUCUACAGAUCUUGAUCACCGAAGCCCCUAAGGCAGUUGAGGUUACCACCUUUGAUGAGCUCUUGCCUCAUAAUCCCUUCUUCCUUCUUCAGACAUCAGAACUUUAGUAGGUCCACGAAUACUGCUCGACGAUCAUUGUCUAGAAGCCACAGUCCUGAGACCGUCGAGAAACGGUCCUCACAAGGUUAACAUACAAGGAUUGAGUCCAGUUGGGGCAUGCUGAGCCCCUACAGACUAGCCAUGCACGACUCGCCAACCCUGGCCAUCCAUUACUCCACGCAGCUCUGACCUUCUCAAAGAAACGGUCAUUGUCAUGAUGAUUAACGAGCGGGAUGACGCCUAAGAAGAGCGAAUGAACAAGUUCGAGGUAAUGAUGCAAUCCAUCCUUGAAAAGAUGGAACGAUUAGAAGCCUCCAGCUCCCCUUCUCACCAGGAGAUCAAUUCCCCCUCUGGCGAAGACAUAGUUCCUAGGCAAACUCCUACAAUGGUCUCUCAAGAUCGCUCUCCUUCUAGCAGGGUUUUCCAGACCGAAAUAAACACCAUGGUGGCCCAUAACCUCAAGAACAAGAUCGCAGGCAUGCAAGAGGCACUGCUCUACUAGAAACCGUACCCUUCGUACAUCGACCGGGUGUCGUUUCCCUCGAACUAUAAAAAAGGGAAGCUCCCCAUGUUCAACGGUACUACGUUCCCGUACCAUCAUACUGCUCACUUUCUAGCGGCCCAUCAAGAGUCGGUGACUGAUGGGCAACUCCUCCUCCAUCAGUUUGUCGAGACUCUCGAAGGGCUAGCCUUCUAGUGGUAUGUUCAGCUGCCUUCAAACUCAGUGCAUACCUGGCAGGAAAUGGAGUAGUUGUUCUACCAAUGUUUCUACAAAGUCCAAAGGAAUGUGGAAGCCAUUGAGCUCCUCACUCUGACUCAAGACCCUAGUGAGCCAGUUGACAAGUUCAUUGCUCGAUGGAGAGAGCUGCAACCUUUAAUGCCACUACCAUGAUUGAGAAAGAAGCUGUCCAGACCUACAUACGAAACAUGCUUCCUGAGAUCACGCUUCAUGUUGAGGCCUCCAAUCCACCCUCCAUGUCAGAGCUCAUCUCUAAAGAAGUUUGUAUCGAGGGUUUGUCCAAACACCUUGGCGGAUCUCGUCAGACCCUCUGACUCAAAGUCACGCUCUAAUAAUUGGGGAAAUCAAUAGAAAGAAGUGAUCAAUGCAGCCGUAACCAUGAUUGACGCCAAUAAAGCCGCUCCUCAAACCCUGGACCUCUCCAAGGCACAAACGUCUCAGGCUGGGGGCAUGUAAUAGUCCUACCAUAAGGUCCUGCCCCCAAAAAACAUUAAGCGAAGUUACUUUCGGACCCAACAUCAAAUCAAGGUGUAUCCUUUUGACAAGGAGUGGGUCCCUGCACUGCUUCAACUACUACUGGAGGAAAACAUGAUCUCGUUGUUGGAGAUUAGCACUCCCGAACAAGUUGGACAUGAGACACACGAGAGGUACUGCACCGAUCACAAGAAAGUAGGCCACUGCACUCAGGACUGCUAUAAGCUUAACGACACUAUUGAAGCCCUUAUUAACAAAUAGAUAAUGCUCGAAGACUUAAAGAAAGCAUUCACGGAAACUGAGGCUUCUCACAUAGUGACAACACAAGAAGAUGAUCGGGCACUCGCCAUCGUCCGUGAACUAUUUUCCAUAAUGCUCGAAGAGGGACACAUCACGUCAAAGCCGACAACGCAACCUAAGUUCCUGCCUUCAGGAACUGGGAACCUCUGGUGCUGAUAUCACCUAAUACGAGGCCAUGACGUGAGUGAAUGCACUGGCUUCCACAAACUCUUGGCAAAGAAGAUGCAGCAAUUCCAGGAAGCUCAUGGUAACCCAGAAGGACACCCUCAAGUACCUCUUCCACCAGUGCAAGAAGAACUCCCGACGUAAGCCCCAGGAACCUCUAAGCUAGACCCUCUGCUAGCCCUCUUCGAGACAAUGCUCCAACAAGGUCUAAUCACUCCUAAGCCCGCUAUGUAGCCUAAGCGCCUUGCCCAGGGUACGACAAACCUCUAGUGACCAUAUCACCAAGUUUGCGGCCAUGAGCUGAAAGAAUGCUCUGGGUUCAAAGCUAUAGUCACUCAGAAGGUGCAGGAAGGCCACAUCAUUUACAUCGUUCUCCAAGAGCACUUCCAAGCCGUCACCCCAGUCCAAGAGGAAAUCCCACUAUAGGUCCCUUAUGAGCAUACACUGGACCUUCACAACACUCGACCUCUCAGCCCUGGAAAGUCUACCAUGGAAGAAGUAGGCUCAAAUUCCUGAAGCAUGAGGCAGUCCACCAAGCUAGGCCUACUCAUCAGCUCGAUAGGGUGAACUAAACCCCUCCUCAGGGAUCCAAAAGGAGAUAAGCACCCAGGUCAGCUCGUCGAAGGAACCACCACCCUCAACCACCAGUCAAGGAAGAGUUUCUCAGGCCCCUUCCUCCAUUGCCAAUCUUACAAAACUUCAUCCCAGGCGCAACUCACCUUAUCCUGUCAUCCAAUCAGACGCAAUAGCUCGGGAGUCGUCCAAUAUGGGUGACGACACUAAAAGCACCCCAUAAUAGUCAAAGCUGGGGCAAGACCUAAAAUACCCCCUGCACACGUCCAAUUAUAGCGACGACGUAAAAACCUGCCCGGAACAUUAUAACUCUUCCUUUUCUCCCUCCUCUUUUAUUUCUUCCAUAGGUGCAGCUCGACAGUGGCCAGACUUCAACACUCUGAGCAGAGAGCUUGGAGGCACCAGCCUAAACAGGUCAGUUGGAUUCUUGACAGUCACCGACGCCUUGUCAACCCAAGCCAAGACCAAGCCACCUACAAGCUCCUCUUUCCAAGAGGCCUCCCACAUGGUGCAAAUCUUGGAAGUACGAUGCAGAACAUGGCUAAUGAACCUAAAAUCGGGGAAGAAGCUAUAGCCCACACCUCAAAAGCUAAAGGUCCUCAAGUUUCUUGAUCCUUCAAUUUUCUUUAAGCCUGAACCUCAAAUCUCCACAUCUCUAAUACAAAUACCUAUUGCCUCCCCAUCAACCCAAACUGCACCGGCUGAACAAAAACGUCAGCGAGUGUCACAAACAAAAACUCAACCAAAAUCUGUUCUUACCCUACCACCUACACCAAUGACUAGAUUAGGAACACAGAAGACUAAUGAGGACAAAGUAAAAUACGAUGUAAUUGGGCACUUGAGAAAGCUUACAGCCCUUUUAAGUAUCUAUGAUGCCCUUCUGCUGUCUAGAGACUAUUGUAUGGCUCUGGUGCAAGCUCUUUCUAACCCAGAGGUAUAGAAGACUGAAGUGGAGCCUAUUGAGGUUGAUCCAGCCAUCCUGAGUGGGUGCUUGGCAAUCACCGUUUUGGAAGAUGACCUUCAGUUGGGAAGAAAAUUCCAUAAUCGCCCCCUCUUUGUGAAUGGUGAACUACAUGCCUGCCCUAUCAAUCGAAUCAUGCUAGAUGGAGGGUCAGCAGUCAACUUGAUCCACAGAAGGAACCUCACCCAAUUGAGAUUAGGAUCUGACGACCUCUCGCCUACCCACAUCACCAUGCAAGAACCAAUCAGGAGGAAAGCCAGCUGGCACAGUGCAUCUUGGCCUCAAGAUCGGCGACCUCAAUGAUUAUGCUCAAUUUCAUGUGAUCGACGCCGAUACAUCUUACAACGUCUUGCUCAAUCGCCCUUGGCUUCAUGAUCAGGGGGUGGUUCUUCCACACUUCACCAAUGCCUCAAGUACAGUCAAGAUGGGAGACAACACUUGGUCUACUCUGACAAGAGACCAUUCACUGUGGCCUAAACUCAUUAUGCUGAUGCUAAGUAUUAUUUCACAGACCUUCCAGCACCAAAAAGUCCAAGGAUGAUGAUUAGAAGCCUGUGAGAGAGACAGGACCCUCGUCUCAUGAUGACGUUGAAGAUUUAGGACGAAUGAUUCAAUGCCUCUUCAAAGAGAAGGAAAGACAAGGCAAAACCCUCCAUUUGACUCCUAUCUGCCCAAGUAUACCUUAUCACCUCUCCGAGGUCAUGGUGCCUUCUCCCGAAGAUAAAGCUUCCACAUCUACCUCUGCAUCCAAUUCACUAGAACAAAAUGACAAGAUAGAAGCAAGUCUUGAGACUGAGGAAGCCCUGGAGGUAGACCUUCCAGCACUGAGGAUUACCUAUACGCCGGACCAGCAAAAGGUUCUGCACGUCCCCAUUUCUCUUUUAGAAGCAGAAUUGACACACCAACCACCAAGAGGGCACUCCAAAUUCCAUCCUCUUAGAACAAGGGGAUCACCAGCAACCAAGAGAAUGUCUUUCACCUCUCAGAGGCUCCCAAAGAAGUACAGGCCGAUAAGAGGCAGCCCUCCGACUCUCAGGAACAAGACCCCAUAACAAAGCUGAGAAGCGAGGUUCGUAGCCUCCAGAAUCAGUUGGAGGCUAUUUGCGUCGCUUCAAAGCACUUGAAGGAGUUUGUCACUGAGACUAAAACUUAUGACAAGCUCAAAAGCAAUGCACCUCGAAUCGAAACCAAAGCUCCCCCAGAUUGGAGUAUUUAUAGCGAAAUGGCUCACCAAAUCAUGAGAACCACGAAUUAUGAAUCCCUCUCCAAUCAAACACUAAGGGGUGAGGAUGUAACUGCUCCCCCAUUUGAGGUCAUUGAAGCUAUAGCAAGCGGUCAAAAGAAGAAGCAAGGAGUGGAAUAUCGGUUUUAGUCUCACACGGUCAAUGGGCAGAAGCAAUAAAAAAUGAGAGGGAAGAACAAAAGUCAUGCCACACACACGAAAUAGAAAAGAACUUUCCAUUCAUGAAUCAAGUGGGCAUUACAAGCUCCUUUUCUUUAGAAAGAGAAGAAAUGAAAGAAAAAAAGGAAGAAGGAAUCGUCAGAAUCGAUCAAUUAAUUCAUUGAUCUUCCCCCUAUAUGUCACGCCGAUACCAACGCUAGCUCGAUUUCCCCCUUCAACCCUACCACCAUCUCUGCGUCAUGCUCCAUCAAGGUGGUCACUUCUCCAAUGGAGUAUUCAAGGGCCAAAAUGUUAUCUGUAAGCACCUUGUCCUUCGCUUCCCAAGCAAUAGUCUCCUUCUCCAGCUUGUCAAGUUUCUGCGUCAGCUCUAAUGUCUUCGCCCUUAGAGCCAUCACUUUGCAAUGGCGGGUGACGACCUCCUCAGUAAGGUCUGAUCUUCGGGAGACUGUGUCAUCCAUAUGUUGCGAUCGGGUGUUUAUCAAUUCGUGGAAGCGCAAAAGUAAAGACUCCAAAGGGGGUAACUGUGGGCUCUCUAGCUGUUGCGCAGUCGCUUCUUCAUGCAAGGCCUUUCCCAUCCAUCCCUCCAGCUCAUUAGCAACGCUGUCAAAGUAAGGAAGGACUUCGAGCACAUUCCCUAAGGCGAUCCCCCUCAACUGAGGGAUCGUUGUUCCAAGCUCUUCGAGAGACAACACCUUCAGUUUCUGGAGGCCCAUUCGAAACAUCUAAAAAAUGACGCCUGACAGCCCACUGAAAGUGGGACUGGGCAGUACAAUAGGAGCGACCACAGCAGGAGGAUCCCCAGUUGCAGCCAAGGUCUCAAGCUCCUCAGAUUCAGGUACAACCUCAAGCUGCUUGGGUACCUCAGCGACAACUCUCUUUCUCAGAUCCCCUUCCAUGGCCACUUCGAGCUCGACCCUCUCGUACUCAGGUGCUGUAGAUUCACCCUCUGUAUGCUCCACAGCCUCAACCGAGGCAAGGCUGACCUCGUCGCCUGGACCCACUACCUUAGUGUCAGGCUGCACCACAAUAGCUUCCUCUUCAGGGCCAACCCAUUCUCCCUUUUCCCUCCCUUCUUAAACCGCCAUCUCCACCUCCACAGGUUCGACACCUUCUCCCUCACCUUCUUCGCCCUUGUCUUUCAUGGUGACCACUUUAGCUAAAGGCUCUCCCAUGGGGCCCACCUCCUCUAUAGUCAGGGGUGUUGCCUCUUGGCCCUCAAAGUCUGACUGUCGAGGAUGUCGUUCCUCUGUAUCCCCUAUAGCCGCAUCACCUAAGGGAGCAACUUCCUGUUGCUCGUGUGGUUCCUCUUUAUUCCCUGAGGCGCCAGCAUCUUCUAUGACCACAAGAUCUACCGAGGUUUCCCUUUCCUUGGUAGGCACAACAACCUUCAAAGCCUCAGGGGCCCUCUCCGCCUUUGCAGCCUCAUCAAGAGCCGCCUCAUCAAGGGCAGCCUCAUCUGCCCCGUUCACCUCCAUCGGGACUGGGGCCUCCCCUUCAUCCACUUCUUGAUCCGAAGCAAUUUUGAUUCAGGUGAAUAAAAAGGUGAAUCCUCAAGAGAAGAGGGCGAUGCAGAAGUAGUAGGAGACACGCAACCCUCUGAAUAAGCCGAGGGUGAGGAGUCGUCUUCUGGCUCUUGGACCAGUGGGAUCUUACGCCCUCUGUGUUUUGGAGCCUUGGGUGGCUUCUUAGCUGAAGCGCUAGGAGUCGCUGGGGUUUCCCUCUUUCUCUUCUUUCCUCUGGCCUGUUCAGACACAGCAACCUUUGAGGUGCCUGAUUUGGAGAAACUAGCGGUUAGCUUGCUAUGAGAGCCGCUCCCUAUGAACUCAUUCAGAUCUUGGACCGAGGACACUUCAUACCCCGAAACCUUGCGGCCCUCUUUCUAUUGAAAAUAACAAAUAGACUAUAAAAAAUGCUCUAUGUCUUCUUCUCCAUAUUGAGAAACCGGUGCAGAGACCUGUCCACGACAAUCUGGCGAGGCCACCCAAGGGCGUGCUAGUCCCAAGGAAAGCCCAGGGUGAAUACCACCCCUAUCGGAGGAGUCCUUGACAUCUUCCUCUGCGUCGUCUCCUUGCUCCAAUGAGAAUUCUCCCCUUUUCAAGGGUGACCGACAUCCCAAUACCCCUUGUUGGUGAUUUUCCACCAGAGUUCUUGAGAUUCAGUCGCUUGCACUCUUCUUUCGAAUAUGGCAGCAUAUACUUGUUAACCUCUGUAAGCUCCAAGCACGUGGCCCAAGAUGUGAGAAUGUGCCUCAAAAGCCAAGUCUCUCGAUGGGUUCCCAAUUUGUCCUUCCAAUGAGCUACCUUGAUAUGCCGCUUCUCAAAGAAAACGGAGAAUGGGCAGCCUUGAUCGAGCCUGUGCUACCAAGAAAAUAUAUGAGGGAAAUACCCUCGAGCUUCUCAUUGUGGACAGUACGGUAGGGAAGAACCCCGCCCUUGACACUCAGCAUAUACAUCAGCUCCUUAUGAGUAGUAGGAGAACCGUUCAGGAUCUUGCCCGGCUCGUCCACAAAGGCACGGUCUGUGAGAUUCCCUACCGGGAAGGCGGGCCUCUUCAUGUGGAGGUGGUCGUUGCAGAACAAACUAUGCGCGUGGCCAGGAGUAUGGAAGAUUGCAUUCUGCUCAAUCCUCAGCAAAAAUAGGCAGAUCAUUUCCUCCAAUUCUUCGAUUAAGAGGUAGGUGCUCGGGAAAUAAGCCUCAAGCCAACCAUAUACAUAACGAAUGGGGAAAGGUGUCUUGAAGUCCCUUGGGAAGUCUUCGCUAUCCACUAUGUCGUUCCCUUCUUCAUCGCCUUGAUAAAUUUUUCCCCUAGACAUGACUCCUAAGCCGUAGUAGAUACUGCAAAGGAUCAGCUGUGCAAGGGCAUAUUUUUACCCCCUCGCCAUGUCACAGGCCAGAUAGAACGUGUUUGGAUAGAUAAUGUCUACUCCGCGGGGGAGAGUAAACUUGCACAAGAAAAUCACCAGAUAAGCGCCCAAGAAAACGUGUUCAUUCUCCUUCCGCAGCUCAAAAAAUGGUGGGGCCCCCUUCUCCCCUUUCGUCAGUGAUGGAUCAAAUUCAUCAUCAAAUCCCAAUAGAAGAAUGCCACCACUUGGUGAAGGAGACACAUCCCUUCUUGUUCUCAGACCAGAGCAGCUGGUAAAUUCCAAACAGCUCCUGAAGCCCAGUUGGUGUAGCUUCUUUCCCUACUUUCUCCCCUCCAAAAAUUACUGAGUUUGAAGGCACAAACUCAUCAUACAUAUUACCGAUGAGAAGCAGGCCACCAAUUAGAUACAGAUCUAACAGAGAUAUCCAUGCCUCCCCACGAUCGAGCAGCCAUGUAUUGCUGACAUGGCUCCAGGUCUCCAAAAGCACCUUGACUGUGUUCGAGCAACAAUCAUAAUAGCCCAUCGAGCACUAAAUGGUGGCCAGCAGGGAAGCACGCUUUAGAAUGUCCCAGUACCGGUUGAGCACUUGUGGUUCAUGAGGAGUAGCCCUUCAAAUAUUGGUGCUCCCCUUGCACCCGCAGGCUAGCAGAAGACCAUUUCAUGCUUGGGGUUUUUACCAUCCUCUUACCUAGAGUCGGCAAGUCCCCAUCCAAGGCUAUGUUUCGGUGCAGGCAAUGAAGUAGGCCUACCACUUCAUCUACACUCACAUUGCCAUCAUUAUCUUCCCCAUCACCAAUUGGACAGGGUCACUAACAACUGGGUCCACAUAAAGCGUCAUUGAACUAGAUGGUCUCACCUCUCACCAAGCUUUCGUCAGUGAAUUCAUUAGUGUCGAGCUUCCCUACUCGCGAGAGGUUCUUCAACUCUAGAAUAGCACCUGAAGACUGGGCCAUUAGAUCAAAAGCUUUGCUUUCAAAGGCCACUAAGAGGCCGCACAAAACUGUGCUCACAGAGGCGUAUUGUCGACUGGUCACUCAAGGCGUAAGGCUGACAAGCUUUUGCCGUCUCGCAGCUAAGGAAAAGAUUAUCGUCAUCUACUAAACGAGAUGGUAUCAUCGCACGACGAUUAAGGGGGUAUCGUCGUCUCGCCGCCAAGGGGUUAUCACCGUCAGCCGAAGUAAAGCACUUGUUGCCGCCUGCCCUUUAGAUGUUCUCACGCAUAGUGCGACGUACCAUGUCCCUUGAAAUCUGGGCACACCGCCUGACAAUCAUGACUUGGCCUGACUCCGCAUGUACGAAGGGCAAUCAUUCGCCAUCUCACAACCCUUCGUCUCCCAACUGUUGCAGGCCUGUGAAGCCUUGGGUUCUCAUUGACACUUCCUCUUCUCAUCAAGAACGCACUCCUAUUCAUUAGAAAACCCUUCCUCACCUAUUACUUAUUACUAGAGUUGGUAGAAAACUACUGAAAUCUCCAAAAAGCUUCCCUAUGUUCCUGCGAAUUUCCCUUCUCCCUGUUUUCGCACUUCAACUGUUUUACCCUUCGGUAAAAUAGUGAAAUGGGGUUUUCCCCCUUUUAUACUCGGCAUUGCAACAAACUGACCCUCACAAGUUAGAAAAGACACUGCAGUCCUCAUCUUCAGACGAUAAUAAGACGAGGUCAGGGCAGGUCAAGCUCGAGACCUGAAAGGGCCAUCACCGUGCGCUUCGUCGAGGUCCAUCACCGCACACUUCAUCGAGGCCUAUUGUCGCGUGCCUUCAUCGAGGGCUAUCACCGUGCGCCUUCGUUGGGGCUAUCACAACGCGCCUUUGACAAGGGCUAUUGUCGCACGCCUUCGUUAAGGGCUAUCGCCGAGCGCCUUCAUUUAGGGAUUUUGCUGCACACCUUCGUCAAGGGCCAUUACCGCAUGUUUCAUCAACGACCAUCGCCACGUGCUUCAUUAAUGAUUUAGUGUCGUGCGCCUUACCAAGUGGCUAACAUCGCGCGACCUUCAUCAAGGGCUUAACGCCACGAGCAUCAUCCAGAACUUAUCGUCUUGCGCAUGCCACAACACUCCCAUCUAGACCUUUGUCCAGCAUCUCCACGAAGUUCAUUCCUUGCACCCUAGUCUCACUCUUCACGAGUCAAGUUUCCAGUUACAGCUCGGUUUCCAGGAGGGUCACUUUCCCUUACCGUAGCCAUGGUUUAGGUGCAUGACCUUAAACUGCAUGGUCCAAACUAUAUGACUCUAAACUGUAGCAAAGGUCUAGUUGCAAGACCUUAAAACUUCUUGGUCCUAGCUGCAUGAAUUUAAACUGCAUAGCCAUGGUCCGAGCGACAAGACCUUAAAACUGAAACGGACGUUCCUGUAGUAAAAUGAUAAACAACACGACAAAUAGUCCUCACACAUGAUUUUAAACUUUGAACUAGAUGCACCAUUCGCUAGGUGUAUUCCAUCAACAUCCCUAGUGGAGUCAGGUGCGUUCAAAGGAAAAAGGGAGAAAUGCUUAACCCUUUAAUCCCCAAUGUGUAUGUUUCACACCAACACCCCAAUAGGAGUCACACCCAAUUGCGAUCCACUACCCCCAAUGGGGUUGCAUUUGUACUAUGGCUUAUCUUUCUCAGUAGAGUUACAUGCACACCAUUACUUAUCAUCCCCAGGGAGUCACACUUACCCUCUUAAUCCUCCGUGAAGUCUGCUUUCGCUUUCCACUCCUUGUAGGGCCACCAUCUUCAGCUAAAUCUCUCUGCUUGUGUAUAGCCUCAACAAUCUUUAUCGCCAAGGAGUAAGAUUGCUAUCCACAGACUUAUUCCCCAUGCAGAUUUACUUACAUGGCGACCCACACAAUGGUCCACUCUACAUGACCUUAAACUACACAACUGUGGUCUGUGCUGCAUGACCUUAGACUACACAGCCAUGGUCCGCCCAGCAUGACUUUAAAUUACAUAGCCAUGGUCUAUGCUUCAUGACCUUAAACUGAACAAUCGUGGUCCGUGCUGCAUGACCUUAAACUACAUAGUCUUGGUCUGCGCUGCACGACUUUAAACUGCAUAGCCACGGUCCUUGUUGCAUGAACUUAAAUUGCACAAUCGAGGUCUGUGCUGCAUGACCUUAAACUGUACACUCGUGGUCCGCACUGCAUGACUUUAAACUGCAUAGCCAUAGGCCAAACUAUACGACCUUAACUGUAGUAGAGGUCUAGUUGCACGACCUUAAACUACUUAGUCCUAGCUGCAUGACUUUAAACUGCAUAGCCAGGGUCCGAAACAAUGACCAUAACCAUAUGACCAUAACCGUAGUCUACGUCAUAGCUGCAUGACAUUACAAGGCUCAGCAUCAUGGCCCAAAAUAUAUGAUCUUAAACUAUAGCGGAGGUUUAGUUGCACUACCUUAAACUGCCCGGUCCUAGUUGCAUGGCUUUAAACUUCAUAACCACAGUCCGAGCUAUGUGACCUUAAACCAUAGUGCACGUUCUGACUACAUGACGUUAAAUUGCUUUACACAGGUCCUAGAGGCACGACCUUAAACUUGCACCCACAUACAUGCACACCCCCUUUUACAUGCGUUUUCACACACACUUUCCUUAACCGACUCAUUUGUUGCGCGCACCACCUUCAUUGCUCCCUCAGUGAACCCAUUCACCUCACUAUCACUAUUCAUCAUUCUCCAGUGAGUCUCACCCAUGCUCACAGAAAGGCAAGCCAUCUUGCCACCUAUACUCGCCGUCAGCUAGUGGCUCACCAUGUUUCACCCACCUUUCAUACAUCUUCCAUCUUUCAUAGGUAGCUUGAUGCCACCACCCAAAGUGAGUCAAGACCAUCACCAUACUCACUCUAUGGCCUCCAUAGAUUGCUGUUCCUCACCACUAUGAUCCAUCUGUAUGACCCUAAACUAUAGUGCACGUCCUAACCGCAUGAUGUUAAAAGGCUUUGCAUAGGUCUCGAAGGCAUGACCCUAAACACAUCUUCACAAAAAAUGGGGCAUGGUGUACACCGGGAUAGGGGAACGCCAUGAGUAAAAAUGAUGGACGGGCAUGGUCAUGAAACCAUGAGUAAAAGAGUUCCGUGAAAACAAAAACCCAGGCACGAUGAAAACCCCACAAGGGCACCAUGAGUAAAAAUGGAUGAAAAGGGAAGACAUGGACACAAGAUCAUGGGUCAAAGAGCCCAAAAACAAACGAAGUUGGUUAAAAUCGUCUUCACGGUGCCACUCCCCCUGUACAAGUGAAAACCCGCAAAGGGGGCUUGGACCAACAAAACAGGUUGAUGCAACACCACAGCCUCAGUAGACACACAAUUGCCAAACAGUCAUUUUUUACUGGAGAGGUCAACACAAAAUCCUCAACUACUAGCAUCCAAUCUAAUCACAAACAAAAAAUGGCUCAUCCGGGAUGAGAGCCUCAUAAGAUCUCCCACAAUUCACAUCCAAAAACAAUAAGAGUCCUUGAAGGUGAGGACGAUGAUCGAAAGAUCCCUCCAAAAUGCUAAAGAUCCCCACGAAGGUAAGAAACUGAUGAAGCUAGGGCCGAACCUGCUAAAGACUUCAGGGUAAUGUCUCGCCUAAAACCUUCCUUAGCCGACAUGGCCAAAUUUUUGAGAAAGGCUUCUAAAGGCCCCCGACUGGACACGUCAGGAUGGGGCCCAUGAGGUCGCCUCCCCAAAAUUCCAUCUACCCGACGGGCCCAGACUUUCAGGAUAGGUCAGAAGACCUCGACUGGACCACGCUGGACGGGACUUAUAGAGAUACCUUAAUCAUCAAAAGCAAACCUGGUGUAGCAGCAAACAAUGUCAACCAAAGGUUCAUAGCACUUGGCCUCUAGAUAGGCCUAAUUCUGACCAAUGACAUCCCUACAAAAUCCUCAAGUGUAGUCCCCCGAGGGUGAGAACUUCUACAGGAUCCCUCAAGAGUCUAUUCUCCCUCGAAAGUCUCCACGGGUGGACCCGUACAUUGCGUCCAAACGUCUGAGCAUCCUAGUUACACAUUGUGUGAAUCGCCUCAGCAUUCACGUAGUCCUGUGGCUAGCCAGGGAAAAUUUCCUAAAUGAUUGUACUUCUUGCUUCUCUUGAAGCACAACAUUUGAUGGGGCAUGCUGUUGGAAGACAUUUUUCAUCAUCAUGGGUCCCCAGUCAAUAAAGCCUAACAAAUAGUGGAAAUUUUGACAGUCUCAGAAUAGCCCUAGAACUGGCGGAGAACUUCAUAAGACUCUCAAAAGUUUCUUGCCAACCAACAAGCCUAAAUCAGCACAGACUGAGAAACAGUUUCUGCAGAGUCAGCCUCUAGCACCUUAAAACGAACCCUAUAACUAGAGCCAUAUUUUUGAUGUCUCAAUUUGCUAUGAGACCACUGCCAUUGGAUCUGACACUGUUGAAAACCCCAGGGGUCAAAUUUUAGCUUGAACAUACAUCCCAAGAAGAGUUAUAGGUCAAAAAGUGAAAUAAGAGGAGUCGCACGCUAUUCCCGUGCGGCCACCCUGCAACCCAACUCCAUUAAAGGGUGAGCCACGACUAGUAACUUUCAAAGCUUAUAUCUCCCUCGUUCAAGAUUGGAUCAUACUCAAAAUUGAUGGAGCAUGUUCGUCUCGUCGAGAAGAGCGUUUCGAUAUAUGGCAAGCUCAGCGAUGACGCCCGAGCAUGAAGAAAAGCUAGAUAAAAAUUGCUGAUCCAUGAAGAAAGUGCAGAAAAAUUGGCAGCAUCAUUCCUCGCUAGAGCAUCCAAAUCACGCCCCUCGCAUGCCUGAUAGAUGUGAAACUAAUUCCAUCACGUACGUAAGGGCUAGCGCUAUCCUUAGUCCAAACCCCGUACAUGAUGAAUGGUCGAAUUCCACACAUGAAGCCGAUGAAGUGACUACAAAUUUCUUCACCGGAAUUCCAUAUUCUGACCAAAACUUCAAAGUUGCAAAAUCUUCGUCCGGGCAUGGAAUCGAGCUACGUUUGUUGUCUCGCGAUCGUGACGGCAUGCUCAGUGUGUUUCAGUGAAGAAAUCGUAGAAAAAAAUUAAGGAACGAGUAUACAAUUGAUCUAAAGUCUCAAGAUUCAUUCAAAUUUCAAGUCACAUGAUCGUGCCCUAAAAACACGAUCCAUAGCUCGAAGUUGGUAUCAAAUCGAUCGCCAAGCCGAGACCUACAAGAAAAUAAUCAUCUUUCGAUCAAACGAGCAUCAGAACAACGCGGAUGAUCCAUGAAAACUCAUGCGCAUUCUAGGGCAAAACAGGGACGGUCUUAAAAUUCCACAACUUUUUAGGAAGGGAAAAAUUUGUCAUUUUGCAUGCUAUUUUCUAAUUUAUUUUAAUUCAGUUAAAUCGGAAUUUUCAAUAAUUAGGUUUAAUUUUGAUCAAUCCAUCCAUGUUUGGGCACAAUUCGAUAUAUACCACGUAUCAUCGUUGUACACAAAAAGGCUUGGAAAUCCUUCAUGAAAGAGAAUUUUUACUAAAUAGAAUUCCUUUUCCUUUUCAAUGUUGGGUCACAUUUGGAGAGAGAGAGUUAGGAGAGAGAAACAUUUGGACAGGUCCCCCUAGGCUCAAGAAAAUAAGGAAUUUACAGGUCAAGGGAGGCAAUUUCGAACCAGCUGAAAAAGCUGUGGGGCUUUCUUUCGUGAUCUAAGAGGGUGCCCGUGUGAGCCAGCCCGAGUAAGUUAUGGACCCAAGUGAGGUUGGUCCCCACCUCACAUCCAAAAUUCCUCUCUCACUAGUUAGAUACCUACCCUUAUUCUUGAACAAGGUUCUCAAGAGAGCGAUCUCAGGUCCUUCCGAACUUGAGACAUGUGUCAUUCGAUCACUUAGAUACGGGGAGGUGAGAUCGAGGCACCUAACCAAAACCAUGCUCAUUAUUCUUUUUUUGUAAAGGCGUAUUUGUGGUCAUGCCUUUAGGACCUGUGCAAAACCUUUUAACAUCAUGCAGUCAAAAGUGUACUACAGUUUAAGGUCAUAUAGCUAGAUCGUGGUGGUGAUCAAUGACAGCCUUUGGAGUCCAUGGAGUGAGCAUGGUGGUGGUUAUACUCACUUUGGGGAAAUGAGAAGUGGAUAGUGGUGACCUACUAGUUGACGACGAAUAUGAAUGGCGAGAUGGCUUGCCAUUUUGUGAGCACGGGUAACACGCACUAAAAUAUGAUGGAUGUUGGUAAUGAAGUGAAUGGAAUCAUUGGGGAAGUAACGAAGGUGUUGCGGGCACACGAACGGAUCGGUUGGGGAAGGCGUGCAUGAAAAUGCAUGUAAAGGGCGUGUACCCGUAGUGUUGCGGCAAUUUUAAGUUCAUGCCUGCUGGACCUGUACAAAGCAGUUUAAUGUCAUACGGCCAAGGCGUGCACUAUAGUUUAAGGUCAUACAACUCGAACCAUGGCUAUGCAGUUUAGAGUCAUGCAACUAAGACAACGCAGUUUAAGGUCGUGCAACUAGACCUCCGCUUCAGUCUAAGGUCGUGAAACUAGACCUUCGCUAUAGUUUAAGGUCAUAUAGUUUGGAUCGUGGUGCGAAGCCCUUUAACAUUAUUUGACAAGGAUGUGCACUAUAGCUUAAGGUCAUAGAGCUUGGACCAUGGCUAUGUAGUUUAGAGUCAUGCGGCUAGAACCAUGCAGUUUUAAGGUCAUGCAACUAGACCUCCGCUACAGCUUAAGGUCAUAUAGUUUGGACCUUGACUAUGCAGUGUAGGGUCAUGCAGCCCGGACCAUUGUGUGGAUUGCUGUAUAGAUGAAUCUCCAUGGGGCGAUAGAAUGGUUUGGUGAGAAGCGUACCCACUAGGGAUUAAUGGGGUAAAUAUGACUCCUCGGGGAUAACGAACAAUGGUAUGCAUGUAACUCCACUGAGAAUGGAAGACUAGAGCAAGAUUGUAACCCCACUGAGAAUUGAAGGAUAAGAAUGACCCUAACUCUACUGGGGAUUAAGCGGCAAUAUGGACGUGACUCCUACUGGGGAUAGUGGUAGAAUACACCCAGUGGAGAGGUGUGUCAAUUUCACAAUUUAAAGUCAUGCGUAUGGACUAUUUAUCCUUUUGUUUAACGUCUUGUUACAGGGGCGUGCAUUAUAGUUUUAAGGUCUUGUAGCUCGAACCAUGGCUAUGCAGUUUAAAGUCAUGCGGCUAGGACCACGCAGUUUAAGGUCAUGCAACUAGACCUCCACUACAAUUUAAGGUCAUAUAGUUUGGACCUUGGCUGUGCAGUUUAAGACCAUGAAGUUUAAAGUCGUGCAACUAGACCGGCGCUACAGCUUAAGGUCAUAUAGUUUGGACCAUGCAAUUUAAGGACGUGCACCUCGACCGUUGCUACAGUUUAAGGUCAUAUAAUUUGGACCAUGCAGUUUAGGGUCAUGCACCUAGACCGUUUAGGUGGUAAGGAAAUGUGGUUCCAUGAAAAAUAGAGCUGUAACUGAAGACUUGACUCACUGGGGAUGUAGAAUUGUGGCCAUGCGCAUGGUGCUUUGUUAAGCCUCGAUAAUGCGCACAGCGAUAGCUUCAUGAGAAGCGCAUGGCGAUAACUUCUUGUGAAGCGCAUGGAGAUAGCUUCUUGUGAAGCGUACGACGAUAGCAUCUUGUGAAGCGCACGACGAUAGCUUCUUGUGAAGUGCACGAUAAUAGUCUUGUGAAGCGCACAACAAUAGCUUCUUUUGAAGCUCACGACAUAGCAUCUUGUGAAGUGCAUGACGAUAGCUUCUUGUGAAGCGCACAAUAAUAGCUUCUUGUUAAGCGCAAGGCGAUAGCUUCUUGUUAAGCGCAUGGCGAUAGCUUCUUGGGAAGCGCACGAUGAUAGCUUAUUGUGAAGCGCACGAUGAUAGCUUCUUAUGAAGUGCACGGUGAUAACAUAUAUAGUAAAGCAUACGGUGUUAACAUCGCAUGGUGUUAAGGCAUAGACAGCAGCUGGUUCAUGAGACACAAGCAGCAACGACUCGCAUUCGGGCCUUGGGCUUGACCCACCCCAGCCUGGACUUUUCGCUGUUUGGAGAUGAGGACUGGAGUGUCAUUUCAAAUUUGUGAGGGGCACUUCACGUAGCCCUUGUCAUUAAAAGGAGCAAAACCCAAUUUUACUGUUUCACUUUCGGUAAACAAUGUGAGAGUUUUAGAGCGAGAGAGAAAUCCCGACAAGACCUUUCGACGAGAAUCAUAAUGCGCAGCGACUUCACCAGCAACACUUCAGUGAGUUUCAAGGUAUCCACAAAGUACUUGCGAAUAUAUUUUGAAAGUGCCACAGCUUCUAGAGAGGGUAACAGUGGCUUUGCAAGGAUCUAUCGAGACUUUUUCGAUGAAGAACGAUAGCCAUUGAAGCUUCUGUGAGAGAAACAGUGGUACCAUGAGGUUGUGACACUUUUUCGGUGUGCAUAGGGACUCUUUGGUGGACUUUUGGCACUUUAACGAUCACCGACAAGUUGCAGAGUCCCUGGGGACACCAGGGAGGAGAACAGGGACUGCUCGCACUUGCAUAGGGCUUUCCGGUGACUUCCUGAUGUCUUUGCGAUUGCUGUCAGGCAGAACAAAGCUCCAACAGUGGUUCUUCCAGAAGCUCAGUGAUUUUUAGUGAGUAGUAGAAUGUUAAGAGGGGAGAAGGAAACCCGUAGGGUCACAAGGGAGCUUCUACAAAGGUUUCGGUGAUUUCUCGGUAUUCUUGAUUGUUGAUAAGGGGAAAGAACAGGGUCAGAAGGGGGUCCUCGUUGGGUGGAGAAGUGUUUCCGGUGGAAGAGGAAACAACUAUAAGGGACUGAAGGGUCGCAAGCCUGUAACGGUCGGGAGGCGAAGGGCCAUAAGGCGGUGAACAGUCACCCUCCGCAUGCAGGGUGACAAGCUAUGUCGCGAGUGUCAAUUGGUGUGCCUAGAUUUUUAAGGAUGUGGCAUGCCGCACGUGUGACGCGUGUGAACAACUUGAGCGCAACCGAUGUUAGAUGCAAACGCCGUUAGCCCACCUUUAGUCGUGAGAUGGUGAUAGGCCCUUUAGUCGUGAGACGAUGAUAGUCCUGCCUUCCAUGCACGGUGAUAGUCUUGCCUUCUGCACACGAUGAUAGUCUUGUCUUCUGUGCAUGACAAUAGCCUCUUUAGUUCUGCGACGACGAUUGCCUUACCUUCUGCUCAUGAUGAUAGUCUUGCCUUCUGUGCUCGACGAUAGCAUCUUUAGUCAUGCGAUGGCGAUAGCCUUGCCUUCUGUGCAUGAUGAUACUCUUGCCUUCCACGUACGGCGAUAGCCUUGCCUUCUUCACAUGAUGAUAGCCUUUUUAGUCAUGCGACGGCAAUAGACCAGCCUUCUGCACACAACGUUAGUCGUGCCUUCUGCACACGGCGAUAGCCUUGCCUUCUACGCACGACGAUAACACUGCCUCUUAGUGACUUGCAUGCGAUAGUGAAGCCUUUGCUCUAGCUUCAUGGCCCAACCUUUAGGCACCAUUCUUGACGUGAAGAACCUCCCAAGAGUAGGGGAGCUUGGCACUAAUGAGUUCACUAGCGAAAUCUUGAUUUUGCUCACCGAGGCUUUGUGUGAACCAAGGUGGCCUUUGAGAGUCACCUUCGCUAGUGACCCCGUCCGCUUUGAGGUUAGAGAAGACAACUAUGAGAAUGUAAGAAUAGAAGAAGGGUUAGGCCUCCUUCAUUGUUUGCAUAGGAAUAUAGCCUAUAGUGGGGACUUGCCAACCCUAGGCAAAAGAAUGAUGGAGACCCCGAGCCAAAAGUGGUCCUCUGCUGGCCUCCGGGUACAAGGGGAGCACCAGUACUUGAAAGGGUACUCUUCUUGGACUGUAAGGCUGCUAAGUCGAUAUAGGGACAUUCUGAAGAGCGCUUCCCUACUAGCUGCCAUUCAAUGCUCGGCGGGAUACUAUGACUGUUGCUCGAACACAGUCAAGGUGUUAUUGGAGAUCUGGAGCCAUGCUAGUAACACAUGGCUGCUUAGUCAUGGGGAAGCAGGGAUGUCUCCGUUAGAAUUGUACUUCAUCAAUAGGCUUCCACUCAUCGGUGUUAUGUAAACGGGUCGGGAAAGAAGACCCGCCAGCUGGAUUGCAAGAUGUUUUUAGGCUUUACCAGUUGCUCUGCUCAGAGUCCAAGAAACGACGUGUCUCCUUCACCUAGAGGGUGGCGUUCUUCUAUGGAUACUGUAAUGAUGAGGCUGGUCCAAGCUCGAGAGGAAAGGGGAAGGAAUUCAUGAAGGGAGCCCCUCUUGUAUUUGAACUUUACAACAGGAACGACCACAUCUUCUUGGCGGUGUACUUGGUACUCUUUCUGUGAAAGUUUGCUCUCACAGGAGGAGCAGACAUUAUAUGUCCAGGCAUGUUCUAUGUAGCCUGUGACAUAGCGAGGGGGCGAGAGUACGCACUCACACAACCGGUCUUAUGCAACAUUUACUAUGGCUUAGGAGUCGUGUCCAGAGGGAAAGCUUAUUAAGGCAAUGAAGGAGGGAAUGACAUAGUGGACGAUGAAGCCUUCUCAGGGGACUUCAAGAUGCCUUUCCCUAUCCACUAUGUGUAUGGCUGGCUCGGGGUUUAUUUCCCCAACACCAACCUCAGAAAUAGGGUGUUGGAUGAAACAAUGUACCCAUUUCCUCUAAGGAUUGCUGGGCAGAAUGCAAUCUUCAACACUCUUGGUCAUGCACGUAGGUUGUUCUACAAUGACCACCUUCAUAUGAGUAGACCUGCCUUCCCGGUUGGAAACCUCACAAAUCACGCUUUUGCCGAUGUGCUGGGCAAGAGCCUGGAUGGUGCCCCUACCACUCAUGCGGAGCUCAUGUUCAUGUUGAGCACCAGACCUUACUGUACCAUCCAUAGUGCAAAACUCAAGGGGUAUUUCCCUCAUAGAUUUGCCUGACAGCACAAGAUAGAUCAGGGGUGCGAAUUCUCGGUAUUCUUUGAGAGGCAGUAUAGCAAACUCAGCUGCAGGAAAAAAGAUUAGCUAGGGACCCAUCAUGAGACUUGGCUUUUGAGGCACAUUUUCACAGCUUGGGCGAUGUGCUUGAAGUUCACCGUGAUCAACAGGUACGGGCUACCAUAUUUUGGGAGAACGGUGCGUUCCACUAAGGCCCACGAAUGCUGGUGGCGGAUCACUACUAAGGCGUAUUGGGAUGUUAGCCACCCUUGGAAAAGGGAGAACUCCAGCUGGAGCCAGGAGACACGGUAGAGGAGGAUGGUGAGGACUCCUCCAUUGGGGGAGAUAUUCACUCUGGGCUUCCCCUGGAACUGGCACGACGUUGGUCAGCCUCGCCAAAUUGCCGUGAACAAGUCUCUACCACAGUUUCUUCAUAUGGAGAAGAAGACAGAGAGCAUUUUUGACAACCACUCUGCUAUUUUCAAAUGGAAGGUGGGCUGCAAGGUUUUGGGGUAUGAAGAGCGCUUAUUUUAGGAUUUAAACAAGUUGAUAAGGAGCGGCCCUCACAACAAACUUACUGCUGGCUUUUCUCGGAGGGGUGUUUCUGAGACUGCUCCUCCUUCUCAAGCGAAGGGUAAGAAGAAGAAGAGGGCUGCCCUAACCGUUCCUUGUGGACCAGCUCGUCGAGCUCUGAAGCGUAAGGGGCUCAAACCUCCAGUGGUUCAAGAGCCGGAAGAUGGUUCAUUUGCCUGCUGCUUCUUCGGAGUCCUACGUGUCCCCUACUAUUUCUGUAUUACCCUCUACUCUUGAGGAUCCGUCUUCCUCUUUUAGCUCUUCAAAGACUCAAGCCGGUGCCUCGGAUCCCACUGCACCGUUCGAAAUUGCUUCAAAUCAGGAAAUGACGUCCGUGUGUGAAGGGGAGGGCCCAAUCCUGAUGGAGAAGAACGGGGCUGAUGAGGUCAGCCUUGAUGAGGUAGUCGAGGCAAAGAGGGCCUCUGGGGCCCAGGAGGUUGCUACGCUUACCAGAGAAAGGGAAACCCUAAUAAAUCUUAUUGUCAUAGAGGAGGCUAGUGCCUUAGGGACUGAAGAGGGGCUACCCAAGCUGCAGGAAGUUGUUGCUUUAAGUGAUGUAGUUGUAGGUGAUGCAGAGAUUAGACAUCCUCAGGGGGUUGAUCUUGUGGGCCCAAAGAAGGUAGUCGCAGCAGGUGAUGAAGGAGUGGAUGGCCUCAUAGCCACAUAAGCAGCGGGCUCAACAGAAGAAGCGAUAGCUGAAAUGGCUGCCCUAGAGGACAAGGGUGCAAAAGAAGAGGGGGGAGGUGUCAAACCUACCGAAGAGGAGAUGGCGGUUCAAGAAGAGAGGGGACAGGGAGAAGAAGUUGGCCCUUAAAGGACCAAUCUUACUAAUGGUGAGGCCGAAAACCCAAGUGAGGAGGCCGAUAUUGUGAGGGUUGAGGAGGUUGAGACUAGGGCCCCAAAUGAUGAGAGUUUGGGCCUCGCAAUCCCUCAGGUAGAGCCAAUAGCUCACACGGCUACCAUCCCCUCUGGCCCUGCCGUGAAAACUGAUGCUCCUUCCAUUAUAGAGGCCCCAAUAGCAUUGCUUAAGCCUAGCUUGAGUGGGAUGCUUGGCAUAAUUAUGGACAUGCUGUGUUUGGGCAUGCAGAGGCUGAAGGCUGAAAUUAACAAUGUAGUCCAACAGUUAAGGUAGGUCGCCCUUGUAGGGGGUACACCAGAGGUCCUCCCUUACUUCGACGGUGUCGAAAAUGAGAUGGUAGGAUGGAGAAUAAGGGCCUUGAAUGAAGAAGCUGGAGAUUUUUAAUUGCCUCCUUUGGAGUCCUCACUCAUGCAUCAAUACGAAUUGAUAGAAUCUCAAUUGCAUCAAAAGGAUGCUACAAUCUCCCAGAGGUCGAACCUUGCUAAGGAGGCCAUCACCUACCAUCACAGGGCGAUGACCCUGCGAGCGAAGAUAUUACAGCUGAUGCUAAAGCUGGAAAAGUUAGAGAAGGAGAUUGUGGUUUGGGAAGCAAAGGACAAGGUGCUUGCCGAUAAUAUUUUUGCCCUUGAGUACUCCUUGGAAAAAAAGGCCACCUUGAUGGAGCAUUAGGCUGAGCUGAUGGUGGAACUGAGAGGCAACAUCUAGCGGGUGAGGGCCUCGGCCGAAGAGUACAGGGGAAAGAUCAAUGAGACAAUUGAUCGUUUUUUACAGUGCUCUCCUUCUCUUUUUCUUUUCAUUUCUUCUAUUGUAAAGAAAAGAACACUUGUAAUAGCCUUUUAAUUUAUGAAUGAAAUAAUUCUUUUCUCUUUCUGUGUGAUUCAUGUCUUUUAUUCUUCCUUCUCUUUUUGCUUCAUUGUUUCUGCCCUUUCACAGUUUCAGACGAAAAAGAAUAGCCUACUCCUUGCUUUGCCUUAUGAAAGCUCGAUGUGGCUUCAAUGACCUCAAAUGGGAGCAGUUGCUUCCUCACCCCUUAGUGUUUGAUUGGACCGAGGCUCAUAAUCCAUGGUUAUCAUGAUUUGGUGAGCAUGUUCACUAUAAAUACUCCAAUCUGAGGGAGCCUUGGCUUUGAUUCAAAGUGCAAUGCUCUUGAGGUCAUCAUAGGUCUUAGUCUCAGGGAUGAACUUCUUUAAGUGCUUUGAAGUGACACGCCUAACCUCAAAUUGGUUCUAGAGGCUGCGAACCUCACUUCUUAGCUCUACCAUGGGAUCUUGUUCCUGAGAGCCGGAGGACUGACCUUUGUCUGCCUGUCCUUCUCUGAGAGUAUCUGAGAAGUGUAAGACCUUCUUUUGACUGUUGGUGAUCUCCUUGUUCAAGGAGGAUGGGAUUUGGAGUACCUUCCCUGGUGAUUGGUAUGCCAAUUCUGUUUCUAGGAGAGUGGUGGAGACAUGCAGGACUUUUUGCUGGUCAGGAGUAUAGGUGACCCUCGGUGCUGGAAGGUCUACUUAUAGGGCUUCUCAACCUCAUGAGGUACUUCUAGCUCAUCAUUUUUUCUGACGAACUAGAAGUAGAGUUAGAUGGGGAGGCUUCAUUCUCGGGGGAUGACACCAUGGCUUCAGAGACAUGGCAAGGUAUACUUGGGUAAAUGGGAGGAUCUUGCCUUGUCUUUCCUCCUUUUGAACAUGUUCGCAAUCAAUCUCUCAAGGUCUUCGACAUCAUCAUGAGACGAGGUUCCUGUCUCUCUCACGUGCUCCCAAUCAUCAUCCUUUGGCUUUUCUAGUGCUAGAAGAUCUGUGAAAUAGUACUUAGCAUCAACAUAAUGAGUCUUGGCUAUGGGGAACAGUCUCUUAUCAGCAUAGACCAUGUACUGUCUCCCAUCUCGACUGUACUUGAGGCAUUGAUUGAGCGUGAAAGGAACCAUGCCCCGAUCGGGGAACCAGAGGCGGCCAAGCAAGACAUUGUAAGAGGUAUCGGUGUUAAUUACAUGGAAUUGAGCAUAAUGUUUCACGUCACCGAUCUUGAGGAGAAGGCGAACCAUGCCGGCCGAUUUGUCUUCUGAUUGGUUGAACCCCUGCACAGUAAUGUGGGUAGGAGUGAGGUUCUCAGAUCCUAAUCCUAAUCAGGUGAGGAUCCUCCUUAGGAUUAGGUUGACUGCUGACCCUCCAUCCAACAUAAUUUGGUUGAUAGGGCAGGUAUGUAGUUUUCACCAGUCACGAAGAGGGGGAGAUUGUGAAACUUUCCUCUCACCUGAAGGUCAUCCUCAGAAAAGGUGAUCGUCAAGCACCCACUCAGGAUGGUUAGGUCCACCUUAAUAGGCUCCACAUUAGUCUCGUACACGUUUGGGUUAAAAAAGGCUUGAACUAGGGCCAUACGAUAAUCUCUAAACAGCAGAAGGGCAUCAUAGAUACUUAGAAGGGCUAGAAGCUUUCUCAAAUGCCCAACUAUGUCAUAUUUCACCUUAUCCUCAUCUGCCUUCUAUGCUCUUGAUCAAGUCACUGGUUUUGGUGGUAGGGUGGGUUUAAGAGCAGGUUUUGGUUGAGCUUUGUUUUGUGACACUGGCUGACUUUACGGUUCUGCCGAUGCGGUCAUGGGAAGGUAAUAGGGAUUUGUAUUAGGGAUGUGGAGGUUUGAGGUUGAGGCUUAGGGAAAAGUGAAGGAUCAAGAAACUUGAGGACCUUGAACUUCUGCACCAUAUGGGAGGCCUCCUUUGAACAGGAGCUUACAGAUAGCUCGAUCUUAGCUUAAGUAGCCAAGGCGCUAGCGACUGUCAAGAAUCCUACCGCCUGAGCUAGCAUCUUUCUUAAGCACCUCUAAUGUGACCUGCUAAUGUUGGUGCCUUCGAGCUCUCUGUUGAGAGUAUCAAAGUUUGGGCACUGCCGAGCAGUACCUGUGAAAGAGAUAGAAGAAGAUGGAGGAGGAGAAGAAGAAACAGUGUUAGAGUGUUAUCGACAGCUUUUUACGUCAUCACCAGAAUUUGACGUAUUCAGGGGGUAUUUUAGGUCUUUCCCCAGCUCUGACCAUUGGGGGAUGCUUUUAAUGUUGUCGCCUAUAUUGGAUGAGUCCCGAGCAGUUGAUGACUCAGGAAAAUCCACCUGAUUGGACAAAGUGAUAAGGUGAAUUGCACUUGGGAUGAAGUCCUGUAAGGUUGGCAGUGGAGGAAGGGGCUUGAGAAAUUCUUUCUCGACUGGUAGCUGAAGAAUAUAGUUCCUUCAGUAAGCUGACCUGGGUGCUCAUCUCUUUUUGGAUCUCUCGGGAGGCAUUUGGUUCAUCCUAUCAGGAUGAUGAGUAGCCCUAGCUUUGCAUAGUGCCUCAGGCUCUAGAGAUUUGAGCAUACUUCGUCUAUGGUAGACUUCUCAAGGCUGAGAAGUCGAGGGCUUUGAAGGGUCUAGUGUAGGUUCAUAAGGGCCUCUUGGAUGGGAGCGAUGGCUUGGAAGUGUUUCUAGGAGAGCAACGCAAACAAUGUGGCCUUUCUAUACCUUCUCCAUGACUACAAUGGGCACCAGAGAUUUUUUCGUACCUUGCGCAAGAUGCCUAGGCUGCCUGACGGUCUUGAGAGUGACGAGACCUUGUUGGAGCAUCACCUUGAAGAGGGACUGCAGAGGAUCUAGCUCAGCGCUUCCCUAUGCUUGUGGUGAGAGAUCUUUUCGCACUGGUGGAGCAAGGACUUAAGAGUGUCCUUCUGGGUUACCAUGAACUUCUUGGUGGUACUGUAUCUUCUUUUCUGACAGCUCAUGGAAGGCAAUGCAUUCGCUUAGGUCAUGACCUCGUAUCUGAUGAUACAAACACUAGAGAUUCUUAGUUCCUGGUGGCAGGAACUUGGGCUGCCUUGUCUACUUUGGUGUGAUGAGACCUUCUUUGAGCAUUACAGAGAAUAGUACAUGGAGGACAGUGGAUGCCUCAUCAUUCACCUGGAUUGUUAUGUGGGAAGCCUUAGUUGCCUCGAAUGCUUUCUUUAGCUCCUGGAGCUUUAUCAGACCCUUGUUAAUAAGGGCUUUGAUCAUGUCUUAGAGCAUAUAACACUCUUGAGUGGGGUGGCCUACUCUUUGGUGAUAUGCACAGUAUCUCUCGUGUGUAUCCUGUCUAGCCUGCUUUAGAGAAUUGGCUUUCGGCAGCUGGAUCAUGUUUUGCUCUAAUAAUAACAGAAUCAGUGCAGGAACCCACUCCUUCUCAAAGGCGUACAACCUGUUUUAGUGUUGGAACUAGUCGUCACUUUGAUUUAUAUUUUUAAGGGGUGGGAUCUUGUUAUAGGACUGUUGUGUUGUCUGUGCUUUGGUUGUGACUACCCCUUUUGAGAGGUCCAAGGUUUGAGAGGCGGCUUUCUUGGUGUCAGUCACAGUGACAGCCGCACUAAUCACCCCUUUUUACUCAUUGCCCCGAUUAUUAGAGCGAGAAUAACCAUCGCCCACGUUGUUUCCCAAGCUAGAGGGCUGCUGACGAGAUCCAGCAUGGUGCUUUGAUAGACCUUCUAUACGAACUGCUUUAGGGAUGAGCUCUGAGAUGGAGGGUGGAUUGGAGGCCUCAACAUGCAGGACAAUCUCGGGCAACAUAUUUCAUAUGCAGGUCUGAACUGCAUCUCUUUCAGUCAUGGGAGUGUAAUGAUAGGAUGCCAACUCUCUCCAUUGGGUGAUGAACUUAUCGAUUGGCUCAUCAGGCUCUUGAAUGAGUGAGGAGCUCGAUGGUUUCCAUGUUUCUUUGGACCUCAUAGAAUCUCUGGUAAAGCAAUUGUUCCAUUUCCUGCCAUGUGUCCACCGAGCUUGAUGGUAGCUGAGCAUACCACUAGAAGGCUGGCCAUUUGAGAGUCUGAAUGAACUGAUGGAGGAGGAUUCGCUCGUCAAAUGCCAUCUCUCGACAAGCUGCUUGGAAGUGAGCAGUAUGCUGGUGCGGGGAUGUAGCACCAUUGAACAUGGGAGCUUCUCCUUUUGAUAGUUUGGGGGAAAAGGCACCUGGUCAAUAUACGAGGGAUACAACUUUUAGUAAAGUGGUGCCCCUUGCAUGCCCGGGAUCUUCCUCUUGAGACUGUGGGUCACCAUGACAUCUACAUUUGCUUACGAAACCAUGCGGGGAGCAGAGCUGUGUUGGGAGGUCGGCGGGGGAGUUUGCCUAGAAGUUGUAUCCUCUCCAAGCUGGGAGUUGGCCUCAUGUGGAGGAGGAGAAGCAGGGGGCCUGGAGGCCUCCAGGCGAUCCAUCUGUUCGAAAAUGGACUGCAUCAUCACCUCGAACCUGUUCAUCAACUCUUUAUGGGUGUCACCCGAUUCGUUGAUCAUCAUGACGCUGACCGUUUCUUCUAGAGCGUCAGAGCCAGGUGGAGUAGUGGACUGCAUCAUACACGGCGAGUCGAUCUACAGGGGCUCAGCAUGCCCUGACUGGACUCGAGUCUUUUACGGGGAUCUUGUGAGGACCGGUUCUUGACGGUCUUGAGAUCAUGACUUCUUGACAGCUCGGGCUUCUCUUGUGACGGUAACCACCGAGCAAUGUUCUUGGACCACUUGUUCAGGCUCUGGAAUCCGAAGAGGGAAGAAGGGGUUGUGAGGCAAGAGGUCAUCAAGAGUGGUAACCUCAACUGCCUUAGGGGCCUUUCUAGUCAAGAGCAGCAAGCCUCUCUUCUGCUUGAUCUUGAGGCUGCAAUAAACUCCACUCAAGAAUUGAGUUUGAGAUUUGGAUUGCCCCAUCUUUCUUGAGCAAGGUAGGGCUGUGUUCAUGAGCUGGAGCAGAGAGUGAGGUCCAAGGAUAGAAAGCAAUUUGGGCUGCCACCUUGAAGGUUGUAGGCUUUUAUCUGCCAUCACGCCCUUUCCCCGAAUUCCCUUGUGAGGUCCGGGUGCAUGGCUGACCUGAGGUGGUUGACUCAAGAUGGUACUCUUAGGGAAAACCUUUGAGUACUAGGUCUCCAGGUGUUUGCCAAGCGAAGGAAGGGUGAAAGAAGAAGGAACUAGCUCAUGACUCCACCUGAGUCAGGAUCUGGGAGGAACCUGUGAAGCUGGUGCGUGUGCACCUUUGAAAGCAGCCCUCCAGGUCACUUGGGGGUCAACCUGGGCUCAAUCAGCUUGUUCGACCUUAGAAGGUCGAGACCAACGAGCUCGUGUCUUUGAGGGACUGGGUAGGAAACCAUCUCUCACCGGGUGAAGUCAUGUGUACUGAAGGGGAGGACGAAGUGGUCGACCCCCGUGUGCUCGAGCUAGCGCAGAACUGACGCUUCCCCGAGCUGUAGGAUGCAAAUACAUGGCACGUGCAGGGUUCGGCUUGAGAAGGCCUAGCCUUGAACGUGAGCUCAAGGCAGCAUGAAAGUUGCUCCAAGGUGUCGCUCGAGUGAAUGACCAUGAGCCCUUAGGUGUGUGUUAGAGGUGGAGGCCCCAGGGUCUCCACCUUAGUGUGUUGAGCCCCUAGGGAUAGAGGUUUGGGGUGGUGAAGUAGUAUGGGGGGUGGCCUUGUGGCGACCCUCAGGAGAGAUGGCAACUUGCUUGCCUUUCGCGAAAGUGGAUGGGGUAGCUUUUUGGCCUACCUUAGCAAUAUGACUGGCAAGGGACUUGCCAGUAGUAGGGUACAUGCUGUGGGUGAUAGCAAAUGUGCUACUAAUGCGAAGGGCCUUGGUGGAGGGUCCACCAAGACUAGAAAGUGGAGAGCUAGGGACCUUCAAGUCCCUUCCUGCAUCAAUUCAGAAAACAACUUGGGAGCCGAACUGUGAGUCCUGACUAAAAAGAUGUGUAGGGUAUGAGCCUUGAGAAACUCGCUGCCUUGUGACGGUCACGAGUGUGGGGAUGAGAAAAUCCCCAACUCUGAUGAACGGGUUGAAUAACCCAGAUGCCUGUAAUACAGUGCAGAAAAUAAAAGGUGAUGUCGAUCAAGCAAGAGUGAACAGACAAAGGGGUAGUCCAUAGUGGAGCCAUCAAACUGGUCGGAUGCCUUGAUCUUGCGUCUCCGAAUCUAGGUGAUCGGGUGACACAUGUCUCGGGUUCAGAAGACCCGAGAAUUAAGAUCGCUCUCUCGGGAGCCUUAUUCACAGAACAAGGGCAAGUGCUUAACUGGUGAGAGAGGAAUUUAAAAUGUGAGGUGAGGACCAACCUCACUUGUGUCCGUGACUUACUCGGGCUGCCUCGUGCGGGCACCCUAUUUGAUCACAAUGGAAAUCCCCUAACUGCUUCAACUGGUUCAAACUCCUCCCAUGACCUACAAUCUACUUGUUGACAGCGCAACACUAACAUGGUUAAUUGGUAAGACAAGUGGACCGAUGGACCCACCCUUGUCUUACAAUGAUGUACAUUCAUACAGCAGAGACGAUGAGGAGUUAGGGUGAUGAAUAAGAUGAGAAAUAGAAGAGGACUCGACAAGGGGACCAGACUAACAUGAUAACUGGACAAGUACAAUGACUGACUCAGAUUGGUACCAAAACAGACACGAUAAUCGGCGCGACGGCAAUACUACUCGAAACCAAGGUCGAUAUGAUCGUCCUAAUCUGGUGUGGCAGCUAGAUGGGCAUGAUACUCUAGACCAACACGACAGUAAUACUGCUUGAUAUCCAGACCGCUACAACAAUACUAGACUGAGUCUCCCCUUUAGUCAAGUGAGAAGAGAAGAGAAGACAUGAGACGGCAAAGGAGGAAGGUCCCAGCGGCAUUAGGCAUCGCCUUCCACAGCAGUGGAGUAACAGUGUCGUGUCCCCUGGACAGCGCUGGACACUACUCCUUGCAGCGGAAGGGUGAGCAGUGAACUACAGAUGGAAAUCCCCAUCGGCAACAUGAGAAGGCAGCACGCGGCGAUAGGUACAGAGCGUAAGAAAGAAGCCUGUGGACUGUGUUACGCAUCGCCACGACCCUUCGCGGGCGGCGCUAGGCAUCACUGUCUACGAUAGGCACCGGGCACAAGAGAUGCCGGCAGACAGCGUUACACGUCGUCGCGACCCUUCGCGGGCAGCGACAGGCAUCACCAUCUACGAUAGACGCAGGGUGCAAGAGAAGCCUACAGACGAUGUUACGCAUCGUCGUGGCCCUUUGCGGGUGGCGAUAAGCAUCGCCGUUUGUGAUAAGUGCAGAGCGAAAUAGAAGCUUGCGGAUAGUGUUACACAUUGCCCUUCGUGGGGGACGAUAAGCAUCGUUGUUUGUAAUAGGCGCAGGGCACAAGAGACGGCUGCGGGCGUGUUACGCAUCGCCACUACCUAUCGUUGGCAGCGAUAGGCAUCACCGUCUACAAUGGAUGCAAAGAAUGAGUGAGACCCGAGGGGACGGCAAUAGGCAUCGCCUUCAUAUAGAACAGAAAUGAACGGAGAGAGAGAGAGAGAGAUAGAGAGCAGCUCGUGCAUGGAGCUGCCAUCGCCAUGCAUGUCAUACGAAGUCACCAGAGGAGGAAAAAAGAAAGAGGCAUACAUGACACUGCCACUACUGUGCACGGCCUCUAAGAAAGACUCAGCAGAGGAGACGGAGAAUAAAGAGAAGAAGAGAGAAAAAGAAAACCAGAGAGAGAGGAAAGGAAGAGAGAGAAAAUACCAUGAAGGUGAGAGGGGUAUCGCUCUAAAUUUUCUCUCUUCUCUCUCUCCAAGACGCACUCAUGAAUUCAAGGAAGAAUCUCAAAUUUUAUUGCUCAGAGAGUGAAAGGGGGGUCCUCUACAAUCUUUUUCCAACCUCUUCUCAAUGAGAGGUAGCGUCUAUUUAUAGACUAGGGCUAAAACAUGGGUGGAUCACCCAAAACUAACCCAAAUUGAUGAUAAUUAAGGUUUAUUUGAAUUAAAAGAAAUAAGAAAAUAUGGAACAAAUUGAUUGAUUUGCCCCUACCUAACAAUUCAUGGAAUUCUAAAACAGUCCAUGCUGCUGCCCUAGAACAUGCGUGAUCCUCCGUGGAUGAUCCGGGGUUGAUCUGAUGCCCGUUUGUCCGAAAGAUGAUUGUUUUCUUGUAGGACUCAGCAUGGUGAUCGAUUUGAUACCAACUUCAAGCCAUGGAUCGUGUUUUUAAGCCACGAUCAUGCGACUUGAAAUUUUGAUGAAUUUUGAAAACUUCGGAUCGGUAGUGUGCUCGUUUCUUGAUUUUUUCCAUGAUUUCUUCAUUCGAACACACUAGGCAUGCCGUCACGAUCACGUGGAAACAAAUGCAGCUUGAUUUCUUGCCCGAACAAAGAUUUCAGACCAUUGGAGUUUUUGCCGAAAUUUGAAAUUCCAGUUCCAGAAUUUACAAUCCCUUUAUUGGCUUCAUGUACGAAAUCUAACCAUUCAUCAUGUACGAGGUUUGGACCAGAGAUAGCCCAAGACCUUGCACAUAUGAUGAAAGUGUCGUGUCAAUCCGAUGUGUGAACGCUGUGAUUUGGCCGCUCGAGCGAGGUGUGUCACUGCAGAUUUUCUUGCAACUUUCUUCACGAGUCGUCAAGGGGUGUGCCAUAUAUCGAAACGCUCGUCUUGACGAUUUGAACACUCUCACAAAAUUUGAGCGUGAUCCGACCUAAGACAAAUGAGAUAUGGAUCCUGAAAUUCACUAUUCAUGACUGUCCCUUUAAUGGAGAUUACUUACGGGAUGGCUGCACGGGAACAGUGUGUGGCUCCACCUGUUUCAGCCUUUUACCCAUAACUUCUUCCUAAAGUGUCCUUUAAGCUAAAAGUUAACCCAUAGGGUUUUUCAACUGUGCUAGAUUCCAAUGGCGGUGGUCCCACGGCCAUGUGAUGCUUCAAGAGCUAGAGGUUGAUUCUACCGAAACUGUUUCUCAGUCUCCAUUGCCUUAGAGAUGUCAGAAUGCGAAACUUGACAGUAGGCUUUUUGGAGCCCUUAUGAAGACCUUCGCUAGUUCUGGAGCAAUUUUGAGAUUGUCAAAAUUUCCACUGUUUGUUAGGCUUUAUUGAUCGGCUUCUCCCUUUUAUUCCGCAUCGGGGACCCAUCGUGCUGAAAAAUUUCUUCAAACAGUAUGACUUUAAACUACAUAGCCAUGGUCCAAUCUAUACGACCCUAAACUAUAGCACACGUCCUAGUGGCACGAUGUUAAAUUGCACAACAUACGGUCUCGGAGGCAAGACCUUAAACAUGCCCUCAGGUCUUGGCGGAUGACCUUAAAACACGUUAAAUUGAUAGUCGCGAUGGCAUGACCCUAAAUACACUUCUACAAAAAAAUGAAAAGAAGAAGAAGACCUACAUGAUGAAAUCUCGCAAGGGCGUCACAGGUAAAAAUGUCAAGAAAAAAAUGAAUGACGGACAUGGUGUGCACCCUCAAAGGCCACCAUGGGCAAAAUAUGUCAAAAAGAAAAAAAGACAGGCAUAGUGAAAACUCGCAAGGGCACUAUAGGAAAAAUUGUCAAAAUAAAGGGGGUGUGGUGAAAACCCUUCGGGGCACUUACCAUCAAAUGACGGGAGUGUUGAUCCUCUCCUAAGGGUCAUCACGAAAAAAAAUGUCAAACAUUCAUGUAGCAAGACGUUAAAAUUGUGCAACAUUAUAGUCCAUUCGCACGACUAUAAACUGUUUCCUGUUCCUACAUGUUUCCAUGGGAUUACCGCAUGACACCCUCCUACACAUCCUCUACUACAUCCUUCUUCGCAAGCCCCCCGGUGAAAGGACACCAUCCCUUUGAGGUGUCCUCCGUAAUCAAAGUGUACCUCAGUUGCGACUGUGACGAUUCAAAGAAAAGCGUGCAUUUCAAGGCUUGCGACCACCUCUAUUAAGCCAUAUUACAAAACGUGUACCACAGUUCCGACUGUGAGGCUUCGAAGCAGAGCAUGCAACUGUGAAGGCAUGCGAUCGCCUCUACAAAGCCAUAUAUUAAAGAGGUGUACCACAGUUCCGGCUGUGAGGCUUUGAAGAAGAGCAUGCAACCAUCAACGCAUGUGCCUGCCUCUACAAAGCAAUAUCUCAAAGAGGCGUACCACAGUCUCAACUGUAUAUCCCUACACCUGAUAAGGCGCUUUUGCCACCCAUUGUACCCAUUCCAUGCAUCACCAUUACCUCAAGACUUUCCUGGCCUCCAUUUUUCCAAUUGAGUCACACCACUCAUAGCCCCCUUAAGCCUCCAUCAUACACCUUAAUUGCCCAUGACCCCACUUCUUGUCAGGCGGGCCCUUAUGCUAGACCCCAUUACCGUCGAGAUUAUUCUACCACUAUCCUCAGUGGGGUUACACUUGUGCUCCGGACUCUCAUCCCCAGUGGAGUUGCACUCAGACCGUGAUCUUUCAUCCCCAAUUGAGUCAAGAGCAGGCCAUUAUCCCUCAUCCCCAGUAGAAAUCACACCAGUACUGCAGCCCAUCAUCCCCAAUGGAGUUACGUGCAUGCCAAGAAGGUCAUGCUUACCGCUUCAAUCCUCAGUGGUUCAUCGCACGCCAAGCUAUCUUAUCCCCAUGUAGUCGAGUUAACUUCCAUAAGCCUAUUCCCCAUGGAGUUUCAUCUCUCACCUUAAGAAUCCAUACUUGCCCCUAAUCCCCAGUGAAGUUCGCUUCCGUUUGCAACACCUCAUCGGGUCACGAUCUCUGUCUAAGCACUUUGCUUGUGUAUCCACAGGGAGUCGGAUUGUCACCCACAUACCCAUUUCCCAUGGAGCUCCACUUACGUGGCGACCCACAUAAUGGUCUAGAUGCACGACCUUUAAUUGCGUGGUCCAAACUAUACGACCUUAAACUGUAGCGGAGGUCUAGUUGCACGACCUUAAACUGCAUGGUUCUAGCUGCAUGACUCUAAACUGCACAACCAUGGUCCAACUGUAUGACCCUAAACUAUAGGGCACGUCCUGACCGCAUAACAUUAAAAGGUUAGCACCAUGGUCCAAACUAUAUGACCAUAAACUAUAGCGAAGGUCAAGUUGCAGGACCUUAAAUUGCAUGGUCAAAGCUACAUGACUCUAAACUGCAUAGCCAUGGUCCAAGCUAUAAGAUCUAAAACUAUAGUGCACAUCCUACCUGUAUGAUGUUAAACCUCUUUGCAUAGGUCCAGGAGGCAUGACCUUAAACACACCCCACACACGUGCACACGCCCUUUUACAUACGUCUUCACGCAUGCCUUCCUUAACUAACCUGUUCAUGUGCACGCACAACCUUCGUCAACCUCCCCAGUAAAUCCAUCUUCCUUCAUUACCAUUCAUCAUUCCUAAUGAGUUUCACCCUCACUCACAAAUGGCAAACCAUUCCACCAUCCACUCUCGCCGUCAGCUAGUGGGUCACCACUUUUCACCCACCAUUCUUACAUCACCCAUCUUUCAUAGCUAACUUCGUGCCAUCUCCUCAAUUCGAGUCAAACCACCACCAUACGCACUCCAUGGCCUCCACAGACUGUCGUUCACCACUAGCACAGUCCAGUUGUAUGACCUUAGACGGUAGUGCAUGUCCUAGCCGCAUGAUGAUAAACUGUUUCGCAUAGGUCCCGAAGGCAUGAUCUUAAAUACGCCAUCACAAAAAGGAAAAAUAAUGGCCAUUAUGUACAUCUGGUCAAGGGAACUCCAUGAGUAAAAAUGACGGACGGUCAUGGUCACGAAACCAUGUAUACAAGAGUUCCGUGAAUAAAAUCGGCACGGUGAAAACCCAAAAAGGCACGGUGAGUAAAAAUGAAAGAAUAAGAGUGAACAUAGACAAAAGGUCAUGGGUAAAAGAACCCCAAAAAAAAAAAAGUUGAUGAAAGUCAUCUCUAAGGCGUCCCUUUCCAAGUCCAAGUGAAAUCCGCAAAGGACGCUUAGAUCAAUAAAAAGGUUCAUGCAACACUCGCGUCAACAGGCGGCUUCAGCCCACACUCAAGAGAAAAAUCCAUGGUAUCACAAUACCAAGAUCCAAAAAUAAGAGCAUCAAGUAAGAUUUUGACAACCUGAGUCCAUUUAAAAAAAAGGACUCGAAGGACAGAAGACUCACCAAGAAGGCAAGAAAAGUCUCAUGAAGAAGAGCAUCAUUCCCAAGAGGACACUAAACGCACUCCAAAAUGUUAAAGACGCCCCAAGAAAAGCCAACUCAUCCAGAACUUGGACUUGUUAUGCAAACAACACUACUAGCAAUAGGCAGGUGUUAUACCCACAGCUGAUCACCUCGAUAAACUGAGGCACCCUGCCCACUGAGUACAAUCUAGUGCACCACGCAGACGGACGCCAACUAAAGGCCCUCCAACAGACUAUCCAGAAUUGUAAGGACCACAAUUUUCUGGACUAAGACACUCACGACAGUAGAGUGUAAGAAGAGCCUAGCGUCGGAUGUGUAUGAGCUCAUCACUGGCUGUGUAAGAAGAGCCCAGUACCGGCUGUGUAAGGAAGACCCAGUGCCUGCUGUGUAUGAGCCCAACACCGGCUGUGUAAGAAGAGCCAAGCGUGGGCGGUGUAAGAAGAGCCCAGCGCCGACUGUGUAAGAAGAGCCCAACGUCGGCUGUGUAAGAGGACUCAGCGCCGACUAUGAAAGAAGACCCAUUGCCGGCUGUGUAAGAGACCCAUCGUCGUUUAUGAAAUGGUAGAGCAUUGUUGGGAGUGUAGUAUCGUCUAGAGCAUCGCCACAAGUGUAGCGUCGUCUGAAGCAACGUCGCGCAUGAAGCAAUCUUAAUGUCAUGAGUGAAAAGUGAUAUUGUCAGAGCCGUACAUGUCAGCACUGCACUUGUCAGUGUCGUACAUGACAGCCACGUGGUUCCCACCUACCCACGAGUACUUAAGCCCCACACUUCUUCACCCCUCCAUCUUUUUGCUCAUCUCCCUUCUUCUUCUCCCAAUUUUCUUGCUCUAGAGCUCUGGUGUGAACCCCUUUGCUGCUGCGGUUGGGGAGCCUUACCAAGGAGGUUAAACUGGUUUGUGUGGAGUUUACGAGCAUCGUGAGCAUCAGGUAAGUGAGUCUAGCUAUUAUGCAUCAAUAAAAUUGUAGGAAUUUAUGUUAAGUGUUGAAACUGGGGGAAAAAUGCUAGGAUGACAUGUAUGAGAAUGAAUGUAUUGUGAUGAGCUUGAAAUCUCAGGUGUCAUGAUCAAUUGAGCCAUGUAUAUGAUUUCAUUUGUGGUGGAAAUGUGUGAAGUAAUUCUCUUUUGGUAAUAGUUUAUUAAGAACGUGGUUUUGCAUCAAUAUUUGCUUUGGCUUAUGCAAUAUUGAAUGUGCUUGAAUGUGGGUUAAACUUGAGAAGGUGAAUUUCCAGAACUGUGACGGCUCUUGCAUCAGACGUUUCAUUAGCCAAACGGCAUCUAAAUGGACCCAAACCGGUUUUCAAUGAAUUAUAUGGAUGUUCACUUCAACGUUUCUCUUUAUAUCAUCUUUAAAUUUCACAUGGAUUAGAAAUUAUGCUUUAAAAUGUGUGGGUAUGUCACUGUUAAAAGAUUUCAGAAAUUCCUGGACUGUUACUCUUUUUGUACCAAACGUUUGGCCUAUCAAAUGAUAUCCAAAUGUUCUCAAAUCACCUCCAUUUGAUAAAUACAUGUGUGUACUAUGAUUUGUUUGUUUUAACCCUGUCCAAAUUCUUCAUAAAUGAUGAGCUCUGCUUUAAAUUGUUCAUGUAAUGUCACUGUUAGCAGAUUCUAGAUUUCACAGCAGAUACCUCUAUUGUAACCAGUUUUGACUAACCAAACGGAAUCCGAAUGCUUCCAAACUACGGCCACUUGUAAUAAAAGUUUCAUGUUGAAUUAUUUUUUAAACUCUCUGUAGAUUGAUAGUUAUGGCCCAAAAUGUGAGGGUAUUGUAUUGUCCAAAGUUGCAGGAAAUUCCAGCGACUAUCACCUACUUUGUACUGAGCUUUUGACCUAUUGAUUGACGUCUAAAUACCUUAAAAAUACCGCCAUUUUAAAGAUAUAUGUGUAAAAUUAGAGUUUUAUGUUUUAAUUAUUUUUAGAUUCUCCCUAGAUUGGGAGUUGUACCUCUGAGAAAGGGGGUAUGCCACUGCUAUGUAGCACCGAGAUUUUCAGAUUUGUGCCUGUUUUCAAAAUAAAUGGUUUUGCACUCAAACUCUAUUCAAAUGCGUUCAAUUCACCUUCAGAUGAGCUUUAAGAGAGUCUAUUUUGAAAUCAACUUCUGAACCACACUAAAACUCUCCACUAUUUUAAAAUAGUGCUCUAUUCCUACAAGGACGUCACAGUUGUGGAUGAAACGAAAUUAUAUUCACUUGAUGAACGAUUCACUUAUGCUUUUAAGUAACAAGUAUAAACGCAUGAUAACUGUUAUUGGAUGGCUUCCCUGUGAUGAAUGCUACAUAUUCACUGUACGAAUAAUGCUAUGCAACCAUGCAAUAAGCAAUCAUUUGAUAAAUGCGUAUGCUCUGUGAAGGCCCUGUAAUACAUAUUGCAUGAAUGAGACUACGAGUUAGGAAUGCAAAUUGGCAAGUGUAAAUGUCAUGAGAUAACUCUCUUAUGAUGGAUGCCUCAUUCUAGUGGCAUAACAUACUCGUUAGUUGUGUACGUCUGAAUGAUACUUAAACCUUGCUAAUGAGACCAGAAUGGUCUGCCAUAGGGCACUGACUGAGUGCGAGUAAAGAUUAAUGCUUGACUGUUUUGUUCUGAGACUGUUAUAUUGACAACUAUGCAAUGGGCCACUCAUUGGUGGUGGGUACUGUUUUGUUAUGAUAUUGUGAUAGCUACGCAGUGGGUCACCCAUUUGUACUGCGACUAAAGUUAUGGAUGCUUUGAGUAUCCUUUGGCAUGCUUUGUGUGUAUAGCAUGACCAAGAUUGAUAUGAAUGGGUGCCUGAUUUGAGAGUAUUGCAGGGGCCAUUAUGUGACUGAUGUGGUUAGUGUUAUGAGAACCUUUAGCAUGCUUUGUGUGUAUCGCAUGGCUCAGAUUGAGAUUGAGAGGUGCCUUCUUUGAGAGUAUUGCAGGGCCUACUUAUGUGACUAAUGCUUGUGGGGUACAUGCUUUGGGUGUACAGCAUGACCUGACCAUCUGUUUUUUUGUGAAAUGGAAAGGUGCUCUUUGAGAAAGCAAGAGUAUACUCUGUUGAGACAAGAACGUCUACUGUGAAACACGUUCUGUUUUAGAAGAAUGAAUGAUAUGGUGAAAUGCAUGACUGCUAUGCAUUUUGAUAGUGUUCGUCUAGGAAAUGUUUUGAACUACCAAUCCUUAUGAUACCUAUUAUCUGCACUGUGAAUGUGAAUGAUAUUUAUUGUAUUAAUCGAAUGAGAAUUCUAAUAUCUAAAAUGAUGCCUGUUAUUGAGGCAUUGACGAGAUUUCUGACAUAUGUGAUAUUUAUCCUGUGACAGAUUUAAUAACGAUGCUUAGUACCUAGUCAUUAGGUGCCUCUAUCUCGCCCUCCUAAUCUAGAUGAUCUGGUGGCACAUAUCUCGGGUUUUUGGUGAACCUGGUAUUUGGGAUCACUCUCUCACAACCUUGCUCAUGAGAAAGGGUAGGUAUAUCAACCAAUGAGAUAGGAAUUUAAGGUGGGUUCAGUACUUACUCGGGCCGACUUGCGUGGGCGCCCUCUUAGAUCACGAAGAAAGCCCCCAAGCUACUUUAGCUGGAUCGGAAUCCCCUCCCUUGACCUGCAAUCCUUUUGUUUUCUACAUAGCACUUAUACGGUUAAUUUGCAAGACAAGUGGGUCGAAGGGACCCACCCUUGUCUUAGGUAAUUAUACAUUCAUUUGAUAGAAUAAUGAAAUGAAAAGUUGAAAUAAGGAUAGAAAAGAGAAGGAACCUAAUGAAGCGCGAGACUAGCAUGACAGAUAGAAAGCGACCGACUCAGAGUGGUAGCAAGAUGGGCAUGGUUCUCAGGACCAGCACGACGGUAAUACUACUCGAAAUCGAGGCUGAUAUGGCAGUGCUAGGCUAAGUCUACCCUAAGUUAAGUGAGAAGAGAAAAGAAUGAAGAGACGAAAAGAGAGCUAGACAGCGGAGGGGGAAGAGCCCAGACGGUGAUGGGCAUCUCCUUUGGCAUCAUGAGAAGGCACUGUUUCCGUUGCGGGCAGUGACGGCUUCUGGUGAGGCUCACAGUGAUCGAUCCUCACGAGACACACGACGCUAGCUGGAGAAUAUGAGAGAAGCCCGUGGAUGGUAAUAAGAGUUGCUGUUGGCAACAUGAAGAGGCAACACGUCCCUUGCGCAUGAUGAUAACUCCUGACGGGGUGCACGACGAUGGGCACAGAGAGGCGCAGAAGGAGCCUGCACGGGGUGACGGGUAUUGCCGCGACCAUUUGUGGAUGGCAAUGGACAUCGCCGCCUACAAUAGUCACGCGACAGGGUGAAACCCCUGCGGCGAUAAUUGGCUUCCCUACCUGCAUUCCUCGUUGAGACGUCGAGGAUACGUCUGUAGAUGGCGAUGAGCAGUGUCAUCUGCAAGCCUCAUCGGAAGAUAGAGAAUGAAACAGAGGGAGAAGGAAGCUCACACAUGGCGCUGCCAUCAUCAUGCACGACCUGUGAGACUAUAGGAGAGGCAUACACGGCAUUGCCACGGCCGUGCAUGGCCUCUGAGAGGAGCUCAGAUGGAGGAGAAGAAGAAGAAAGAGAGGAAGAGAGAGAAGAAAAGAAAAAGAAGAGAGAUAAGAUUUACCUCAAGCCUAAGGAUACCGAUUCAAAAGUUUCUCUCUCCUUACUCUCUCUCCAAACAUGGCACCACAAUAAAAAGAAAGAGAAACUUUAUUAAGUAAAAACUCUCUCUUUGUGUAUUAUGUGUGUGUGUCUAUUCCCUUUUUACUUUUAAUGAUGGUACGUGGUAUAUAUAGAAUUUGCCCCAAAUAUGGGUGGAUGAUCAAAAGUAACCCUAAUUACUGGAAAUUAAGAUUAAAUUGAAAUAAAAUAAAUUAAAAUAAAUUAGAAAAUAGGGUGGAAAAUGAUAGAUUUUCCCCUUCCUAACAAUUUUUGGAAUUCCAAAACAACUCUAUGUUUCUCUAGAACGUGCGUGAUUUUUCAUGGAUGAUCUGGGGUCAUUCUGAUGCCCAGUUGAUCAAACGAUGAUUUUUUUCUUAUUGGGCUCGGCAUGGUGAUUGUUUUGAUACCAACUUCGAGCCAUGGAUCGUGCUUUUAGUGCACAAUCAUGUGACUUGAAAUUUGAAUGGAUCUUGAAUCUUCGGAUCGAACUCGUUCCUCGAUGUAUUUCGGUGAUUUCUUUACUGGAUCACACUUAGCAUGCCGUUAUGAUCACUAUGCAACGAACGCAGCUUGAUUCCAUGCUUGAACAAAGAUUUUGUAACUUUGGAAUUUUGGCCAAAAUCUGGAAUUUCGGCAACAUAAUUUGUAGUCGCUUCGUGUGUCGUUCAUCUUGUACGGCGUUCGAGUCAAAGAUAGCCCGAAACCUUACGCAUGUAAUGGAAUUGGUGAUGUGCCGAUCGGGCUUGCAAGCAGCGUGAUUCGGCAGCUCAAGCAAGGCACAAUGCUGCUGAAUUUCUUGCACUUUCUUCAUGGUUUAGCAAAUUCUCUCUAGCUUUUCUUGUGCUCUGGUGUCGUCGCGGGGUGUGCCACAUGUCAAAACGAUCGUCUUGACAAUAUGAACAUGCUCACUGAAUUUAAGCACGAUCCGACUUGGGACGGGUGAGAUAUGAGCAUCACAAGUAACUAUUCAUGACUGUCCCUCUAAUGGUGUGGAGUUGCAGGGUGGCCACACAAGAAGAGAGUGUAGCUCCACCUGUUUUGCUCUAUCAACUAUAACAUUUCUUGGAGUGUCUGUUUUAAGCUGAAGUUUGGCCCUUAGGGGUUUUCAACCACGUCGGAUCCAAUACUUUUUGUCCCAUAACAAUUUGAGACACUGAAAAUGUAGCUCUAGUUAUAGGGUCCUUUUCAGGGUGCAAGAGGUCGAUUCUAUUGGAACUCUUUCUCAGUCUGCACUGCCUUUGACAUGUUAGAAUGUGAUGAAACUUGGUAGGAGACUUUUGAGAGUCCUCAUGAAAUCCUUGACUAGCUCUGGAUCUGUUCUGAGACUGUAGAAAUUUCCACUAUUUGCUAAGCUUUUAUUGAGCAGGGCCCAUGAUGAUGAAAACUAUCUUCCAACCGCAUGCCCCGCCAGAUGUUGUCCUUCGACAGAAUCGAGAAGUGCAAUCAUUUUAAAAGUUUGAGGGAUCUUGUCGAGGUCCUCAUCCUCAAGGAAUUAUUUGUGAUUCUGAAGCAUGAGGCUUUUGUAGAGACCUCCUUGGAUAGAAUCAGGCCUAUCUGAAGUCCAAAUGCUAUGAACCUUUGGUCGUCAUUAUUCACUGCUACAUCAAGUUUUCUUUUGAUGUUCAGGGUAUCUUUAUCAUGGAAAGGAAUACCAUCAACUAUCUGGCAGUUUAGGCCCAUGCUUCGUCAGUUUCUUGCCUUCAUGAUGGUCUCUUAGCAUUCCAGAGGGAUCUUUUGGACAUUGUCCUCACCCUCAAGGACUCUUAUUUUCGUUGAUGUUGAAAUGUAGGAGAUCUUAUGCGGUUCUCACUCCCUAAUGAGCCAAUUUGUGUUGUUGAUGUUUGGGAGAUCUUCUGUGGCACUCACUCCCUGAUGAGACAAUUUGUGUUGUGAUUGGAUGCUGACAUUUGAGGAUUUUAGGUAGACCUCAUUAGCCAGGCUUGUGACUUUUUGAAAAUUGAGUGUCGGCUGAGGUGGCGGUAGUGCAUCAACCUGUUUUGUCGGUCUAAGCACCCUUACGUGGGUAUUCACUUGAACAUGAGAAGUGGCACUGUAGAGACUAUUUUCACCAACUUAUGUUAUUUCUGGGCACUUUUACCCAUGACCUCACGAUCAUGUCCACCCCUUUCAUCUAUUUUUUCUCGCGAUGCCCCUUUUGAGGUUUUCACCAUGCCUGGGUUUUGUUUUCCCGAAACUCUUUUACUCAUGAUUUUGUGACCAUGCCCGUCCAUCAUUUUUACUCAUGGUGUUCCCCUGUAUAGAUGUACACCAUACCCAUUUUUUGUGUGAAGGCGUGUUUAGGGUCAUGCCUUCGAGACCUGUGCGAAGCCUUCUAACGUCAUACAGCCAAGACGUGCACUAUAGUUUAGGGUCAUACAGUUGGACUGUGAAGGUGAUGAAUGGCAAUUUAUAGAGGGCAUGGAGUGAGUAUGGUGGUAGUUACUACUCACUUUGAGAAGAUGGCACAUGGCUACCUAUGCAAGAAAAAUGUGGGAGAAGAACGGUGACCCACUAGUGGACGAGGAGUAUGGGUGGUGAGAUGGCUCGUCACUUUUUGAGCAUGAGUGAGACUCGCUGGGGAAUGAUGAAAGAUGGUAAUGAUGAAUGGACUUGCUGGGGAGGUAAUGAAGGUGGUGCACGCACGCGAAUGGGCCGGCUAGGGAGGGGAUGCGCGAAGGUGCACGUAAAGGGCAUGUGCGCAUGUAUGGGGGCGUAUUUAAGGUCAUGCCUCCUAAACCUGGGUGAAACAGUUUAAAGCCAUGCAACGAGGACCAUGCAGUUUUAGGUUGUGCGACUAGAACUCUGUUAUAGUUUAAGGUCAUCCAGUUUGGACCAUGGCUUGCACAGUUUAAAGGUCAUGCAACAGGAACCAGGGCUGUGAAGGGCUGUGAAGUUUAAGGUCAUGCCGCACGGACUGGUAAGCGGGUUGCCAGAGUUGAGCUAGUCUUCAUCUCUUCUCUUUCUCUUCAUCGCUUAUUUGACCAGAGGGCAGGCUGAGCCUCAAGCUGUCCUGCCAGUCUUGUCGUAUAGCAGUAAUGUUGUUGUGCUGGUCUGAGUUACCGUGCCCGUCUUACUGCCACGACAGGCUAGCCAUCGUGUCAGGCUGGUUGGUGUUGGUUCCGUCAUCUAGUAGUAAUGUCGUUGUGCCAGUCUAAGUUAUCGUGCCCAUCUUGCUACUACAUUGGGUCAAUCAUCUACUGGUCUAACCACUGUGUCAGCUGAGUCGCCCGGUCAAACUUUAUCUCUUACUUUCACUUCGCCCUAUAACAAGGUGGGGGACCUAUACCGCCCUUGUCUGUACUUCUAAUGUGUGUGUGUGUGUGUGCGUGUUUGCAGGAAAAGAGAUACAGGUCAAGGGAGGCGAUUCCAAAUCGGCUAUAGGCUAGGAGGCUUUCCAACGUGAUCUAAGAGAGUGCCCACGAGAGCCAGCUCGAGCGUGUCAUGGACCCACGUGAGGUAAGUCCCGCCUCACGACCCUAAUUCCUCUCUCACCGGUUGGUACUCCUGCCCAUAUCUUCUUUUUGUGGUUUUCGAGAUAACGAUCUCAGGUCCCGGGUCCAUCUCGAACCCGGAACCACACCACCAGCUCAACCGGAUCCGGAGGGCGAGAUCAAGCACUUAACUACUAAGCAAAGAACUUUAACGUCAUGCGAUCAGGACGUGCACUAUACUUUUAAGGUCAUAUAGCUUGGACCAUGGCUAUGCAAUUUAAAGUCAUGCAGCUAAGACCAUGAAGUUUAAGGUCGUGCAACUAGACCUUCGCUACAGUUUAAGGUCAUAUAGUUUGGACCAUGGCUAUGCAGUUUAAAGCCAUGUAUUUAGACUAUUGCUACAGUUUUGGGUCAUACAACUGGACCAUGGCUGUACAGUUUAGAGUCAUGCAUCAUGGAUCAUGCAGUUUAAGGUCAUGCAAUGAGACCUCCGCUACAGUUUAACGUCAUAUAGUUUGGACCAUGUAGUUUAGGGUCGUGCAUCUAGACUAUUACUAUAGUUUUGGGUCAUGCAACUAGACCAUGGCUGUGCAGUUUAGAGUCAUGCGUCAUGGACCAUGCAAUUUAAGGUCGUGCAACUAGACCUUCUCUACAGUUUAAAGUCCUAUAAUUUAGACCAUUGUGUAGGUCGUCACGUAGAUGGAGCUUCUACAGGGAAUAAGUAUGUGGAUGGUAAUUCGACUCUCUGGGGAUAAAAUGGUUAAGGCCAUACACAAGUAGAGGGCUCAGAUGGAGAUGGUGGCCCUACAACGGAUGGCAAACAGAAGCGGACCUCCUAGAGGAUAGGAGGUUAGAGUGACUCCUUGGAGGCGAAAGAUAGGAUUCCAUAAGUUUAUGAAAGUUAACUCGACUCCCUGGGGAUAAGGUAGCAAAGGGUCUAAUCAAGGAUAAUGACUUAGUGUGAAACAAACCAUCUGGGGAUUGAAGAGGUAAGCAUGACACCUUUUUGUCAUACACCUAACUCCACUGGAGAUGACAGGCUACAGCAUAGGUGUAACUCCUACUAGGAGUGGUGGCAGAACACUCAUGGUGGUGACCAGGUUCAGAUAUGCGUGGUGCUAGCAUGGGCAGUAGUAACACAGGCGGCGAUAGUCAUGGGCGUCAGUAGCAUUGACACACACGGCCUUAGAAUGGGUGCGAGUUGGGCAAAUAGCACUAAGCUGUCGUUAACAUUGGUCGCACGUGGUGUUGGUCAGUGACUUUCAUGCAUGACGUUAGUCACACACGGUGUUGAUCAGUGACUUUGAUGCAUGGCUUUAGUCACACGGAGCGUUGGUCAGUGGCUUGCACACACGACGUUAGUCAGACAUGGCGUUGGUCCGUAUUCGGGCAUCCGUCCUGGGCCAACCCGGUCCAUUUGAUGCUUGGUGCUUCAUGGCAAUGGCAAACCUUUGUUCGAGCCUCGGGUCUAAGCUCGAUUCAGAUCGGCCCAUCGCCGUUUAGUCCUUAAGGACCUUACUGGCAUUGCAAAAUUUUUUAUGGCACUUCAAGGGAACACUGCAUAUAUAAGGGGGUAAACCCCUUUUUUCACCGUUUUACCAAAGGUUAAGUAAAUCUUAGCAGUGAGAGAGAGAAUCUUUUAGUGAGAACUCCAGCAAACAAUGUGGGGCACUUUAAAGAAGUUUACAAGCGUUUGUCGACAAGAAUGUUUCGAUUGGGAAGAGGGAGCACUGGUAGGGGAACACAGGGGCAUUCGUGAAGGGUUGCAGGAGUCUACCGGGGAAGGUGCAGAGGUUUUCAGUAAGGGUUGUCGCAAGGGUGACAAACACAGAGAGUUUAUCAUGGAGCAGUGAGAAACUCUGACAGUAGUUUUGGAGUAGCAGAGAAAGGGAAAAGGGAUCCAAGUUGCAACAAGGGCUACUGAUGAAAUUUUUCUGUCUUUCGGGGUUUUUCCGGUGGUGUGGAGGAGAAGGGAAGGUGCGACAAUGUGUUUCCGAUGGGUGAGAGGAGUUUCUCGAUGAGCAACCGAGAGGUUGCAGGGCAGCGAACAGUCAUUGUUGGUGAAGGGUCACUGGGAGGGUGACGAUCGUAAUCCACACGUGUGAGGAUGCAUGUUAGACCAUGUCACAGCUGGCAGUUGUCAGGUGGUGCACCCGGAAUCCAGGUGACACGUGCACAAUCUGUGGCAUGUGUGAAGGAUUCGAACAUAAAUAGCCCUGCUCGAAAUUCACAAGCGGCAAUAGUCUUGAGAACACAUCCGACGUUAGUUUUUGAAAACACAACCGGUGCUAGCCCUUAACAUACACAGUCGGCAUUAGAUGUGGACAAACACAACCAGUGCUAGCCUUUGAGAACAAAGCUGGUGCUAGUCUUAACGAACACAGUCGGCGCUAGUCUUGACAAACACAGUCGGCCUUAGUCUUGACGAACACAGCUGGCGCUGGUCUUGACAAACACAGCCAACGCUAGACUUGACGAACACAGCCGGUGCUGGGCCUUGAUGAACACAGUCGAUGCUAGUCUUGAUGCACACAGCCGGCGCUAGGCCUUGACUAAAACAACCGGCGUUAGCUUUUAAGAACAUGGCCGGCACUGGGUUUUGACAAACACAACCAGCGCUAGUCAAUGCCUUAGUGAUUCGCAGAUGAAAAUGAGCCCUUGAGAUUAAUAUAAUGGGAGGAUCUUGUUACAGAAUCCCUGACAUAAAGGACCUUCCAAAGGGAGGAGAGCUUGGCAUGAGUAAAUUUAUUAGUGAGAGCCUGGUCAAGGGUGAGCCCAUUUGGUUGACAGAACCAACAUGCAAAUCGGAGUGGCCCCUUAGUGUCACUUUUAUUACCGACUCGAUUCAUUUUGAGGUCCGGGAUGACAUUGAUGGAAAUGUCUGUAUUAAAGAGGGGGUGGCCUUCCUUCAUUGCAUGCAUAAGAAUCUCCAUGUUGGCUCCUUGGGCAUGGCAAUGUAGGAAUCUUCUUGCUAGAUCUUCACUUCAUCGACGACCUUCUACUUAUUGGAGCAAUGUAUGAUGAGUUCAUGCAUCAGAACUCAGUCAUCUUCGGUGGUGCUCACCUAAGGGAAGAGGAAUCACUUGCUGGUCUUCAAGAGAACUUUGAGAUUUACCAACCGCUUUACACCAAAUCCAGCAAUGGUCGUGUGACCUUUGUUGAAUGGCUGAAAUUCUUCUACGGGGAUUACCUUGAGGAAGAUGGUCCAGUUGUCUUGAGAGGAAAAGGGAAGGCAGCUACGAAUGGGACACCUCCAAUUUACCAGUCCCAGGCCAGCGAUGAUUUCAUCUUUUUGGCUGCCUAUCUGCUUUAUUCUUGUGCAAGUUUGUUCUCCCUGGGGGAGCCGAUACUAUUCAUCUAGGCAAGCUCUAUGUGGCUUGUGACGAGGCGAGGGGUUGCAAAUAUGAUCUUGCACAACCAGUCUUGUGCAACAUUUGCCAUGAACUGGGAGUUAUUUCGAGGGGGAAGGCCUACCAAGGCAAAGAAAGGGGCAAUGGCCUUAUCGGAGGCGAAGCUUUUCCUAGGGACUCUAAGACACCAUUCCCCAUCCAGUAUGUGUACAGGUGGCUAAGAGCCUAUUUCCCUUCCACUUAUGUCAAAAAUCAAGGCGUGGGGGAGACUAUGUGCCCCUUUUUUACGAGGACUGCAGGUAAGAAGCCUAUCUUUCGUAGCCCUGGGAAUACUUGUAGCUUGUUUGGUAACGAGUCCUCCAGUGUGCGUCAUGUCGCCUUUCCAGUUGGGGGCUUUACUGACAGAGCCUUUAUUGAUGAGAUGGGUAAAGAGCUGGAUGGUGCUCCUACUACCAUCAAGGAGCUCAUGUUCAUUUUGAGCAUUCGAGAGGGACUUGUGCCCUAGAGAACCCCCCAUAGUGCUAGGCUCAAAGGGUACUUCUCGAAUCGUUUCGCUCGUUAGCACAGGCUGGAUCAAGGCUGCCCCUUCUCCGUAUUCUUCAAGAAGCGUCAUUAUAUAGUAAACACAUGGAAGAAGGAAGAGCUACAGACUCUUCGGGAACCAUGGGGGUUAGAGCAUUGUUUGAAGACAUUUUUUAGCACCUAGGUCCUUGAUGCGGAAUAAAAGAGGAAGUCGAUCAAUGAAGCCUCGACAGACAGUGAAGUUCCCAAUAGUCUCAUAAUUUCCCCAAAACGGGUCAGAAUCUUCCUAAGCACUCCAAAAGGCCACCUGCCAAGUUAUGUCACAAUCCGACAUGUCUAAGGCAGUGUAAACAAAGAAAAUUUUUUGGAAAAAUUAGCCUUUAUCACCCUCAAACAGACCCCGUAAUUAGAACUAUAUUUUUGGUAUGUCAAACAGCUGUGGGACCACCGCCAUUGGAUCCAGCAUGGUCGAGAACCCUUAUGGGUCAAGCUUCAACUUAAACAAACAUUUCAUGACAUUGUUAUGGGUGAAACAUUUAAAAGGGGUAGGUUGCAUGCUAUUCCCGUACGACCUCCCUGCACCAAUCUACAAUAAUGGAGGUUGAUGUGCACAGUCUCGAGCAUUGAAUUCAAUGACCAGUAUCUCACUCGUUCAGAGUCAAAUCGUUCUCAAAAUUUGGUGAGCGUGUUCGUCUCAUCAAGAUGAGCGUUUUGAUCGGUGGCACAACCCAUGACGAUACACGAGCAGGGAGAAACACUAGAGAGAAGUUGACAAUUUGUGAAGAAAGUUAUAGAAAAUUCAGCAGCAGCACGCCUCACUCGAGCGGCCAUAUCAUGGCGCUCGCGUACCCGAUCGAUGCGAAACCAAUUGCAUUAUGUACGUAAGGUCUAGGGCUAUCUUUGAUCUUAGCCCCACAUAUGAUGAACUGUUGGAUUUGGCACACAAAGGCGACAAUGUUGCUGCAGAUUCCAAUCGUUAAAUUUCAAGAUCUGGCAAAAAACUCAAAACGAUGAAAUCUUCUUCCAAGCACAAAAUCGAGUUGCGUUCAUUACAACGUGACCGUGACGGCAUGCUCAGUACAAUUCAGUUAAGAAAUCAAAGAAAAACAUCAAUAAAUAAGCACACUAUCGAUCAAAAAUUUUCAAGAUCCAUACAAAUUUCAUUAGUAUCAAAUUGAUCCUCAUACCGAGUCCGACAAGAAAGCAAUCGUCUUUUAACUGAACGUACACCGAAGCAACCUUGAAUCAUCAAUGGAAGAUCACAUAAGUUGUAGGGCAGCAGCAGGGACUGUUUUGGAAUUUCAUGUAUUGUUGGGCGGGGGCAAAACAAUCCUUUUGCACCCAAUUUUAGAAUUUGUUUUAAUUCAAUUAAAUUGUAAUUAUCAUCAAUUUAGGUAUUUUUGGGCGUCCACUGAUGUUUGUGCCCAAUUCUAUAAGUACAUGUUAAACACAAUUGUCAAAGGACCCUUGAUUCUUUUAUCUCAUCAAUAAAAUUUGAGAGUUUUCACCUACAAAUUGUGAGUACAUCUUGGAGAGAGAUGGGAGAGAGAAGAAAACAGCUGGUACCCUUCGACAAGGUAAUUUUUUCUCUCCUCAUCUUUUCUCUCUCAUCUCUUCUCAUCUCAUCUCUCUUUCUCUCUUUUCAUCUCAUCUCUCUCUUUCUUUCACCUCAUCUCAACCCUCUCUUUCUCUCUCCUCCUCUCAUCUCUCUUUCUCUCUCUUCAUCUCUAUCUCUCUCUCUCUCCACUCGUCUAUAUCUCGCUUUCCCUUUUCCUCUCUGAUCUUAUUUGUCAACUUUCCUUUUCUCUCUCUCUUCUAUCUUUCCUUUCUUUCUUCUUUACUUUCCUUCUCUCUCCCUAUUCUCCCUCUUUCCUCUCGGUUCAUGCAUGGCGGAGCCUAUCGCCUGACAUGAUGUAUUCUUGUUUCUAAGAUCUAAACAGUGAGCCGCCCUUUAACAUGAGUGGCAGAUUGAGCUUCUGUUAAAGUUUCGUUAUCUUUCUCCUUGUCAUGGACGGCAGAUGCUCAUCGUCGGCCAUGUUUUAUCCCACUUCUUAAACCCCUGUCAUGGAUGGAAGAUGUCGUCGUUGUCCAUGUUUUCUCUCUUUCCUUUUCGUUUUUAUUAUGAACGGCAGAAGUUCAUCGCUAUCUAUGUUCUCUCUCUUCUAGUUCCUUUGACAUGGAUGACAAAUGUCAUCGUCGCACAAGUUUUCUCUCUUUUCUUUUCUCUUCUGUCAUGGACGGCGAAAGCUCAUCAUUGUCCAUGUUUGCUCUCUCUUAAUUUCUCUUUCAUGGAUGGUGGAUGUCAUCGCCGCCCAUGUCUUAUCUUUCUUCUAAUUCUUUCAUCAUAGAUGGCGGAUGACAUUGCCGUCCAUGUUUUCUCUCACUUAAUUUCUCUGUCAUGGAUGACGAGUGUCAUCGCUGCUCAUGUAUUCUCUUUCUUCUCAUUCCUCCAUCAUGGACGGCGCAUGUCAUCGCCGCUCAUGUCUUCUCUCCCUUCUAAUUCCUCUAUCAUGGACAGUGGAAGUUCAUCGUUGUCCAUGUUUUCUCUCUCUUCUCUUCUCUAUCACAGAUGGUGGAUGCUCAUCGCCGUCCACAUUUUCUCUCUCUUAAUUUCUUUGUCAUGGACGACAGAUGUCACCGUCGCCCAUGUCUUUUCUUUCUUUUAAUUCCUCCAUUAUGGAUGGCGGAUGUCAUCAUUGUCCAUGUUUUCUCUCUCUUAAUUUCUCUAUCAUGGAUGGCAGAUGUCAUCGCUGCUCAUGUCUUCUCUUUCUUCUAAUUCCUCAAUCAUGGACGGUGGAUGUCAUCGCUGCUCAUGUCUUCUCUCUCUUCUAUUUCCUCUAUCAUGGACAGUGGAAGCUCAUCGUUGUUCAUAUUUUUUCUCUCUUCAAUUCUCUAUCACAGAUGGUGGAUGCUCAUCACCGUCCAUGUUUUUCUCUACUCUCACUCCUCUGUCAUGGACGGCAGAAGCUCAUCGACAUCAAUGUUUCCUUAUACUCUCUCUCUCCUUUGUCAGAUGGAGGAAGUUCAUCGCUGCCCGUGUUUCCCUCUCUCUUUUCUUCCCCUUUCUUCUUUCUUCUUCCCCCUUUUCUCUUCUUUCUUACUGCCCCUUUCUUCUUUUUCUCGUUCUCUUGGUCCUUUCUUUUUCUCACAUGCACGACAUCGGUAGUACUGCGCAUGCCUUUCCCUCUCUCUCUCUUUUCUCUUCUUCUUCUUUCCCUCUCAUUUGAUCAAGGGAGGCUAAGUCAAGCACUGCCAUGAUAGUCUCGUCGUCUAGCAGUACUGUCGUUGUGCCCUUUUUUCUCACUGUGCUCACUUUAUUACCACGAUAGGCUAGACAUCAUGUCAGGCUGGUCGAUGAUCGCUCUGUUGUCUAGUAGUAUUGUCGUUGUGUCGGCUUAGUUACUGUGCCCGUCACAAUAGGUCAAUCACUUGUUGCUCUAGCUAUUGUGUUAUUUUAGCCACCUAGUCAAUCUUUUUCUACCCCAUUCCUCUAUUCUAUCUCUUUCUUUUUCUUUCAUUUAUUCUCUUCCCCUUUUUCUUCUUCUGAAUGUGCAUGACUCUGUGCAUUCGCCCAAAGAGAAGGAAGGGUCACUUGACCCAAAGACAAGGAGGGGUCACUUGACCCACUUGUCUUGUAAAUGAACCACGUGUGAUUUCAGAAACAAGAGAGUACAGCCCAAGGGAGGCGAUUUCGAACCAAUUCUACGACUGGGACGCUUUCUUUGUGAUCUAAGAGGGCACUCAGGUGAGCUAGCUUGAUUAUCUACCGAACCUACCUCAAAUUCCUUUCUCAUCAGUUGGUAUACCUACCCUCGCUCCUGAGCGACAUUCCUGAGAGAGCGAUCUCAAAGUCUUGGGUUCCAUGAAACCCGAGAUGCCUGCCGCUCGAUCAUCUAGAUCUGGAGGGAGAGAUCGAGGCACCUAACUAGCUUGGUGAGUCAAUUGGGGACUUACUACCCCUUCGUCGGGUCGUUCUUGUUUAGCUAGUUUUGUCCUUUGUUUUCUCCGCUUUCACAAACCACAUGCCAGCUGGUUUUCUUUACCCAUUUAUCCGAAUCGGGGAUGUUCUAAUCCCCGCAUUCAUGAGCAUUCUGCAGGAGCAAGUUCUUCGAACUUCGUUCUCAACCUUCCUUUUGAGCAAAGAAUCAGUGUCUAGCUCCUAGGUCUUAACUUGGAUAGGCGUGGGGAGGGACUUAAAGGUCCCUAACUCCCCAUCUCCUAGCUCUGGUGAGACUUCUGCCAAGACAUCCUACAUUUGUAGCACAUCUGCUGCCACUCAAAGCAUGCACCCUGUCACCAGCAAGUCACUCAUCGGUGACAUUGCCGAGGUACGCUGGAAGGCUGCUCGGUCCCUUUUUGUAAAAGGAAACCCAGUUGUCAUUGCUUCUGUCCAUAUAGCUAUCCCCCACAUUCUUGCACCACCACGAGUGUCUAUCCUUGAAGGCUCAACCCAUCGAGGCGGAGACCCUGGGGUCUCCACCUCUCACACACACCAUAAGGCUUGUGGUCAUCCACUAGAGCCACACCUCGAGGCAAUCCUUAUGUUGCCUCCAGUCAAUGUCUAGUAUCAGGCCUCCUAAGGCCAGAUCAUGCACAUGAUGUGUAUUUGCAUCCCACCACUGAGGGUAACGCCAUCGCUACGUCAACCCGAGUACACGGAAGACGACCCCCUCGUCCUCCUACUUAGCACACACUAGAGCACCCUAUAAGGGGCAGGCUUCCACCUACACUCUUACAGACACCUACUCGCAUUUCUUGGCCUUUUAAGGCCAAAACACUUGCUCGAGCCAGAGUUGACCCCAAGGUCACCCGUGAUCCUUCUUCAAGGGGCUCACAUGCGUCACCAUCACAGACAGCCUCACGCUCCUGACUCAGUCGCUGAUAUGAGUCAACCCUUCUCUUGCUUGCCCCUCCUCCUUUGGGCAAGCACCUUCAGCCUUAGUACUCGAAGACCUUCCCAAAGAGUACCAUCUUGAACCAGCCCCAUCAUCUUGGUCAUGCCUUUGAGCUCACAAGAGAGUUCAAGGCAAAGACCCAAUGAGAGAUCAAUUCGUUCAUCCUUUCCUGCCCAAGAUGACCCCAGUUCUUAGCUCACAUCCAUUGCUUCACCUAAUGGAAACAACUCUUUCUUGUGUAAGAAGGGUCGAUCGGUCGCAGUCUCAAACGCAAUUAUGGCAUGAGGUCCAUCAAAACCUCAAAGCCAAACGUGAUAAGGGUCUGUAAAUUCUGACUAAGAAAGUAACGAAGACGGUCGGGGAAACCAGCUCUGAACCCCUUCUACCCUCUUCAGAUGACAAAGCCUGAAGAAGAAAUCCAUGAACCCUACACUAUGGUUAGUGUCGUAAAAUAUGACCCAACCACUCUACAGCCAUGAUCCCAAGACCGUCGAGACCCGAUCCUCACACGAUCGACAUACAAGACUCGAGUCUAAUAGAGGCAUGCUGAUCCCUUACUGACUGAUCUGCCACGUGCGACUUGUCAAGCUUGAAAGUCCUCAACUGUAGCUAAAGCUGACCUCCCUGAAGACACAGUCAGCGUAAUGGUUGUAAAUUAGCCCGGCGACUCUCAGGAAGAGCACAUGAAUAUGUUUGAAGACAUGUUGUGCGCAAUGAUGGAGAAGAUUGAUUGCAAUGAUGCCGCAAGACAAUCGGCUAACCAUGAGGUCAUUCCCAUCAUUCAGAUGAUGCACCUUCAAGGCAACCUCUUCCCUCUAAGGACAAUUCUCCCGCACCCCAAUGCUUCAAACAAUACACCCAUCCUCGAGCUCCCUAGGCUCUUGCCUUGCCUAAAUAUUAGGGACAAUUUACCCAUCCUCCAAUUCCCUGGGAUGCCGUUGGUCCCAUAUAUUCAACUACCUCCUAGACCUCAAACUUCCAUCACCCAAUCAGAGCUGGCUGUGUAAUCAAGUCAGCCAGCAGGCCAAUGAAAACCUCCUCCACCUAAAUCUGCUCCUCAACCCAAACUAAUGGUCGAGCCAGAAAUACAAAAGGCUGAAGAGCAAAAAGUGAAAUAUGAUGUGAUGGGGCACUUAAGGAAUCUUUCGGCCCUUCUUAGGAUCUAUGAUGCUCUCAUGCUCUCAAGGGACUAUCGUAUGGCUCUGAUCCAAGCACUUUCUGAUCCAGAGGUAUAUGACGCUAAAGUGAAACCCAUUGAAGUGGACCCAUUGAUCUUGACUGGAUGUAUGGCGAUCACCUUCUCAGAGGAUGAUCUGCAAUUAGGAGAAAAUUUUCACAAUCGCCCUCUGUUUGUGACUGGUGAAUUACAUGCAUACCCCAUCAACCGAAUUAUGUUGGAUGGAGGGGUCAACAUUCAACCUUAUCCCAAGGAGAAUCCUCACUAGGAUGGGAUUAGGUUCUGAUGAUCUUACUCCGACGCAUAUCACAGUCCAAGGAUUCAACCAGUCAGGAGAGAAGCCCACAAACACUGUCCACCUUCGUCUCAAGAUUGGUGAAUUGAAUGACUACGCUCAGUUUCAUGUAUUCAACAUCGACACCUCCUACAACAUCCUUCUCGGCCGCCCGUGGCUCCAGGAUCAGGGGGUGGUUCCAUCCACAAUGCACCAGUGCUUCAAGUAUAGUUGAGAAAGGAGACAACAUACAGUCUAUGCCAACAAAAGACCAUUUCCCGUAGUUGAAGCUCACUAUGUUGACGCCAAGUACUAUUUCACUGAUUCAGUGUCAUCCCAAAGGCUAAAUGAUGAUGAUUACAAGUCUGUGAGAAAGAUAGAAUCUUCGGCCCAUGAAGAUGUUGAGGACAUCUGGCGAACACUGGUGGACAUGUUCAAAGAAGAGGAAAGAGAAGGAAAAAUUCUCCCUCUGACUCCCCUUCAUCCUAGCAUGCUAUUCACAACCCUUGAAGAAGCUCCAUAUUCGCCUGAGGAUGAAGCUUCCCCGUCUGCUUCCAGUCCAGAGCCACCUCUGCCAGAAGAUGAACCAGAGGUCACUCUUGAGAUUGAGCAAGUCAUGGGGAUAGAAUCCCCGGCUCCAAAGGUCACCUACACGUCGGACCAUAAAAAUGUCUUACAUGUCCCUAUUGCACGCUUGAAAGCAAAAGUGGCGCACCAUCCACAACAUAAGAUUUUUCAAAACUCAGUUGCUAUAAGCAUAGAGGUUUCUCCUCAUUCCACCAUAGGGCCAGUUCAGACCAGUAGUCAACCCCAUGUUUUGCACUUCCCUGGUUUGGUGGGAGGAGAGCAGUUUGAGAAAGGACAACUUCUCACCUUCAGGAACAUGAUCCCUUAGUAGAAUUAAGAAGAGAAGUUCACGGUCUCUAGAGCCGAUUGGAGGUUAUGCAUAUCACUGCAAAACAACUAAAGGAGUUUGUGCUAAAGACCAAGAGCUAUGAUGGGCUUGAAGUGAAUGGACCUCGAAUGAAGGCAAACUUCCCUCAUGAUUGGACUAUUUAUAGUGAGCAAGAUCAUCAAAUAAUGAGAAAAAUGAAUUAUGAGCCCUUGACCAAUCAAACGUUAAGGGGAGAAGAAGUAAUUGCUCCUCGAUUUGAAGUCAUUGAAGCCUCAGCAACCUGUCACAAGACUAAACAAGCCUAGCAUAUUAGCCACUUGAGACAAUAAACAUUUCGAGAAGUGUUCAAGCUCAAAAAGAUCAAAUGAGGUGUAACAAAGCAAAAGAAGAAUGAAAUCACGUAGAAAAAUGAUCUAGAAGAGAGAGACGUAUUUCAUGCAUAAAAUCAAAUUUUUUUUUUACAAGUGCUGACAAAGGAAGGACACUCUAAAAAUUAUCAUUGAUCUUAUUGAUCUCAGCCCUUGAUGCUGUGGAGAAAGCCUUAGCAUGCUGAAUACUCUCCUUCAAGUUCACCACCAUUUGAGUUUUAUGCUCCUUGAAGGCGGUUUCUAAUUCAAUGGUGCGAGUGAGUUCUGAUAGAUCCUCAACCAAAUAAGUAUCCAAAGCUCUUCUCUGAAUCAUCUCGUUCUGAAGAUCACCGAAUUCCUCUCUUAAUUUUCACAUCUCCUCCCUUAUCACAAGCAUCCUAUUGAAACAAGUUCUCUCCUCCAUCUUCAGAUCGAGCUAACGAGCAACCAUAGUGGCCUUCUUCUGAGAGCAUGCAUCUAUUCCCUCACGACGACAUGAGAUUGACACCUCUAAGGAAGCCAACCUGUUGGUCUCAGCCUCAUGAUGCAACCUCCAUCUCUCCAGCUCAUCUAUAGUAGCAUGUAAAUGAGAGCAGACUUUUGAUAUGUCCCCCAAAAUGCUGGUAGUAGUAGAAACUUCCUUGAGUUUGACUAUUGCCUCACCUAGCUCAGUGAGAGGCAGUGCCCUUAGACCCUGAAGACCUACACGAAGCAUGCCCACAACUAUCCCAGAAAUUUCACUGAAAAUAGGUCUGGAUGGUACUCCCGGGUCCACCACCGCUAAAGGAAUUUUGGUUUCCAAGGUUGGGCUCAAAGGAACAGCCAUAUGAGUCACUUACUCUUCUAGAGAAAUUGUGAAUCACAAAGCCUUAAGCACUCCAGAUUCAAAAGCAUUCCCCUCCCCUUGUCUCUCAAUCUCCGUUAUGACCUCAACAAGUUCAAGUCAAGCAUCUCCUUCUUGUUCCCCACUCUCCUGAAUUGUCAUUUCAGCUUCUUGGGGUUACCUUUUCCCUCUGGCAUUCAUCUUCUAAGGUUUCCACUUGGUUUGCAUCCUCAACAGCUAGAACCUUGGCGAUAAAAAGCUCGACCCCUUCAUCUACCUGUCCGGUGUACUCUGGGGUGAGAUCCUCAUGAGCCUCGCUAAUCAUAGGCCCCUCCUUAAGAAAAAUACCAGGGUCCCCAUCAUCAAUUACCGUAGGCUCUAUCUCAGCCGGUGUAGUAUCCUCUUUAGGAUCAGAGGCUAUGAUAGUGUCAGGCUCCCCUCCUUGGGUAAUAAUUGCAGGGCCUUCAGCCUCAUUGAUCUCCAUUGGAACCAGAUCCGAUUCAUGGACUACCCUUGGACCUGGAGACACCACCCCAAGUUCCGAAGUCACCUCCUGAUCAGAAGUAAUGAUAAUAGGCUCAGAGGGGCCAGGUUCAUCCACCACAGUCUCUGAAGAAGAAGAAAACAGUUUAGGAGAGAUAGAAGAUUGUGAAGAAAGCACAGAGGGUGACACUGGGGGAGCAGCUAAUGAAGCAGAGGAGGAAGAGCUACCUCCAAUUCCAAAAUCGUAAGAAGUUUGAGACCCCUACGUCUUCGAGCAGGUACACCAGCUUGAGCCAAUGUACGAGUGCCGAUAGGGGUGGAACGUUUCCGUUUCUUCCCUCUUAUUAUAGGAGGAGCAGCCGCUUCAAAACUCCCUCCUUGAGAAGGGCCCGCAGCAAGUCUAUUGUAAGGACCACUCCCGAUCAAUGCGUUCAAGUCCUGGAGUGGAUGCCCUUCGUGACCAGGGACCUUCCGGCCCUCCUUUCAUUCAAAUACAGAACUAAGUUCAUCAUAGAUGCUUCCAGUACUUUUCUUCAUAGCAAGAAAUUGCGGCGAAGUAUCAUCAGCCGCUAUCCCUCGAGAGAUCCCAAGAGCCUGCUAAUUCCAUGGAUAGUCCAAGUCAAUAACAUCGCCAAGAGUGGGAGAUUUGAAAAUCCUCCUCUGUUUAAUCUCUUGAUGCCAAUUGUUGUUUUCCCCUUUUCAAGGGUGAUCAGCAACCCAGUAUCCUGAGCUGGUAAGCCUCCACUAUCGUGCAUAGGCCUCGGUCAACCGGACCCUUUUAACAAAGUAGGGAAGCACAUACUGCCUCCAAACAUGUAGACCACGUAGUCCGUACAUGCUUUGGCAACCAGCAUUCUCGAAUAGUCCCAAGCUCUUCCUUUUUCAUGAUGUUUACUCUGCCGUGACGCUUCUCAAAAAACAUAGAGAAAGAGAAGCUCUGAUCAAGCUCAUGCUGACAGCGAAGCGGUGAGGGAAGUACCCUUCCAGUCUAGCACAGUGCGAGGUCCAAUAGGGCAAAACCCCCCCUCUAACGCUCAACAUGAGCAUGAGCUCCCUGUUAGUCGUGGGAGCACCAUCCAACUCCUUCCCCAUUUCAUCAACAAAAUCACGGUCGGUAAAGCUCCCAACUGGAAAUGGGACUCGCUGCAUAUUUGAGGAGGCAUUCCCGAACAAGCUCCAAGCUUCCCUCUGGCUAUGGAAGAUAGCCUUUUGACCUGAAAUUCUCAUUAAGAAGGGGCAUAUUUUCUCCCCCGAGCCCUGCCUCUUGACAUAGGUGGAAGGGAAAUAGGCCCCUAACCACCCAUACACAUAAUGGAUGGGGAAUGGAGUCUUAAAAUCUUUAGGAAAGGCUUCUCCCCUGACAAUUCCAUUUCCCCUUCUUUCCCUUUGUAGGCUUUCCCCCUGGAGAUAGCUCCCAGUCCAUGGUAGAUAUUGCAUAGGAGUGUUUGAGUGAGAGCAUAUUAGUAUCCCCUGGCCAUAUCACUAGCCACAUAAAGAGUGACACGUCAGAUGUCAUAUGCCCCUCUAGGAAUAACAAAUUUACAUAAGAAUAAAGCCAGGUAAGCGGCCAAGAAGACAUAAUUGUCACUAGUCUUAGGUUGAUAGAUGGGAGGCGUCUCCAUAGAAUCUUCCUUUCCCUUCUUUCUUGAAGAGCCUCGACCAUUCUCAAGAGAAUCCCCGCAAUAGAAUUUCACCGAUUCGGUGAAGGUCACUUGACCGUUGCUAGAUUUGGAAUGAAGCAACUGGUACAUAUCUCAAAAACUUCCUAAAGACUAGCUGGCGGUUCCUCGCCUCCUAAGCAAGAACCACCAAAGAUGAUCAAGUUAUGAGGCAUGAAUUCAUCAUACAUGGCCCCGAUCAGUGGAAGGCAAGAACGUCCAGUAAAGAGAUCCAUGCGUUCCCAGGCCCAAGGAGCCAAGUGUUACUAACAUGACUCCAUGUUUCCAGCAGUACCUUGACAGUAUUAGAGCACCGAUCACAAUAGCUACAUGAACAAUGAACUGUUGUUAGCAAAGAAGCAUGGUCAAGAAUGUCUCUAUAUGACCCCAGCACUUGGAUGGUCAAGAAAGUAUAUCUUUUCAAAUAAUUGUGCUCCCCCUGCACUCGGAGACCAGAAGAAGACCAUAUCAGUCCUUGGGUCUUCGCCAUUCUCAUCCCCAACGUGGGUAAAUUAGAAUUGGAGGCCACCUUCAUGUGCAUAAAUGAAGGAGCACAACCUUUUCUUUAAUACUAACCGUGGUUAUGCAGUUUAAAGCCAUACAACCAGGACCGUGUAGUUUAAGGUUGUGCAACUAGACCUCUGCUAUAGUUUAAGUUCAUAUAGUUUAGACCAUGGUUAUGAAGUUUAAAGUCAUACAACUAGGACCGUGCAGUUUAAGGUCAUGCAACUAGACCUCCGCUAAAAUUUAAGGUCAUAUAGUUUGGACCAUGCAGUUUUAUAAUUGUGCAACUAGACCUGGGCUGUGCAGUUUAGGGUCGUGCAGCACGAACCGAGGUUGUGCAGUUUAGGGUCGUGCAGCUAAACCUGGGCUAUGAAGUUUAAGGUCAUGCAGCAUGAACCGAGGCUGUGCAGUUUAAGGUCAUGCAGCAUGGACUGAGGCUAUGGAAUUUAGGGUCGUGAAGCACGAAUCGAGGUUGUGCAGUUUAAAGUCAAGCAACAGGGAUCGAGGUGGUGUAGUUUAUGAUCAUGCAGCACGGACCGAGGUUGUGCAUUUUAGGGUAAUGCAGCUAGGACCGAGGCUGUGCAAUUACGACCGAGGCUGUGCAGUUUAGGGCUAUGCAGCAUGGACCGAGGCUGUGCAAUUUAGGGUCAUGAAGCAUGGAUUGGGGAUGUGCAAUUUAGGGUUGUGCAGCACGGACUGAGGCCGUGUAGUCUAGGGUCGUGCAGCAUGAAUCGAGGCUACACAGUUUAAGGACACACAUCAUGGACCGAGGCUGUGCAGUUUAGGGUCGUUCUGCACCGAUCGAGGCUGUACAAUUUAGAGUCGUGUAGCAUGGACAGAGGCUGUGCAAUUUAGGGUGGUGCAGCACGGACUGAGGCUGUGUAGUUUAGGGUUUUGCACCACGCAUCGAGGCUGUACAGUUUAGGGUCGUGCAACACUGAUCGAGGUUGUGCUGUUUAGGGUCGUGCAAAAACGGAUCGAGGCUGUGCUGUAUAGGGUCAUGCAGCACGGACUGAGGCUGUGCAGUUUAGGGUCAUGCAGUAAGGACUGAGGGCUGUGCAGUUUAGGGUAGUGCAGCAUAGACUAGGCUGUGCAAUUUAGGGUCGUGCAGCACGGACCGAGGCUGAGCAGUUUAGGGUCGAGCAGCACUGACCGAGGCUGUGCUGUUUAGGGUUUUGUAGCAUGGACCGAGGUUGUGAAGUUUAGGGUCAUGCAGCACGGACCGAGACUGGGUCGCCAUGUAGGUUGAGCUCCAUGGGGAAUAGGUCUAUGGAUGGCAAUCGAACUCCUUGGGGAUAAAAUGGUUAAGGCCAUACACAAGAAAAUGGGGCAAAUGAAGAUGGUGGCUCAACAAGGGAUGGCGAACAAAAACGGACUUCACUAGGGCUUAAGGAGGCAAGCGUGGCUCCCUGGAGUGAAAGAUGAGACUUGAUGGAGAAUUAGCUUAUGACAGGUAACCCGACUGCCUGGGGAUAAGGUAGCUUGGUGUGAAAUAGUCCCACUGAUAAUUAAAGAGGUAUGAAUGACCCUAUCUCCUUUGGGGAUAAUGGGCUGCAGUAUGGGUGUGACUUCUAUGGGGAUGAUGAGUAAUGGCCUGCUUCUAACUCCAACGGGGUGAUAGGUCACGACAUGGGUGCAACGGCCUGGGUGCAACUCCAUUGUGGAUGACAAGUCACGGCUUGGGUGCAACGGCCUGGGUGCAACUUCACUAGGGAUAGUGGUGGGACAUACAUGGCUUCAGCUAUAAAUGGGUGACAAUAGACGGCCUGAAAUACAAUCGGUGCCAAGUGUAGCAAUAAUUGUUUCUUGUGAGUGUUCAACCGACGCUGGGUUGUUAAAACUCAUUUGGCGUUGUGAAUGAGCCGUGACAUUGUUUGAACACAACCAACACUGAUUACACCAGCACUAAGGUCAUUUCAAAUUCACCUGAUGCCAAGUCAACCGGAGCUAGGGUUUUUUGGAAUUCACCUAGAGCCAAGGCAGCCGGCACUGGGCAUGGAUUCAUAAUUGAGUCAUGACCCGAGUCUGACCAGUUUCGGCCCAUCGUUGUUUGGCUUCCUUUGGAUGGAACUGGGAUUCUCAGUUUGUGAGGGCUGUUCGAGGGUAGUGUAGGCUACAUAAAUGAGGCAAGACCCCGUUUUCUUCACUUUUCACCAAGGGUAAAAAAAAAACAUAAACAAUUUUUUUCUUUAAUAGUGAGGAGCGAGUUCCCGGUUAAAGAUCUCGCAAGCAGUGGGAUUCCUGACAGUUUUUGCCGAGAAGGCGUUCGGCGAGCAGACUUUGUCAAGAAUUUAGUGAAGUUGCAGAGGAGGUUUUUAGCACAGAGGACUUUCCGGUCGAGGGAAGAGCUCCAACCAUGGUAUUUGAAGGUGGAAAAGAUGGGAAGUGCAGUGGUAGGCAUUUCUGCAAGUCUUGGGAAUUUUUCGGGGAGUUUUAAGGGGUUUCCUUGGGGUUGUAGUGCCUUUUACGAGGUUUUCUGGGAACGGCAGAGGAGUGCCAGUGGAAAAUUAAAGGUCGAGGAAAACGAACGGUUUACUGAAGGUAGACCGUCGUAAGGAAGGUGUACAGUUGCGGGAGGUGAACCAUCAUGGGAGGUGAACCGUCAUGGAAGGUGAACUAUCGUGGGAAGUGAACUAUUUCCCUUGGAGAUCGUGCGACCAUUAUGGGGGUGAGGAAACUUAAAAAAGGAGAGUCUCAGGAAGUUAACAGUUGUGACAAGUCUGGUACUAACAGAAGUGCAGCCAACGCUGGGGCAACCGGAGCUGAUGGUUUAGAAUCGUAACUGGUGUUGACACAAUCGGCAUUGAUCCUCAAGAAAGGCAAUCGGCGUUAAGAGUUCAGCAGGCAUUAGCCUGGCGAGACACAGCCACACUGACUUCAGACGACGCUCAUCAGCAGUGUGGCCAUCAUGAUGCGGAGAGUACUGCCUGCAUGUGGCAGUAAGUCACGUGCAGGAUUUGAGAUGUUCGAUCAUGAGCUAUGCACGGUGAAGUUCAUUAGCCGACAAAAAGUGGUGAAUGAUGGUAAGGCCGGCCUUGCAUAACAACAGGCCUCUUAACAGUUAAGACUAGAUCACCACGAGUGAAUGAGAGGAUCUUGACAGACUUAUCAAAAGCCCUCUUCAUUCUCUCUUAGUUGAGUUCAAGGUUCUGCUGAACCUCUUCCAUCUAGUGCAUCCAAUUCUUAAUACCAGAGCUUGACUCUCUCAUCGUCAGUUAUUCCUUGGUGAAUAGCGACUGGCAGUGAAGGGAUUUGUAUUUCGAGAGGUAAAACAACUUCACCCCCAUAGACCGAAGAAUAAGGAGUGGAAUUAGUAGCAUUUCGCAUAGUAGCACGAUAAGCCCAUAGUGCUUCGAGAAGCUUUUCAUGCCAAUUCUUCCUUGUUUUUUAUGCUGACUUUCUUAAAAAGGUUGUAUAGAGUGUUAUUGAAAGCCUCAGCUUAUCCAUUCACCCGAGGUUGGUACAUAGUCGAGUACUUCCAUUCGAAACCGAAUUGGUUAACUAAGCGAUCAAUGUGAUGACUCCUAAAUUGAGGACUGUUGUUAGAUAUAUAUGAUAUGAUGUCGAACAAAGCAGGCCACCGCUAUUCGAGGAACCUGCUAGAGGGGGACCACUUCAGCCCACUUAGAGAAAUAAUUUGUUACGGCUAGGAUAAAAGCAUGGCUCAUUGUGAAAGGAGGUUCAAUAGGCCCUAAGAUGUCCGUACCGCAUUGUGAGAAGGGCCAUUAUGCAACGGUAGUGUGUAAGGGCUCUGAAAUCUAGUAAACCAGGCCGGAGUGUAUUUGGCAUACUUGGCAGUUUUUAGCAUAGGUUAAGGAAUCGGAGAUCAUGGAAGGCCAAUAGUAUCCCAACCUGUGUAUUCGUUCAUAGAGCUUUGGGUCAGACUGUUGUAGUCCACAAAUGCCUAAGUGGACUUCUUCUAACACUUAUUUGCUUCUUGGAUGUCAACAAUUCUAAGAAGAAUGAUGUUAAACGACCGUCUGAAGAGAGCAUCUCCUUCAAGGAGGGUAUACAUGGUGGACAUUCAACGUAUGAUGUUGCGCUCGGCAUGAUCUUCUGGAAGCCUAUCAUGUUUUAGAAAACUAGUGAUGGGCUCUCUCCAAUCUUCUACCUGCUUGAUUUCUGCGCAUAUUGGGUUAGAGAAUUUUGGUUCUUGAUGUCGACUCUUAGCUCCUUGACUCUGUGUUAUUCUUUGUUCAAUCUUUGAUUACUUCUUUAGCAGAUAGAAGUGCUCCAAAUGGAUAAGGAGGGCACUUGAGGAAGAUAUUUAUUUCAUCACUCGCAUCAACCGUGGUUCUUAGUUCGAUGUGUCUCCAUUCUGUCACCCAAACAACCGUAACAACUAAAUUGUGGUGUCGAGUUUCAUAAGUGAAUCAGCCUACGAGUUUAGUCUCUUGGGGAUGUGACUCAAGGAUACGUCUUAAAAUUGAGCCACAUACGAUUUUACAGUAUCGUGAUAAGGCUUCAGAGUGUCUUUCCUUACAUCAUAGAUCCCUUUGAGUUGCCGGAUAACUAACUCGGAGUCACCAUAGAUCUUGAGUUGCCCCAAAGCUAGGUCGAAGGCUAUCUCCAGGCCAAUUAUAAGGGCAUGAUAUUCUGCCUCAUUAUGAGAACCGGCUUGAGUGAGAGACAAAGAAAGUGGCAAUAUUCCUCCUUUCAGGGUUAAGAAGACUACUCAGGUGCUUCCUUGGUAUGAUUGGAAGGCUCUAUCAAAGUACAAUUCCCAAUCAUGAGCAAGCUCGAUACAGAAUAUUUCUUCAUCGAGGAGGUCGCUUGAUAACGGAGAUUCCGUCGGCAUGGGGUGUGCUGCGAGAAAAUCAGCCAAGGCCUGGUCUGUGGGACAUACGUGAUGUCGAACUCCAUCAGCAAUAAUUGCCACUUAGCAAGGCAUCCCGAUAAGCAUGGGCGUGUCAUGAGAAACUUUACAGGAUAAUCUUUCGAGAUGAGUUUAACUUCAUGACAAAGCAAGUAAUGGUGGAGUUUUUGUACUGCGAAGAUCAGGGCCAAUGACAUCUUCUCAAUAAGGGGAUAGUUCUUCUUGGCCCUUUGCAUCCUGCAGCUCACGUAAUAUAAUGCAGUCUCUUUUUCCUCAUUAUUGUUUUAUGUCAACAAUGCCCCAAGUGACUAGUCUAAAGCAAUCACGUAUAGAAUGAGAGGUCUUCCCAAUAUUAGUGUAGAGAGUAUUAGAGGGUUGAGUAAAUAAUUCUUGAUGUCGUCAAGGGCGGACUGACAUGCUUCAUCCCAGAUGAAUGGGGUAUCUUUCUUUAGCAAGUGUGUAAAGGGUUUACAGCGACCUGAGAGGUUCGAGAUGAACCUACAAAAGUAUGUCAGUCGCUCAUGGAGGGAGCGUAGUUCUCGAAGUAUAGUCGGUGACGGCAUUUCUUAGAUUACUUUGAUCUUGACUGGCUCAACUUCAAGCCCUCAUUGUCUGACGAUGAACCCCAAGAAUUUUCCAAAGCGCACGUUGAAACCGUAUUUUAACGGGUUCAUUUUAAGUAGAUGAAGAUGCAAAUGCUCAAAUACCUUUUCAAGGUCUCUCAUGUGGGCAUCUGCCUCUUCAGAUUUUACCAUUAAAUCAUCGGCAUAGCAUUCCACUUCUUUGUGCAUCAUGUCUUUGAAGAUGGUCGUCAUUGCUCACUGGUAUGUGGCACCAGCGUUCAUUAAUCCAAAAGGCAUCAUCAUGUAACAGAAGACCCCUUUUGGAGUUAAGAAUGCAGUGGCUUCUUCAUCUUCAAGCGCCAUCCUUAUCUGGUUAUACCUGGAGUAACCGUCCAUGAAGGAAAAGAUUUGACAAUGUGUCGAUGAACAUCUUGGUGAAUGGCAACGGGAAGUCAUCCUUGGGAUAGGCGAUAUUGAGGUCACAGAAGCCAAUGCAAACCCUGAUUUGACCAUUUUUCUUCGUUACUGGAACAACAUUUGCUAGCAAUUUCAGGUACUUGACUUCGCGAAUAAAGCUUGCUUGUUUGAGUUUGAUCACCUCGGUGUCUAUCUGCAUCUCGAGGUCAGGCUUGAACCUUCUCGAUUUCUAUUUGAUGGGUUUGAUAGUCGGAUUGAUGCCAAGAUGAUGAACAAUUACUUGAGUGUCUAAGCCGGGCAUCUCAUGAUAGGCAAAGACGACACGGUUUGCUCGCAAGAAAGUAGUGAAAUCAUCCUUCUCUUCUGGAGACAUAUUCGCUGAAAUGAAAGUGGGUCUGGGAUCCACCUCGUCUCCAAUAUCUAUUUCUUCAAGUUCGUCAGUUGUGGCCUGACCACCUUCUUCCCAUUCUUCUGAGGCUUCUUGCAUCUCUUUCUCGUUGUUCUCAGAGGCCUUUUCACCAACUUCAUGCAUGGAGACCCAUGACCCUGACAUCUCUGUCUCCAAUAGGGCUCCAGGGUUGGUCAUGCUUCCUGUGUUUUUCUUGAACCGAGUGAUGGAGAGGUCAACUCUAAAUGUAGAAAACACAUCAGGUUGGAGAAGCUUGUUUGGACAGUUAGGAGGAAAUUGAGGUUGAGUGAUGUUGACACGAAGAGUGUCUGAGUAUGAAUCACAUGGUAUUUUUACAGAUGCUUGGAGUGUUUGCUCCGAGCCAGCUGGUUCUUCACAGACUUGUAUCAUAUGGCAAGCUUCCUGAGAAUAGAAGCUUUGCCCUUUUGAUUUUCUUAGUCUCUUUUCGAAGUUAGGCUCAGGGGGCCACUAGGGUUUGUUUGGUUUUGAUUUCUUGUGCUUCUUUAAUUAAGGUGGCUUUGCCUUGGCUUUAGCUGCCAGGGCAUCAGCAAUUGUAAGGAAUCUUGCUGCCUUUGUCAGGGUCUUUCUCUAUUGUUUCCACUGUGUCCUGGUUAUAUUGAUUCCUUCGAAUUCUCGAUCAAGAGCCUCAAAGUUCGGGCUUAUCAAGGUUGUACCUACAGGGAAUGUGAAGAGGGAGAAUGAGAAGCAGGAGAAGAAGAAGCAUAAGGGUUAAAAGGUGGGGGAUUCUGAAGGUCAUUCCCGUCAUAAGACUGAUCUGGGCAGCUUUUUAUGUCAUCAACAGGGUUGGACCAGUGUAGGGGGUCUUUUAGGCCUUUCCCUUGGUUAGACUGGUGGGGACGGCUUUUAACAUCGUCACCCUCAUUGGACGUAUGCUGGGUGGGAAAUGGCAUGGGAAUGUCUCCUUGAUAGGAUGAAGAAGGAAGAAGGAUCCUAUCAGGCAUGAAGUCCAGUAAGUUGGCAGUGGAGGAAGGGGCCCGAAAAUAUCCUACUUGACUGUGGGUUGAGCAGUCUUGUUUCUUCGGCCAGUAGCCCUUGGUGGUCGUCUCUUCUUGGUUUUUUGAGGUGAUGUUUGAUUCGUCUUGUUAGGCUUGAGAACAGCUCUAGCUUGGUUAACUGCUUCUCACCUUAAGGACUUGAGUCUGCUUCGGCCAUGGCAGACUAUCCAUGGCUGGGAAGUAGAGGAUUCGGUGGAGUCCGAGUCAUUGAUAGGAAGGUCCUUCUUUGUGUGAUCUUUUUGCCUCGAUAGAAGAAUGACUUAGGGAUCACAUACAGGGAGAUUGUAAAACUUCUGACACUCCCGCAUUUUCUUUGUGAAUAUAUCAAAGAAGCUUGUGCAUUCCAACAAGUAAUGGCCUCUUAUCUAAUGGUACGGGCACCAACGAUCUUCAAUCCCCUUAGGAAGGCGACAGGGUUGCCUUGCCUGCUUCAAUGUGAUUAUGCCUUCAUGAAGCAUUAUAAUGAAGAAGGCGUAAAGGGUGGCAAGCAUUUCGUCUUCCUCUAGAAUGGUUACUGCAUGGGAGGAUUCGGCUGCCCCAAAGGCCUUCUUUAAGUCUUGAAGCUUUAUCUGACCCUUCUGAAUCAGGGACUCAAUAAUAGCUUUUAGCGUGUAGCAGUCAUCUGUGGGAUGAUUGAUCCUCCGAUGAUAGGAACAAUAACUAGCUUGAGUAUCAAGGCCAGGUUGCUCGGGGGACUUGGCUUCUAGAUGCUGGAUCAUAUUCUAUUCCAAUAAUAACCGGAACUACGCAGGGGCCCAUUCCUUCUCGAAGGGAUAGACCUUGUUUCUAUGUCUUGUGAAAUAAUCACCUCGAUCAAGGUUGGCUGGUGAGGGUACUCGAUUGUGUGACUGUUGUUGCUUGCCAACCUGGGAUGUUACCUUUGUUGCGCUUACCCCUUUAGAGAGGUCCAAAGUUUGAGAGGGAGUCUUCUUUGAAUCUGUGACCAUGACUACUGCACUGAUUACCCAUUUCUAUUGACUGCGCCUUGUGUUAUUCUGAGAGCUACCAUUCCCCCAGUUGUUUGCUGAGCUUGUAAAUGGUUGUUGUGUUCAACCAUGGUGACGUGAUAAACUUUCUAUAUGAACUAAUUUAGAGAUCAACCCCGACAUGGAGGUCGAAUUAGAGGCCUCGACAUGUAGAGCAAUCUCGGGUCGCAUGUUCCACAUGCAAGUUUGGAUUGCUUCCUUCUCAGGUAUAGGAUUAGGAUGGCGGGAAGCAAAAUUUCUCCAUCUUGAUAUGAAUUGAUCCACGGGCUCAUCAGGGUCUUGAGUCAGGGUGAGAAGUUCGAUGGUUUGAACCUCUCUCUCAACCUCAUAGAAGCGUUGAUAGAAUAGUUUCUCCAUCUCCUCCCAUGUAUGGACUGAGUUUGCAAGAAGUUGGGCAUACCAUUGAAAUGCUAGGCCAUCGAGGGUCUGAAUGAAUUGUCAUAGAAGAAGUCUCCCGUUAGCCGUUGUUUCUCGAUAUGCUGCCUGGAAGUGGGCAAUAUGCUAGUUUGGGGACGUGGUUCUGUUAAAUAAGGGAAACUUCCAUUUCUUAUAAUCUGAGGGAAACGAGACCUGAACAAUAUAUGAGGGGUAUGGUCUUUGAUAAGGCGUUGCACCCUGUAUCAUCGAGAUUUGACUGUUCUUUAGGUUAUGGGUGACCAUAGCGUCAAUGUCUGUCUGAGAGAUGGGAUGAGGGACAUAAUUGUCCUGUGAGGUAGAAGGAGGGGUUUGCCGUAGAGGUGCACCAUCAGAGUGAUGGGAAAUGACCUCAUGGUUAGCCGACUGGCAUGCGGCAUCGAUACGAUCGAUCUUUUCCUUCAUCGUGAGCACCAUAUCCUCAAACUUGUUCAUGCGCUCUUCAUAUGCAUCAGUGGCCUUGCUUACAACCAUUUUGCUGACUGUUUCUCUAGGGAGGUCAACGUUAGUGGCAACUGAGGGGCUUGUAAACUUGACUGGUCGUACGUGGUAAGUCAGUCAGCAGGGGGCCAGUAUGCCCUGACUGAACUCGACUCUUGUAUGCUGAUCACGUUUGGACCGGUUCUCAACGGUCUUGGAACCGUGGCUGCUGAGUGGCUGGGUCUUCCUCUACGAUAGUAACCACAGCAUAUGGCUCAUGGAGCUCUACUUCAGGCUUCAUUGUUUGAAGGGGGUAGAAGGGAUUCAGGUGAAGAGGGUCGUCAGAAUUGGUUGUUUUGACUGCCUUGGUCACCUCCCUAGUCAAAAUUUGAAGACUUCUAUCGCUUCUAACCUUGAGGUUUUGAUGGACCUCGCCCCAAAAUUGCGAUCUAGGUUGCGGCUGGUCAGCUCUUCUUGUAUGGGAGAGAACUGUCUCCAUCAGGUAAGGCAAUGGAUGAAGGUCAGAAAUUGCAGCCAUCUUGGGCCGGAGAGGAUGAAGGAAUCGAUCUUUCACCAGGUCAAUGCCCUGUGCUCUCUUGUGAUUUUUAGAGACACGACCAAAGUGACGAGGCUGGUUCAGGAUGGUACUCCUAGGGAAAAUGUUCGAGUGCCAAAACUUAAGGUGCUUGCUCGAUGAAGGAGGAGUGAGCCGGAGCAGAAUUGAGUCAUGUGAAGGCCCGAGUUUAGGGCGACGUGACAUCUGUGAUGGCAAUGCCUGUGCGCCCUUUGAAGAAGGAUUAUGGGAGACUUGGGGGUUAGCCCGAGCUUAUGCUAGUGAUCUUGCCUUAAGAGGCCAAGAACUACGAGUAGGUGUUUGUAAGAGAACAGGUGUAGGCUUGCCCCUUACAGGGUGCGCUUGUGUGUGCAGAGUAGGAGGACAAGGGGGUCGUCUCCUAUGUACUGGGGCCUUGGAACGCUUGGUCUUGGACACGGACUCGAGGUAACAAAAGGGUUGCCCCGAGGUGUGACUCGAGUGGGUAACCCACGAUCCUUGUGGUGAGUGUGAGGGGUGGAGACCGUGGGGUUUCCGCCACUAUUUGUUAAGCCUCUAAGGAUAUAGACCAACGGUGUAGAAAUGUGGGGGAUAGACGUAUGGCGACCCACAGAAGCAAUGGCAGCUUGUUUGCCUUUUGCAGAAAGAGACUAGAUAGCCUUCUGGCACACCUCAAGAACACAACAAGUGAGUGACUUGUUGGUAGCAGGGUGCAUGUUAUGUGGGGCAACAGAAGUGCUACCGAUGCAGGACGCCUUGGUGUAGUUUCCAUCAGAGCGAGGAAAUGGGGAGUGAGGGACCUUUAAGUCCCGCCUCACACCGGUCCAAGUUAAGACCUGGGAGCUAGACAAGGGGUCUUUGUUCAAGAGGAUGGUUGGGAACGAAGUCAAAGGAACUUAUUCCCUAGGGACACUCUCAAGCAUGGGGUUAAAAAGUCCCCGAUCUAGAUAAAUGGGUUACAAGCCAUAAAUAAAAUGUGAAAAGAUAAUGAAAGCAGUUAAUAAAAGAAGAAACUAGCUAGAAAAGAAUUAUCUGACUAAGGGGUAGUAAGUCCCUAGUGGAGUCAUCAAGCUGGUUAGGUGCCUUGGUCUCGCCCUCCGGAUCUGGAUCAUCGGGAAGCACGCGUCUCGGGUUUCGAGGGAAGACCCAAGACAUUUUUGAGAUCGCUCUCUAAGGAACCUCGUUCGAGAACAGGGGCAGGUGUUACCAAUCGAUGAGAGAGGAAUUUAAGGUGGGUUCGGGACUUACUCGAGCUGGCUCACAUGGGUGCCCUCUUAGAUCAUAAAGAAAGCCCCUCAGUAAUAAAACUGGUUCGGAAUCGCCUCCCUUGGCUUGAAUUAUUCUUGUUUCUGUAAUCACACACAUAUGGCAAAGGUUAUAAGACAGGUGGGUCUGACCUCACUUUUUUCCUCCUUGAUGAACGUACACAACCAUGCGCAUUCAAAAAGAAAAAUAAGAAAAGAAAGAUAAGAGAGAGAAGAAUUAGACUGAGUGGGAGGAUCAGAGCAGUGACUAAUCUGAUGAAUAAUUGGCCUGACGUGGUUGUAAAAUGGGCUCGGUAUCUAAGACCGACUCAUAGGAUUACUACUAGACAUCAUUACCAGUACCAACUAGCUAGGCACGAUGGUUGGUCUGUCAUUGCAAUAAAGCGGGCCAAGUAAUCCUGACACAACAACAUUACGGCUAGACAAAAGGACUACCAUGAGAGGCUAACCUCAAUCCCUCUUAGUUGAAUGAAAGAGUAACAGAAUGAUGGUUAUGAGGAAAGAAUAAGAAAUGAAGUAAGAGAAGAAGGGAAUAGAAGGAGGGAGGGAGAAGAAAGGAAGAGAAGAGUACGAAAGGUGGGAGAAUAUAAGAGAGAGAGGGAAGGAAGAUGCAGUCGGCGCUAGGCAUUGCCGGCUAUGUUAGAAGGAAGAGAAAGAAAGCAUAGUUGGUGUUAAGCUUCACUGACUAUGUUAUACAGAGAAAAGGAGAGAGAGGACACAUUCGGUGCUAGGCUUCACCGACUGUGCCUGAAGAAGAGAGAGAAAACACAGUUGGUGCUAGGCUUCAUUGACUGUAUCAAAAGAAAAGAGAGAAAAUACAGUCAGCGUUAGGAUUCAGUGAAUGUGUCAGAAGAAGAAAGAGAAAACAUAGUCGACACUAGGAUUCGUCGACUGUGUCGGAAGAAGAUAGAGAAAAUGCAGUCGAUGCUAGGCUGCCGACUGUGUCAAAAAAAGAGAGAGAAAAUGCAGUCGGCGCCCGGCUUGCACCGAUUGUGAUAGAAGAGAAGCAAGAGAGAGAUCGAGCCAGUAUUAGGCUUCGCCGACUGUGAUAGAAAAGUAGAGAGAGAAAUCCAACUUGUACUAAGCUUCACCAAUUAGCUUCAGAAGAGAAGGAGAGAGAGAAAUCCAGCUAGUGCUAGGCUUCAUCGACUGCAACAGAAGAGAAGGAGAGAGAGAAAUCCAACCGACGCUAGGCUUCGUCUAUUGGCUGCAGAAGAGAAGGAGAGAAAUCCAACAGGCACUAGGCUUCACCGACUGGCUUCAAAAGUGGAGUGAGAGAAAUCAAACCGGUGCUAGGCUUCACCAACUGGCUUCAGAAGAAGAGGAGAUAGAGAUGAAAAGAAGAGAGAGAGAUAGAAAUGAGAAACAGGGGAGGAGAGACAAAGAGAUAGAGAAGAGAAAGGGGGAGGAGAAAUAAAGAGGGGAGGAGAGAGAAAGUUACCUGCCUGAAGGAUACCAACCCUUUUCUUCUCUCUCCUCUCUCUCUCGCUCCAAGACGUACCCAAGAACUUCAACAAGAAUGGAAAUUUUAUUGAAUCAUUGAGAAAAUGAACCGAAGGUCCUUACAAUUUAGCUUUGUAUGUUAUAUAGAGUUGGGCUAUUCUCCAAAACUAGCUAGAAUUGAAAUACUAUGGUUUUCUUGUAGCGCUCGGCAUGACAAUCAUUUUGAUACCAACUUCAAGCCAUGAAUCAUGUUUAUGAACCAUGAUCAUGAGACUUGUAUUUUGAAUGAAUCUUGAAAACUUCAGAUCGAUUGUGUGCUCAUUCCUUGAUGUUUCUUCGUGAUUUCUUCAAUUAAUCACACUGAGCAUGCCGUCACGAUCACGUUGCAACAAACGUAACUUGAUUUCGUGUCUGGAUGAAUAUUUUGUCAUCUUGAGUUUUUGACCGGAAUCUUGAAAUCCGACAACCAAAAUUUACAGCUAUUUUGACACCUUUGUGUGUGAAAUCCAAUCGUUCAUGUUCGUGAGGUUUGGACCAGAGAUAGCCUCGAACCUGACGCACAUAAUAUAAUUGGUUUGGUGUCGAUCGGUUAUGUAAGCGUCGUGAUCUGGCUACUUAAACGAGGCGGUUUGCUGCUAAAUUUUUUGCAACUUUCUUCACGGGUCAGUGACUUUCAUUUAGUUUUUCUCUCUUUUCAGGCAUCGUCGCAAAGCGUACCACAUAUCGAAUUGUUUGUCUUGAUGAGACGAACACGCUCACCAAAUUUGGGAGCUAUCUAACUUGGAACGAGUGAGUUAUAAAGCCCGAAAGUGACUGCUCGUGACUGUAAAGACAGCCACCUUUAAUGGUGUUUUGAUGCAGUGAGGCCACGCAAGAAUAGUGUGCGGCCUACCCCUUUUCGGUAUUUUACCUAUAACUUUGUCUUGGAGUGCUCGAUUAAGCCGAAACUUGACCCAUAUGGGUUUUCAACCGUGUCAAAUUUAAUAGCGGCAGUUCCAUACCUGUUUGGCGCACCAAAAGUAUGAAUCUAAUUACAAGGUCCAUUUCAAGGUGCUAGAGACCAAUUUCGUUGAAAUUGUUUCUUUGUGUUCACUGCCUUAGACAUGUCUAAACAUGAUGAAACUUCUCAGCUGGUCUUUUGAAGUGCUGAUGAAGAUCAUGACCAAUUCUGGGGCCAUUCUGACAUUAUCGAGAAUUCCACUGUUUUGUAGGCUUUAUUGACCUGCUUUCUAUUAGGGACCAAGGUACGAAAAAAUGCGUUCAAACAGACUCUAGACUGUAUAACCACAGUCCAAGCUAUAUGACCUUAAACCAUAGUGCACAUCCUGGCCACAUGACGUUAAACUACUUUGCACAGGUCAAGAAGGCAUGACCUUAAACUGGACCCCACAAUAUGCACACAUGCCCUUACAUGCAUCUUCAUGCACGCCUUUCCCAACCGACACAUUCGUACGCACACCACCUUCAUUACCUUCCUAGUGAAUCUCUUCGCUACCAUUCAUCAUUCCCCAGUGAGUCUCACCCAUGCUCACAAAAUGAUGUGUCAUCCUGCCAUCCAUAUUCACCGUCAUCCAUAUUCACCGUCAGUUAGUGGGUCACCACUUUUCCACCCACCAUUCAUACAUUAUCCAUCUUUUGUAGGUAGCCUCGUGCCAUCUUCCCAAAAUGAGCUAAAACCACCACCAUACUCGCUCCAUGGCCUCCACAGACUGCCAUCCAUUACCACCACGGUCUAGUUGUAUGACCUUAAACUGUAGUGCACGUCCUGAUCACACGUUAAAAGGCUUCGUACAGGUCCCGAAGGCAUGACCUUAAACAUGCCUUCAUAAAAAACAAAAGAAAAAAAUAACGGGCAUGGUGUAUACUUGGACAAAGGAAUGCAAUGAGUAAAAAAUGAUAGGUAGGCAUGGUCACGAAACCAUGAGUAAGAGAGUUCCGUGAAAUUAAAAUCCGGGUAUGGUGAAAAUUCGAAAGGGCACCGUGAGUCAAAAUGCAAAAAAUAAGGGUGGACAUGGCCAAAAGGUCAUGGGUAAAAGAGCCCCAAGUAAAAGGCAAUUGGUGAAAACCGUCUCUACGUCGUCACUUCCCAUGUUUAAGUGAAAAUCUGCAAAGGACACUUGGUGGGCCAAUAAAUAGGUUGAUGCAGCGUUUGGCUCAAUAGGUGGAUUCAACCCACACUUAAAGAGAAAGGUCCCUGACAUCAGAAAACCCGGAUAUCGGGACCCAAAAAUACGAGGUUCAAGGAAAAAAAAUUCGGAUAGCCUGAGACCAUUCACAAAAAGGACUCGAAAGACAGAAAGCUCGCCAUGACGACAAGACAAGUCUCAUGAAGAAGAGUAUUAUUCCCACAAGGCCGCGAACACACUUCAAAGAUGUUGAAGAAGCCCCAAGAAAGCCAAGUCAGCCAUGACUUUGGACCUGUGAUGCAGCAAUUAGGAUUGAAUCCUUAGGGGCCUCCUCGAAAGAUGAAGAGAGGUAUCUUGAUUGUUGAAACUACAAAACAGUGGACAGGGGUUAUACCCAAAUUCGGUCACCUAGAUAAACUAAGGUACCCUGCCUGCCAAGGAAUAACUGGUGCACAACACAGACGGACGCCAACCAAAGGCCUUCAGCAGACCAUCUACAACGAGCAAAACAAAAACCUCAAAACGUGGACCAACAAUAGAGGAUACAAAAGCCAUACUAAAAUGGGAAAAAUGCCCUUCAUCACGACGCUCAACUGCAAGAUGGGCUUGAUUCCGACUUUCGUACAAAAUCCUUAGCUUCAGAAUCACAAACAGUCCACACGAGGGUGAAGACUUUGAUAGGAUCCCUCAAAAAAGUCACCUCUCCCCCAAAAGUCUCUAUGGAUAGACUUGUACAUUGCAUCCAAACGUUUGAGCAUCUUAGUUACAACAUUGCGUGGAUCUCCUCGGUGUUGACGUUGUCCUGCGGCUAGGAAGAAAAAAGUAAUAAAGUCAAAGGAAAUUUUCCAAAUGUUGUCAUUCUCACUUCCCUCAACGCACAACAUUUGGUGGGGCAUGCUGUUUGAAGACACUUUUUAGCACCUUGGUCUUUGAUACGAAAAAAAAGAGGAAGCCGAUCAAUAAAGCCUCGACAUACAGUGAAAUUCUCAAUAGUCUCAUAAUUUCUCUAGAAGCGUCAAAAUGUUCUUAAACACUCCAAAAGGCCACCUUCUAUGUUUCGUCGUAAUCCGACAUAUCUAUUGCAGUCUAGACAAAGAUACAAUUUCAAAAAAAUUAGCCGUUAGCACCCUGAAAUGGAUCCUGUAAUUAGAACUAUAUUUUUGGUGUGUUAAACAUCUGUGAGACCACCACCAUUGGAUCUGACACGGUCGAGAACCCCUAAGGGUCAAGUUUUGGCUUAAACGGAAGUUCCAAGACAAACUUAUGAGUGAAACAUUUAAAAGGGGUAGGCCGCACGCUAUUCUCGUGUGGCCUUCCUGCACCAAUCUCCAUUAAAGGAAGUUGAUGUGCAUAGACCCUAGCAAAGACUUCAAUGACCCGUAUCUCACUCAUUCUGAGUCAGUUCGCUCUCAAAUUUGGUGAGCGUGUUCGUCUAAUCAAGACGAGCAUUUUAAUAUGUGGUUCAACCCUUGACGAUACCCGACCAGGGAUGAAAACUAGAGAGAAGUUGCUAAUUCGUGAAGACAGUUGCGAAAAAUUCAGCAGCAGCAUGCCUCACUCGAGCAAUCAUCUCUUGGUGCUCGUGUACUCGAUCAUUGUGAAACUAGAUGCAUUAUGUACGUAAGGUAUGGGGCUCUCUUUGGUUUGAACCCCGUGUAAGAUGAACGGUUGGAUUCAGCACAUGAAGGCGUCAAAUUAGCUGCAGAUUUCAGCCGCCCGAUUUCAAGAUUCGACCAAAAACCCAAAACGAAGAAAUCUUCAUCUAGACACAAAAUCGAGCUACGUUAAUUGUAACGCGACUGUGACAGCAUGCUCAGUACAAUUCAAUGAAGAAAUAAAAAAAAAAUCAAGAAACAAGCACAUUAUCGAUCAUAAGUCUUCAAGUUCUAUACAAAUUUUGAGUCGUAUGAUCGUAGCCUAAAAACGUGAGUCGGGGCUCACAUUGGUAUGACAUCGUUCAUCAUCUCGAGCCUGAAAAGAAAGAAAUCAUCUUUCAGUCGAACGUACAUCAGAGCAACCCCGAAUCAUCCAUGUAAGAUCACGCAAGUUCUAGGGCAGCAGUAGGGAUUGAAAUUUCAUGUAUUGUUGGGCCAGGGAAAAACAGUCCUUUUGCAUCCAAUUUUAAAAUUUCUUUUAAUUCAAUUAAAUUGUAAUUAUCAUCAAUUUAGGUAGUUUUUGAGCGUCCAUCCUUGUUUGGGCCCAAUUGUAUAAGUACAUGUUAAACACAAUUGUCAAAGGAACUUGAUUCUUUUAGCUCAUCAAUAAAAUUUGAGAGUUUUUCACGUUCAAAUUGUGAGUACAUCUUGGAGAGAGGAGAGGAGAGAGAAGAAAAAGGUUGGUACCCUUCAAUAAGGUAAUUUUCUUUCUCCUCCUCUUUUCUCUCUCAUCUUUCCUCAUCUCAUCUCUCUCUUUCUCUCCUCAUCUCAUCUUUCUCUUUCUCUCUCCUCCUCUCAUCUCUCUCUUUCUCUCUCCUCAUGUCAUCUCUAUUUCUCUCUCCUCCUCUUAUCUCUCUCUUUGUCUCUAUCUCUCUCUCUCCUCUCGUCUAUAUCUCUCUUUCCAUUUUCCUCUCUAAUCUUCUUUAUCCACAUUCCUUCUCUCACUUCUAUCUUUCCUUUCUUUCUUCUUUACUUUUCUUCUCUCUCCCUCUUCUCUCUGUUUCCUCUCUGUUCUUUCAUGGUGGAGCUUAUCACCUGACAUGAUGUAUUCGUGUUUCUAAGAUCUAAACAGUGAGCGGCGACUUAACCUGAGUGGCGGGCCGGGCUUCUGUAAAAGUUUCCUUGUCUUUCUCUCUAUCAUGGACGGCAAAUGCUCAUCGCCACUCAUGUUUUCUCCCACUUCUUAAACCCCUGUCAUGGAUAGCGGAUGUCAUCGCCAUCCAUGUUUUCUCCCAUUCCUUUUCUUUUCUGUCAUGUACGGGAGAAGUUCAUCGCCAUUCAUGUUCUCUCUCUUCUAACUCCUCCAACAUGGAUGGCAGAUGUCAUCAUCGCCCAUGUUUUUUAUCUUCCUCUUCUCUUUUAUCUUGGACGGCAGAAGCUCACCGCCGUCUAUGUUUUUUCUCUCUUAGUGUCUGUCGUGGAUAGCGGAUGUCAUCGCCGCCCAUGUCUUCUCUUUCUUCUAAUUCCUCCAACAUGGACGGCGAUGACUCGCUCUGAAUUUCUCUAUCAUGGACAAUGGAUGUCAUCGCUACUAAUGCCUUCUCUAUCUUUUAAUUCCUCUAUAAUGAACCGCCAAUGUCAUCACCACUCAUGUCUUCUCUCUCUUCUAAUUCCUCUGUCAUGGACAGUGGAAGCUCAUCGCCAUCCAUGUUUUCCCUCUCUUCUCUUCUCUGUCAUGGAUGGUGGAUGCUCAUCAUUGUCCACAUUUUCUCUAUAUUCUCACACCUUUGUCAUCGACGGCAGAAGGUCAUCGCCAUCCAUGUUUCCUUCUACUUUCUCUCUCCUUUGUCAUGGAUGGCGGAAGUUCAUCGCUGCCCGUGUUCCCCUCUCUCUUUUCUUCCCCUUUCUUCUUCCUUCUUCCCCCUUUUCUCUUCUUUCUAACUGCUCCUUUCUUCUACUUUUUCUCUCUCUCUCAAUCCUUUCUUGUUCUCACUUGCACCAUAUUGGUAGUACUGUGCAUGCCUUUUCCUCUCUCUUUCUUUUAUCUCUUCUUAUUCUUUCCCUUUCGUUUGAUCAAGAGAGGCUAAGUCAAACACUUCCAUGGUAGUCUCGUUGUCCAGCAGUAAUGUUGUUGUGCCGGUUUUAGCCACCUUGCCCUCCUUAUUGCCACGAUAGGUUAGUCAUCAUGCCAAGCUGGUCGUUGAUCGUUCUGUCAUCUAGUAGUAUUGCUGUUGUGUCAGUCUAGAUACUGUGCAUGUCUUGCUACCACGACAGGUCAAUCACUUGCUGGUCUAGCUAUUGUGUUAGUCUAGCCACCUAAUCAAAUCUUUAUCUUCCCCAUUCUUCUAUUAUAUCUCUUUAUUCUUCUUUCAUCUAUUAUCUUCCACUUUUUCUUCUUCUAAAUGUGCAUGACUAUGUGCAUUUGCCCAAAGAUAAGGAGGAGUCACUUGACCCACUUAUUUUGUAAAUUAACCAUGCGUGUGUGAUUGCAGAAACAAGAGAGUACAAGCCAAGGGAGGCGAUUCCAAAUCAGUUCUACUACUGGGGAGCUUUCUUUGUGAUCUAAGAGGGUGCCCACGCUAGCCAGCUCGAGUAAGUUCUGAACCCACCUUAAAUUCCUCUCUUAUCAGUUGGUAUAUCUGCUCUGGCUCCUGAGCGAGGUUCUCGAGAGAGCGAUCUCAAAUUCCCGUGUUCCCUGAAAAUUGAGAUGCGUGCUGCCUGAUCAUCUGGAUCCGAAGUGCUAGAUCAAGGCACCUUACCAAGCAUAUUCUGACAACAUGGUCCACAUGUCUAGAGAUGACAUAAGUUAUCAAAUAUGUGGUACCGCAAUAUUGCAUGAGGGUGUGAGACUGAUGCCUAUGCACACUGGUUGGAGGAUUACUAGUCAGGGAUACUGAGAAGUUGAUCACCACUGGAAAGGGGAGAACUGCAACUAGCACCAAGAUACCAAGCAGAGGAAGAUCAUCAGGGCUCCUCCUCUAAGCGAGAUUUUUUCCUUGGACUAGCCCUUGAACUGGCAAGGUUUUAGGAUAUCCCAAGAGAUAGCAGCGAACAACUCUUCACCAUAGCUUUUUGUCAUGGAGAAGAAUACGGGGAGCCUUUUUGACAACCUCACCUUUAUCUUUCAAUGGAGGGAAGGUCGAAAGGUCCCUAGUCAUGAAGGGUGCCUGAUUUAAGACUUGAAUGCACUGAUAGGGAGUGCGGCCCGCACAACGCUCUUGUUGAAGGCUCUUCUUGAGAGGGAAGUUUUGAGGCGAUUGCUCCUUCGACAGCAAGAGGGUAGAAAAGGAAGAGCGCUGCCCCCACUGAAACUUGCACACCGACUCAGGCUGCCAGACCUACUCCAAAAUGCACGAGUGCGAAACUUUCUGUCAUUGUAGAAUCAGAGGAUAGCACUUCAUGUUCUGGCUCCUCCGGUUCGUUCGCUACUCUUUUUGAGUCACCUUUGCCCUUUCUUCAUUAUCUUCUACCUCUCUUGAGUUGCUUUCUACCUCUUCCGAUACCGAGGUAGAGGACUCCGGCCCCUCUGAGCCCAUCAUCAUUGUUUCUGAUAGAGAGGGGACACCUGAGCUAGGGUGGUGCCCGAGGUUCCAAGAACGUCCCCUGAGUUUGGUCUGGCUCCAAUGGAGAUCGAUGGGGCUAAAGAUGAAGGUCUUGAUGUUGAUGUCCAAGGAGAGGAACCCAUAAUUGGUAAGUCCUCUGAACCUUAGGAGAAUGCUGCCCCAACCAAGGCUGAGGUGGUAGUCAUGGGCUUUGAAGUCCAAAGCAUCCCCCUGGAGGAGGGACCUAUGAUUGAUGAGGUUCCUGAGCAUUAGGAAGCUGCUACCCCUGGUGAUGAGUUAUGGGUGAUGUAGGCCAUUCUCAGGUAGGAAAUCUUGAGGGUUCAGAGACAGUGGCGCUAGAGAGUGCGGAUCCAGAAGAAGAAGUAGUCAAGGUUUCGGUUGUCAGGGAUGUGGACCCAGUAGAAGAGGCCGCAACCGAGGCUAAAGGCCAAAGGGAGGAGGUAGGCCGUGAAGUUGUCGAGGCUGAGUUGGCAAUUGAAGAGGUUGAAGGGCAAGGAGAAGAGGCUAGCCGUGAACUUAUUGAGGCCAUGCUAGAGGGUGAGAGGCAAGGAGAAAAUGUUGCUUUGGAUCAUGAUGAGACCAGAAUGGUGGCCUUAACAAGUGAAGGUCAAGGUGAUGAGGUUGUUGCUGACCUUAUGGAGACUACCCUAGCAAAUGAGGGGCAAGGAGAAGAAUUUGGGCCUGAAGGGGCUGAGCCUGCUGCGAUUGAUGUGGUGGUUCCAGUGGUUGAGAGCUAAGGAGAAGCUCAGCGUGAGACUGUGAUUUAGGGCCUAGGGGUAGAAUCUUAUCCUGAGAGGGCUAAGCCUGAUGAGAGCAAGGCCGUGAGUGAAGGGUCAGGUGAGGAGGCUAAUGUUGAUGAGACCGAGUAGCCCGAGACUGGGGGCUCUCUCUGAAUCUGAGGAGUCUAAGGCUUUAGGAUUUGUGAUCGCUCCAAAAGAGCCAAUGACUCACAUGGCUAUUAUCCCUUCGAGCCCAGCUGUUGAGAUCGAAGCUUCUUACAUCUUGGUGGCCCUAGCAACACUGUCCAGGCCUAGUUUCAGAGGGAUGCCUAGCAUAAUUGUGGACAUGCUUCGCUUGGGUGUUCAGAGACUGAAGGAUAUGUCUCUUACUGAACUUGACAAUGCAAUCUACAAGUUAUGGCAGAUUUCCCUUCUAGAGGGCGCACUAGAGGUCCUCCAGUACUUUGAUGGCGCCAUAAAUGAGCUGAAGGGAUGGCGAAUAAAGGAACUUGAACAAGAGGCAGUACCACAACAAUUAGGGGAUUCUCAUUUGGCCUCUUUGGAAGCCUCUCUCAUGUGUCAUCGUGAAUCAAUUGAGGCCCAUACACAGAGGAGGGAUGGUACGUCUUCUCGGAGAUCGCCUGCUACAACAGAAUGACGGCCCUGAAAACAGAUAUAAGAAGGAUGCGGGAGGAGUUUGAUGGGCUUGAGAAAGAGGUGAAAGCUUGGGAAACAGUAGAUGAGGUCUUAGCCAAGAAAGUAUCAUGUCUUGACUAUGCCCUGGGGAAGGAAACCGCCUCUUUGGAAGUAGAGACACAAUUGGUGCUUGAUGUGAGAAGACGUAUGGAGCAUUCCUAGGCUUCUUCUGUUGCAUCUAGAAUGAAGAUCAAUGAGAUCAUUAAUCGUUUUUAAGGUGUAAUUUUUUGUCCUUUUUUCCUUUUUCUUUCUUUGAAUAAUGACACUUGUAAUGAUCUCUGAAUUCAUGAAUGAAGUACUUCUCUAUUUCUUUUAUCUCAUUCUAAUGCAUGACUUUAUUCUUUCUUUUUGCUUCACGCAUCACAUAUCUCGCUCUUGGGUAGGCCACGCUUCAGGGAAUUCAUUGUUUCUACCCUUUUGCUAAGGAAAACCCUAAGCCUUGUUUUGUCCUUUGACAAACUAUUGUGGUUUCAAUGACCUCAAAUGGGGAACGGUUGCUUCUUCUCCUCUUAAGGUUUUGUUGGACGGGGGCUCAUAAUUCAUUCUUCUCAUUAUUUGAUGAGCUUGCUCACUGUAAAUAGUCCAAUUAGGAGGAGCUUUGGCUUCUAUUCAAGGCACAUUCACCUCAAGUCGUCAUAUCCCUUGGUCUCAGGCACGAACUCCUUUAGAUGUUUUGAAGCGAUACGUAUGACUUCCAACUGGUUCAGGAGACUAUGAACAUCGCUUGUCAACUCUAUCAAGGGAUCCUGCUCUUGAAAACGAGAGGGCUGUGCUUUUUUGAACUGCUCUCCUCCUAUUGAAUUAGGGAAGCGCAGGACUUGUAGCUGAAUACUGGCCUGAGCUGACCCUGCAGUGGGACAAGGAGCAUCUUCUUUGCUUAGGGAAGCUGGGGUUUGGAUUACCUUUCGCGGUGGCUGGUGCGCCAUUUCUGCUUUCAAGAGUGCAAUGGGGACAUGCGGGACUUUUUAAUCUUCAGACAGAAAGCGGAAGGGGAAGCUUGAUCUUCAGAUAAAGAUGGAGUUUCCUCAAGGGUGCUAGAUGGCAUACUGGGAUGAAUGGGAGGCAGAGGGAGGAUUUUUCCCUGUCUUUCCUCUUCUUUGAUCAUGUUCACAAGUGUUCGCCCGAUGUCCUCCACAUCUUCAUGAGGCGAAGGUUCUGUCUUCCUCACAAACUUGUGAUCACCAUCAUUUGGAUUUUGGGAUGACACCGACUCUGUGAAGUAAUACUUGGCAUCAGCAUAGUGAGUUUUGACCAUAGGAAAUNNNNNNNNNNNNNNNNNNNNNNNNNNNNNNNNNNNNNNGGGAUGAAUGGGAGGCAGAGGGAGGAUUUUUCCCUGUCUUUCCUCUUCUUUGAUCAUGUUCACAAGUGUUCGCCCGAUGUCCUCCACAUCUUCAUGAGGCGAAGGUUCUGUCUUCCUCACAAACUUGUGAUCACCAUCAUUUGGAUUUUGGGAUGACACCGACUCUGUGAAGUAAUACUUGGCAUCAGCAUAGUGAGUUUUGACCAUAGGAAAUUGUCUUUUAUCAGCAUAGACCGUAUUCCAUCUCCCAUCUCUACUAUUCUUGAAAAAUUGGUGCAAUGUUGAUGGAACUAUCCCCUGAUCAUGGAGCCACGAGCAGCUGAGAAGGAUGUUGCAGGACGUGUCAGUGUCGACUACUUGAAAUUGUGUGUAAUAAUUUAAUUCACUGAUCUUGAGACGAAGGUGGACUAUGCCAGCCGGCUUCUCUCUUGAUUGGUUGAAACCCAGGAGUGUGACAUAAGUUAGAGUAAGGUCUUCAGACCCUAAUCUCAAUCGAUUGAGAAUUCUCCUUGGGAGGACGUUGACUGCAGACCCUCCAUCCAACAUAAUUCGGUUGAUGGGGAAUUGACUAGUCACAAAGAGAGGGUGACUGUGAAAUUUUGCACCCAAUUGAAGGUCCUUCUCUAAGAAAGUGAUUGCCAGACAUCCAUUCAGGAUCGCUGGGUCCACCUCAUGGAUUCCACCUCAACCUCUUACACAUCUAGAUCAGAAAGAGCCUAAACCAGAGCCAUACGGUAAUCCCUUGAUAGCAUGAGAGCAUCAUAGAUGCUAAGAAGGGCUGGCAACUUCCUCAGGUGCCCUAUCUCAUCAUAUUUUACCUUUUCCUCGUUAGCCUUUUGUGCUCUUGGUCCUGCCACUGGUUUGGUUGAGGAGCAGGUUUAGGUGGAGGAGGUUUAUUUUGGGCUGCUGACUGGCUUGGUUGUGUGGCCGAAUUUUUUUCGGUGAUCUGGGUGGUUUAGGUGAUAGGGAUUUGUUUUAGUGGACUGGAGAUUUGAGGCUGAGAAUUAAGAGGUGGUUGGGUAUAUGGGUCCAAAGGCAUCCCAGGGAAUUUGAGGAUAGGUGGAUUGCCCAGGGUAUUUGGGCGAGGAAUCAUCUCAGGACUCUUGAGGAUGAGUGGAUUGUCUAGGGUAUUUGGGUAAGGAAAAAGUGAUGGACAAGGAAACUUCAGGACCUUUAGCUUCCGAGGUAGAUGUUGUAGCGUUUUCCUUGACCUCAGGCUCAUUUCCUUUGUGCUAGGUAAUUCUUUUGAGAUCUUCACCAUAUGACUGGCUUCCUGAGAAUAGAAGCUCUGUCCUUUCAAUUCUUUCAGCCUCUGCUCAAAGUCGGGCUUAGGGGGCCACUGGGGUUUCUUGAACUUUGACCUCCUAUGCUUCUUUGUUGAAGAAUAUGGCUCUACCUUAGCUUGAGCCACCAGAGCUGCAGCGACUUCCAGCAAUCCAGCCGCCAUGGCUAGCGUCCUUCUCAGCUGCCUCUGAUGCAUCCUGCUAAUAUUGGUUCCUUCGAGUUCUCUGUCAAGGGCCUCGAAGUCUGGACAUUCCACAGUUGUACCUGCAGGAGACAUAAAAGAGGAAGGAGAAGCAGAAGAAGAGGAAGAAGAAAAAGAGGCGUUAAUAGGUGAAGGACUUUUAAGGUCAUCGCUCUUGUUAGACCGACUUGGGUAGAUUUUUACAUCAUCAUCAGAGUUGGACAUGUGGGGGGAGUCUUUUUGUCAUUUCCCAUGCUUAGAACAUUGGGGGUGCUUUUAAUGUCGUCACCCUCAUUGGACGUGCCCCAAGUAGAAGAUGGCCCAAGCAUAUCCUCCUGAUGAGAUGAGGGAGGAAGGAUGAUCGCACCGGGGAUGAAGUCCUAUAAGGUUGGCAAUGGGGGAAGAGGCUUGAGAAAUUCUUGCUUAACUGGUGGUUGAGCAGUCUUGUUUCUCAAGCGAGCAACCCUUGGUGCCCUUCUCCUGGUUUUCAUUAGAAGUGCUUGAUUUGUAUCUCUAGGUUUGUGAACAGCCCAAACUUGACGGACUGCCGCUCAUUUUAAGGACUUGAGUCUGCUUCGCCCGUGGUAGACUCUCCAUGGUUGGGAAGUCGAGGGUUCAGUAGGGGCCAUCAACAUGAGAUUCUUGCACUAAAGCAUUCUCGUGGAUGGGAUCAUUGACUUGUGGGUGGUGUUCCACGGCAGCGUAAGCAUUGUGACCUCUUUGCACCAUCGUUGCGACUAUUGGUUCGAACCCAUAACAUUUGCUCAAGUUGUGGCCCCAUAUCUGAUGGUACAAGCGCCGAUGAUUCUCGGUUACCUGAGCAAGGCGCAUGGGUUGCCUUGCCAGCUUUGGAGUAACGAGCCCUUGUUGGAGCAUCAUGCCGAGCCUGAAGGAGAUUUGAUGGUUGCUCAUCAAAAGAGUGUGGGCCUUCACUUUCCUCCUGCAGUGUCACCACGUGGGAAUCCUCAGUUGCCCCGAAUGCUCUCUUAAGCUCUUCGAGCUUUAUCUAACCCUUCUAGAUCAAAGCCUCAAUGAUGUCCUUGAGUGUGUAGCAUUCGUCUGUGGGGUGGAUUAUCCUCUAAUGAUAAGCACAAUAGCUUGUGUGGGCAUCAAGUCAGGCAUGAUCAGGAAACUUGCUCUAGGGGAGCUCAAUCAUGUUCUGCUCCAGUAAUAACUGGAGUAGUGCAGGAACCCAUUCCUUCUAAAAAGGAUAAACCUUAUUCUUUUGUUUGGCCCAAUAAUCAUCUUGAUUAAGGUUUGCAGGUUGCGGUACCCAGUUAUAUGACUGUUGUUGUUUUCCUACUUGUGGUGCUUUCGUUGUGCCUACCCCUUUGGAGAGGUCCAAAGAUUGGGAGGCGGCCUCUUUUGGAUCACUGAUGGUGAUGACUGUGUUGAUUACCACUUUUUGUUGAUUGCCUUGGGCAUUGGUCUGAGAGCAACCAAUUCCCCGGUUGUUUUUCGAGCUCGCAGACUGUUGUCAUGACCCGCCAUGGUGGCGUGACAAGCUUUCUUUGCAAACUAACUUAAAGAUCAGCUCUAACAUGGAGGUCGGAUUGGAGGGCUCAACAUGUAGAGCAAUCUCAGGUCGCAUGUUUUGCACACAGGUUUGAACUACUUCCUUCUCAGGCAUGGGGUUAGGAUGGCGAGCAGCCAAAUCCCUUCAUCUUGUUAUGAAUUGAUCCAUGGGUUCGUCUGGUUCCUGAAUCAAGGUGAGAAGCUCGAUGGUUUGGACCGCUCUCUCGACCUCAUAGAAGUGUUGGUGGAAUAGUUUCCAUCCAAGUAUGUACUGAAUUCGGGGGAAGCUGAGCAUAGCACUAAAAAUCCAGGCCAUCAAGGGUUUCAACAAACUGAUGGAGAAGGAGUCUCCCAUCAGCUGAUGUCUCUCGACAUGCUGCUUGGAAAUGCACUAUAUACUAAUGAGGGGAUGUUGUACCAUUGAACAGGGGAAGCUUCCCUUUUUUGUAGUCCGAGGAAAACAGAAGUCGAUCAAUGUAGAAGGGGUACGGCUUUUGGUAAAGCAUUGUACCCUGUAUACCCGAGAUUUGUCUAUAAUUCAGGCUAUGGCUUACCGUAGCGUUGAAGUCUGCCUGUGAGACGAGGUGAGGGACGGAAUUGUCCUGUGAGGCAGGAGGAGGAGGCUACCUUGGAGCUGCAUCGUCUGAGUGAUGGGAGUCAGCCUCAUGAUGGGAUACAUUGAUUGAGGACCGCAUGCUUUCAGUGUGAUCAAUCAUGUCCAUCAUUGCUCGCACCAUCUGUUUGAACCUAUCCAUGAGUUCUUCCUAGUUGUCAUUAGGUUCGGUCACAAUAAUAAUGCUAACCAUUUUCUCAAGGUGGUCAGCCUUAGGUGCAGCUAACAACUUCUGGCCAUGGUCGAUAAUGCGCGACAAAUCGGUCAGCAAGGGUUCAACAUGCCCCUAUUGAACUCGAGUCUUAUAUGUCGAUCGCAUGAGGACCGGUUCUUGACGGUCUUGGGACCGUGGCUGCUGAGUGAUCGGAUCAUCUCUUAUAACGGUGACCACUGUGCAGGUUUCUCGUAUGUCCUCUUCGGGCUUUGUGAUUUGAAGAGGGUAGAAGAGUUUCUUGUGAAGGGGGUCAUCAGGAGAGGUUCCCUUGACCGUCUUGGUUGCUUCUCUAGCCAGGAUUUGUAGACCCCUAUCGCUUUUAGCUUUGUGGCUUUGAUGGACCUCACAUCAGAACUGUGAUUGGAACUGCGGCUGGACGGCUUUACUUUAGCAAGAAACAACUGUCACUAUUAGAUGAAGCAAUGAGUGCGGACUAGGUACUGGGGUCAACUUAGGCUCAGGAGGAUGAAGGACUUGAUCUCCCAUCAGGUCUUUGCCCCGAGUUCUCUUGUGGGCUCCGGGGACAUGGUUGUGCUGAUGGGGCUAGCUCAAGAUGGUACUCUUGGGGAAGGUCUUCAAGUAUCAAGGCUAGAGGUGCUCGCUCGAAAUAGGAGUGGUAGGCAGGGGAAGGAUCGACUCAUGACGGCACCUGUCUAUAAGGAAACAGGAGGGAUGCCCCUUACAAGGUGUGCUAGUGUGUGCUGAAAGGGAGAACAAAGGGGUUCUCUCCUGUGUACUCAGGUUAGCGCAGCGACAGUGUUGUCCCCAGUGGUGGGAUGCACAUGCAUAACGUGUACAAGACCUAGCCCGAGGAGGCCUGAUCCUAGACACUAACUCGAGGUAACAUAAGGAUUGCCCCGAGAUGUGGCUUGAGUGGGUAGCCCACGAACCUUUGGGUGUGUGUGAGAAGUGGAGGCCCCAGAGUCUCUGCCUCGAUGUGCCGAGCCUCUAAGCAUAGAGACCUGAGAUGGUAGAGGAAUGUGGGGGACAGCCUUGUGACGACCCAUAGAAGCAACGAUAAUUUCCUUGUUUUUGGCAGAAAGAGACUGGGUAGCCUUUCUGUGUACCUCGAUAAUACGACUGGCAUGUGACUUGUAAGUGACAGGAUGCAUGCUGUGGGUGGAAGCAGAUGUACUACCAAUGUAUAGGGCUUUGGUGGGGGUUCCACUAGAGCUAGGAGAUGGGAGUUAGGGACCUUUCAGUCCCCUCUCACGUUAAUCUAGGCCAAGACCUAGGAGCUAAAAACUAGGUCUUCGCUCAAAAGAAAAUUUGAGAACGACGUUCGAGGAACAUAUUCUCGAGGGAAGCUCACGAAUGCGAACAUGAGAAAAUCCCCAAUCCGGAUAAAUGGGUUAAGAAACCUGGAAGCCAUGUGAGUGCAGACAAUUAAAAAACAAAGGAAAGACUAGUAAAGCAAGGAUGAUCCGACAAAGGGGUAAUAAGUACCCAGUGGAGUCACCAAGAUGGUCUUGCCCCAGGGUCGGGAUGACCCGGUGGCAUGUGCCUCCAGCGUUAGGGGAACCUGAGACUUGAUGCUGCUCUCUCGAGAACCUUGUUACAAAACAAGGGCAAGCACACCAACCGAUAAGUGGAAUUUAAUGUGAUGCGGGACACACGUCACCUGGGUCCAUGACUCACUUUGGCUGACUCACGCGGGUGCCCUCUUAAAUCACGUCGAAAAGCCCCCCAGUCUUACAACUGGUUUGAAAUCGCCUCCCUUGACAUGUACUCUUCUAUUUCUACAAUCACACACACACGGUUAAUUUACAAGACAAGUGGGCUGAGGGACCCCACCUUGUCUUUGGGUGAAGGCACAUAAACGUGCACAUUCAAGGAAGAAAGGGAAGGAAUGAGAUGAAAUUUGGAGUGAUAAAAGGAGAAGGGAGAAAUAUAAUAGAGGGAAGAGAACAAAAGAAAGAGAAAUUUAUCCAAGAUGCUUGACAGACAUAGUAGCUAGACCAGUACAGUGAUUAACAUGGCAUGGUAGUAAGACGGGUUUGGUAACUCAAACCAGCCCGACCGCAAUACUACCUGAUGACAAGACCAACACCGACUAGCCUGACAGAAUGGCUAACUUGUCGUGGUAGUUGGACGGGCAUGGUAACUCAAACUAGCAUGGUGGCAAUAUUGCUCAACGACGGGACUACCAUGGCAGUUCUAGUCUCAACGUCCCUUGGUCAAAUGAAAGAGGAAGAAAGGAAGAAGAGAGAGAAGAAAGAAGGAGAAAGAGAGAAAAAAGAAAAGAAAGAUAAGAGACAAAAGAGAAGAGAGAAGAGAGAGAAAAGAGAAGAGUGAAGAAAGAAAAGAGAGACAAGAGGGAAGAGAGAAGGAGGAGAAAGAAAAGAGAGAUGAGAAAGAAACGAGAUUAGAGGAAGAGAGAGAAAGAAAAGAGAGAUGAGAAAGAAGAUAGAUUGGAGGAAGAGAGAGAAAGAAAAGGAGAGAGAUAGAAGAAAGAGAAAGGAGGAAAGAAGAAGGAGAAGGAAGAAGAGAGAGAAGGGUAAGAAGAAUGGAUGGUGAUAGGGUCUGCCAUCUAUGAUGGAGGAGAGAGAAGAAAAAUUAAAGCAUGGAUGGUGAUCGGUCCCAUUAUCCAUGGCAGAGGAGAGAGAGGGUAAGAAAGAACAUGCACGACUAUAGGUUCCAUCGUCCAUGACAUGAGCGAGAGAAAGUGAGAACAUGGACGACGAUAGGUCCUACCGUCCAUGACGAGAAACAGAGAAAGAGUAAACAUGGAUGGCGAUAAGUCCCGUCGUCCAUGACAGGAGAGAGAAAGAAAGAACAUGGAUGGCGAUAGGUUCCACCGUCCAUGAUGAGAGAGAGACAGAAUAAACAUGGACGACAAUAGGUCCCACCAUUCAUGACAAGAGAGAGAAAGAGAGAACAUGGAUGGCGUUAGGUUCCACUGUCCAUGAUGAGAGGAGGAAGGAAGGAGAAAACAUAGACGACGUUAGGUUCUACCAUCCAUGACGAUAGAGAGAGAGUCAGGAGAGAAAAGAAAAGACAAACAUGAUGAUAGGCAUUGCCAAUAUGUCAAAAAGGACUCAAACAUGACCCCGCUCGCCACUCGAGAAAGGGACCGAUUCAAUGUCCUUAUCAAGGAAUAGGGGAAGAAAUGUCACGCGUGACGAUGGACAUUGUCAUGCACAACAGGAGGGAGAAGGAACUCAAACAGAGGCCCAGCUCGCCACUCAGGUUAAGGUCCGACUCACUGUGUAUGUUCCAAAGAUAAGAAAAGAAUGUGAAAGUCGUGCUCAGCGAUGGGCAUCACCAUGCAUGACUGGAGAGCAGAGAGAAUAAAAAGAAUGAAGAGAAAGAAGGAAAAACAGGGAAGAGAGAGAAAGGAUGUUAGAGAAGAGGAAAGAGAGAGAUUGAAAGGGAAAGAAGAAGAUUGGGAAAGAAAGAGGAUGGGAGAAGAAAGAUAAUAGAGAGAAAAGAGGAAAGUAGGGAAAGAGAGACAUGCACGACAGUGCCUACUACCGUGUACAUUAGGAGUGAAGAGAGAGGCAGCAAGACAAAGAGAGAUAAAGACAAAAGAACAGAGAGAAAGGCAUGCACGACGAUGGUUACUGCCAUGUGUGUUUGAGGUCGGGAGGAGAGAUACAGAGAGAAGAAAAAGAAAAGAGAAAGAAAGAAGAGAGAGAAGAGAGAAAGAAGAGGAGAGAAAAAGUUACCGUCACCGAGGGAUAUCAACCUUUUUCUUCUCUCUCCUGUCUCUCCCUCUUGGACGUGCCCACAAUUUCAAUGUAAAACUCUCAAAUCCUAUUCAUGAGAUUGAAGCCCUUUACAAUUAGGUUUAGCAUCUAUUUAUAGACUUGGGCCCAAAACAUGGGUGGAUGCCCAAAACCUGACCUAAUUGAUGAUAAUUGUAAUUUGUUUGAAUUAAAAUAAAAUCUAAAAAUAGGAGAAAAUGACGGUUUUUCCCCUGCCCAACAAUUGAUAAUAUUCCAAAACAGCCCCUACUGCUGCCCUAGAAUGUGUGCGAUUUUUCGUGGAUGAUUUGAGGUUACUCCAAAGCUAGUUUUGCAAAAAUAUGAUUACUUUCUCGUUGGGCUCAGCAUGACGAUCAAUUUGGUACCAACUUCGAGCCACGAAUCGUAUUUUUAGGCCACGAUCAUGUGACUUGAAAUUUGUACUAAUCUUGAAAACUUCUGAUCGAUAAUGCGCUCAUUUCUUGAUGUAUUUCUUGGAUUUCUUUGGUGAAUUUCACUGAGCAUGCCAUCAUAAUCGCGUUGCAACAAACACAGCUCGAUUUCGUGUCCCGACGAAGAUUUUUCCAUAUUGGGUUUUUGGCCGGAUCUUGAAUUCUGACGGUCGGAAUUUACAGCAAUUUUAUCGUCUUCGCACGUGAAAUCUGAGCAUUCAUCAUGUACAAGGUUCAGUCCAUAUGUAGCCUCAGAUCUUACACACGCAAUGGAACUGGUUUCCCGUUGAUCCGUUCUGUGAGUGUGGUGACACGGCUACUUGAGCGAGACGUGUCGCUGCUGAAUUUCCUGCAACUUUUGCUACGAAUCGCCAUCUUCUCUUUUUACUUUCUCCCUAGUCGGGCAUCUUCACGGGGUGUGCCACACAUGAAGACGCUCGUCUUGACGAGGCGAACACGCUCACAAAAUUUGGGUGCGAUCUGACUUAAAACAAGUGAUAUAUGAAUCUAUAAAGUUGUUGCUCGUGACUAUGCAAACCAGUCUCCUUUAUUAGAUGUUGGUGCAAGGAGGCCGCAUGGGAAUAGCGUGCGGCCAUCCCCUUUUUAAUGUUUCAUCCAUAACUUUUCCCUGAAGUGUCUGUUUAAGCAAAAACUUAACCCCUAGGGGUUUUCGACCGUACUGGAUCCAAUGGGGUGGUCCCACAAUAUUUUACGCACUGAAAAUAGUGUUCUAGUUAUGGGGUUCGUUCAAGGUGCUAGAGGCAAAUUUUGUCAAAACUGUUUCUUUGUUUGCACUGCCUUAAACAUGUCAGAUUGCGACAAAACUUGGCAGGUGGCCUUUUAAAGUCCUUAGGAAUGGCUUCACCUGUUCUGGGGUAAUUAUGAGACUGUCAGGAAUUCUACUGUAAGUAGGGAUUUAUUGACCGACAUCACUUUUAUUCCGCAUUGGGAGCUAAAGGCAUUGAAAAAUGUGUUCAGACAACCACCUACUGACAAUCACCAUGCCAACUCACAUAGUUACUCCACCACGCAUACUUAUAACUCACAUAGUUACUCCACCACGCAUACUUAUAACUCACAUAGUUACUCCACCACGCAUACUUAUAACUCACAUAGUUACUCCACCACGCAUACUUAUGUCUAUAGACUCCUGGGUAGCCUGACCGCUCUAAUAAUGAAUUGGGGCAAGGGAUAGCCUACCCCAGUCUCGUAAAUUGUUUCAGAUCGUCCCCAUCCUAGAUGCAGUGUUGAUGGCUCUGAUGCCACCUGCACCAUGCAUGUCAGCUCCACGACUCGAGGCUGCUUAAGAGCCGACCCCCGACUGACACACGACUCUAUAGACAAUCGAAAGUCCCUCGAGCAAAUGCACAUUCAUCCGACAGCCUCGAUAGCCUCAGUAGCUAAACGGGCGAUUGUUACACACACCCCACCCCUCACCACACAAGUGACUAGCCCCUUUGCAACAAGAAACCACUAUGGAUCGUGCACACACCUGCAAGUUCGAGGAAGCUCUCGAGUGCGGGGAAGAACGAACGCCCAUCGUUCCGCCCAUCACUCCUGUACCACUCACCACGUGGUACUCUAAGAAGUUCCCUCCGGGCACCAUCCUCUCUACACCAUGACUUGCGCAUUUGCAAGUUGCCUCUUGGCGCAAGGUCCAAACGGAGAAGAUGCUAUAUCGUUUCUCUGCCGAUAGUCCUCAAACUUCACUGCCACCUACGAAACUCCUUCCUCCUGAGUCUCUCACUCUACCCGAGGUUGUCGACUCCGUCUGUGCAUUGGUAGACCGGGCCUACCGAGAAGAGGACAGGACCCGAUCUCGUUUCUAGGGAAAAGUUUACUGAGGCCUGCAACUCAAGCAAGCUAGGGAAAUGGUGAUUCCCCUCCUCCAGCAAAAGAUGACGUCUUCUACCUCGAAGGGCCUUGUCAGCUAGAAAUGGUUUCAACUACUGCGUGACAAAGAGGAGCUCGAAGACGGCAGCGUCACCCCGUCCAACGUUGUCGAGGCAAAAGAAGAUGACCUUGCCUUGCCCUGCCCGACCUUCAGCCGCAAGGUCGUCAAGAGCCAACGGAUGAAGAGGGCCUCAAGGCCUCCAAGCGCCAAGCCCGACCUCAAGGUCACCCUGAUCCCGUACUCACUCGGGCCCUCAAACAAGCCCGCGUCCAGACGAGGGCAAGUCUUGCCUCUGCUCUCCGGGGUCUCUGACCGGAGCACAAAGAGGACCAGGAUCACCCCUCCUUUUGAGCUACCAGACUCAGACCGACCAGCCUAGGUCAUGACAGUAAGCCAGGAUGGAGAGGAGGUCAAAAGCUCGACGACCCGCUUUGAGAACCUCCUGAACAACAUCUUGGACAAGGUCAAAGAGCUCGAGGAAGCAUUGUCAAUGGUCUCCUCCCACCAAGAGACCAACUCUCCCCAGAACUGCCACAUGAGAUAGAGGAAAUGCCUCAGCCUCCCCGUCGGCACCAACACUGAGCCUCCAAAUCAUCCCUCCUCUUUUGAAGUCUGCCCCGACACCACUCGUCAAGCGCAUCGUCGAUAUUCACGCAGGAGGACGUGUAAUGGAUGAUCAAUAAAAGCAUUCAGGAGCUGCAGGUGCCAAGGACACUGGACAAUCUCCCAUACAAAAAUCCUUAUCCACCCUCUAUUGAUCAGGUUCCCUUCCUUAUCGACUAUCAAAAAGGAAGGUUACUAAUGUUUGAUGGCACAGGCUCACCUCACUAGCACAUGGCCCACUUCAUGUCUGUCUGCCAAGAAUCGACCUCAGACUCCAGGUUGCUACUUCAACAAUUCAUAGAGACCCUAAUCGGGCUUGCUUUCAAAUGGUAAGCCCACUUACCUACCAACUCGAUCCAUUCCUAGCAGGAGAUGGAAGAACUCUUCUAUAAACUCUUCUACUAAGUAGAGCUGGACAUGCAAGCCAUAGAGCUCCUCACCAUGGCCCAAAACCCCGACGAAUCGGUAGGCCAAUAUAUCCAUUGGUGGAGAGACCUCGCCAUGUGCCAGAGAAACCCCAUGGGCGAGGUGGAAGUUGUACAUACAUACAUUAGAAACAUGAGGAGAAAAAUCUCCCUACAUGUUGAAGCUUUUGACCCCACCACCUUCUCCAAAAUUAUCACUAAGGUGGCUAAGAUCGAAAGCUUGCUGAAACAUCAUGGCGGAGACUUGGCCCAAACCUCAGCAGAGGGCCAGUUUCAAGGAAGCAAGGCUAACCCCUCUGCCGGUCAGUCAAAGAAUCUGAUUAGCACAGCGGUUACGAUCGCUUCCCAACCCACACCCAACGUAACCCCAUUAUGAAUGUUGGACACCUCUCGGGGUUUGCAACCAAGAAUUUAGGGGCCGGUACAACAACCACCACCUCAAAAGUAGGACUAUAGCAGGGUGCCUCAGCCGCAGAUUUACCAACAAAUGGAAGAGUUCAGACAGAAGCUGAAUCAACAAUACAGUUUUAAUAGGGCAUGAGCAUGGGUGCCGACCCUGCUCACAAUGUUGAUUGAGCAAGACAUGGUGACCCUCCCACCCAGCAAACGACCGGACCAUGUAGAAUGGGUCGGUCAUCCCAACUACUGCACGUUCCACCAAAUGCUGAGACACCCCAUGGAGGACUGUUUCCAGCUCAAGGGCUACAUUGAAGCCUUGAUAACAAAGGGAGCAAAUCAAUUUGGAUGACCUCAAGAACACUUAUGAGAUACCUGAAGCCUGUCAUGUGGUCACCAUCCACAAACAGUUGGAUGAGGAAGUCCCUGGGACCGAGCCUCCACCCUACUGACUCACUACUCUUUUUGAUGCGAUGGUGCCGCAUGAGAUGAUCAUGCCCUAUGGCCCAAAGACACAGGGAUGAACGUUCAGCAAAGGCCAAGGACCGGGUUGCCGAUACCACCCACUGAGUGGUCAGGACCUGUUCCAUUACUAUGGGUUUCGUGACAUCCUUCAAGGAUACAUCCAAGAUGGAUGGCUAGUCUUGAUUGAUGAACAACCUCCGUCCCAAAGCAGAAUACCCCACCAAUGUCCUCACCCCCAUCCGAGAACAGAGCAGGCUUGAAGCCUUCGUUUCCAGCGCUUUCGAGUCUUCAACCUGUGAUGCUUAGGCACCGUGGCAGGUGUAUCAUGGCCUCCAAAGGCCGAAAAGCACCGGCAGCAACACGGCUCAUUGCACGAAUGCGACACUUGCACCCCAUGCACAAGAACCCCUCCCGCUCGGAAUAACAGGGCAAGACCUGAAGGACCCAGUCGCACCAAUUCGAAAUACCCAGUCUUCCCCACACCCAAACGAGGCGGAGCUCUUACCCCCUCGACCUCCCCUACACGACGUCAUCCCAAGGCAAGUCCUUUUCGCCAAGGAAAGUCAGCACACCACCGCAAGAACCCCUCAGGGUUCUCGUUAUAAGGACAAGACGUUUUAAAGGUGCAUCAAAUUGUCAGUCCCAAAGGUGGGACUUUAAGCGAGCCUUACUGCAGUCGUGGGGGUAGGGCUCUAAAACUACCUCUUUAAAAACACAACUGCACACUGACAGUAGACCACGGCACUCCGCGAAGGCAUGCCAAUACCCUCCCAAUGAGUGUCUAAAUUCUUGCCAACUACUGGCCCCUUCUCAGAGAGGGUGAGGUGCGAGAUUCAGAACAAAAGGCGUGAAAAGAAGAAAAACAAAAACCAAUUAAACAUGAAAGAAUAAGAAAAUUGACCGUCUUAUUCCUAUGCAAAAAAUAUGUUACAAAUCUCGGUGGGGCAUCGAAGCCCAUAGAAAAGUAAAAGGGAAAGAAAGAGAAAGAGGAAAUAAGGAAGGGCAGGAGUUGUCAAAAGCGGUCAACCGCCUCCUGCAUCUUCGCCUUCGGCUCCUGCGCCCUCUCCAGCACAGCCAGCACCUCCUCUUCACUAUGAGUGAUCUCCGUGGCGACCGACACAGACGGAACCGUGACCACCAAUAUGUCUGAACUAACUUCUCCAAGUGGCGGGAGUUUGUAGCCAUCACCUCCCGAUAGCACUACAGUUUGUCCCUCGAGUCAGCCAUGCCGGUCAGUAACAGACCGAUCUCAUCUACAACACUCUGGAUAUCUUCUUUUAUUUUUGCCUCCUCCCUCACAAGAUAGGCAUGACAAGAGGCAAUUUUCUCUCUUCUCCUCAUGACCUCUCACGAGAGCUUGCUAAGUCACCAACUUUGUCUUCAAGGAGGCCAAACACACUGGGUAAGACGUUCGUGUGGAAGUCUCCGGUAAGUGAGCCUCAGCUCCUCAACCUACGAGGUUCUGUAGCAGCUCAUGUACCUUGUCAAAGGUCUCGGCGUCCAGGCCCAUGGCUUGAAAGCUGGCCACACAGGCCUAGACUUCCUCAAACCCCUCUUGGAGGUCAGGAAGAGAGCAUUCCUUGAGCCCCUCAAGGCCCGCCUAAAGCAUACACCUCACAGUCCAUGUUCUAAAGCCCACCUCGAUGAAGCCAAAGCCGGGGAACGCACUGAAGAAAGUGGGUGCACGUCAAGGACUGGUCCCCCGACCGUAAGGGCCAAACACUCAGAUGGAGCAGUGGGAGAUUCCGACGGGGGCCCACCAACCCCCCUCCAACUCUCGGCGCCAAACGCCAUGAGAGAUGAAGCUGAGGCCUCAUCAGCAACAAACCUCACACAUUAUGCUGUUGUAAAAAAAAAGAGAAGCCAAAGGGUCAGGUCAAAGGAAAGCAGCGCACCAACCACGUGCUCAGACCCAAGUAAGCAGCAUUACCUAGAGGAAGAGGUAGACUGCUACUGGGCAUGAUCCUUGCUCCUAAGUGCUUCUUUGAUAAGAGACGAAUGCCGAAAAGGAGGCCUGAGCAAAAGGCACAAAGGGUGUUUGCUCUUAUUAGGAACGUAGACCCUGAUCAGAGCGAAAAGAAAACACCCCUCCUUUAAUAAAGCCUGAUAGUAGAAGAGCCAAUCAACGGGUGACUCGGCCCCUAUCUAGAGGAAUGUCGGCAGCACGGGAAGCAUCAGAAGUGGGACACCGAGACACCAUCGGCGUGCUAAUCGAACCAUCGCGUGAGCAGGGGCCACGCACCUCGAAGGUACGACUGUACAAAUAACAUUCGAAGAGACGUGCCACACAUGCGAAAGAUUACGCUUAGUCUCAAGAAAGCACUAAGGGCACGUAAUCGAACCAUCGUACGACAACGACACCGUCUCUCUCGCCCAGCAUUAACCGCUUUGCAUGCACAAUAUGUUCCAUCGAAAAUGACGUGCUUACCGUUGUGCAAACACCGCUCAAGCAUGCAACCAAACCCCACUCGGCCAACGUACAAUACGGGCCCACUCAGAGCGUCGCGCUCGGGGCACCCCCCAGCACCACUCUCCUUCACAGGCAAGCGAACCUCGUUCCUUGUCUCACCCACAUAUGGGACCCCCUGCGCCCCCCCCUAAAAAAAAUAAAAAAAUAAAAAAAUAUGGGGACUUGCGAAAAUCAACAACGACACAUUCCCCAAGGUUUGGGAUGAAAACCCGCGAAGGCAUCCCAACAACCAUCACGUAGCAAGCAGCAACCUCCCAACAGGCACAACAAGCACUUCAUCGGCCAUUUAUUAUCCCCAUCAUUAGCAGGGAUAAGUACUGCACCAGCCCAAAAAAAACAUAAGAGGAGAGCAACACACAGCGGCACAAGGCAAAGAAGGAGACAUUAACGCAAAUGAGGGCUUUUAUUAUGUGAACAAAAAGAUUACAAAAUUGUGGUUACAACAAGCUGAUAACUACAAAGAAGUACAUUAGUUCCGAAAUAACCCUCUCCCAUUCAAGGGUCCACCGCUUUCUCACAGCGGUGGUGACUACCAAGAUGUUGUGUCCAUCUCUUCAAGAAAGACUUGAAGAUAAUGGGGAGCACCUCCUCCUUCAACUCAUCCUCUGGUGAGGAUGACACGCCCUCAACACCUUAUACACAGCCGCAGGCCUCACACUAUGGGUCCCCCACAAAUAGAAGAGCUCCAGAGCAAUAAGCUCCCCCUCUGUCAUGGGUCCAUCUUCACCUCCACAUGGGCGAAUACCUUCACAAGGAAGCCCAACGCCCGCGCAUGACCCAAAGACCGGUGUCAAGCAAUCAGCCCCCAUAGCAAGCAUCGCUCACCAACCAAGUUCUCAAAGAAAACGAAGUCUUUGCGUCGCCUCCAUACAAAGGGCAUCAAUAAAAGGAAGUUCAUCACAACAAGGGGAAAAAGGUGCCCCCACGCUCUCCUGCUUAGCCCCUUUUUAAAGGACAUAUGCUCAUCAAAGUUGUUGCAUCCCAAGCACCAUGCUUCCUGGCUGCUCUCCCAUAUGUCACCUCGACGGAGCCUCGUUGAUCGCAACAUUUAAACCUUCUCACACCUCACAUGUUAGGUGCUGUUCACGAAGCAUCACAGUUAAAUCUCACACCACCAUACGGCCACGGCAUCACCACCAUGUGACACUCUCCAUCUGACCUCGCCCAAAAAUGCACGUGCCUCAUCAACCGAGCGCCACCUCUUUAAGCAACCCCCCUCCCCCCCGCGGGUGCCCUCUUCACACCACCCCCUGUGAGUACCAUCUUCAUUACACCUCCACGAGAGCACCACUCCAUUUCAAACACCCCCCCCCCCGCGAGUGCUGCUCCAUUUCACCCCCCGUCAGUACCAUCUUCAUUACACCCCCCGCUGGUGUAGCUCCAUUUCAGUCCCCAGCUGGUACCAUCUUCAUUACAUUCCCCUUGGGGGUACCAUCAUCAUUACACCCCGUGAGUGCAAUCUUCACACCUUCCCCCUGCAGGUGCCAUCUUCACACCACCCCCCAUAGGUACCAUCUUCAUUACACCCCUCGCUGGUGCCGUUCCAUUUCUUCCCCUCCCCCCCCCCUGGCAAGUUCCGUCUUCAUUACACCCCCCGGGGGUGCCGCUCCAUUUCAGCUCCCACGGGUGCCACUCCAUUUCACCUCUCGCGGGUGCCACUCUCCAUUACACCACCCGUAGGUGCCAUCUUCACACUCAUCCCCUGUGGGUGCCAUCUUCACACCCCCUCACGGGUGCCACUUCAUUUCACCCCCACGGGUGCAAUCUUUGCACCCACCCCCUGCGAAUAUCACUCCAUUUCACCCCUCCGUGGUUGCCACCCCAUUACACCCCUCGUGGGUGCCAUCUUCACACCUACCCCCUGUCGGUGCCAUCUUCACACCUUCCCCUCCCGAGUGCCGCUCCAUUUCACCCCCCGUGAGUACCACUUCAUUCCACCCCCCUCGGGCGCCUCCAGCAUGCCACCACCAUGGGCACUGUCUAACACCUCUCGCAGGCACCACCAUCAUUGACCCAACGUGGGCACAAACUGUCUGGGUUCCAAUAAAGCUACUCUUCGGGGAAACACCCCAAAAAAUGGGGAAAGUAUCCCCCACCUCGGCCACCAGCCACCACAUUAGCCCGAGUCAGGGUCACACUCUCAAGAUUUUCAAGAAUCCUCUUUCAAGAUUCACUACAUUAGUGACCUCCAUCCCCCCCAAAAAAAAGAGAGAGGGGGCUAUGGGUACAAUUGCCCAUCAAAAAAGAAGAAGAAAGGGGCAUAGUGAAAACUAACAAAGGGCACCAUGAGUAAAAAAAAAUAGACUGGCAUGGCCAUGAAGCCAUGAUGAAAAGAGUCUUGAGAAAGCAAUCGGGCAUGGCAAAAACCGACAAAGGGUGCCACGAGUAAAAGCGAAAAGCAACGAGUGGAUGUGACCUGAAAGUCAUGGGUAAAAGUGUCCCAACAAAGGAUAUGGUGAAAAUCACUCUGUUGGCACCAUACCCACUCGGUUCAAGUGAAAACCUGCAAAGGGUGCCUAAACCGAGCCUCCUCCUUCCAGCCUUUGGUCCGAACCUUAUCCUCUGCAGCUCCAGUGCCUUUCCAAAAAAUUUAGGCCCCAGAGCCUUUCAAAAAAAAAUCUGACCCUCAGCACCUUUCAAAAAAUUUGGGCCUCAAUGCCUUAAAAUUUGGGCCCCUGUGCCUUCCAAAUAAUUUGAGCCCCAGUGCCCCCCGAAAAAAAUUUGGGCCCUAGUGCCUUCCAAAAAAUUUCAACCCUAGUGCUUAAAAAAAAAAAUUCCGGCCCUAGUGCCAUCCAAAAAAAAUUCUGGCCCCAGUGCCAUUAAAAAACAAUCUAGCCCCAGUGCCUUCCAAAUACAUUUUGGGCCCGAGUGCCUUCAAAAACCAUUUGGGCCCCAGUGCAUUCCAAAAAAUUUCAGCCCAGUACCUUUCAAAAAAUUUUGGUCCAUAUUGCCUUCCAAAACAUUUGUGCCCCAGUGCCUUCCCAAAAAAACCAAGCCUUAAUGCCUUCAAAUAAUUAUCUGUCCUUCGGGCCAAACGUUUAUCCCGGGCCUUUGUGCUGCUUCCUAUUUUCAGCACCGGAGCCUUAGCACCAUAGUGCCACCCUUUUAUCAUGGGUCUUUAUGCAACUUUCCUAUUUUCGACGCCGGAGCCUUAGUGCCUCGGCCUUUGUGUUGCCUUCCUAUUUUCGGCUCUAGAGCCUUAGUGCUCUGAUGCCACCCUUUCAUCCCAGGCCUUAGUGUCGCCACGAUAAAAAAAAAAAGAAGAAAAAUUCUUCUCCUUCUCUGCUCUUCCAUCAAACUCUUGCAGCCAGGGUGAAAUCUCCUAAAAUGGGACCGCCUCAGAGACCAUCCUCCAAUCAAGUCUGGGUAAUUUAAGCGAUCCCCAAUUGGACCAGUAGGACGUAUGUUGAAGAGGUACCUUGCCUGUCGUUCUGCUCAUCAAACUCCAGCAUCCAAGGUGUAGUACUCAAAAAUGGGGCCGCCUCAGUGGCCAUCCUCCUAUCAAGUCUGGGUAAUUUGGGCAAUCCCUAACUGAACUAGUAGGAUGUAAGCGGAAGAGGUACCUUGUCUGCCUUUUCUUUCUUCAUUAAGUUUCCAGCAUCCAGGGUGAAGUCCCCUAAAAUGGGACCGCCUCAAAGGUGAUCCUCGUAUCAAGUCUGGGUAAUUCGGGAGAUCCCCAACUGGACCAGUAGGACGUAAGCCAAAAGGUACCUUGUUUUCUCCUAACGUCGUUGUUUGGAAAGGGAUAAAGCUCACAAGAAGGGCCCCCGCCAACUCGAACGUCAGGACCUCCCCAGCCAGAAUGGGAUAAAGCUCACUAGAAGGGCCCCCACUAGCUGGAACAUCAGGGGUUCGUGUUUUAUGACUCGUCGAAGGCAGACCAUCAACUUGACCUCCCAAAAAAAAUAAAUUUUAGCGAAACCAGGAGAAAGCCGCACAACAAGGCACCGAACAACAAGGCAUCGGACCACUAGAAGCCACUUUGGUCGCCCCGGAGUAAAGGGAAAAUCUCAGCAAGGUCUACCCAGUGAGGACUGUGUUGUGCCAGUGAUCAAGAAAAAAAAUAUUGAUUGAGAGACAAUAAACACGUCUUGGCGAGGAUUCGUCAGAGGAGCUACGACGUUAAAUUUUUCUGAAUGUUGCACUUCACGCUUCUCUCGAAGCACAAUAUCCGGUGGGGCAAGUUGUUGCACAUCAUUUUUUACGGAUCUCCACAAGCCAGUGCGAAUAAGGCAGAGCCGGUGACAGUUUGGUCUCACAGGUUCACGAAGCACCUAUAGACCAAGAUAGUGCCGAAAAUAAAUCCUCCAGCCUAGUACCCUAGGUAUGGUGCCCUCGCACAAAAGAAGGACCCUUCACUGUAGCCCUAUGCUAAUGGCUGCAGUAGGGCGUAGACCACCGCCAUUGCACUCAGGAUGUUGAAAAUCCCCGAGGACCAAAUUUGGGCUCAAUCAGACCUCCCUAGAGGGGCCCACGCUCAUGCGGCCUCGUAACUCAUGGGUUUUACCAUAGCACGGUGUAGCUUCACUAAACCAGUCCUGGAAAUGGAGACCGCAAAAAUCAUUUCCAGUAGCAACUUCGCCAACCUAUGGCACCUUUCUCUAAAACCAGAUGGAGCUCAAACAUUGUCAUGUUCUGGAACACGCCAGCCCCGUCAUUUUGACAUAUGGGACACACUAUGGUGUGACCGAGAACCCUCAUUGCUUUAGAGAGGAAAGUGAUAGUAGAAACUAAGGAAAAAAUAGUAUUCAACAAACUCUAAAUUCGGUGAAGCAGCCUUGAAUUAACAUGGGGAGGAGUUCAAUAGAAUCACCUAGCAAAGAGUUAUAUUCUGGUACAACUCUUGCAUUCAAUCCAUGGUUCAAUGAAUGCAAGUUCCUAGGUCGCCAAAGAAGCAUAUCCAGCCAGUUGCUAGAAUCCCUUCUCCGACAACCAUUCCAAUUAGGCAAAUGCACAAAUCAAUGCCAAAUCCACCCAAACGUGUUGCAAAAUGACUGCAACAGCCUGCUCUCUAACUUGCUAGUAGAGCCAAGAACUAAAACGAUGCAGGUCGAAGAUGUAGUGGCAAACAAAGUUAACAAAAUUGACCGGACUUUCCCCCUAGGGGAAAAUGCCACCACAGCACAAUUAAAGGGCAUCAGAAUGCUCACAAUUGAGAGAAGAAAGAAGAUAUGUUGCUGAAAUAGCUGAACAUUAUCCACAAGUUGCAGGACCAGCUUCCAAGUUCUUCUCAUGGCAGAGCAACUUGCAUGCAUGGACAGUCUUGUCAUUCAGGCAAAAGAUCGAAGGGGCAUUUUUUUCAUUUGCGCCUAAUUUUUGGAUUUGUUUUUCUUUUCUUUAAUUGUACUUAAGAUUGACUUUUGAGCAUCCACCCUCUUUUAGUGAAUCCUCUAUAUAAGCAAGCUUAACUCACUUGUAAAACACCCCCUUUUUGGAAGCUUUAAUACCCCUAAAGGAUGGGAAGAAUCAAGGGUAGAUUUUGCAUGUUAGCUUGUAUUUUCUUUAUGAGCCCCUGGUCUCUGAAGGAGAGGAGCGGGAGAGGGAGAAAAAUUUGAGAUAAAAGGGAUACUCCUGAUUGUGCAGUUCCGCAGCACCCCAAUCACGCGGGUCACCCCAUCUCUCCUAAGUUGAGUUGUUCCUUCCCUCUCUCUCGUUCUCACGUGGCAGCCGGAGUCCAUUCGUAAACCCACGGAUGCGAGCAAACCUGCGGGCCUCGUUCCUCAGGUUUAUCUACACCUCCCCCCCCUUAAUCGGCCAACAGAUCCCCUCCGAAAGGGCGACGAAGGAGGAGGAACAUUUGGAUCCCACCCCAAUAGCAUAGAGAGAGUAAGAGGAGAGAGGUUGUGAGCUUGAAGAGGGCUCCCAUCCAAACCACACUAACGAACAGCCGAAGGGCUUUGUAACUCCUCUAAGAGGGCCAUCCACCCGGGCAUGUCCUCGAACCCCCAAAGUGGCGUAAGAGCGUUCGCGCUCUAGUCACAAAAAUCUCUCUCACCGUCGACGGCUUUGUAUCCGCUAACAGGAGGGCCCCCGCAUGCGUAACAUGCCAAACCUUCAUGGUUGUUGGAGAGAGGGUUUCCAUCUCCCCCCCUAGAAGGAAACUAGGACCCCACGACAUCACCCGACUAUCCCUUGGGAAUACUCUCGUGAGGGGGCUGCCUGGCUGAUGGAAGGGUAUGGGGGGAUCCAAUGGGUGGUGCCUGCAGGUUCGCUCGUGACCGUGUGCCUAUUGUAUUUGCGGGUUUCUAUGCAAGAUAGAUGGUGUGUCAAGUAAGGGACAGAGAGAGAGGUUGGGGCGUGCCCCAGUUAAGGAGAGGAGGAUGGGUCUGCGCACUUGGAGGUGUCUACAGACCCGUGCACUUAGGGGUAUUUUCUUGCACUAAAAUUUUCUCUUUCUCCUCCGUAGGAUUAAGGACCCAGGAGAAAAUGACCAGAGGAACAAGCAUAAUUCCUCUAUUUUAUAAUGGGCCUUUGGCUCUAAAUGUGUGUGGUCAUUUACAAGUGAGCUAAGCUUGCUUAUAUAUAGGAUUCACAAAACAGAGGUGAAUGCUCAAAAAUUAAACUUAAUUACAAUUUAAGAAAUGAAAACUAAAUUCCAAAAUUAGGUGCAAUGACCAAACUAUCCCUGAUAUCUUUUCCAUUAAUGACGAAGCCAUCCCUGCAUGUAGGUUGUUCCACCAUGGCCAGGCCUUGGAAGCAUUUUUUGAAACUUGCGGCUAUGGUUUAGAUGAUUUGUCAGCAAAUUUUCAUUGUCCUCAUGAUUCUGACCAUUUUGAUGCCAUUUAAUCAUGCCGGGGUGGCCUUUUUCCCACGGGUGGAUGUCCAACAAGAUUUGUGAACUUUGUUCACCAUUGUGAUUCGACUCGCAAUAUUCAAGCUCUUGGCUCUGCUUGCAAACAAGAGAGGAGAUAGUCGCAAUCAUUUUACACCAAGAUGGGGCUGAUUUGGUUCUGGUUUUCUUUUUUUCGUAACUUGGGAGGUCGUUGAAAAGAGAGAUUUCGACAACCGAGCGGAUUUACAUCUUUUGUGACCUGGGGACUUGCAUCAAUCGGACCUUAGAUUAAAUGUAGGAGUUAUAGUAGUCUGCAACUCUUUGUGAGGUGGUUGCAUUGAACUCGUCCCCACGGUGAUCCGAUGUCGAUCUGUGCUUCACUGGAUUCGAGGCUUCUUCUUCUUAAACCCUAGUUUUUUCGAUUUUGGUGGGACCUUCUUUCCAGGUGAACUUGGACUCCAGGUCAUACCACAAUGCAUGCCUUAGGUCAAAAUGACGAGGCUGGCAUGAUCUAGAACAUAUUUGAAUUUGGGUUUGUCCUGAUUUCAGUGGAAGGCACCAUGGGUCUUUGAAGCUACUCCCGAAACACAUUGUCACAGUCUCCAUGGUUAGGGACUGGUUUGGUGAAGCUGCACCGGGCUAGUGUAAAACUCGGCUGUUGCAAGGCCGUAGAGGAGUAGACCCUUUUGAGUGGUCUGAUUGAGCCAAAUUUGGUCCACCAGGGUUUUUCGACAUUCUGAAUGCAAUGGUGGUGGUCGUGUAUAGUUUUGUAGUUGCUAACGUUGGGCUAUAAUUGUAAGGCCCUUCUUUGUUGCGAUGGCACCGUACCAAGGUCGUAUGUUUGAGGCUUUAUUUUAUGGCACAACUUUGGCCCACUGGUGUCUUGUGUAUUGGUAGGACCAAGCUAUUGCCGACUCUCUCCUUUUUUGCAUGGGUGGUGUAAGUACGUUAAAAUCACGUACAACAACUUGCCCUGAUGGGUGUUGCGCUUUGAGAGCAACGAGAAGUGCAACAUUCGGAAUGAAUACUUUAUCAUCAAAGUUCAUCUGGCAAAUCUUCACUAAGACGUUUUUGUUUCCUAUCGGCCAAUAUAUUUUUUUCUUGAACACCGGCACAGCGCAAUCCUGAAGGGGUAGACUUUGUUGAGCAUUUCCCUAGGCCAGGGGGGGGGGGUGACCAAAGGGGGCUCCUAGUGGACCAGGGCCUUGUUGAGGGGCAUUCUCUGAGUUCUGCCAGAAUCUAUUUUUCUGGGAGAUUACGCUGAUGGCCUGCGUAGCACGGGUUCACGACUUUGUAUCAACGUUAACUCUUGAUGUCCCAGUUGGCGAGUGCCCAUUUUAGGGGGCGUUACCCCGACCUAACUGGUAGAUUUGGGAGCCGACGAGUUCCUUUUGAGGGCAUUAUCCCAUCUGGCUAAAAGGAAAAGGGAGCCAUUGAGUGCUUUUUGAGGGACUUUAUCCUAGCUGGCUAAAAGGUUGGGAGCUAGCCUAUGCCUUUUGAGGGGCAUUAUCCAAUCUGGCUAAAGAGAAAAAGGGGAGCUACUGAGUUCCUUUUGAGCGACGCUAUCCCAGCUGGCUAAAUGUUUUGAAUCUGGCAAGUGCCUUUUUGAUCGGCAUUAUCCAACCUGGCUAAAGAUAAAAAGGGAGCCGCUGAGUGCCUUUUGAGGGGCAUUAUCCCAGCUGGCUAAACGUUUUGUGAGCUGGCCGAUGCCUUUUUGAGGGGUGUUAUCCAACCUGGCUAAAGAGGAAAAGGGGAGCUGCCGAGUGCUUUUUGACGGGCGUUAUCCCAGCUAGCUAAAUUUGGAAGCUAGCCGGUGCCUUUUGAGGAGUGUUAUCCAACCUGGCUAAAGAGAAAAAGGGAGUUGCCGAGUGCCUUUUGUGGGGCUUUAUCCCAGCUAGCUAAAAUUUUUGGUGUUCCAGUUAGUGGGUGCCUCUUUUUAUGGGCUUUCUCCCUGGCCAACAGAAACUCCUUGUGGUGGAUUUCUUUUCACAAACAGGGUACCUCUUUGGUUAACAUCUAUAUGGUCUAAUCAAGGACUUUUUGUGUGGCUUGUACCGAAGAAUCUAGACUUGAUAGGGAGGGUUUCGGAGGCAAUCUCUUUGUUUAGGAGACUUCACUCUGAUUGUUGGUAGUUGUGUUGUUGUGGUGGUGACAAGCAGGGUAGCUCUUUUGUUCCCAUCCUAUAUGGUCCAAUCGAGGGCUUUUUAUGUGGCCUAUACCGAAGAGUCUAGACUUGAUAGGGAGAGUUCCGGAGGCGGUCUCUUUAUUUAAGAGACCUCACCAUGAUUGUUGGUGGUUGUUUUGUUGUGGUGAUGACCAGCAGGGUACCUCUUUGGUUCCCAUCCUAUAUGGUUUAGUCCGUGGCUUUUUGUGUAGUCUAUGCUGAAGAUUCUAGACUUGAUAGGGAGGGUUCUAGAGGUGUUCUCUUUGUUGAGGAGACUUUACCUUGUUUGCUGGUGGUUGCUGUUGUUUGUUUGUGGCAUAGGGGCGAUCGGAUGUUUGAAGGUGGCACAAGGGCUGGAGAUUUGAGGUGGCACUAGGGCCGGAGUUUUUAGGUGGCACAGGGGCCAGAGUUUAAAGGAGGCACUGGGGCCUUGCGGGUUUUCACUUGAACCAGGUGGAAGUGGCUCCAUGAGAGUGGUUUUCACCAAGUCCUUUUUGAGGUGUUUUUACCCAUGGCAUCGAGGUCAUGUCUGCUGCUUUGAUUUCAAUUUUUACUCAUGGCACCCUUACAGGUUUUCACCAUGCCUAGUUUCUUUAUUACUUGACUCUUUUACACAGGGCUUUGUGCCCAUGCGUGUCUGUCAUUUUUACUCACAGCAUCCUUGAGGGUUUUCGCCAUGCCUGUCUUUUUUUUUUUUAUUGGGCGAUUUUACUCACACCCUUGGUGGCUAUGUCUGCCUGAAGCUCUUUUUCUUUUACUCGCAAUGGUUGCCAUCACGCCCAACUUCUAUUUUUUUUUUUUAGCAGCCUAAAAGAACAGUGAACCUUGUGGAUGUAGUAUGGCGGUUCGACUUAGCUACCGAUUGAUGUGACGACCGACCCAGGCGGGGUGUGUCCACACUAGGUGAGGUGUUCCCCUCGAGGGAUGAUGUCUUGUGACCUCGACGGGAUGUGCCCAUGCAGAGUAGAGUGUUGAUGCCCAUGGGGACAACUUGUGUUCCUUGUCUUUGCAGAGUAGAGUGUUGAUGCCCCCGGGGAUGGCUUGUGACUGGCAAGGUGUGCCCGCACGGUGCAAAGUGUUGAUGCCUGUGGGGGUGGCUUGUGGCCCAGGCGUCUGUAAGUUCAACAUGAGGCUAAAGAGAGGAAGCCGCUUAGUAGAUGGGGUGGAGGGGGAGAUUCAUCUUGUUGGUGGCAGGGUGGCGAACGAUUUGAUUAUGCUGCUUCGAGAGUGGCACCUAGGAGGCGAGGUGUCAAACGGUUUGAAUAGCGGUCCAACGAGGCAUCGUUCUACUGAGACGUGUUCGGUUGGUUGGACAACGUGUUGCAUAGUUUGAGGUCAUAUAUCUUAGACCGUUGUGCGAAGCAGUUUAUCAUCAUGCUGCCAGGACGUGACCUAUCGUUUAUAGUCAUAUAACUUGGACUGUUGCAUGAAGAAGUUUAACAUCAUGCGGCCAGGACUUGUGUUAUAGUUUAAGGUCGUAUAACUUGGACAGUUGCGCAAAGCAAUUUAACGUCAUGCGGCCAGGACGUGAGCUAUAGUUUAAGGUCGUAUAACUUGGACCGUUGUGCAAAGCAGUUUAACGUCAUGCGGCCAGGACGUGCACUAUAGUUUAAGGUCGUAUAACUUGGACCAUUGCUUAGGGAUAAUACUUCUUCAAGUAUCUCCCAUUGAUUAGAGGCAUAACUUCUUCUCCUUCGGCAUUGACCAACACAUAGAACUCAUUGGGUAAGGCUUUCUUGACCACAAACGGGUCCUCCCAUUUUGGUUCGAAUUUUCCUUUUCUCCAUCCAUGGGUAACAAUAGGUCUCCUGACCACUAGGACCAGUUCGCCCUUUGUGAAUGCCCUAAUCUUAGUGGACCUAUUGAAGGCCCUUUGCAUGCGAUUCUUAUGGGUCUCAAGACUCUGCUACACUUGCAACCUUUUUUCAUUGAGCACGUUUAGCUCUUGGCAGCGGAGAGUAGCCUGUUCUCCAUCUGUCAUUCCAUAAUGGAGGGCUACUAUGAGGGAAGGCUGCUAAAUUUCCAAUGACAACAUGGCUUCGCCUCCAUAGACCAAUGAGUAGGGGGUUGACUGAGUCGUGCCUCGGGUCGUAAUGCAAUAAGCCCAUAGAAAUUUGGAAAUCUUUCAUGUCAAUCCCUCUUUCUGCUGGAGACAGAUUUCUUCAGGGCAUCGCAUAGAGUCUUGUUGAACGUCUCAGCUAGGCCAUUAUCCCAUGGGUAGUACAUGGUUGAGCAUUUCCAUACGAACCCGAAUUGCUCAGCCAGCCUGUUUAUUUGGCUGCUCCAAAAUUGGGGACCGUUAUCAAAGACGAUCCAGUUAGGGACACCAAAUCGAUAUAUGAUAUAUGAUAUCAUGGCACACAAAGCCACCGUUGGGCUGAGGACCUUUUUGAGAGGCAUCGCUUCGGUCCAUUUGGAGAAAUAGUCCAUCGCAGCAAGUAUGAAUGCAUGCCCUGAGGAAGAGGGUUGGGUCAAUGGGACCCACAAUAUCCAUGUCCCAUUGACAGAAGGGCCAGGAUGCCACCGUUGGGUGGAGAGGUUCCGGUGGCUGAUGAAUGAAGUUCACGUGAAUUUGGCGGACUGAGCAUGUAAGGGCCACAAUUUUCUCUAGGUCCAGUGAUGCGCACGACAAGGGAGAGUGAGAUAGAGGCCUAGCACCAUUUGGAGCAGCGUCGGCUGUGUAAGAGGAAAACACAGCGCCGGCUAUGUAAGAGGAAAACACAGCGCCGACUGUGUAAGAGGAAAACACAGCGCUGGCUAUGUAACAUGAAAACACAGCGCCAGCUGUGUAAGAGGAAAAUGCAGUGCCGGCUGUGUAAGAGAAGAGGAAGCACCAACUGUGUAAGGAAGAUGUAGCGCCAGCUAUGUUUGAGAGCCCAUCGUCGUCUGUGAAUUCAAGACCUAGCGCAAGCAGUGAGCCAACGUCUUCUAUUAAUGAGAGAAAAAAAGAGCAGCGCCGGGAGCAUCUUGGUCAAACAUACGGCCGCACCCAUGUCAGGGCUGCCCCAUAUGUGUUAGAGCCAUGUGUGAUUGCGUCAGUCAUAGUGAAUCCCACCAACUAUGGGAACUUAAGCCCUCCCACUUUCCUUUGACGACAAGUUCUCCUCAUUCUACCUUAUACUCUCUCUCUCUCUCCCUAGGGAGCUCACUGUCGCCCCUUGAAGACAGCCAACGGGUGAAUCCCGAGAAAGCUAGAGAAAGCUGGUGAAGGAGAUUGAAGACACUGUGAGAGUCAAGGUAAGUGGGUUUAGCCUCUAUGCAUCCAUGGUUUGUGUAGAGAUCAAAUAUUGAAAUGGAUAAAAUGAUAGAAGGGAAAAUGUGAGGUAUGAAUGGGCUGACAUGAGAUCAAAAUUUCAUGUUUGUGCUUCUAAAUUCCAAGACUGAUUUAACUAUACAAACGAUCUUGUUAAUCAUGGGAACUCAUGCAAUCGCUCAUUGUGAGGCUUGCUAACAUGGACAAGUUUCCACGCCCAAAGUGUACCUUCCAUGAAAUAUUAUGUGCUCUUUAAAAGCAUGGUAACUUGAGAAUAAACAUUUCUAGAACUGUGACUGUUUUUGUAUCAUAGUGUUUAAUAGCCAAAUGGGGUCCAAAUGAGACCAAAUUGGUCUCGAAUGAAAGGCAUGUGUGUCUACUUUAAGUCUACGUUUUACGUCGUUAUAGAAUUUCGCAUGGAUAUAUGCCCUGAAAUGUCAAUGCACGACUCUACUCACAGUUGCUUCUAAUUCCAGCAACUGUGGCCCUCUUUGGGCAAUGCUAUUGACCUAGCAAACGGUGUCUGAAAACCUUAAAAUUACAACAAUUAGAAAGGUCUGUGAAUGUACUAAAAGUUUCAUGUUUUGAUGUUUUUGAAAUUCCCCACGGAUUUUGAGUUAUGCCAUGAAUGUGUCGCUGUGCACUGUUGCAAGGAAACAUUCCAGCAACUAAUGCUCAUCUCAUACUGAGCUGUUGACCCAUCAAAUGGCACCCAAAUUCUUUCAUAUCACUGUUUUUGUAAAGAGUUGUUUAUUAGCUCCAAGUUUCAUGUUUGAGGCAUUCCUAAACUCCACCUAAAUCGGGAGCAACACCCUCGCAAAGAGGAGCAUGUCACUGAUACUUCUCACUACAUCCAUUUUAUGACCAUGCGGCGCUAAGUUCUCUUGAUAUAUGAUAAAUGUGAAUGCCAUAUGAUAAAUUUCAUGCAAAUGCCAUAAAUAUAUGUGAAUGAUGUCAUAUGACUGCAAUGUGUGAGAAAACGUGGUCACGAGCGCAAUAGUGAAGAACUAAAUUUAUAAUGAGUGCCAAAUGCUACUGCGAAGACUUAUGCCAUGUGAACGCUUAUGAAAUAAAUGUCUUUUGCUAGGUACUAUGAUGUUAUGAUGAAAUAUGAUUCUUCCGCUAUGAGGUAUUGAAUUAGCCACUACACGGUGGGACACUUACCGGUAGUGGAUAUUGUUAUGAUACUGUGAUGAAUGGCCACUGCUCAUAUGGAUAUUUGACACUACACGGUGGGAAACUCACCUGUAGUGGAUAUUGUUAUGAUAUUAUUACGAAUGGCCACUUCUUAUAUUGAUAUUGAUCACUACGCAGUGGGACACUCACCGAUAGUGGUUACUACUAUGCUAUUGCUUGCUACGUGAUGGAACACUCAUCGAUAGUAAGGAAAGUGAUGCAGGCAUAUCCCUUAACCUGCAUAAUGAUAGGAGCAGGUUAAGGGAAAGGAUAGAGGGUCGCACCCUAGAUUCAUGAAAUGAUUGAUUCCUUGCAAGGUAAGGGCCUAUCGAAUUCCCAAUGCGUGCUGGGAACUAUGUGAGUGUGUUGAGGGUAUUACGAAGUGGAUUACCCCACUUGUCAUUACCUUCCCUCCUGUAUGAUAGUAGAGGUAUUAAGCAUUGGGAUUGGCUUAGCCUGAUGGGAUAGGGCCUCUACUGCUGGAGUAGGUGAUUUAGGGAGUUAGUGGGUAAUGAUCGAAUUUUUUAAUAAGGAAUGUUUAGGAUUUCAUUGAUUGAAUGUAAAUGAUUGCAUUGCUUGAAUGCUCAUGAUCGCGCUGAUUUAGUGAUGACUGCCGUGUAAAUGAUAUGUUCAUACUCGUUGUCUUGAUCUAAUAUUCAUAUGUACUAAACUAGGAUUUUAUAUUGAUGGUUUGAACUGUUAUCACACACAAAUAGAAUCACUAUAGAUGCAAACACUAGAUCUACUUAUUGGACUGUAUAGCUCAUUCCAUCAUUUCUCCUCUCCUUGUAGAUUGACAGUGAUUGGUGCAGAACUGCGCGAGUUCAUGUUUUGCAGCUCGAAGAUGAUGCUAGUUUUCUCAAAGAAGGUGCUUAGAUCUUGUUUGUGUCUUGGUUGUUUAGCCCUGGGUUUUUGUUCUUGGUGGAUAUGUGAAAUUUUGUGCCUAGAUGCCCCAAACUGAAUGUAAUAUUUUGCAAUAUUUUUUUAUUAUGAAUUUUGGUGUAUGGGAUUUUCUUUACUCAUCUGCUAGUUGAGUAUUGUUUUAGUUCUUUUUUCCAUGGUUUGCUCGAUUACCAAAAAUAAAAGCAUUGAUUCCACUCCUUUUUUAGUGACAAACGUUACGUUGGAUCACGAAUCCACGCUCGAUUUCCCGUCGCCGUGUAAAGUACAGUGGUCGGUAGCGGGGCAGUGAUAGAGCAACUUAUCGCGAAUGUGAUCGAGUCGGCAUUCAUAGUGGACCAGUAAUAGCCUAUCUGUUUGACCAUGUUGUAGAGUUUAGGACCAGAUUGGUGCAUUCCACACACCCCAUAGUGAACCUCCUUAAGGACACGUUUCGCCUCUUCCUGAUCGAUGCCUCGGAGCAGCAUGUCAUUAUAGGAAUUCGAUAACAGAGCAUCGUCUUGGCACAUGUAUCUGUAGCCGAUCUUCGGAUCCUAUUUUGUUCAAUGGGAUUAUUGGGUAGUCGAUUGUGCAGAAGGUACGCUUUGAUGGGGGCACACCAAUUAGUCAGUUGCUCCACUUUUGCACAUGCUUUCUCUGAGGCCAUCCUUAUCUGGUUGUAGCUAGAAUAGUCAUCCAUAAAGGAGAAGGCUUGGCAGUUGGUGGUCGAGUCGAUCAAGAGUUCUGUAAAGGGGAACGGGAAGUCGUCUUUUGGGCAGGUCGCGUUUAGAUCGCGAAAGUCAAUACAAACCCUGAUCUGGCCAUUCUUCUUUCUUACGGGCAUAAUAUUAGCCAGCCACUUUGGGUGUUUGACUUCUCGAAUGAAGCAUGCUGCUCUAGGUUUUUCCAUCUCCGCUUCGAUCUGAAUUUCCAGGUCGGCCCUGAACCUCCACGACUUUUGCUAGACAGGCCUACAUGCCGGGUCAAUCCCCAACCUGUGGACCGCUAUACACGGGUCAAGGCCGGGCAUUUCCUCAUAAUGACAGGCUAACACAUCCUGGUUGGCCCUUAAGAACUAUGUAUACCCCUGUUUUUCUUCGAGGAACAUGACGGCAAAGAUGAAAGUGGGUCUUGGGUCGGUCUGGUCACCCAAGUUUAUUUCCUCCAAGUUAUCUGCAGCAACCUGCUUGCCAUCUUCUAGGACUUACAAGGCUUCCUCUAUUUUGUCAUCAUCAAGAGGCAACGAGUCCUCGAUGAGAGGGUACAUCUCUGGUGUUUCAGGCUUCGCGGACUCCUGCUCGGCUUGGCCAGUUUCUAUCCUUGCCAUGGGGCCCUGGGUGAACGACUCCACAAGAUCAGAUUCUUGAGGGGAUGACAGCGAUUCUUGUGACACCGUUACGUGGAGGACUUGCUCGGUAAGGAAAGGUGAUGGUGGGAGGCUUAGUUGUCCUGGGUAACCGAGACCUUCCUUUUAAUGAUGUCAGGACGAUGCGGCCAGGAUUAUGGCAAAGGGGUCAUUCAGGCCCUGAAUGCUAGAUAGGUCAUAGUCCAUUUUCUUCAUAAUCGGACGAGCCUCUGAGAUAUAUAGGUCCUAGUUGGGAUUAACCUCGGAUUCUAGCAAAGGGUCACUUCGCAGGUUUGUUCAGAUUGAUGUCUCCGGAAUUUUCGAGAUGAACUCUAUUAAUGGAGUGGAUGGAGAUUUCGGAGGGCUCGCUCCCUCCAUCUUGGCUUUUCCCUUUCUUAUCGCCUCCGCUUGGUCUAGCGAACUCUGGCCUUGCUCCCCUGGCACAAGCAUUAGGUCCCGCACCAAAAACUCAUGCGUCUAAAAGGAACCUUCAGCGAGAGAGUGACCUAGGGAGGAAGGGCCACUCUCCGCCUCCUGGCAAGUGAGUCGAGUCUUUGACAUGGAGGCUUGUAAGGUCAAAAUCUUCUGAGACUCCAGCAUGUGGCAAGACUCGACGGUGGGUUUGACUUUGCUUCUUCCUUUUUCCAAAGCAGAAAAGGAUAGGACCUUAGGAAUUUGGAGGGUCUUGGCUGAACUGCGUUGAUGUAGCUCAGAGGGUUAGGACGGGCGGUUGUUGUCCUCUUUGACAUGUAGCGCGCUAGGUAUCUAUAUAACUUUGGGCCGGUUCGUUUCUCUUAAGGAGGCCGGGAUGGGUAAGAUCAUCCGAUCGACAUUUGGUUCUUUUUCAAUUGUCCAUGUCGUUUCAUCCGAUCGACAUUUGGUUCUUUUUCAAUUGUCCAUGUCAUUUCUCUUAAGGAGGCCGGGAUGCGUAAGAUCAUCCAAUCGACAUUUGGUUCUUUGAGCAGGGGGACAGGGAUAUGCAGCACUUUCAUGCCUUCUUGGUAACUGAGGGAAGGGAGAGCAGCAUGUUCCCCCACGUCACCUCGGCUUGGCUGCUCAUCCGAGGGCACGGAGAGGUUCUUGUCAACAAGAGUCAAGGGAAUUACUUUUCCACAUCUCUUUUCUUCCUUGAAAAUAUGGUUAAGUGACCUCGUCUUGUCUUCCACAUCUUCAUGAGAGGUUAGAGCAGUUUCCCUCAGUUUCAUUUUGGUUCGGCCUUUUGUAGGUAACAUGGGCCCCUGAGGGCGUAUUGGGUUUGCAAAGUAAUACUUUACGUCUGCAUAGUGCAAUUAAGCAAUUGGGAAUGGCGUUUGUCAACAUAAACUACGUGUUGUCUCCCAUCCCGGCUAUAUUUGAAGUACUGAUGAAGCGUGGAUGAAACCACUCCAUGGCCAUGGAGCCAAGGGAAACCCAACAUGAUGUUAUAAGAGGUAUCCAUGUGGAUGGCAUGGAAUCAGGUGGUUGUAUUCAAAUCGCAGAUUUUGAGCUUGAGCCAAAUCGUUCCUGUUGGUUUUUCCCCAGAUUUAUUGAUUCCUUGAACUAUUAGGCUGGUGGGUUCGAGCUGGUCCAUGAUUAGUCCAAUCUAGGAAAGGACUCUUCGAGGCGCUAAGUUUACCAGAACCUGCCAUUUAACAUGAUGUGGUUGACUUGAUAGGCGUGAAGCUGGCCAGUCAUAAAGAGGGGGCGGUUAUGCGACUUGUUACCCACUUUUAAGUCAUCAUCUGAGAAUGUGUUGAGUAUGGUGGGGUCCACCUCAACUCGCUCCAUCUCAGUUUCAUACACCUCGAGACUAGAUAGCGCUUUCACCAGAGCCAUUCGGAGGUCAUUGGACAACAUGAGGGCAUCAUAGAUUCUUAAGAGGUUAGGGAAUUUCCUUAUAUGUCCGACCACAUCGUAUUUAACUUUGUCAGCUUCGGGAAGGGAUGUUCCCUUGUUAUCCCUUGCCCUGAGAGGAAUAGACAGUGCUGGGGUGGCUUUUGGUUGAGGAGGAUCCGCUACGGCUGUCAAGGAAGCAACCGCUGCUAUAACAAGCUCAAGUGGGAGGAGUUGACUGUCUUGCAUGAUCGGAACAGGUGUAGCAGAAGUAAGAUGGGGUGAAGACUGCGCAGGCGUGCACGUUUGGAAGGGGCAGUCGAGGUGUCAGCUUGAGAUGUCGGUGCAGUUUUCGGACAUUUGAGGGAAAAGGGUGGUCCGCCAAAGGAGAUGGUUGGCUCUGAGUAGGGGAUUGGCAGUGGCCCGGGGUAUUUCAGGGUUUUGGAUGGAGGGGGUUUCUGAUCCAAUCUUAGCCUCCUUCCCGACCGCAGUCACAUCUGGUCCACAUGAGUUGUUGUGCAUCCUUGGUGGAAUACCAACAUGUGGCAUGCUUCACGACUUGAGGGGCCGGCCUGAUCAAACCUUCUCAACGCCCUUCUCUGACCAGCACUAGGGGAUUGCUGUCCUUUUUCUGCCAUUGGUCUUAGUGCUUGAAGAAAUUGGGGGCGUCAUUUGGGUUCGUUGAGCUUAAGACGGCCUUGGGGUUGUGUCCUUAGUUUGCUCGCAUUGGCCUUGGGGCCAUGCCUCGUUCGUUUGCUCACGAAGGCCUUGGGGCUGCGGGUUGGAAGGGCGAGACGCCGAACUUCAUGCCGUGGUGGCAUAGCAGUGGACGACAUGUUAGUUUCUAGCCCUUCUGCGUCUCCGACCGCUUGAACCUGUUCUAUUGAGGUAGACCCUGUGGAGCGGCGGCCUCCACCCUUCAUAGCAGGAGCAGCAAUUCCAUCCCUUUCUCUUGUUUGAGUCUCAAAUUCCAAAUAAUUCUUCCCCAGAACUGAAAACAAUUCCCAUUUCCUUCUUGACAGGCUCACUCAACUGAUGCGAGGGCAAAGCUGAUCAGUUCGAGCAAAGUGUAGUGCCUGGGGAGGAGAGAGUUUGCAGGCUGCGAUGGUGACCGAGGCACGCUUGAAGGAGGGCCAAGCCGACCGACCGUCACUAACGAUGUCCUCCUAUUUCACGCCCAUCGAUGAGGGUUGUCUCGCACAUGUAGAGAAGGAUGACUGAAGUACCACGUAGCGAGCGACUCGAAAGAGGUUGAUGGAUCGGUGAGCGCUCGCGUUUCUUCAUGGUUGGCAACAUCUUUGGACCUACACGUGUGUGUGCCCUCCAUGGUGGUGUUCAGGGCCCUUUUGGAGUGAGGGGUGGAAUACUCGCGGUACCCGCUUAUUUAGUUAGUGAGGGUUCAGGGCCUCGAACAUGCGUGUGCAUUUGUUUAUGAGACUUUAGAUCGUCUAGAAAGUCACAUGUUUGUCGAGGCUCAGUUUUUGGGCUGCCCCAAGCAAUAGGGUUAGCAUGCAUGGUGUUGCUAACUCUAGGAGCACUGGUGUUGCAUCCGAGUCGAAAGAGACCCAAAACAGUUUGGGAAACUGGGGUGGGUUGCUGCCUGCCCCAACUCGUCAGAGUGACAGUUGGACCACCGGUAAUGACGUAUGUAUAGGUGGGCGCAGCCAUUAGAUGGCCAUGUAGACCGAAAUAAAAGUGCCACCUUACAGUGUGUGCAUGGGAGUUCCAACGCUGGCAACGCCCCUGUGAGACAUGGGCAAGGUAACCUUUCAAAUACCCGCAGAAGCGGUGGCCUUUUUGGGAACCACCAAGUGAGGAAGAGUAGUGGCAUGAGGAACACGUUGAGGCAUGGGACUGGCGGGCUAACAGCCAGUGACAGGGUGCUUGUGUGAAGGGGCGACUGUAGCACCACCCAUGCAGUUGACACCACGGGAUUUUCCCUUAGCACCUGAAGAGGAGGGGCAGAGAGCUUAAGAGCCCAUGUCCCUAGUUUAACUAGGCAGGACUAGGAUAGGGGGGCCAGUCAAGUCGCUUGAGUAGGAUGCGGGGGAGGCAAGACCAGAUGGCCCGCUCUCCCUGGUUGAGGUCACAGAUAUGGGGAAUUAGAACUUCCCAAUCCGAAGAAAGGAGGGAUAGUGGGAUCUCAUAACAACUUUUAAUAGAGAAGAAGGAGAGGUUGGUACCUGAAAACAGUCCAACCCAAUGAUAGGGUGACAUGUCCAAAGUGGAGUCCCCAGUUGGUCGGAUAACCGCGGGGUCGCUCGGGCGCAUAUAUGGGAACGAGCACACGUGGGGCAUGCGUGGAUGCAGAGCAGCUUUUGUGAGCGAAUAGGCACCAACAAUGAGAGAGAUUUUUUACAGCGAGCGGGUGCUUUGGGACACUCGCCCCACCAUUUGGGGUUCGAGGGACAUGCCUGGGUGGAUCUUAGAACAAUGAAGAAGCCAUCUAGUUGUGUGUCAGCGUGGUUUGGAGAAGGACUCUCUUCAGGCUUGCAACCUCUCAACUCUCUCUAUGUCCCUUAGGACCGGUAUGGGACCCGACUGUCCCUCCUUGGGACUACUCUCAUGAGGGAGCUGGCUAGUCAAUGAAAGGGUACGAGGGGACCCACGGAAUGGUGCCCGCUGGUUUGCUAGUGAUCGCAUGUCUGUUGUAGGCGUAGGUUGCUGUGUAGGACAAACAAUGUGUCACGUAAGGGAGAGAGAGAAAGAUUGGGGCAUGACCCGGUUUAGGAGAGGAAGAUGGGUCUGCGCACUCGAAGGUAUCUACAGACCCAUUCACUCAGGUGUAUUUUCUCUCACUGAAAGUUUUCUCUCUCUCCUCAGCAUGAUUAGGGACCCAGAAGAACAUGACCAGACGAACAAGCAUAAUGCCUCUGUUUUGUAAUGGGCCUUUGCCUUUAAAAGUUGGGUGGUCGUUUACAAGUGAGCUAAGCUUGCAUAUAUAGAGGAUUCACAAAACAAGGGUGAUUUAAAAAAAAAAAAGCUUAAUUACAAUUGAAGAAAUUAAAAGUAAAUUCUGAAAUUAGGCACAAUGACCAAAAUGUCCCUGAGAUCUUUUCUGUUAAUGACGAAGCUGCCCCUGCACACAGCUUGUUUUGCCAUGGCCAAACCUUGGAAGCUUUUUCUACAACUUGAGACAAUGGUUCAGUUGAUUUGUAUGCAUAUUUUCAAUGUCCUCGUGAUUUUGAGCAUUUUAAUGCCCUUUAAUCAUAUUGGGGUAGCCUUUUUCCAACGGGGUGGAAGUCCGGCCAGAUUUGUGAACUUUGUUUGCCAUUAUGAUUCAACUUGAGAUGUUCUUGCUCCUGGCUUUCCUUGCAAACGAGAGAGGAGACAGUCGCAGUAAUUUUACAUCAUGUUUGUACUGAUUUGGUUCUGGUUUGCAUUUUUUCCUAAUUUGGGAGGUCGCCAGAAAGAGGAAUUUCGGCAACGGAGCCUACUUACUUCUUUUGUGACUUGGGGACUUACAUCAAUCGGACCUUUGAUUAAAUGCAAGGGUUAUACCAGUUUGCAACUCUUUGCGAGGUACUUGCGUUGAACUCGUCCUCGUGGCGAUCCGAUGUCGAGCUAUGCUUCCCUAAAUAGAGGCUUCUUCUUCUUAAACUCUGGUUUUUUCGGUUUUGAUGGCACCUUCUUUCCAAGAGAACUUGAACUCUAGGUCGUGCCACAAUGCAUGCCUUAGGUCUAAAUGAUGAGGUUGGCGUGAUCUAAAACAUAUCUGAAUUUGGGUCUGUCCUGGUUUCAGCGGAAGGCGCCAUGGGUCCUUGAAUCUUCUCCUGAAACAUGAUGUCGUAGUCUCCAUGGUUGGGGACUGGUUUGGUGAAGUUGCACCGCGCUAGUGUAAAACUCAGUUGUUGCUUGGUUGCAUCAGCGUAGACCCCUUUUGGGUGGUCCAAUUGUGCCCAAAUUUGGUCCCCAAGGGUUUUUUGACAUUCUGAAUACAAUGGCGGUGGUGUGGUAUAGUUUUGUAGCUUCUAACAUAGGGCUACAGUUAUAACGCCCUUCCUUGGUGCGAUUGCACCGUACCCAGGUUGUAUGUCUGAGGCUUUAUUUUAUGGCACAACUUUGGCCCACCAAUGUCUUAUGUAGCUGCAGGACCAGGCUGUUGUCAGCUCUCACCUUAUUCACUUGGGUAGUGUAAGUACGUCAAACAUAACGUACAACAGUACUAGCUACUACGGAAUGAACGUGCAAUUAAAGAAAGAGAGCUAAUACCCUCUUAUCAUUCUUCCAACUCACUGUAUUGAACUUUACUUCCAACAAGUAUAGAUGUAAUAAGAGCAAACUAUCUCCACUGACAUGUGAGUAUUCCUGUGACCAGGGAGGUUAACAUCACAAAGAUGCCUAACCGCCAGCAUGUAAGCGGCGUGUGGCGACCUGGGCAGAUUAGUAUCGCGAGGAUUCCUAACCACCGAUUGGUGGGCAUUCCUAUAGCUAGGCAGGUUAGUAUCACAAAGAUGCCUAACCAUCGGCAUGUGAGCAGCAUACGGCGACUUGAGUAGAUUAGUAUCAGGAGGAGUCCUAGUCUAUGAAUAAUGUUAAGGCCAGGUAGGUUAUCAUCACGAAGAUGCCUAAUCAUCGGAAUGUGAGCAACAAAUGGCGACUUGGGCAGAUUAGAAUCGCGAGGAUUCCUAACCGUCAGUCGGUGAAUAUUUCUGGGGACAGGCAGGUUAGCUUCAUGAAGAUGCCUAACCGGCAUGUGAGCACCAUACGGUGACAUGGGCAGAUUAGUAUCACGAGGAUUCCUAACUACUAGUCAGUGGGUAUUUCUAGGGCUAGACACAUUAGCAUCACGAAGAUGCCGAACCGUCGACAUGUGAGUAGCAUACGACAACCUAGGCAGAUUAGUAUCAUGAGGAUUCGUAACUGCCAGUCGAAGACCAGUAUGAACAACCGAUUGUGGGAUCCGUAUGAUGAAAGGUAGGAAUCAAGAACCCGACGGUGAUGAAGUGGAGGGCUUAGAUGGCAAGGGUCUUAACCUAAACUUUGCAGAGGUGGAACAUAUAUCUUUCCCACACACAAGGGCGAUUGACCUUACAAAACAAGGCGUCCGUGCCUGACCACGGACAUUACAAGCCAAGGUACCACUAACGGUUGUCGUUUGCCGACCCUUGUUGGGGUAAGUCAAGAUUACCCUCAAUGGUCUGCUUCUUGGGACUAAGUCCACCUGAGGCUGAGAUUUCCACAUUGUAUUAGCCCUUAGAGUUUGCAUCUUGGACCCUUGUUCUGCCAUCCCUAUUUUCGUAACACACAGACUAGCCGUGGUUUUAGUGAAGGCUGACUGGCCCCUCGUUGGGGAGAAGUGCAAUGGGACCUCCACGGUUCCUACAUAGAAAGAUGUCACUACUGUAGCCAUUAUUACCGCUGACGACCUGUGAUUAACACAACGGUUCACUUGUCAAGGUAAAUAAAGAAGACACGAGAGUAAAUGUGGGAGAGAUCGUGACUCAAGACUUAUUCUAGAGAGAGAUUCGACUUCUUAGACCCAACCAGAGAUGAAAGGUGAAUUGUUCCAUAGUAUAGUCGCCAGAGAUUUGGACGCUCUAAAAUGUGAAUUCUUAAAAGGAAAUGUUUAAACAAACAUCAGACUCCAAAUAGAAAACCAGAGGGCAUCACAUUUAGGGUCAAAUUCCCCAGUGCAUUCCAUGUUAGAAAUACAGGCUUUAUAUUAUAUUGGACACUAAGCAAAUCUAGAGGUUUAAUCCCCUAUUACAAUUUACAUCAGCAAAAAGAAAAAAAAUAUGUGCCGAGCACCUUUGAUUCUGGCUUUGACACAUAUACAUUCGUUUCUAAAGAAGAAAAUAUGCAGACAUAUAAAAAACAAAAAAGAUAACAUUAGGGGCAUAUUAGCUCAUAUACCUGUGGAUGUACGCAUGAAUAUUAUCCUUCAAGUCUGGUCUUCCUAAGAUAACAGGUCUCAAGUGGAUCAUAGGGGACAAUUACCUCUCUCUCUCUAUGUCCUGAGUAUCUCACUCGCUUAAUUCUUUCUACUGUAAAACCUCGCAAGAAUGCUUAUCUUGAUUCAAUUGUCCAUAAAAAUGUGCAUCAUCUCUUUAAUCAAGAGACCCUUUUUUAUAUUUUCAAGUUAUGAGUUUUCAAGGGAUAACCAUGCAUUUCCCGUCUUUGAAUCUCCACCCUUCAGUUUCAUUUUGGACUUAUCAUUUCGUUUGAAUCACAGAAUUUGCAAGGCAUAAUUCUUAUUUUUAUAAUGUUGUUGACCUCUUAUGCUUAUUCUUUCAUGUUGGUAAUCUCACUAUUGGGUUGUUCACGUAGGUAUUUUUUGAUUGAUAAUCACUGAUAUUCACCUUAAAUUUCAAACAUUUGAACUUCAUGAUCUUGCGAGAGCAAAAUUAGGGAUUUGUCACUGUUCUCAGUAGAUCGCAACCGCUUCCGUUGUUAGCUUAAUCCAUGCUACACCUUUUAAGGGUGACGAAGCAAUGAGUCAAGAAUCCUAUAGUGUUGAUUUUAUGAGAGAACUCCUUAUGUAAAAGACCUUCCCCACCUUUUAGUAACCAAAUAUUACACGACACAUAAAACGUUUAAGGCACUAACUGCUAGGCGAUGAGGAUGAUGAAUUAAGCCAUCUUUGGGCAGCUUUAGAUAGUUGUGAUAUGGUGAUGGGUUAAAACAUCUCCGGAUAGCUUUAAAUUGUUGGUUGAUAUGAUGAUGGGUUAAGCCAUCCCUGGGCAACUUUAAACAACUGGUUGAUAUGGUGAUAGGUUAAGCCAUCUCCAGGCAGUUUUAAACUGCUAGUCGAUAUGGUGAUAGGUUAAGCCGUCCCCGAACAACUUUAAACUGCUGGUUGAUAUGGUGAUGGGUUAAGCCAUCUUCAGGUAGCUUUAAACUGCUGAUUGAUAUGGUGAUGAGUUAAACCAUCUCGGAACAUCUUUAUAGUGCCAAUGAGGAUGAUGGGUUAAGCCAUCUCCGAGAAGCUUUAGACUGCCAAUGAGGAUGAUGGGUUAAGCCAUCUCCGGACAGCUUUAGAUUGCUGAUGAGGAUGAUGGGUUAAGCCAUCUCCGGGUAGUUUCAGAUUGUCGAUGAGAAUGAUGGAUUUAACCAUCUCUAGGCAGCUUUAAACUACCGAUGAGGAUGAUGGGUUAUGCCAUCUCUGGGUAUCUUCAAGGACACAUUUGAGCUGGCGCCAUCAAGAUUUAUACUCUUUUUCGACUACCUAUUAAGGCAACCAUUAGUGUGUGUUACCGAUUUUGUUGUAUGUCUUCAAUCAAGUGUUUGUUUAGAAUGUACUUAGUCUUGUAUGGGGACUAAGCAAUACAUCUUCAACGAAAAAGCUUAUUCAAAUAACUUAUUCAUCAUGCUUUCAUACCUCAACCCCAGUGUUUGUUAAAAUGCGUCUAGCCUUUGUAUAAGACUAAAAGUACACCCAACAAUGGCCCCUCAUAGGCCCCACCCAAUCUACCACUUAUAUUUAAAUGGCCCCCCAUAUCAAAUGGAGGGUCCCACACAUUUUAGAAAAUAUUAAAUUUGAUUUCUUAGAGUUUACAAAAAAAAUUUAUUUCUCUUAGAUUAUUUAAAACAUUAAAUAUUGAUUUUCUCUUAUAUUAUAAAUUCAAAUGAUGAAAAUAAAAUAUCAAGAAGUUCACAAAAAUUUAAAUAAAAGUUUCAAAAAAUCAUAUAACAUAAAAUUAAUUAAAACUAAUUAAUUUUGAUGGGAAUCGGAUCCGUAUAGGUCUUGAAUUUUUCAAUAUACUGGAGCACUCUACCUUUAAUUGUGGACCACAAUCUAUACUAGCUUUUUUCAAACUGACUCAAGUGUUUCCAUGAGCCACAGUCCACUGCAGGGGUUCAUGAUUAGUCCACCAAAAUCAGCCAAUAAGCUAGGAGACGUCAUCCCAGUCUAUGGAUUUCAGGUUCUCCCCUAGAAAGAAAUCUAUGGUUCUCUAAACCAUGAUGCAACUACGGCUCCAUGGUGCAUAUGGGUAAUCUCUCGUACAGUUACAUGCGUCACCCUCAAUGGUAGAUUGCUAUCUUGGUACGAUUGUCUAUGUACAUGCCGUGUGAUGGUACUAUGCUGAGGUUUUAUCACUAUCUUUAAAGGUCAACCAUCACACACAAGGGCCACACAAUCCUUGGGCUCACUCAUUCGAGCAUAAAUCCGACUUCAUCGAGGGCUGACCAACUGAACCCUCCUCGGUUUUAACUCUAUGUGCAGGUACCUUGGGUUUUUCCAACUCGACUGACCCAGUACGUCGAGCCUAAUCUGAGUGUCAGCAAAUGGCAUUUGUCGAAUAUGGUCCACAAGGUGAUCACACUCCGAAUAAAUUUAUUGAUUAUUUAAAUAAAAUGUUGCUAAAAUCUCUCAUGGGGCCUUUAAGGCCCACAUAAACCCUACAUUAUGGAGGUUUGAUAAGAGAUUCUAAGGGCAGUAUUUUAUUCUUUCCUUAGGUCCUUGUGCCACAACUUUGGCAAAUGAGGUAGAAAUUAUAAUGCUUUGCAUGGGCUUAUAUUUGUUAUAACUUUAUACUUGGGGGAGGCGGUGUUUCCAGAAGGAUAUAUGGAACAAGGUAGAUGUGUCCUUUUUGAAUGUUUAUAGAGAAGCUAAGGGGGAGGCUAAUUCCAAAGCUAAACAAGGAGUACACUCAUGCUUGUUGGUAGCGAAUAACCUAGUGGGUAUGCUAUGACCAUUUUCUUCAUUAUGACAUUAUUACAAUGUGAUUUUCAUUGGUCUGAAUAGAAUUUCAAUAAUCCUAUGAAAAAUAAAUAAAAAUAUAACGAAUCUAUGAAACUCUUUUUAGUAGUCAAUUUCACAUCCAUCUACUGUUAUGGUCAUGAACAUUAUAUAAGCACACUAAAGACCCUGCAUAGAGUCCCUGGUAACCGAUUUUUGAACUGCAUAGGGGCUUCCGAAGUUAGGGUUGGUACAGUUGUGAAAUAACAAACCAACUUCAAAAAACAGUCCUUAGUUUUGGGCUUUUGUUUCAUGCUGGUAACAAUCAACCUCACUCACCCUAAUUUCUCUCUCUCUUCCUCUUCCUCUUCCUCUUCUCUUAUUCACCUCUCAAAUCAACUGAUACUUCUUCCUAAAGAGUCUCAUCUCAUACCCCACUCUCUCUUUCUUUCUCUCUCUGUAUCUGUGUUUCUGAAAUGGUGCUCGCGGAUUAUUACAUUGAAAAGAGUUUAGGAAUAGACUCGCAGGGAGAGACUCUGAGAGCCAUUGCGUUCAAGGACUACUCGUCAGUCACCUUGAAGAUUCUUCACUUUGAAACAUACGAUGGGCCCCUCCUCAACUUCGAUCAAGAAAUCUCAAUCGUUUACUCAAUCCCAAGCUCGAUCUACAUUGUCCAGUCCGUACCUCUCUCUCUCUCUCCAUUCCAUUACAAGAAAGAUAAAGAGAUGCCCUCUUAAUCUUCCUUCUUGAGUCAUGAUGAAGUAAUUCUUGGUUGAAUUCGUUGAUCUCUGUUGGGUUUAGAUUUCUAUUCAUCAAUUGAUUGGUAAUUCUGUGUUUGCUUUGUUUUUCUUUUAUGUGUUUUAAAGAAUCUUAGACCUGGAUAUCUAUAUGGAUCUACUUUUGAGGUGCUGGACCUUCCUGAUCUUUGAGGCCAUGGAUAUGGACCUCAAAGAAUUCAUCAGAUUAGGGCAACAGUUGAACGCCAAACGUAUCAAGGUGUGUUACCCCUCUUCAUUUGCUUCUCUUACUCUCUCUCUCUCUCUAAGAAUGGGCAUGUGUUCUUUGUUAGUUUUUAGAGAAUGAAAAAAUAUCAUUACUGGGUCUUCUUUUCCUGUUGCAGAGCUUCUUGUACCAGCUUUGCAUGGGUGUGAGUUACAUUCACAGUCACUCCAUUAUUCAUAGGUUAUUGAUUUCAUUAACCCACCAUCUCUUUCUCUGUCAUCUUCUUUUUCUUCUCAUAAUUUCUUUGUUUUCAUCUGUUUAAAUAAAACAUACUUGAUGAACGAUUUCAGGGAUUUGAAACCGAGAAAUAUUUGGGUGAACAAGAGCAAGGGUGUGGUCAAGAUUGAGGGCUUUGGGUUCGCACAGAGAGAUCGCACCCCACAAGAAGAACGCGUAUUUCCUGAGGUUCUUUUCUUCUUUACUCUUCAAUUUCAUGGUUGUGAAAUGAACAUCUGUUUUCCUUUCUCUUUUUUUCUUUUCUUCUUACAGUUCCUCUAUUCCAUGUUUCUGUUUCUUGAAUUGAAAUUUGAAAAUUUUGGUUCUUUUCCUGUUUCUUGUAUAAUCUACAAUUUCACGGUCCCAAGCUCAUUCAUUCAUUCAUUUUUUUUUCUACUUUCUACAAAUAAUAAAUAUUGGGUCCUUACUCUCUCUGUAAAUGAAUAUAUCAGGCCGGUCUUUCAUGGUACAGAGCUCCUGAAGUGUUAUUGCAUGGCCCAUAUUCAACCCCUUGCGAUAUGUGGUCCCUCGGUUGCAUAUUUGGUAUAUCUGCUUGUUUCUUUUUUUUAAUACACAUUUUUGCAUGCAUAUUGUGUGUAAAAUUUUAUGCCUAAUACUCUGAAAUGGGCGCUUGUGUUCCUGAUUUUCAAUUAUUUCUCUCACUUUUCUUAAAUCAGGUGAAAUGGUUGUGAGGAAACCGCUGUUUGGUGAAUACUCACAAAUCGAGCAGUUACAUGAAAUUUUUCAGUAAGUCAUCUCUUGUUGAAAGCGCGAGAUCAUUCUUGAUUUUCUUUUUGUUUUUGAUAACUUUAACCAUGAGAAGAUGGGUUUUUCUUCCGGUGCUUAAAUGUAUAUUAUUGCAAGGUAAUUUCAGUCGAAAUAAGUGGUUUGGGUUUCUAUUUUAUGGAUGCAUGUUGUGAUUUUGGAGAUUGGUGGGAACCCCAGAUGAAGAUGCGUGGCCUGAUUUGCUGACAUAUGAAGGUUGGCAUCAGUUUCCACAAUGGCGUGGAAGAGACCUCUCCCUCACCUUUCCCACUUUGGAACCCGAUGGCCUCGACCUUCUCUCUGUGAGUUGUAUAUAUACAUGUAAAAGUGAUUUCAUGCGACGGUCUUGCAAUAGGAAAAGCUUUUUAUGUUCUUUAUAUAAUGUAGAAGUUCUAUCCUCUUCCUACCAUCCAGCCGUCCAUUUUUUAUCAAGAGAGUCACUCACCGUCUGAUCUUAGAUCCGACUUCUUAAAGUAUUUUAUUUUUAGUUUUUUAAUAUAAUUUUUCUGAAUAUGAAAUUUAGUACAUGCCAUCUUUUCAUUGGGUUGUACCUAUAAAAAAUAUUAACAAUAAAUUUUCAAUAAAAACUAAUGACCAAAAUACCCCUUAAAUCUAUCAAGGGGAUUUUUAUCAUUUUAUUUUAUUGAAAAUAGUUUUUAUAUUUUUCAUUAGUGUGAGUUUAAUAGAGGAAUGGACAUCCAAAAUUUGGAGUCGAAAUAGUUUGUAGAAAAAAAAUUUAAAAUAAAUAGUGUAGAGACGUGAUAUUGUGAUUUGGGCAAUCUUAGCCCUCUAUUAAAAAAUGAACAGUUGGAUAAGGGGGAGGAUAGAACUUCUAUGUUGUAGGGUGAACAUAAAAAGCUUUUCUCUUAUAAUACUAUUAAAAAAUAUGUUACGGUCUUACUUUUUAAUAUAUAAUCUUUUCAUUUUAAUGAGCAUUUACCAAAAAGGAAUAGUAUAGAAUGAGACCAUUUACCUCUGAUAUAAGGUGGUCAUAUUAAUCUUGACCAUUGGAUGUAAAAUUGAGAGGCUGUAAUUAUUUCAUUGACCAAUAUCAAACUUCAAAAGGAAUUUUCUUGAACUUUGUGACACAUCUAAUCUAUCCAAUUUCACAUCAAAUGGUUGUAAGGAUUUGUUUCCACCUUGUAGCAAAGGUGAAUGGUCUCAUUAUAUACAAUCCCUUACAAAAAUGUAAAAUUUGAAAGUAUUAUCUAAAAAGUAUUUUUAAAAAAAGAAAAAAUAGAUUUUGAAUACGUAAACGCCUAUAUCUUGAAAUUCACCAAAUAGAUUGUCGAGAUUCAUCAUUGGAGGGCACUCAUUUUGACCAUAUCAACGUGUAAAUUGAAUUUUAUUCUUUUUGGAAAAUGAUUAUUGGGAUGAAGAGGUGUAAGUACAAAAUGUAGUGUCGUAUAAAUGUACAAAUGUUGUAAUUUAUAAGCCUGGUUUCAUUAUUUUACAAUGACACAAUGACAUGAAAUCAUUCCCCAUGUACACACACAUAUAUGUAAGAAAAAGUUUAUAUAAGGUUAUAAUCUUAAAUUGUAAAAUUAAGGUGCACCUAAAAAAUCCAUCGACAAAGUCUAUUUCUACGUUGAAAAACCUUCUAAUUGACCAUGUCAACUUCAAAAUUAAUGGAAACUAAAAGGAAAAAGAUUUCGAAUCUCAAAACCAGUGCAUCUUGCAGUAAAUUUUCUAGUUCAUUUAUUUUCAAGAUUUUCAGGUGUUUAUAGUUCUAUUUGAUUUGAACCAUUUUUGAAGUUUCAAGUUUUAUAACUAAAGCUAAAAAUAGAUUUUCCAGGUCAUCUUAUAAUUUUUUGCACCAAAAUUACAUUUUAUAAAUAAAAUUUGGAGUUGUGUUUUGCUUUAAUUGUUUAAGGUUAUAAUUUUUUUGUAUAUGAUUUGGGUAUAUUUGACAAGAAAUGGUGUGUGUUAGUUGGCUUAAUUGCUAUUUUAACAUAUUCCUUUUUUUUUUGGAAUNNNNNNNNNNNNNNNNNNNNNNNNNNNNNNNNNNNNNNNNNNNNNNNNNNNNNNNNNNNNNNNNNNNNNNNNNNNNNNNNNNNNNNNNNNNNNNNNNNNNNNNNNNNNNNNNNNNNNNNNNNNNNNNNNNNNNNNNNNNNNNNNNNNNNNNNNNNNNNNNNNNNNNNNNNNNNNNNNNNNNNNNNNNNNNNNNNNNNNNNNNNNNNNNNNNNNNNNNNNNNNNNNNNNNNNNNNNNNNNNNNNNNNNNNNNNNNNNNNNNNNNNNNNNNNNNNNNNNNNNNNNNNNNNNNNNNNNNNNNNNNNNNNNNNNNNNNNNNNNNNNNNNNNNNNNNNNNNNNNNNNNNNNNNNNNNNNNNNNNNNNNNNNNNNNNNNNNNNNNNNNNNNNNNNNNNNNNNNNNNNNNNNNNNNNNNNNNNNNNNNNNNNNNNNNNNNNNNNNNNNNNNNNNNNNNNNNNNNNNNNNNNNNNNNNNNNNNNNNNNNNNNNNNNNNNNNNNNNNNNNNNNNNNNNNNNNNNNNNNNNNNNNNNNNNNNNNNNNNNNNNNNNNNNNNNNNNNNNNNNNNNNNNNNNNNNNNNNNNNNNNNNNNNNNNNNNNNNNNNNNNNNNNNNNNNNNNNNNNNNNNNNNNNNNNNNNNNNNNNNNNNNNNNNNNNNNNNNNNNNNNNNNNNNNNNNNNNNNNNNNNNNNNNNNNNNNNNNNNNNNNNNNNNNNNNNNNNNNNNNNNNNNNNNNNNNNNNNNNNNNNNNNNNNNNNNNNNNNNNNNNNNNNNNNNNNNNNNNNNNNNNNNNNNNNNNNNNNNNNNNNNNNNNNNNNNNNNNNNNNNNNNNNNNNNNNNNNNNNNNNNNNNNNNNNNNNNNNNNNNNNNNNNNNNNNNNNNNNNNNNNNNNNNNNNNNNNNNNNNNNNNNNNNNNNNNNNNNNNNNNNNNNNNNNNNNNNNNNNNNNNNNNNNNNNNNNNNNNNNNNNNNNNNNNNNNNNNNNNNNNNNNNNNNNNNNNNNNNNNNNNNNNNNNNNNNNNNNNNNNNNNNNNNNNNNNNNNNNNNNNNNNNNNNNNNNNNNNNNNNNNNNNNNNNNNNNNNNNNNNNNNNNNNNNNNNNNNNNNNNNNNNNNNNNNNNNNNNNNNNNNNNNNNNNNNNNNNNNNNNNNNNNNNNNNNNNNNNNNNNNNNNNNNNNNNNNNNNNNNNNNNNNNNNNNNNNNNNNNNNNNNNNNNNNNNNNNNNNNNNNNNNNNNNNNNNNNNNNNNNNNNNNNNNNNNNNNNNNNNNNNNNNNNNNNNNNNNNNNNNNNNNNNNNNNNNNNNNNNNNNNNNNNNNNNNNNNNNNNNNNNNNNNNNNNNNNNNNNNNNNNNNNNNNNNNNNNNNNNNNNNNNNNNNNNNNNNNNNNNNNNNNNNNNNNNNNNNNNNNNNNNNNNNNNNNNNNNNNNNNNNNNNNNNNNNNNNNNNNNNNNNNNNNNNNNNNNNNNNNNNNNNNNNNNNNNNNNNNNNNNNNNNNNNNNNNNNNNNNNNNNNNNNNNNNNNNNNNNNNNNNNNNNNNNNNNNNNNNNNNNNNNNNNNNNNNNNNNNNNNNNNNNNNNNNNNNNNNNNNNNNNNNNNNNNNNNNNNNNNNNNNNNNNNNNNNNNNNNNNNNNNNNNNNNNNNNNNNNNNNNNNNNNNNNNNNNNNNNNNNNNNNNNNNNNNNNNNNNNNNNNNNNNNNNNNNNNNNNNNNNNNNNNNNNNNNNNNNNNNNNNNNNNNNNNNNNNNNNNNNNNNNNNNNNNNNNNNNNNNNNNNNNNNNNNNNNNNNNNNNNNNNNUUUCAAAUUAUUAUUAUUUUAAUUUUUACGGCCAAAAGACCAACUCCACAUAGUCUCGGCGAAGGGUGAGGUGAGUCCCGGCCCACUAAUUGGGUGUGUAUUUCCUACCUAAUCAUAGAACGAUUUACUUCUUCUUUUGUCUAUUCUACUUUUGUUUUUUGUUCCUUCCUCACAUGAUCAAUGUUCAAGCAUAUAUAUUAAUCACGUGGCCGCUGUGGAAGCAUACACUAAAUGUCAAGUUAGAAAGCUUGAAAUACAAUAUAUAAUAAUAGAAAAAUUUAUAUAAGAUUGUAAUUUUAAAAUAUAGAAGUAAGACGCACCUCAAAAAUUCAUCAUAAAAAGUUUUUUUUUUUAAUAUUGGAAAACCAUCUAGUUGAUCAUCUCAAUAUUGAGAUGUAGGAAUAAGAAAAGAAAAUAGAUUUUGAGUCUUAAAAAUAGUGUAUCUUACAACACAUUAUUUAGACCGUCCAUUUUCAAUAUUUUCAAGUGUUUAUAGAUCUACUUGAUUUGAAUUAUUUUUGUAUUUUAAGAUUCUAUGAUUAGAGAUGAAAAUAGAUUUUUAAGCCAUCUUAAAAAAAUGUUGACACCAAAUUUAGAGAUGCAUCUUAAUAUUUUCAAGUAUUUAUUUUUUGACAGCAAAUUUAGACUGUCCAUUCUCAAUAUUUUCAAGUGUUCAUAGACCAACUUGAUUUGAAUUAUUUUUGGAUUUUAAGAUGAAAAUAGAUUCUCAAGCCUUUUUUAAAAAAAUUUGACACCAAAUUUGGAGAUGCGCCUUAUUGUUUAAUGUUGCAACUUUAUACAAACCACACUAUAAUGAUUAGUUCUAUUUAUGUAAAGAGCUUGUAUGUUUUUUUGGAACUUUUUAUUUAUUAAUAUUUUGUUCGACAGAAAAUGCUUCAGGUGAAUCCCACCACACGCAUCUCGGCAAGGGACGCCUUGGACCACCCCUAUUUCGACAGCCUUGACAAAUUCCAAUAUUGAAUCCUCUCUCUCUCUACAAACUCUACAUGUGAAGGUCUAGUAUUAUAUGAAUCCUCUCUCUCUCUCUCUCUCUCUCUCUCUCUCUCUCUCUCUCUCUCUCUCUCUCUCUCUCUCUCNNNNNNNNNNNNNNNNNNNNACCUACCCACCACCGACACACUCGUCGACGGACGGACCGUCGUACGACCCUACCUUACGUUACUACGACUCGUACAAUACUACUAUAUAUACUCUCUCUCUCUCUAACUAACUACUACUAGUGUAGGUACGUACGUAUUAUUAUGUAUACUCUCUCUCUCUCUCUCUCUCUCUCUCUCUUUCUCUCUCUCUUCUUCACCUCGAUUUGUGCAUUUGUGUGGCUCAUUGACUUUCUUUUGUAUUGAUACCGACUUCAAGGAUAGAAGGACAGAAGUAAGGGACGAUAAUAUUCAGUUGUUGAAUCUCGUUUCCAUUUUGUUGAAUCUGAGUUAAUAAAUGUGAAAGCCUUGGACAUGUAAGCUUUAAUGAAUGUGAAAGUCUUGGACAUGUAAACUUUGCAGCAAUA